UCAUGAGCAGAAGGUAGUCCCUUUUUCUGGGGUUUCAUCCAUUGAUAUAUUGCAGCCUGGAAAGCCAGAGUCGCGUUUUGUUCAAUGUAUUCAGGAUGGUUCAAAAGAUCUUGCUUGAGGCCUUCACCAACAGGCCCGUAGUUGUAGUUCCUAAGACAACAUACACGGAUACAGUCAGAAAAAUAUGCAGGACUGAAGCAAUUACUAAAAUGCAAUAGAGUUAAAAUACCGAACCCCUCCCCCCCCCCCGGCCCGCCGGCCCAAAAAAAAAAACCCGCACAAAAAAAAAUUCUAAGCAUGGAGCCCUUCAAUAUCUAUAAUCAUCAUGCGAGCAUUACAGACUUUACAAUUCUAAGAAACAGGGACAGUUAGAAUGGAAAACAAAUUAACUUUGUGUAGUCUUUGUUAAGAAAGCUUGAUUCAGUAGGAAUCAGUGAACUAAAUUAUGGCAGAUGAUAAUUAAGGACUAUUUCCAUAAAACAAUCAACAAAGCUUGCAGAAAGCAAAUGGCAUUUAGUUCCACAUCCAACUGAAAUUUCGAGGCAUAAAUAGCAUAUCUAAAUCACUGGUACUGCUUUUUUCUUCCCUCUCACUGUCUCUCUCUCUGAUCAUGUCAAAGACCUCACUUAGCCUGUAAAAAGUAACAAUCAAGUAAGGGAAGAAAGAACACCACCACAUACCAAUAAAGAGGUAGUGCACCACGACCAUGGUAACUAACUCCAGGAGCACAUGGAUAGGUUAACUUGAAGUAAUCAUCACAGUAUAUUGAGCUAGGACUCAUUUCCUUGUUGUAGCAUAGACCCCAAGCCAAGGGCCCCCUGUGGCUACCCCAUAACCACCUGCACCAUUAUCAGAAGCAUCAACUUUAAAUGGACUUAAGCAAGAAAAUGAAGUCAAUGCAACCAAAAAUCAAAGAAAAUUUCUCCCUCGUGAGCAACUUCCUCAAAUCUCAAUUUCAGCUUCAAGGCACCAUUUAGUUGGAUGCUGAUUGGAGAAAUUUAUCUCAUAAGUUUAGAUAGACAAAGCUAUUUGCCUAAGGAUUUAUUUGUUUCACCACACUUCCAACUUUAUUCAUUGUUACACAUUUUCUAAGUCUGUCUUCACAGAUACUAGCAAACAGUAGGGAUGGUAAAAAAAAUAUCCACAUAACAGUAGGACUUAGUUAUAAUAGUAUUAUAGAUAGAGAUACUAAUCAUAUAUACACACAUAGUACUUGCAAAGAAGGUGAGAUAUAGGAGCAUUAAAUGCAAGAAUAGGCGAGCUAAGAAUGGGCAAUGCUAAGAAUAGGCGAGCAAUGAAAGUGUUAAAAAAUGGGCAAUGCUAACUAAAUUUUGCACUUCCUUUUUUAAUUUUUUUCCUUUUUAGCAAGGGAGAGGAUGGGAUUUAAGAAAUGGGGAUGGAAAGAAAGAAAAAAAGGGGGGGGGGGGGGAUUUCAGUACUAAAUCUUACAAUUCUAAAAGAAAUAUAUUUCCUUGAAAGUCACGACACAUUACAUAUAUAGGAGAAUGAAAAUCAAGAAUUAAAAAAUUUUCUUGUGCUCAGUAACAAUGCUGAAAAUAAUUUGCAUCACAUACACAAAAUAUGGUAACACUUGCAUACUCUGUUUUCAUGCUACUUUACGAGUCUUAAAUGUACCUGAAUAAGAAAUGACUAAACUAAUCUGAGAUUCUUUUUUAUUUUGACUAGAACUCGUUCAAAAGAAUGUUCACAGCGAAAAGAAAACUACAGUGAUUGUACCAUCACAUCCAUCUUUUGCUUAUAUGCAAAGAAAACAACAGAUAUAAACCUCCUAUAAUGAAACUUUUAGAUCCAAAUAAAUCAGUUCAAAACAGCACUAAAUCACAAACUAUCAUGUCAGAUCUCAAUUCUGGCCCCAAAAAAGAAAGAACUUCUAUCCAUACACUCAAUCUAGGUAAUACGCAUUCCAAGAUCAGUAAGAAUCUGAGUAAUUCCACACGAUACACUAAGUCUCUUAAAACCAAUAAUUCUAGCCACAAAUCUACAUCCACCGACAAACAUGUCCAACCUAGACAGCAUCCCUACAAGCUCGUGUAUUGUUCUUUGAAAGAAAUGGAAUCAAUGAAAUGAAAGAUGGAGUCAUAUUCUCUAAAUUAAGAAUAGAGUUUCUAAAAAACACAACAAAUUUCCAUUUCCAAAUCUCAUGAAGAACCAAACGCAACUCAACUAAAUUAGGGAAAACACGCUAUAAUUCCAUAUCAUCUCCUUACCUUUUCAAACAUGAUAUUAUAUUUGAUAUUAAGUACUAGCCAUCCAUUUUUGAAUUAACCCCUUCGAAACCGACAACCAAAAAAAAAAGGUAAAAUGGAUGGUAAAUUCUUAUGCAUAUAUAUAAAAACAAACAAAACUUUAAAUCCAUCAAAAAAAAGGAGAGGAACUUACAAGAAGUUUUGGCACCGACAUGACCAAGAAAUGCGGAAAGCUCCAACAUCUGGGCAGUCUUGUUUCCAGUGGUACCAAAUCCCAAAGGCUGGAAAAGAGCAGCUGCGUGAAUGAAAGAUUCGUAAUCCCAAAACCCAACGGCAUGAGCCACCGGCGAAUUCCUCUUGGAGAACAGAUUCUCAAACUGGUAAGUCUGAAAAUAGUCCGAGAUCGUCAGAUUACAACAGUAAACAGAUGGGGUCGAACAUUCCCACCCCUUUGUACAGUACUUCUUCCCCUUCACAACCUUCACCACUUUCGACGGCACCGCCGACUCGUCGGCGUAGGAAAUCGCCGGUGAAAGAAUCAAAAUUAGACAAAUAACCGGCAAAAACAUCUUGAAAUUCAACAUUUCUUUACAAUGCAGCAGGGAUUAAAACGGUCGGUUUUUUCUGCUGGGAUUUUUGGAGCUAUAAAAUUGAAGAAAUGAAAGGGAAAGAAGAGCUGGAAUGAUGUUGGAAAGGGGCCUUGGACUAUAGAGAGUGUGAUGCAAGGUAAGGAAAGCGGUGGUUAGAUGCGGUGUCGUUUUCUGGGGAUGGAGAGAUGGACGGUCGAGAUGGGGUUUGGGUUGGGGAAUGGAGGGUGGAUGGUGAACGUGUACCAGGCUGGAUUUGGAAUCAAGCAAAGGGGAGAUGGUGAGGGAGUGACCCACUAACUAAUUCAGUAAUUCCACCGACAGCUCCUGAGUCCUGAGGACUCUUCAGACUGGGGUUUGUUUUUUUUUGGUUUUAUGGAUCCGGAUAUGGGAAUCCGGAGUCAGAGUUGUGCCGACAAAUGAAAGUCUUGAACUCGUUUAAGAUGAGCUAAGAAUGUUCAUUUACGUUUUGGAGUCUUACACUGCUACUACGCUACUAGGUACAUUUGUAUUUAUUUUCUAGGGAUAAUUUCAAAAACCUUCCCGACGUUUCUAACACUUUUACGACCUUUCCUAAGGAUUUAAAAAUUACACUAACUUUCCUUCUUAGAAAUUUGGAUCCAUUACUUGGGAUAAUUUCAUAAACCUUCCUUGAGAUUUUCAACAAUUACAGAGAUCUUCUCUCAAGUUUCAAAAAUUAUACUUACCUCCCUCGCUUUUAAGAUUUACAUAACAAUAUAGAUCCAAUAGCCUAUAAUUUUUCUUAAAUAUCCUAAAAUACCCUUCUUCAGAGAACAAGACACAACAAAAUAAGGUUUUAAUCUUUAAUUUCAUGUACGUGUCAUACUUACUAAAACAAACAAAAUCCAGUCGCUCCAACUCAUCUCAAAAUUCAUUACUUGCUAAUUCUUGCUUUAUGCAAUUACUACCACCACUACCAAUACUAAACCAAGAAGAGUAAAUUUUAGGGAUAAUUUCAGAAACCUCCCCUGAGGUUUCUGACAAUUUCACUGACCUCCCCUGAGGUUUCCACAAUUACACUGACCUCCCCUGGCAGAACUUGGGACCCAAUUGCUGACAUCAUAUAAUGCAAAAUUACUAUUAUACCCAAGACAUUUUGUGUUAUUAUAGGACUAAAAUAUGAUAAGGCAGAUGGUGUUUUUGGAUAGUAUUGGAUUGCAUUUCUAUUUAUUUAAUGUAUGGUUAUGAAAUUUGUAAUGAUAUUACUCUUGGAUUGCAGUUUUGGUUUGCACCUUAUUACUGUUAAUGUUUUAUAAAUGACUGUUUUAGUUCUUGGAUUACACCUUACCUCCAAAAUUUGGGAAUUUACCCAAAUUUUCCAUUUUCUAAUAUUCCUACAAAUAUGCAAAAUUAUGCAUAUCCCUCAAAUCUACCCAAUAUUAAUGUUUUGUUAAACUCUAAAUAACAAAAAUAUGAAAUAUAAUAUUUAAAUAUAUUUUAAUACACACAAGUUGGACGGGUAACUAGUGUGUCAGAGAGUUGCCAUAAUCUCCUUAAACCCGCAUGCGGGUUUAAAGAGUAUUCGGAUAUUCUCAUAUGCACCUAUGCAAAUCGAACCAACCGGAUAUCUUAUCCGUAUCCCAUUUUUUUAAAUAAAAAUCUUAUAAAUUUGAAAAAUAAAAUCAAAUUUAGAUGUAUUAGGGUUUUAAAAAUAUUAUAUAAGUGAUAAAAAUUUUAUAAAUUGUAAAAAUAAAAUCAAAUUUAAAUAAUUAAAUGUUAUAUUUGCAUAAGAAAUAAUACAAUAAUCAUAAUAAUGAUAAUACAAUAAUAUUGGUGUAAUAAAACUGCCAUUAAUUUAAAUAUUUACUUAUAAUGCCCAAAGAGGCUAAUUACCAAUUUUUUCUUCUCGCGCUCAAAUAUAACAUUAACCCGCAUGCGAGCUAACCUUGAAAUAGAAAAAACACAGAAUCCCGCUUGCGGGUUUCAACGUUAUUAUGCAGGCGGGAUUUUAACCUGCUUGCUUGUGAACAUGUACCACAUUGCUUUGAAUUUUUGUGACAAGAGGAAAGCUUUGUCUGAUGAAUGUAUUUGUGAAAUGACCUGAGUGGUGGUAGAUGGGUUAAUUGGGUCGGUUGCGUUACCCAAUUGUUUAUAUCCAUAAGUAAAAUUUUAUGAUUCCCAUACCCAUCCCCUCACUUUUUCUUAUUUAUUUCUGAUUUUUAUUAGUUUUCAUUAAUUCACUAAUAUAACCGUCUCUUGUAUGCCCUUGUGUGUCCCUUUAUGGUAUGCCAAUCCACCUAUUUAUAGAAAAUAUUAUUUGACCAAAAAAUCAAAUAACAACAGAAAAUCAAUGCUAAUAGGAAAUAAUUUCUAAUUCUAAAUAAAAUAGAAAAUUUCUUGGCUACUAUUUCAAGUAACUAAAACCAAUUAGGAAACUAGUUACUUCCACACAAGACAAAAAACCUACCUAAAAGAAAUUAAACCAAUUUUCUAACAUCUUUCAUUAGAAUUUUCUUAAUUCAUUAGUUAGGGUAGAUUAAUAUAGUUUAUUUCAUCCAAGUAUUGUAUGGAACUAAACACAGAUGAAGUUGAGAAAGAAGAUGGAGAGUUUGGAACUCAUGUAACAAAUGUGACAUUUCUCCUAUCACUUUAUUUUUUGUAUUGAUUCUAAUGUUUGGUUAUAAUACAAAUUUGGAUCUUGUUUUCAUGUUUUUCAUGUUUUACUAGUUUUUAUACCUAGGGUGUGAAUGAACUUCUAUGAUUAUUAUGUAAUCUUUUUAUGGUUAUUUGAGUUACAUUUAUUAACAAGUUAUUUAGCACUUUUGCUUUUCUAAUCAUGAUUAGUUGGCCAUUAAAUGUGAUAAUUUUAAGGUGUUAAGUUUACAAUGGAAAUUGGGAUUUGAUACUAAUUAAAAAAGUGCUAAAUCUAGAGAGUUUACUCAUGAAAGUAGAGGAUCUUCUUUGUCAUUUUAAUGACUUGUUUCAUAUAAUUUCAUAGAAGAAAUGAAUUUAUAAUUAAUUUCAUAACCACGAGAGUGGGUAUAAUUUAGCCAUGACAAUAAUAUUUAAUUAAUUAGUAAUUUCACUUGCAAGAGUAGUGAAAAAUUUCAUAACUCUAGAAGUUUUCUAUUGUUAUUUUUAUUACUUUUAUUCAUAUUUAUAGUAUAGUUUUAAUUUCUUGCAUUUGUGAUAGUCUAAAUAAUGAAGAAGAUAAAAAAUCAUUGAUAAUUGAUAAUCUUUCCUAUAGAAUCGACACCUAAUAUUUCAAUACUCGAUAAACGAUCUGUAUACUUGCAAAAAAUGAGAUAUUUAGGUUUUAUUAAAAUUUGGUAUAUGGUAGAAUUUCGUCAAAUUUUUGGCGUCGUUGUUGGGGAAGAUUUGGUUCAAUAUCGAUUUUAAGAACCACUUUAUUAGUUUAGACAUUUUUACUUGUUUUUCUUGUUUAUGUUAUGUCAAGUGUCUUGUUUGCCAUAUUUAGUGUCUAGAUGAGUAUUUAUUUUGUGUUUAAUGUCUUGUUUUUGGUUUGUGUCUUUUAAACUAUUCUUUUUGACUAAUCUUACUUUUGAUAUUGUUUGAAAAUAUUUUUAGGUUAUAAGAGGGGUAGUAAACAAAAGUGGAUAAAAAUUUGAGAGAAAAAGUUUGGUAAUAGACUACAAUUUUCAAAACUACAACUAUGGAGGUAACCAAAAGAUGUCUGAAGAUAUAUCUUUUGAAGAUGGAUUAAAGAGCUUAACGACUAAACUUGAUUUUAUAAUAUUAAAAGUUCAAUUGGAUACCAUUAUAAAUAUACUUGAAUAAAAGAGGAAUAUUAAUGUUUUUAAUUUCAAUUAUAUGAUUUGUGACCUGUAUGGAGGUUAUCAUGCUACUCUGUAGAAAAGUAUAAAAUGUGGAUUGUUAUGAUGAAUUAGAGCAUUUUAAUCAUUGUUUUGAUUAAUAUGGUUCUAAUUGGGGUAAUUCUUAUACUUAUAGUUGGGAUAAUCAAUGUGCAUAUAAUGAUUCUCCGUAUUUUUACGAUUACCAAUCUAAAUUUGUCCACCUCGAAUCAAAAUCAUCUUGGAAAUUAGCUAUUGAAAACUAAUGCACCUUUGUUUUGAGAAUUAGCAAUUGAAAAGUUAGCUAAUGUGACUCCCAACCGUUUUGAUAGGGUUGAGAAAACGUUAGAUGAAUUAAUGUCUUGCAUAGGUAGAAUACAAGGUCAAUUGUAUGUUUUGUGUAAAGUAAUUUCUUCUAAUGGUAACUUGACCCUAUUGUGAAUGGGAAGCAUGUCACAUGUGAAAAUGGAAUACAAUUUGAUGAUAAUGAAAUAUCUAAUAUGAGUUUUAAUGAGGAAAUGUUCAUUUCACAUGAUUAUAUCUUUGGAACAAAUUUGAACCACAAGAGAUGAGCAUGAAUGAUUCACAUUUAACCCCUUUUGAGGAGUGUUUUGAAGAAAUAAGUUUUAAAAAUAUCAUCACCCAAGAAGGAUAUGCGAAUGUUCCUUUGGAGAAAUUUUCAAGUAGUGUUACUACAAAGUAAUAUCUAUGAAACACUUGAGACGGGUAAGUCUCUUCCAUCUCUUACAUUAUUUGAAUAUAUGAGUUUUGCUAUCAAACUACCUUUUAUUGAUCCACCAUGACCUAAAAUUGUAGAUUAUUCAUUAACAAACCUCUUUUAAAAAAUGAGGUAAAAUAGUAAAGUUAAUGAUAAUAAAAAAGUACUUAUUGGGAGACAACCCAAUAUUUUGUGUUAAUUUGAUUCAUUUAAGAGUGUUUUUAUGUUUGUUAUAUGUUUUAAUGUAUGUUAGUUAUAUUUAUUCUGAAGGGUUCAAGAAAGAAGGCAAAAGUCAUUUUUGAGAUCAAUGAGACUAAGGAAGAUCAAAGAAGUCAAUCCUUGUUAUUUUUGAUGUGUUAUAGUGAGUGGGAAUGUAUGUUUAGAUCAUUUUACAUGUGCGUGUAUCAAUUGGUUAUUUAACAAAAGAAUGAUUUAGAGUGCAUUUUAAAAAAUUGGGGCCAUUCACGUAAUUUUUAGAAAAGUGCAAAAUUGCUGCACUAAAAUUGGAGGAAGUAAAUAUGCAUCCUAAAAAAUGCAUCUAGCAUGCAUUUUUAGAUCGCACAUUAGUUUAUCCUCAUAAUUUCUCUCGAAAACGCACCCUCAACCCAUAUUUUCAGCCCCCGUAUUCUAAGUACUUGAUUUUUAAAGAGAAAACUCAACCUCAAACUUCAUUAUUCUUCCUCCUCUAUUCACAAAAUAACACACACACUUUACCAAACUUUAUUUUCAUCCAUUUUUCUUGAUUAAAAUUACCAUACAAAGAUCUCAUAGAGCUAAACUCAUGGAUCAAAAACAUCCAAAUGCAUAAAAUUUUGUGAAUUUAGCUCAAGCAUUCUAGGGUCUUCACAUUUAAAAACCAAUCAUUUGGGGACCAAUUUGGAUAAGAUUUUUUAGGGCUUUUGAGUCAAAUUCGCAUCAUCAAACAUCACUCUACCAAUUUGAGAUAAGUUUUUUAAACUUAACUUGGUAUUUUAAAUAUCACUAUUUGCAUAUUUUUUGAGUUUAUUAACACACUUUGAAUGGUAAAUUUGUAAUGUUAUUUUUUGAUAUUUAUGGGUUCCAUUAUACUUAUUUAGCAUUUUUUUAACCAUGGUUAGAUGAUUAAAUGUGGGAAUAUGAUGAUCCACGCAAUGUUUUAAUAUAUGCAUAUUCCUAUAUUAUAAUCAAUGUGGUAAUUGAUUUUGGAAUGUUGUUAAACAUAAUUGUAUCAAUAAACUCAUUAUUCUUCACUUGGAACAUGAUUUGAUGAUAAAUGUUGGUUGUUUGAAGACUUGUGCAAUUUUUGAGGAGGAGUUUAAAUUAAACAUGUGCAUAAUGUAUGUUUUUUGGUUUGAUUUUACUCUUAAAUUUAUUAUUCUAUGGUGAUGAUAUAAUUGCCUAGAGAAGGAUGAAAUAGUGCGUGAGACAUGGAUACUUGGAUUUGCACCUUGAGGCUGAUUCUUUGGUUCUUGUGAAGAUGAUAAAAGGAGAGCAUGCAUGUCCUUGGAGGUUACAGAGGGAGUUGGAAGAUCGUUGCAAUAUAAAGGUCUCUUUCAUACCAUUAUGCAUUGUUAUAAGGAGGCAAAUAAUCCUAUAGAUAGAUUGGCAAAGAGAGGAGUAGAUCUGAGGGGUGAUUCCGUAUUUGAGUCCUUUGCAACUCUGCCUACAUUGGUGCAUGGUGACGUACACCUUGAUAGAUUAGGAUUUCCGAACCUUCAUCAAAGAAGUCAUUAGUUAUUGUGGAAAGGAUCCUUAGCUGUUGCUACUGUACUUUAGCCUUCAAUGAUUAAUAAAAUUCCUAGUUGUUAAAAAAAACAUGCUUAUACUUCAUAUUUUAGGUAAUUAUGGUGAAAAGUUUGUUGAAAUACAGAAAGUUGGGGAAGUGUUGUGUGAUUUGUGCCUUGAGUAGUUUCCUGUCUAUUUUAUAUUGGUACAUAACAAAGGUAAGAAGUUAUUUACAAAAACUCUUCAUGCCUUUGUGUCUUAUGCAUCAUUUGAACCUUACUAGUUGUCUUAACGUGUUUGUUUUUAGGUUUCUAUUACUAAUGGUAUCAAGUGGAAUUCAUGAAGAAUUUGGAGAUAAAUAAAUAAUGGAUUAUGGAACUUCAUGGUUGGAACACUUCAAUCAUAUUAAUAGGGAGUAUUUCUUUCUUUAUCUUGAUUUUUCUUUUUACACGUUGAGGAUAAUGUGUAUUUUAAUUGUAAAGGGGGGGGGGGAGAAUUGAGAUUAUAUGCAUUGUAUGUGAUUGAUUUGUUGGUUGGAAAAUUGGACUAGUGCUUUUUUUUUUUAGACGAAUGUCCUCCAUUUGACACGGUGUAACAACAAGUAGUAACAUUUGACACCUAAUUGCAAGAGCAAUGGAUUACAGCAACGUACAUUACACAAUACUUGCAAUAAUCACUAGUGCUUGAAAAUGUUAUUGUGCUUUGAAAGUUUUCAAAAUUUGGUUUGCUGGCUAGGAGUUUUAUCCUACAAGGAAAAUUUUUUCAAAAUCUUGUCCAAAAUUGAACAAUUGCCCCAAAAUUUUUCAAUUUAAUUCAAAGAGCAAUGUGUUCCACACCAUUAGUACCUCAAAUUUCUUUUAAUUUUGAAAUAAAUAUAUGUGACUUAAAAAUUUCAUUUCUCUUUUAACUUUCAAAUAGCUAUUACGUGAUUAGCAUUUUUACAUUUUAGGAAAGUAUAUUUUAUAAAGUGGAGAAAAUUAUGUCUAAAUUUUGCAUAAUCGAUGAAGUUUCUUCUUUUUACUUAAUUUUGCAUGGUUGAGUGAUAAAUAUGGUCAAUAAUUGCAAUACUCUUCCUAUGAUUAUUGUGAGAACCUGAAAAUUUUCACAUUUUCUAAGCAUUAUUUUAUUUUUGUUUACAUUUUUAUACUUGCCUUUACAGAACCAGAAUUUUACUAUCAGGCUGGAUAAUAGCACUGGGUUCAAAUGACAAUAACUCAGGUUACACAAGUCCGAUUGAGGCAUUUUCAAUGCGUUGGAAAGCUAAAACGUAAGACUACAACUUUCGUGUUUUGGCCAACUGCUGAUUUAAUACGAAUCAAGAUGAAAAAACGAGACCAGAAUGAUGAAAUGUCAAAACUGUCCACAAAACUCUACCUAUGGCAGUCAAGGAUAUUUUCGUCAUUUCACGUGAUACAGUGCUCAAGUUGAGCUGAAAUUUUACAGGCAAUUAUAAAAUAUCAUUUCCUACAACUUUCAUGUUUUUAAUUAAGCCCAAUUCGGCCUCCACCGAAUGAAACUGGUCAGAAUAGGAUAGUACAAAAACUUAAAGCUGGAAUUAAUGUAACCCAAACAGAAAUUUCUUUAGGCAAAGUAAACUAGCACCUAAACACAAGAUUUUCCAUACAUCAAAAUUAGUAAAUCAUGACCAACCAUUACACUUCACAUGUGAGCAGAAAUUACACCAUAAAACUGAAAAUUUUCAUAUCACUACCUCAACUCAUGAAAUAUUGCAUGAAACUAUCAAAAUCUCAACCAUAAGCUUCUAGUUUGCACAUAUUGAAAGUAGGGAAAAGUUGCUAGCCAAAAAUACCUUGUAACCUCAAGAAAAAUGGUAACUUAGUCUUUCCUCUUCCAAAAUAACUCCACCAAAGCCUUUAAACUUUCCUUGUAAUCACUUGUAUGGAGUAGUUUUAAAUUUGGUUGGCUAAAACACAAGAUCCAAGCUAGCAAGUGAGGUAGAAAAUGGAGUUUUCUCUCUUGUUUUUCUCCUCAAAACAGCCGGCCAAGAAGAAGAAAAAUGGAGGAAAUAUUGGGUCAAAAUUUGUUUUAGUAAAGUGAAGAAAAUUAGAUCAAAGUCCAAUCUCCAAUGAUGUAGUGACACUUGGCCUUUCUAGUGUUUUCUCUAAUCCUUUGUCUUCCAAUGGUUACAUCAUAUAACAAACCUCUAAUUAUCUUCUAGCACCUUGUAUAAUAAUAUCACUUAGUACAAAACUCACUUAGUCACCAAAAUUUUAUCCCACUAGCUGGUCUCACAUCUAUAAUGCUCUUCAAUUUUAAUGUACACUAACUUAUGCUAGGAAAAUAAUUUAAAACUGUACUUACUUAUAAAAAUGCAUAGGAAAUUCAAUAUUUUAAAGGCAAGUAUAAAAAUGUAAGCAAAAAUAAAAUAAUGCCUAGAAAAUAUGAAAAUUUUCAGGUUCUCACACUCUCUCCUCCUUAAAAAAUUUCGUCCUCGAAAUUUUUACCUUUCGUUGCCUCAAAUGAUCCCGGAGCUUGUUGCCGGUCUACGGCAUAUACCUGUGCUAGUACUUUUGUUUGGUUCCCUCUUUCAUUAGUUUGUUUCGGUUUGGUUCCACCCACUUAUUGAGUACUAUUCUCUAGUGGCUGUUUUUUCGGACAAUUGCUAAGUUGAUGAUUGCUAUUCCCACAAAUCAAACACUUUCGCCCUUUCCUUCAGUAAUCAUCCUCAGUGUGAUUUGCCUUCCGACAGUAUCCACAGGCCAAGUGAGAAGUCACUUUUUGGCUUUCUUGAGAAAUUUCCUCUGAUCCUAUUUGACUUUCUUUUGUAGACCGCUCAUCUAAUGCUCCUAAUGUCCAUGGUGGGUGAGGUAAAUGGUUCACUUUUUGCAUUUUAGAAGGCAUUAUCUUUUCUCUAGAUUCCUCAGGUAGGUUAAUAGAUGCACAUCAUUUUCGCAUUUGGAAAGCUUUUACUUGUGCUUUCGCGUCUUCAAUUCUUUGAGCUUUCUCUAAAGCCUCCGUAAAAAUAUUAACUUGAACCGCCACUAAAGUUUCCUGAAUUUCCAAAUUCAAACCUUGUAUGAACUGUCUUACUCUCCUUCGCUUCGUAACCACCAAUUCAGAAGCGAACUUAGACAGUUUAGUAAAUUUAGUUUCAUAUUCAGCCACACUUUGGGUUCACUGAUGCAAUCCAAUAAACUCAUCCUCUCUUCUUUCUUGGACCAAAGGUGGGAGAUGCUUCUCAUUAAAUUCCUUUAUAAAGUUCACCCAUGUCCAUGCAGUCUGUUCUCUCUCCCAUUUUACCCUAAUAACAUUUCACCAUGCUCGAGCCAGUCCUUUGAAUUGAAAUUCAACAAAAUUCACCUGUCUUUACUCCGUAUAGUUCAAGGCUGCGAAGAUGUUAAUCAUUGCCUCUAACCACUGUUUAGCUACAUCUGGAUCAGGUCCUCCAAGGAAUUUAGGAGGUGCAAAUUUUUGAAACCGCUCCAGAGCCCUAUCCCUUCAUAUCUCGGAAUUUUGGGAUUGAUUCACUGGCAUUUGAUCUUGUUGAUCUACCAAUCGCGCUAGGAUAUUUGUCAUUUGUUAGAUCGCCGUCGUUACUUGGUCUCCUACCUCAACCCUCGGCCCACGAUCUUGCUCAGCUGCUGUUUCUAUUUCAUUUCUUGGUUCUUGAACUUGCCUAACCCCACAGCCCCGACUAGCUCCAUGUUUGCGAUUACGUCUCCCCUCCAUACCCUUUUUCUCUCUUUUUUUUUUCAAAAGGUGAUUUAGUAUGUAACAAAGUAAAUUGACUAAAACAACAAGAUAUAACACACCAAAUUCACAAAGCUACAUAUCAAGUUGAACAAAAACAAAAUCAAGUAUGGCAAAUACUAUACACGUAAGUAUUAACAUGCCACAAGCCAAAUACAUACGGUAACAAUACAGAAGUAAAACAAAAGAAAACACGACAUACCGUUCCACACUCGGUUAAAAUAUUCCCCGUCCCAUCUCUCACUUCUCUUACCAUCCGAACUAGAUGUCCGUUAACCCCUAGCACUUACUCUUACCAAACAUUAACCCAUUCCUGUUCCCCACAAUAAAGAUCACAAGUCCUUAGUAUUGCCCUCAAUUCCCACUUACUCGGGUACAAGAAUCUGAAUAAUUCACCACUCAAUCUGGCCAGUUCCAAGACUAAAUUAUCUACAAUCGAGAUUCCUACCUGACGUACAUAUCUAUUGUCUUCAAGUACCAUGAGAGAGAUUUAAGACUUAUAACAAUUCAUGAUUCAUAACUUAUGCUCAAAAGAGCACUUAGUCCUUCAUACUUAUUCACGAAUUCAGGACCAUAACACCACUUGACCCAACCUCACUCCGCGUAGAGACCACGCGAAGUGGCUCUGAUACCACCUGUGACAGCCCCACCUUCCCCUAAGACGAACCAAAGGGUUUGGCGGACCGCCUGCCCAACUCUCGCCAGGACUCGAUCGCUCUCAUCAAGUGAAAUAAGAUAUAACCUCGAGACUAAGCAAAAAACAAUUCCCAAACUUGAAACAUAUACUUACAUUCAUAUCCAUCUCAAACAAAAAUAUAAUCCCAAUUAGAACAAAAGCUUUAAGUUCUUACUACAUCCAACCUUAUCCAAGCACUAACGCGAGAACAAUAAAAAAAUAAAAUUUCAAAAAACUAGACCAAGUUAGUCUACACAGGACUCACACCCUCGCUCGCAUCCCCUGUAAGGAAAACAAAGCUAACGGAAUGAGCUAAAAGCCCAGUGAGGUUCCAUACACAUAGCCAAAUAAUUAAACAAGGACAUUAAUCAUGUAAUAACAAGUAAUCCAGAAAAUAUUUACAAUAUAAAAUAAUGAUAAUACAUUCAUUAAAAGGAUACAUGCUCACAUAUAACCCUUCGUUCAUUCAUUCCACCAAUCAUUUCCUUAUUCCUCCAAUAUUAAAAAUAAUUUCAUUUGUAAGUGAAAACCCGUCCAUUGUUCUUGCCAUUCAUUCAUUCAUUUCAUUUUCCCCUUACUGGACACUGGCCAGUCUCCACCAGAUUUCGUGGUCAUACUCGAGUAUACCAAACAUUAACCCAGGGUCACCAAUCGCCUGACCGAAUCCACUUCUGGCUCGAGUCGACCAGCAACGGAGGGCAAAGGUCCAGUUCGGCCAAAAGGCUUACAUUGAUGUACAAGUAGCAUUUAAACAUUUAAUCAUUUAAUCAUUAUAAAUUUUACAUUCAUUUAGGUCAAGUACAAUAAAGUACACACUCGCCUAGCAAAAUUCAUUUUUAAAAAUCAUUGAAAACAUGUAACAUUUAAUCCAACAUUCACAAAUAGUCACAUAGUCACAACAAUCCACAUAGUCAUUGGAAACAUAACGUACAAAGAAUACUCACCUAUUUAAGCAAAAUAACGUCCAAAGUUUCCUUCCGGAUAAUACCCUCAAUCACCAAGGAACCCUAAUAAUAACCAAGAGAAAUUAUUACAGUUAAACCAUCCAAAGUUUAGGUGAACCAAAGAAAAUCCGAACCGGGUUGAGUUGUCUUCAUGAAAGUUGUAACCCUUUCUCUUAGCUUCGAAACGGUAUAAAUUGUACCCCAAUCCUAUAAGCGUAGCUUCGGUUGUGACAAAUACGCUAAGAGAUGUCAAACCUGUCAUUUUGUUCUUUACCUUAAACCUUAUUUUCGAUCACUUUUCUAGCUUGAUUUUGUAAUGGAAUGACUUUUAGCCUAUUGAACGGCUAUUGUAAUGCAAUUUUUUGUGUGUGAUUUUGGGAGCUAAUUAAGUAAAAUAAUGAAGCAUAAAUGGUUGAAAAAUACGUAAACACAAAGGGCGUAUUACCUAAAUUUGCACUCGAGGGCUAGGUAGAUGUACUCAAGACUUGAGUAAGGGUUGAGGAUGAAACUAACUUGAAUCAUUUAAGGUAUUCAAGUCUUCUUUAUUAGAGGUAUAUAAGUUAGAAUCUGGCUGAAACUUGUACCCUUGGAAAAAUGAAAUUUAUGACUAAUAGAAAUACGUUUCUUCGUUUCUUCGACUCAAAUGGAGAUUUUAAAGUUUUACGAGCGAGCAUAAGUUUUACAAAUAUUUUACUCAUGUUUUUUGGUUUAAAUGUAUUCUUUUCACUUCCAAAACUAUACUUAUACUUUGUACUAGUAGUUAUUUGGAUUUUCUUUGGUUCACCUAAACUUUGGAUAGUUUAACUGUAAUAUUUUCUCUUGGUUAUUAUUAGGGUUCCUUGGUGAUUGAGGGUAUUAUCCGGAAGGAAACUUUGGACGUUAUUUUGCUUAAAUAGGUGAGUGUUCUUUGUACGUUAUGUUUCCAAUGACUAUGUAGAUUGUUGUGACUAUGUGACUAUUUGUGAAUGUUGGAUUAAAUGUUAAAUGUUUUCAAUGAUUUCUAAAAAUGAAUUUUACUAGACGAGUGUGUACUUUAUCGCACUCGACCUAAAUGAAUGUAAAAUUUAUAAUGAUUAAAUGUUUAAAUGCUACUUGUACAUCAAUGUAAGCCUUUUGGCCGAACUGGACCUUUGCCCUCCGUUGCUGGUCGACUCGAGCCAGAAGUGGAUUCGGUCAGGCGAUUGGUGACCCUGGGUUAAUGUUUGGUAUACUCGAGUAUGACCACGAAAUCUGGUGGAGACUGGCCAGUGUCCAGUAAGGGGAAAAUGAAAUGAAUGAAUGAAUGACAAGAACAAUGGACGGGUUUUCACUUACAAAUGAAAUUAUUUUUAAUACUGGAGGAAUAAGGAAAUGAUUGGUGGAAUGAAUGAACGAAGGGCUAUACGUGAGCAUGUAUCCUUUUAAUGAAUGUAUUAUCAUUAUUUUAUAUUGUAAAUAUUUUCUGGAUUAUUUGUUAUUACAUGAUUAAUGUCCUUGUUUAAUUAUUUGGCUAUGUGUAUGGAACCUCACCGGGUUUUUAGCUCAUUCCGUUAGCUUUGUUUUCCUUACAGGGGAUGCGAGCGAGGGCGUGAGUCCUGUACAGACUAGCUUGGUAUAGUUUUUUGAAAUUUUAUUUUUUUAUUGUUCUCGCGCUAGUGCUUGGAUAAGGUUGGAUGUAGUAAGAACUUAAAACUUUUGUUCUAAUUGGGAUUGUAUUUCUGUUUGAGAUGGAUAUGAAUGUAAGUAUAUGUGACGACCCCAUCUCCCCCUAAGGCGAACCAGAGAGUUUAGCGGGUCGCUUGCCCAACUCGCGCCAGGACUCGAAGGCAAAAGCAAAUAAAAGCUAUUCACACGGUAAAAGAGUAUUAUUCACAUUAUAUACAUCGGCAAAAGAAUUCUAUUUACAUCCCCAAAAGUAACUACCCAUACUAUUACAUCCUUAUGAUUAUAACCAAAACGAAAUAGUAGACCCUAAGAAGGGUCCUUACACGGAUCACUAUAAUAAGGAAAAACAUAUUAACUAUUCGGUGAUUACAAACAAAAUCCAACUAUACUAGUGAUGGUGCCAAAAUUUUCCCGCGUCGGCCCUGCUAAGGAAAACAAAAGAAAAGGGGUAAACUAGAAGCUUAGUGACUAACCAGGGGUAAAAAUAUAAUUUUUACAUGUCAACAUUUGCACAGUAAGAGCAAAACAAAAGCAGAAAAGUAGCACCACAUGGUAAGGAUACGGGUGGCUCCCAAGCUAACUCAUUUGUCGAGCUUGAUCACUGGUUGACCCUUGAGAUCCUGAGCCACAGAGCUCGCUUCUCUUAAAGGAUCCCACAUAGAGAGGCCAUGAGUCUCAGCUCAAGUCAUGAGCAAUAAAUGCUCUAAAAUAUUUUUCAAGCAAUAAAUGCUCUAGUUCAAGCAAUAAAUGCUCUAGUUCAAGCAAUAAAUGCUCCCAAAUUGCAUCACAAGCAAUAAAGGCUUCGCAAAUGUUUCACAAUCAAUAAAUGCUCCAUAAAAAAUCACAAAAUCAUAUUUCACAGGUAUCAAGAGCAACUAAUGGGGUUUAGAUCGAGUGCGAUAAAGUACGCCCUCGCCUAAGUGCCCAUUUUUCAUAGUAAACUCAUAUUAGUAUUGAGUUACAUAGAAACCCUGAUUACUCACCUAAAGAGCAAGUAUAACGAGAGAAAGUACGGAAAUGAAUUCAAGUCGCCAACUAGUGGGCCCCACCGGCUCCGUCUAGCCCGUCACCGCCUGUAGCAGAAGGUUGAGCCAUAUUAUCACUCAAACAACUACUAAAGUGCAUAAAUUAAGCAAAACGGCAAAAUUGGCACAUGCAUGUGCGGAAUCGGCAAACGGAAAUGGAAACGGCCGGCAAACGGAAAUGGGCAUAGUUACUGUCCAAAACUGUUUUGACCAUAAGUUGGGCUAUGAAUGUCAGAUUAAAGUGUAUGAGAUUCCGUUUCGAAGCUAAAAGAAAAGGCUACAACUUUUGUGAAGACACCUAAAUCUGGAUCUGAACAGAAAUAGGUCGAAAGUAUGGAAAAUAGUGCCAGAAGUUCGCACUUUAGGGUGACGGACUGGGUAUAUUUGCCGGACCACAACUCACAGUUCACAAACCCAAAUCAAGAAAUUCCAAAGGCAUUGGAAAGCUAAGACAUAAGGAUAAAACUUUUAUGUUUUGGCCAAGACUGGAUCAACUCAGAACAGAAUGAAAAAUGAGUGCCAAAUUACCUGUCAGAACUGUCCAGUGCUCAAGGCAGUUCUGACUCACGAUCUUGUUUUGCCUAUAACGGGAGUUAUGAAGCUUGGAUUUGAACGCACUUUAUACCGUUUUGAAUCUGAAACAAAGCUCUACAUUUCUUAUGAAGAUACCAACACCCAGUUCCAUCGUUAUCCAUGCGAACCGAGCAUGGUCAGAAGCUAAUUUACAAAAUGUGACCAAACCAGAAUUUGAAAGCUGAGUGAGGGUUUUGGCUAUAACUAAGCCUACACACCUCCGUUUGACUUGAAAUAUUGCAGGAAUAACAAGGACUUAAGAAGCUACAACUUUCAUGUUUUGAGCAGCUUCUAAAUCAGCAUGCAGCAUAAAUAAAAAUAGAGCCCAAUUCAGAUUUGUGGAUUGCCCUGUUUCCGGUUUUGCCGGUUUUGUAUAUUGCAACCGUGUGAUCCAUUUCUCUAAUUCUUAUACAAGUCUUCUAACCAAUUUCAUACCAAAUAAUAUUACAUAUAUUAGAUUCUAAAAUACCUAACAAUGAUCCGAGAUUUUCUCCGCAAAUUAUCAUAAAAUUACCAAAUACUAACCACCAUUUAGAUUCCAAUUCCACUAGUUCUUUACUAACUUCAAAACCCUAAUCAAUCAAACCUUAACUUUCCAAGUUCCAACUAAACCAAACUAAUUUCCCUUUUCAUUAGAGUUUCAUAACCAAAUCUGAUUUUUGCUAAAAACCAACAUACAAGUGCAUUUAAGAUAUCAAGGAUUCCAUUUACAAGCUCAAAACCAACCAAAUCAACUUAAUAACUCAUGAGACCAAAAGCCCUAAUUCUACAUAGCUCAACCGAAAUUUAAGCAACCAGAAAUCAACAACAUAAACCAUUAAACCGCACCAUAAACACCAUACAAACCAUACAAGUUCAUAUCCUCAACAGGAAACAUCACUUUCAUGGCUUCACAACUCAAGCGCCCAACUUUACCUUUCAAAUAAGCUUUGUGGAUGAUCAAACCACCCCAAUCAAGUUCCAAAGUUGUUGUUCUAGGCUCCAAGCUCAAGAUUAAUGGUGAAACUUGAAAAAUUGUGGAAGAAAUGUCCCCCCUCUCUUGCUCUCUCACUCUCUCGGCCUUCCUUCUCUCUCUCUCUUUAGUUUUUUAUUUGGUUUGUCUUGUGUUCUCUUGGAUGUUCUAGAAUUAAUACUUAGUCAAGACCAUUAGUAGAUAUUUUCCACCAACCAAUCACAUAAAAGAUGAUUAUUCACUUCCUAGUCCUUGCAACUUCCUUUUUGUUUUCUCACACUCUUACCCACAAAUGUUUGGAACUCUUGCACUUAAUUCCAUAAGAUACAACUUAUUCUAAUCCAAAAUACUUUGUCACACUUAAUCAUUUCACUAAUCACCUUAUUAUCUUAAUCACCCAUCCUUAAUUAUUCCUUAUUCCACAUAAAACCAACUAAACCACAAUCUUUUUACAUUAGCUAAAUUAAGGGUUUUAAACCCAACUUAAGGUUGUUCAAUUAGCAAAACACUAGGGAAUUUACUAGUGUAAGACUUUGUAGCUUUCUAAUCCUACUUAACCUUUAUAAAAGAAAUCGAAUCCGAUAUCUACUCAUACGAAAACAUACAUUAGCAUGCAUAAUAUUUACUACCACAUAAACUUAUGAUUAAUAUGUAAACUAGGGUUUUUGUGUAAAAAUAUCAAAGGUGUAAAUCCAUUAGGGUUUUAAUAAAAUUCCAAAUUAAGGUUUUUCGAUUAUAAAAGCAAAAUCACAUGUAAAGAAUUACCAUCAUCCUUAAAAUCAAAUUUUAUAGCAAAAUUUAGCACUAAUAAUCCUUAUUCAAAAUUAAGGAUGAAUCGGGAUCUCACAACCUCCCCCUCUUAGAAGAAUUUCAUCCUCGAAAUUCAUACCUUCGGUGUCCCUGAUCGGCCUAAAAAUGGUUCCCUUUGUCCCUGAUUUAUUUCCUCCCCUCGGCUUCUGAUGGCACUGAGCAACUAGGUGUUCAUUGCUACCACAUCGGAAACAUCGCCGAUUUUUCUCUUUCUUCCAACAGGAAUCUUCUGUAUGGUUAGUGGCCCCACAGACAUCACAUACUUUUCUGGUUCCGAACAUCGAUUCCCCAUGUGAGACACCACUUUAGGGCCCUUUUGCUGCCUGAUCUUCCCUUGUUUUACCUUGAUUCGGAGUCCCCACUGGUCGUGUACCAUCGGUUUCCUUUCUCCUCUUAUUAGGUGGCUCGCUUCCCGAGCUUUGCCCACCAGUAUAGGUAUAGGUGUCAGAUGGUGUUCUCUUCUUGUCACGGAAAGCUUUCACCGGACUCCUUGCCAUCUCUAUUCGCUGUGUCUUUUCCAGGGUCUGGCUGAAUGUAUCCAACUGGGCAGCCGCCAGUGCUUCUUGUAUUUUCACGUUUAACCCCUGGACAAACCGACGAAUUCUCUUUCGGUCUGUUAGUACUAACUCUGGAGCAAAACGAGAGAGUUUGGUAAAUUGUGUCUCUUACUCUGCCACACUUAACGGCCCUUGACGCAGGCGGAUAAAGUCCUCUUCCCGCCUUUCUUGAACAAUCGGUGGCAAAUACUUUUCGUUAAACUCACGAGUGAAAUUGACCCAAGUCCAGGGGGUCUGCUCUCAUUCCCACUUAGCCUUUAUUACAUUCCACCAUGCUCGGGUUGGUCCCUCAAAUUGGAAGACAGCAAAAGAUACCUGCCGUUCCUCUGGAUACCCGAGCGCAGCGAAUAUAUCCAUCAUGCGGUCCAUCCAUCCCUCAGCUAAGUCAGGGUUAGGUCCACCUAUGAAUUUCGGGUGUGCAAAUUUUUGGAACCGUUCUAAGGCACGGUCCACUCCCUCGUGAUUGCUCGGAUUAUUUUCAGGGUUUUCGGCAUUAUUCCCAUGACCCUGACCCUGUUGGUCCACCAUUCAUGCUAGCAAAUUUGUCAUCCGUUGUAUGGCUGUAGCUACUUGGUUAUCAGUUUGGUGGUUCGCAUUUUCAUUUUCUACCCUUUCGGGUUCUAGUCUCUAUCCCCUACAUUUUCCUCGGCCUCGGCCUCGUCCCCUACCUCCACCUCGACCACCGGCUUCCAUUUGUUUUGAAAAUUUUACCAUAUAAAACACCAUAUAAAACACAUUAAAUGAUCAAAAUUUUUGGACAUGCAUAUACAGGUUUACGCCAAAGAUAUGCACAAAUUAGCCAAAAUGCAGUUAGUACCAAAACACUGAACACAUCGAUUUCAAAACAAAUCAACAGGACAACAAAGUAAUUCGAGUCAACGGCCUUAACGCAACUCCCCUGCGGAGCCCACCUAAUCCACCAGCACUGCCCUGGUGGCCCUAGGGUGCAAACCUAAAGAAUAGAUCCAAAUAGCUAACUUCAACAUUAAGUAAGAACCAAGUCGAUUCACACUGGGACUGGCCAUCUCCAAGUGCAAUCAACUCAAUCCCUACUUUGCCUUAUGGGAAAAUUACAAAAGUCCAAUAUCAAAAUCCUAGCAUUCAAUAUUUACCUUAAUAGCUAAGUACCCUACAGUCCGGCAUCCUAAACGUUGAAAUCUCGGAUGCACUACAAAGAUCUGAAACCUAAGCUCUGAUACCAACUGUGACGACCCCACCUUCCCCUAAGGCAAAUCAGAGGGUUUAGCGGGUCGCUUGCCCAACUCGCGCCAGGACUUGAAGGCAAAAGCAAAUAAAAGCUAUUCACACGGCAAAAGAGUACUAUUCACAUUAUAUACAUCGGCAAAAGAGUUCUAUUUACAUCCACAAAAGUAACUACCUAUACCAUUACAUCCUUAUGAUUAUAACCAAAAUCAAAUAGUAGACCCUAAGAAGGGUCCUUACACGGAUCACUAUAAUAGGGAAAAACAUAUUAACUAUUCGGUAAUUACAAAUAAAACCCAACUAUACUAGUGAUGGUGCCAAAAUUUCCCCGCGUCGGCCCUGCUAAGGAAAACAAAAGAAAAGGGGGUAAGCUAGAAGCUUAGUGACUAACCAGGGGUAAAAAUAUAAUUUUUACAUGUCAACAUUUGCACAGUGAGAGCAAAGCAAAAGCAGAAAAGUAACACCACAUGGUAAGGAUACGGGCGGCUCCCAAGCUAACUCAUUUGUCGAGCUUGAUCACUGGUUAACUCUUGAGAUCCUGAGCCACACAGCUCACUUCUAUUAAAGGAUCCCAAAUAGAGAGACCAUGAGCCUCAACUCAAGUCAUGAGCAAUAAAUGCUCUAAAAUAUUUUUCAAGCAAUAAAUGCUCUAAAAUCGUAGUUCAAGCAAUAAAUGCUCUAAUUCAAGCAAUAAAUGCUCCCAAAUUGCGUCACAAGCAAUAAAUACUCCGCAAAUGUUUCACAAGCAAUAAAUGCUCCAUAACAAAUCACAAAAUCAUAUUUCACAGGUAUCAAGAGCAACUAAUGGGGUUUAGAUCGAGUGCGAUAAAUUACGCUCUCGCCUAAGUGCCCAUUUUUCAUAGUAAACUCAUAUUAGUAUUGAGUUACACAGAAACCCUGAUUACUCACCUAAAGAGCAAGUAUAACGAGAGAAAGUACGGAAAUGAAUUUAAGUCGCCAGCUAGUGGGCCCCACCGGCUCCGUCCAGCCCGUCACCGCCUGUAGCAGAAGGUUGAGCCAUAUUAUCACACAAAUAACUACUAAAGUGCGUAAAUUAAGCAAAACGGCAAAAUUGGCACAUGCAUGUGCGGAAUCGGCAAACGGAAAUGGAAACCGCCGGCAAACGGAAAUGGGCAUAGUUACUGUCCAAAACUGUUUUGACCAUAAGUUGGGCUAGGAAUGUCGGAUUAAAGUGUAUGAGAUACCGUUUCGAAACUAAAAGAAAAGGCUACAACUUUCAUGAAGACAUCUAAAUCCGGAUAUGAAUAGAAAUAGGUUGAAAGUAUGGAAAACAGUGCCAGAAGUUUGCACUUUAGGGUGACAGACAGGGUAUGUUUGCCAGACCAUAACUCACAGCUUACAAACCCAAAUCAAGAAAUUCCAAAGGCAUUGGAAAGCUAAGACAUAAGGAUAAAACUUUUAUGUUUUGGCCAAAACCUGGACCAACUCAGAACAGAACGAAAAAUGAGUGCCAAAUUACCUGUCAGAAUUGUCCAGUGCUCAAGGCAGUUCUGACUCACGAUCUUGUUUUGGCUAUAAAGGGAGUUACGAAGCUCAAAUUUGGAUGUACUUUAUACCGUUUUGAAUUUGAAACAAAGCUCUACAUUUCUUAUGAAGACACCAACACCUAGUUCCAUCGUUAUCCAUGCAAACUGAGCAUGGUCAGAAGCUAAUUUACAAAAUGUGACCAAACCAGAAUUUGAAAGCUGAGUGAGGGUUUUGGCUAUAAUUCAGCCUACACACCUCCGUUUGACCUGAAAUUCUGCAGGAUUAACAACGACUUAAGAAGCUACAACUUUCGUGUUUUGAGUAGCUUCUAAAUCAGCACGCAGCAUAAAUAAAAAUAGAGCCUAAUUCGGAUUUGUGGACUGCCCUGUUUCCAGUUUUGCCGGUUUUGUAUAUUGCAACCGUGUGAUCCGUUUCUCUCAUUCUUAUACAAGUCUUCUAACCAAUUUCAUACCAAAUAAUAUUACAUAUAUCAGAUUCUAAAAGACCUAACAAUGGUCCGAGAUUUUCUCCGCAAAUUAUCAUAAAAUUACCAAAUACUAACCACCAUUUAGAUUCCAAUUCCACUAGUUCUUUACUAACUUCAAAACCCUAAUCAAUCAAACCUUAACUUUCCAAGUUCCAACUAAACCAAACUAAUUUCCCUUUUCAUUAGGGUUUCAUAACCAAAUCUGAUUUUUGCUAAAAACCAACAUACAAGCGCAUUUAAGAUAUCAAGGAUUCCAUUUACAAGCUCAAAACCAACCAAAUCAACUUAAUAGCUCAUGAGACCAAAAGCCCUAAUUCUACAUAGCUCAACUGAAAUUUAAGCAACCAGAAAUCAACAACAUAAACCAUUAAACCGCACCAUAAACACCAUACAAACCAUACAAGUUCAUAUCCUCAACAAGAAACAUCACUUUCAUGGCUUCACAACUCAAGCACCCAACUUUACCUUUCAAAGAGAGAUGAUUUACCUUUCAAAUAAGCUUUGUGGAUGAUCAAACCACCCCAAUCAAGUUCCAAAGUUGUUGUUCUAGGCUCCAAGCUCAAGAUUAAUGGUGAAACUUGAAAAAUUGUGGAGGAAAUAUCCCCCCUCUCUUGCUCUCUCACUCUCUCGGUCUUCCCUCUCUCUCUCUCUCUCUUUAGUUUUUGAUUUGGUUUAUGUCUUGUGUUCUCUUGGAUGUUCUAUAAUUAAUACUUAGUCAAGACCAUUAGUAAAUAUUUUCCACCAACCAAUCACAUAAAAGAUGAUUAUUCACUUCCUAGUCCUUGCAACUUCCUUUUUGUUUUCUCACACUCUUGCCCACAAAUGUUUGGAACUCUUGCACUUAACUCCAUAGGAUACAACUUAUUCUAAUCCAAAAUACUUUGUCACACUUAAUCAUUUCACUAAUCACCUUAUUAUCUUAAUCACCCAUCCUUAAUUAUUCCUUAUUCCACAUAAAAGCAACUAAACCACAAUCUUUUAACAUUAGCUAAAUUAAGGGUUUUAAACCCAAUUUAAGGUUGUUUAAUUAGCAAAACGCUAGGGAAUUUACUAGUGUAAGACUUUGUAGCUUUCUAAUCCUACUUAACCUUUAUAAAAGAAAUCGAAUCCAAUAUCUACUCAUACGAAAACAUACAUUAGCAUGCAUAAUAUUUACUACCACAUAAACUUAUGAUUAAUACGUAAACUAGGGUUUUAUGUAAAAAUAUCAAAGGUGUAAAUCCAUUAGGGUUUUAAUAAAAUUCCAAAUUAAGGUUUUUUUAUUCUAAAAGCAAAAUCACAUGUAAAGAAUUACCAUCAUCCUUAAAUUCAAAUUUUAUAGCAAAAUUUAGCACUAAUAAUCCUUAUUCAAAAUUAAGGACGAAUCAGGAUCUCACAGUAUAUGUUUCAAAUUUGGGAAUUGUUUUUCGUUUAGUCUUGAGGUUAUAUCUUAUUUCACUUGAUGAGAGCGAUCGAGUCCUGGCUAGAGCUGGGUAGGCGGUCCGCCAAACCCUUUGGUUCGCCUUAGGGAAGGUGGGGUUGUCACAAUUAUUCUUUUUUGGAAAUGAUUAUUAUUUUUACUUUAAAAAAAGAAAGAAAAAAGAAAAAUGUAGAAAAAAGAAAAGAAAAAAUGAAUAAAAGUUGAAUCUCUACUCCAAUGGUUCUUAUGCUUAAUAAUUGGGAGUUUUCAUCUACAAAUGUCGACUUUUAAGUAAAACGGUACUUGAAUUAAGAAUAAGCACAGUAAUUUGAGAAUGUGAAGUGUUGAGUAAUUGGCGAUCUUCAUCUAAUAAUAUCAAUCUUCGCGUCAAAAGACACUUUCACAAUUUGAGUAAAUAUUUAGAUAUGUUACAUGAAUAAAUCCCUCUUUGAAUUUGAGAAAGAGAUGAUUAUGGAAUUAGGAAGCUGUUAUUUAACCAUACCAGUCACUUGCUUGUGGAAUUGAGUGAAGAUGAGAAAUUGAAUUAAACUAGUCAAAAUUAUGGUAUAAUUGAUUCUUCUUUACUUGAUAUUUUGAGUUCUUGACAUUAACUAAAUGAUUGCAUAAUGGUGAUUUGCCUUGUUUUGAGAAAUUGAGUUUCAAUCUUGCACAUGUUUUAUUUCAAAGUUUUGGAUAAUUGUUUCUUAUUGUUUGAGGACAAGCAAUAAUUCAAAUACAGGAAAAUUUGAUAAGUGUGUAUUUUGAUUAUUUAAUGUGUUUUAUUAUUUAUUUUUGGUGUGUUUUAUUAAUUUUUUAUAGUUAAUUAACUAGAUUUCUAGUGAAUUAUGCAUUUAUGGUUUAAAUAUGAAAAAUUGCAUUUCUAUGAAUUAAAGUGGAGAAAAUUUCAUGUUUUUGUAAAUUUAACGAUUCAAUCAUCAUAUGGAGUGAAUUGAGAAUAUAUUUGAAUGAUUAUUGAUGAUUUGAAGUGAUUUAAAGAGAAUAUGAAGUGCAAAAUGUUCAAAAAAUAAAAUGCAAUCAAGUAUACACACUACAACAAAAAUGGCGUUUUCUGACAUGCCUGUAAGGACACUUGUUGAUUUGUGUCAUUAUAGCACUCCUAUCAUGACACUUAUUAGCAAUUCAAUAAUAUAUAGUCUAAUUUUUUUUAUUUUAUUAGAUAUAAAAAUAAUAAUGUGCCUUUAGACUAUCUAACAUGACACUUGAGAAAAAUGUGAGAUAUACCAAAAAAAAAAGAAAGACACUAAACGGCAUCGUUUGAUUUUGGUGGAAGAUUCAUUCGCUCUAAAACACUCAAAAUUUUCAUUCUGCCGGCCAAAACACUUACUCAAAACACUUGCUCAAAAUUUUCAUUUUCCAGCUCCACCAUUUCCAGCCCCCCUCUCUCUGUUGUCAGAUUCCGAUGUAGUUGGUGGGAAAAAUGGGUAGCAGCCAAGCAGCAGUUUCCAUAAAGCUUCAACCGUGGCUCCCUCAGGCAGCUAACAGCAGCAUCAGCAACAAAAUCUCUCUCGAAGGAAACCCACUUCCAGGUCAUCAUCAUCUUCUUCUUCAAAUUCGGCUCGACAAAUUUCUCCCCCGACUCGAAUAGUUUAUCGAGAAUUGUCUUCCAAGUCCAAUCUCAAUUUGCCCUUUUGGCAAACUUCCUGGUUCAUUGGCUUACUUUUACUAAUGGCAAUCUCGUUUUUCGGUCUCGCUAUUUUCCUUUUUUUUACCCUUGACUCUUAUUUCACCUCUUCCCCCGUCUCUACCGCUUCCGAAGGUGUCCAGGUAAGCCAAAAGCCCACUUACUACUUCAAAUUUGUGGUUUUUGCGUUCCUGUAGUUGCACAGAUAUGCAGUGCAUCUUUGUGUGUGUAUGUGUUUUUCCCCCUAUUUGUUGAAAUUGUACGCGGAACGUUGUUUUAUAGUUAUUUUUGGCUCAAAAUUUUGACCAAGUUUGUGCUAUUAUAGGCAUGUGAUGGUUAUAAAUUAUAGCACUUCAGAGGUUUAUAAGCUAAAAGAGGACAGGGAAAGAGGAAAUGGAGUUUUUUGUGUAGAAUUAGUAAUAGCCUUCGACAUGUUUGAUGAAAUGCCUCAAUAAUCUUUGUUGAAAAUCUAGUUGGGAUUCAGUUAAAAAUUGCUAUUUGGAUUUUUUAAAGAGCUGAUUUAGGAAUUAAAUUUGAUUUUUUUUCCUGUUUUAUAGUUUGAGGUUUCUGUUGUGUGGCGAAAAUAAAAAAUGGUGUAUGAUGCUUUGAGUUCUAAUAGUUGUAUAAUGGGGCUUUGUGCUAAGUCAUUCUUAUUUUGUUUGGCAUUGUGAUUUUGGUAGAUUACUUAUGGGUCAGUGAUCAUGUAGUUGACGAUUACUUAUGGCUGGUGCACACCUUUUUGUACAGUACAUUACCGGUUUAAGCCUAGCUACCAAAAGCAGCAUUCUGUGGACAAUAUCUUGUUCUGUGGUGCAAGAACAAGCUGUGGUAGAUGGCUUUUUCUUCCUUUAACUGAUGCUAAUCUUUUUGUAGUCUUUUAACUGAUACUGUUCUUUACAAUAUAUCCCAUUUAGCUAAUGAGUUUAAGAUGAAAAUAUAAAUAAAGUUCAAGGUAUUAUUCUCAUUAGCUGGACAAAAAAUGUAACAUCUAGUCCUCUUAUUCAGCUUAUUAGGUUGCAAGUGUUACGUUCAUGAGAAUUACAGACUUGUGACACUGCGUUGCCACUAUUCACCAGUCUAUAUGAUUUUGAGAAAAUCAAGGAUUAAACAAUAAACAAACCCCAUCAACAAAUCAACCAAUUAGAAUGGUGAUUUUGAUAUCUAGCUACUGGGAACUUUUGAAAAGUACUGUGAAAAAUCAGCUUGUGCCUAUCUGACCAAGUGUUCAUCUUCCCACUGGUCUCUGUAUGUCUCAGGCUGAGACCUCUUUCUCAUGGAAGUUUCAACAUACAUCUGCUUUCUCCAUUCUUCAGUCCGCAGACAACCACACUGAGCAGCCAACCAAUCGUCAUAUUCGAACUGGCGAUAUAAAACAACGCAUCAGUUGAGUUGGGCAGAAAUUAAAAACUCUAGCCUAGGUCCAUGGAAAAGCAAGUGCAAAGAGGGUCACACUGGUGAAAGAUGACAAUGAAGAGCUGCAGCGAAAUCAAAUCAGCAGGAGGUGAGCAUUUUCUACCUGAUAACCAGCCAUGUUAUGAGUAUACCGCUUUGGAGUGCCAGAUGCUUCCAUUGAUGAGUAGAAAGCUUGAAUAUCAGCCAUCAUCUCCUUGGGAGAAGGAAGUGAAAGCCGACCACACAGAGUACCAGCUAUCCACUUGCUCUGAAAUUCAAACAAGGGGAAAGGUACAACCUAGCAGUCAAAGGGAAAAAAAAUUGCUUUUAUCAAUUAAAUGCAUUAUCAACCAGAACAGUUCAUAAACUGAGAACAUGGAAUAUUUGCAAAAGACCUUCCACGGCAACCCAACGAAUGAAAGCCAUGGUGCUAAAGCUGGAGGAAAAAUAUGCUUGUAAAGUGGCCCCACACGGUUAUCAUCCACAGCUACAAUGCCAUUAAUUUCAAGGAACGGAAAGUGAUAUUUGUACCUUAAAGAACAUGAAUAAUGAUUUAUUGCAAAUCGUCAACUAGAAUCGCCAGUUAAUGGACCUUUUUUGAAGUCAUUAUGAUCUCAUCGCAUGAAAUAAUUUUACCUUUCUUUGUUAUUUGAUUGUUGCCUAUGAGCAUUUUGUGUGCUUCCAGUUAAUUGAUCUUUAGGAGAGUCAUUCUAGAUUUAUUGUCCCAUAACAAUCUUUAGCUAAUAUAUUAUUGGUUUUCUUUUGGGUUGGCAGACCACACUUUUGGAUUACAUCAGGAAAAGCAAGGUAUGAAUCGAUUAUUUUUAUUGAUGUUCACGUUGAGGUACAUUAUUUGUAAUGCCAUUAUCAUUUGAUGACUUUAGAAGAAGUACCUUAUUCUGUCUUAUGUUAUGAUACUUGAAUAGUUGGGAACUAAAUCUUAGACAACCUACUGUAGGUGGCAGCAUCUGAAGCAGGUGGAAUUACUCAAGGCAUGGGGGCAUACAAGGUACAAGUACCUUUUGAUGGCAAGCCACAGACUUGUGUUUUCCUUGACACCCCUAGACCAGUGGUUCUAACUUUUAACUGCUUAUUCAUGCAAUUUUUUUUUUUUUAAAUUUUUAUGUCAAAUGCUCUUCUUGGAGAUUUUGCAGACAUAUCUUAAAAGGCCUUUGUCAAGAUGAAUUAUCUAACAUAACUGUAAAAAUGGUUGGAUAGGCAUUUGGAGCAAUGAGAGCUCGUGGAGCCAGAGUAACAGACAUUGCUGUUAUUGUAGUUGCUACUGAUGAUGGAAUUCGACCUCAAACAGAAGAGGCCAUUGCUCAUGCCAAAGCAGCUGGAGUGCGAAUUGUUAUUGCUAUAAACAAUGUGCGCUUGCAUUUAUUCUGAGAUUUUCCACUGUGUGUUGGCUUGUAUAUCAUUUAGUCUCAUUUGCAUUCUGCUUUUGAUGUAUGAAACAUGAUGACAAAUCUCCUCUUGCUUAUGGGAGUUGGCAUUUUCAGUUCUCAUAAUCACGGUACUACUCAAGUUUGAUGUUUCUAGAUUUUUGCAUCAUAGCAUAUUAUCUUAUAUGCAUUCUAUUCUUUGGGAUAAUUUUAAAAGUCCUUUGGGUUUCUGAUUGACGGAAUGUAUAGCAGGGAGCACUACCUGCAGGUUGCUUCUAUCUCAAAAAAAAAAAUCUCCUGACAAUUAAAAGUGUCAGCAUAGAAUUCGAUAUUUUAAUAUUGUAUUAUACUUAUCCUGACACUUUUAAUUAUCAAGAAAAGCGAUUUUUGUUGGCAGAUGGAAAGUUAUAACAGCAUAGUUUUCUUGACAUGUUGAAUAGUACGAGUCUAUCCCCAUAUUGGAAGGGACAACACUCGCCCUAGGUGUGAGGAUAGAUAAAGUGUCAGGUUAAAUUAUCUAUACUGACACUUUUAAAUGUCGUUAAAAGCCAUUUUUGUUGUAGUGACAGGAAGAAAUAUUUGACAGUUUUGACACCUUUUGGUAUUUUGAUUAUAUCUUGAGAUAUAAGUAUCAGAUUGAGAUGAUUCUUGAGUCAUUUUGCAGAUAAUACAUAUCUCUACAUUUGUUAUGAAAUAUCAAAAGCCAGUCCAUGAGUUUUCCUAGUCAAAAAGUCAAAAUAUAGUUGGUCAUUUUUGUUGUCAAAAGUUGAAAUAGGGGAUUCACCAAUGAAGAGUAUUUUAGUUAUUUCUCAAUCUACAUAAUCCUAAAUUAGAUGAUUCUUAUGCAUUGAAAAGUUAACUCAAAGGCCUAAAUUUUUAUGUUUUGUACAAGAGCUAGUUCAGCCUGCAUUGUCGAGAAAAUAUCAACUGAAUUUGGUGCAAAAACAGAGUAAAGUUCAAGACUCAUAAAAAAAGUGCAAAUAUGCAGAGGAGGCAAUAUGUAACCUUAACCCGUGUUUUGAACUUGUGUAUUCAUAUUUUAACCGAAGUACAGCUGGAACUAGUUGUACUUUAACUUGCAGCUCUUUUCUACUACUUAUGGAUCAAUUUUCUGAACGAAUUUCAGCUGGAAAGUGCAUGAAAUAUCUUGAAAAUUUGGAGAAACAACUUUUGGGAAUCGCAAGACACAAUUUGCACAACUUGAAAAAUGAUUGUAUGGAGCUUUAAUUCUCUAUAAAUAGGGCCUUUAUUGAGCUUGCUUGAUAACUUUGGAGUCUAGAGAAACUACACCAAAAUGUAGUCUUUUACUAGAAUUUCUUUAGUUCAUUAGUUAGGGUAGAUUAGUACACUUUAUUUCAUCCAAGUCUUGUAUGGAACUAAGUAUAGAUGAAGUUGAGGAUGAAGAUGGAGAGUUUAAAAUUCAUAUGACAAGAGUGACAUUUCUCCUAUCACUUUAUUUCUUGUAUUAAUUCUAAUAUUUGGUUAUAAUACAAGUUUGGAUCUUGUUUUAAUGUCUUUCAUGUUUUGCUAGUUUUUAUACUUAGGGUGUGGAUGAACUUCUAUGAUUAUUAUGUGAUCUUUUCAUGGUUAUUUGAGUUAUAUUUUUGAACAAGUUAUGUAACACUUUUGCUUUUCUAAUCAUGAUUAGCUGACCAUUAAUUAUGAUAAAUUUAAGGUGCUAAGUUUACAAUGAAAAUUGGGAUUUGACACUAGUUCAAAAAGUGCUAAAUUUAGGGAGUUCACUCACGAAAAUUGAGGAGCAUCUUUGUGAUUUUAAUGACUUGUUCCAUGUAAUUUCAUAGAAUAAAUGAAUUUGUAGUUAAUUUAAUAAUCACAAGAGUAGGUAUGGUUUAGUUAUAAGUAUAGUUGAUUCAUUACGAGAGUAGGUUUUACAUAUAGUAAGAAAUAACGCCAAAACUAGUCAAGAUAAUAAUAUUCAAUUAACUGAUAAUUUCAUUUGUAAGAGUAGUGAAGAAUUUCACAACUCUAGGAGUUUUCUAUUGCUAUUUUAAUUACUUUUAUUUCAUGUUUGUAGCGUAGAUUUAAUCUCUUGCAUUUGUGGUAAUCUAAAUAAUGAAGGAGCUCGAAAAUCCAUCAGUAAUUGACAAUGAGAUCGACACCUAAUAUUCUUAUACUCGAUAAACGAUCUGUAUAUUUGCAAAAACCAAGAUAUUUAGAUUUUAUUAAAAUUUGGUGCAUGGCAGAAUCUCGUCAACACAUAUUAUAAAAAAAUAUUUAUAGUUUAUAUGUGAAUUUAUAAUAAUUCAUAAAAUUAAACAUAUAUUGUAUAUAAUUACAUGUUGGCACAAAAAUACACACACAGACACACACACAAUAGAAGCAAUUUUAACAUGUAUAAGAAUAUGUUGGAAAGAGAAGGAGAAUAAAUACAAACCAAUAUUCAAUAAUUUUAUUAAUUCAAAAUUCAACAACAACAAUAUUAAGUCAUAGUUUUUUGCUUACAACAACUCACACCUUAGAGGCUUUUCCUCUUUCUCACAAUUUGACUCAAUUCAACUCUCUAAAUAACAAUGUACUAGACUGGUAGUAUUUAUAUAUUGUAGAACUUUCUAAACAAAUACAAUUGCAAACAAAAACUUAUUUGGAAUUAACUUGAGAUCUUCUAAUCUAACAUGGAAACUAAACAAACAUGACACCAAAACAAGAAACUAAAAGAAUUAGGAAAUAAACAAAUAGAAUAGAUUAGUUUAGUUCCAUCAUUGCUUCCCUUAAACUUCUAGGUUCUCCAUUGUGGUCAUUUCCAAUGCCAUCUCAAGCUUGAAUCUCCAUGAAUAAUUUAGUCACUGUAUGAACGAUGUGAGCGCUAACUUGCAAUUAAUCUUCAAUUUUAUAUUCACACGUGGUAGUGAAUGAAACUUGUACUUUUCAAAACAAUUUUUUAGUUUGAUCACUUCUGUCAAAAAUUUCAAAUAUAUUCACCCAUGCUUUAAUUCAAAUAUAUAUCUAAUUAUGAGCUUGGGAUCAGCCUAAUUUGAGGCCGGAGCUCAUAUCAGAGUAUAAGUCGAGUCCAAACCUUUUAAUCAGGGUCUGAAUUUGCAAGUUCGAAAGUUCUAUUUACUUUGUCAGAAGAGUUUGGAGUUGUCAAAGUCCGGCUCAUAGAGCCUGAGUGACAGCCAUAUUUUCAAUGCUCGCUCCAUUUAACAUCAAAAGGAAAUGAUUGUUUUUUCCUUGCCGAAGGUAGAAGGGUCCCAAAAUAUGUAAAUCCAGGCAGGCAGAACACACUGUGGGAACUGUUUUGUUAACGACUCCUUCGAGGAACGGCUUCGGCAGGACAAAAAGGACGAAAUUGUUUUGUCAUGUGUGCUAACUGUUGAACCUGGCUACUCAAAGCAAAAUUAUUUUGGACCACGUUCAACCCAACAUAAUCUUGAUUUGGCUAGUUAUAGUGACUAAUGGAGUGGUUUUCUAUGAUUAGUGAAUUUGUAUACUAUAAGUGGUGUUAGCAUGUAUAAAAGAUUUAUCCAUAAAAAGAAAUAUUUUAUUCGCGUACAUUAACUUUUGUGGUAAAACAACAUUAUGCUAUUAUUUACUAGAAAAAUAGGAUUGGCUGUCACUUUACACACAACUCUUAACCAAUACUUUUCCAUGUUUAUCAUAUUAUUUCAUCCCUUAUCUCUAUAUUUUAGGCAUUUUCAUCCGUUAUUUGUAGAUGCUUUCAUAUAUCUCUUAACAUCUGUAGUGAUAUGUGACUUUAAGUUACAGUGACUCUGACAUGCUAUCAUGGUACUAUUUACCAAAUCUUAUGACAAAUGCAACAAAAUCUGACCAAUUCUCAAUUCUACAUGCGUGAACUCCAUAUAUCGCCUACUUGACAUUGUAGUGUGACUGCCACCAACUACUAGGGCAAAAUUAUAUGAAUUUGGAAUGACAAUUAAAGUAUCAGACUAGCUAGUAAUUAUAUGGAUAACUUUUAUUUCUUCUUUUUUUUCACAAAUGAUAUGGAUAAUUAUGUAUCUUACUUCAAAAGAUUAUUAACACUUGUACAAUCCAAACUAUACGCACUAUACUAUUGCUGUUCUUGCUAUGAGAACUAAAUGAAACCAUAUCGAUUAGGCCCAAGAACAGCAAUCCUAUUAACAAAUAUUAAAGUAUCAUACUACUAAUGAUAUGGAUAACUAAGUAUCUCUCUUUAAAAGAUUUACUAAGACUCGGAUCAAUGUAAUCUAUUGAUUAAUAUUAUUUGGCUAUAUAACCUAUAUAUAUAUAUAUACACACACAUAGGAGGAAAGUGAUCGAUCAUAUUGAUUAGGUCCAAGAAGAGCAAUGCUCGACCAACAAGACAGCAAAGAUGCUAAUGUGGGGACUGGUUGAUUUAGGAGGUGAUGGGAGGACUGAGGUAAGGUUGGCCAAGGGCACAUGCUAGCUUUCUGAUGAUUGGAGGAAGCCAAGGUUGGUUAAUUCAUGGGCAGAUGGAGAAGAUCUCUCCAUCAAUUCUGAGUUGAGAUAAGUUCUGCAGAAUCUGCUUGGAAGAUAAUUGCAUGAGUUUUUUUUUUCUCCAGGCUCAUGCUUACGCGAGAAUGAGAUUUUGUGCGCGUGCUUUGUAAGCAUAUAGGAAAGAAUGGGCAGAUUUUGUAGAUUUUCUAGACAUCCAAUGAUGCCAAUUAUUAUAAUUCGUCCACUUGCAACAACCUAAGAGUUGGAUUUUGCUUUUACACCAUCUUUGUGUCAGUGAUAAUUGGGAAUUAAAUAAAACAAUCAUCAUCAUCAUCAUCACCAUUUCUUACCAUCAGCAUAUAGCAUCUUUUAAGAUUUCUGUCCAUAUCAUUUCAACAAUAAUAACUACCCCUCUCAACCAUUCUCUCACACUUUUUUGGUUUCCCUCAUAGUAGUUGCGUAGACACCAGCCAGUCGUACAAACUCGAACAUAAAUUUCUAAUUCUAAUUAGCGCAUCACAGUUUAACAUGCAUAUAUAAUAGAUCAGAAUCGAAUAUAGCAAAUAAUUUUAGUCUCCUUGAGAGUUUAGCUCGCCAUAGUUCGAUCACACUCCCUACUUAGUUCCCUCUUAAUUACCCUUUUACUCCUUUAUUUGGACUUUUGUUCAAAAAUAUAAAAAUGAACGUAUGCGCUGACUUUUUUUUUUUUAAUUCAAGGAAAACUAUAAAACUGACAAGAAAUAAGAGAGAAAUGGGAUGACUAGGAAGUCGAAUUAAAGAUCUCACAAUCACUUGAUUAAGUUUUUGGAGGCACAAGAUUAUGACUUAACUUAAAGAAUAAAUCUUAUAUAUACUGACAAUGUAUUCAUUAUCAUCAUUAGAUUUAUUAGUAAAAAACAAAUAAAGGUUUGGAUAACGAGUGCCCACAAUGGUACAGUGAAUUCAAGAAAGAGUCUAAAAAUAUAAAGGUGCAAUGAAUGUAAACGUGUGCAUUCGCAUAAUAACUCAAGUGUAAUUUAGGUAUAUUGACAAGUAUUCAAUAGAACCUGUGAAAAAAAAAAUCUAACAAAUAAUAAUGUAACUCGAUUUGGGCCACGUAGUUUCCAUGUGGCACAUAAUUGUUUUCUCUCCUUUUCAUGUUCUCACAAAUAAACAUCAUUUAUUAUUGUUAGACUUGAUCAAGAAGUGGGAGUACAACUAUAAAGUGAUGGAUGAAGGAUCAAAAGAAUGAGGCACACGCGUGGCUUUUGUGGGUUCUGCUGUCUAGAAAUCUUAAACUUGGUCUUGGCCUCUUCAUUACAUUUGGUACAAACGCAAAUAUACAAAUUCCUAACACUACAUGUCAUUCUCCUCCACCUCACCCCACUAGGCCUCUCUCAUGCACUCCUUUUCCUACCUUGCUUGCGGCCGGUGGCAAAUGGAAAUGGUUUGGUACUCAAAAACCACACUGGCGUGCAUUAACAUUUGAUUGAUUACCAAAAGGAGACUAGGCUGCUGGGCAGCUACUUCUACACGAUCAUCAAUGAUCAUAUGGAAGCUAGAUAUAGCUAGACAUGAAGAUUAUGUUCAAGAACUUUUUCUUUCUUUUUUUUCAUCAAAAUAUGACAGUGGGGGAGAAAGAAGGCAUCAUGCAAAUCCCUUUAAGGAGAUUUUUCUGAUUUAUUCUCCAUGAAUGGUGUCUAAUCAUGCGAUCAUUGUGAAGAAUUCCAUAUAUGGUUAAUUGACAUGACAACAAUGUUCCUAUUUUGUUGAGAACUAAUUCCUUUUACUAAUUGGGGAGAAGAAUUUCUCCUCUACACGUGUCGACUCACCACAUACCUUCUAGAUCAGUGAAAAAAUUAAGUUACUCAAAGGUUAGAAAGUAAAAACUUUUCAGGGAGAAAUCAUGGGGAUGGAGAAUGGAAAUUGAAUGGAAUUUACUAUUUCCUUUUCUUCAUGACUUUAGUCAAUCUAUUAAGUGGAAUUAACUGUUUCCUUUUCUUCAUAAACAUGCAUUUGGCUCAAAAGUUCUUCUUUUUUUUUUUUUUGGAAGAGGGGGGCGGGGGGAAGGAGAAGGGAGGGUUUCAAAAGUUCAAUCUCUUAUUCUUAUGGCAUAUGCAUCUCUAUUUUCUUUUUCUUUUUUUUAAAAAAUUUGGAAUACAUUAAACAUCUUUUCUGAACAAGGGGCGGUUUGAACAUAUUUUAACCCUAGUUCCUUUUUGCUUUUUAAAAGAGAAGUAAAUUAAAUUGUAAGCUAGCUAGUAGCUGUUUACAAAUAGUUUUGUCAAAGUUCGGCUGAGGGGACAGUGGUUCCCCACCCUUAUUGCUCCUAGCAUUUGUUACUCACUCCGUAGAGACUGCCAUUAUUUUUAGUGCCCAUAGAUAAUCUAGAAAAACUAGCAAGAAACUAAUAUAAUAAGCUCUACAACUUUUAGUACUUGUAUCUAAAAAUGAUUUAAGUUUAAACAUUUCAUAAUUUAGUGUGUGUUGAUCAUGUUGUAAGCAUGCAACUUGCCCAAACAUUAUGAUUAUCACGAAAUAUAUGAUUAACAACUUUAGUUGUUCUCUGUCUACAUCAAUCCUUAAUUCAUCCUGCUAACUUUUUGAUGCAGGAUCGAUCACAUUUCUGAAGAUAACAUAACUAAUGUCAGUUAAAGAGACAUUUCGUUCGCUGCUGUCUUGAUCAAGGAAUUAAAGUUGUGUCCCACUAGAUAUUCAGUAUUGGCCUCUGCGAUUUGCAUUGCAUUGACGUAAACUGAUCAGAAAAAUCAUGUUCAUAUGUUCAAUAUCUUGAUGAGCCUUUUUCCAGUUUCAUCUAGUCUGUGUUAGUGUCUGUCUUUACUACCCUUUGCUGUGAUUCAGUAGAUGUGGCUCUAUGAUUUGAAAAGACGAACCAAUUUGUGAUGUGAACAAACAACAAAGAAAGAGUUACGACACUCAUGUUGCAUGAAAAUCUUUGGCAAAUGCGUGAGUCCCAAAAACAGUAAUCUUCCAGCCACCUCUUGUGUGUGACGCCGGCGUCGGUGAGGAAUAAUAAAGAACUAUAUCGUCCUAUAUGCUAGUGGCAGAAUUUUACAGAGAUGAUGGCUGCAAUAUCUAAAAGUAAAAAAAAAAAAAAAAAAAUCAGUAAUCCCUAUAUUUUUUAAUUGGUGAGUGGUUACGUACUGAGCAGCUAAUUAAUUUCGACAUUACUGAAUUUGACACUAUUAUAAAAGACUCAAAAUCUUUAAACCAGGAAAUGCGUGCGAAAAUGUCACCAUUUGCGAGCUAAAAAGUAAGGUCCAAAAUUGCGUACAUGACGAGCAAGCACUAAGUUUAAAGAAAUAUGUGAGUUGAAUGAUGAAACCUAGCAUCUUUAUUAUCUAGUAAUAUUAAUAGGGCAAAAACUUUUGCUCGAACACUUGGAGAUAAACUUGUGACAUCGAAGAAAAGCAUCUAAUUUGCAUUUGAAGAUUAUAAGAUUAUGCAACAUGCAUCUGUCCGUCAGGGUGGCUUCUGAUAAUUGGACUGACUUCAUUAUGUAAUCAUAGUCAGUUAAAGCAAUUCCAAUGACCAAGAAUCCUUCAAUAGUAAAGAGAAACAAUGCCCACAAAAUAGAACCCGUACUCAAGCUGAUUCAGUACUUGUGUAAUGGAGCACAUCUAAGUUGGACGUUUACUAGGAUUGAUUGGUCAACUAUGCUCCUGUGUAGUACUUUCCAUGCAAACAUGCAUGUACUAUAUGACUACAAUAUCUUCUACCUUUUUAACUAUCAAAAUGUGGUCACUGGUCAUGAAUCAAGAAUGUGUUUUUCGUUUUGGUACAAAUUUUGGUGAGUACAUUACAUUUAGGAAAACUUCUGUUAUAUAUAGGUGCCACAAUUAGAUCCAGAUUAACAAACAGCAGAUCUCACAGACGGAAUCCAACAAUUACAAUUAGUCCAGUGGUUUAUACGACAGAAGGCCUUUAACUUUAGUGGGUACAUUGUGUCCGGAAGCGGACAGGAACGAUUGGCAGUUCAAUCAUCUCGAAAAGAUUUCAUACAUUUAAACAGAAUGAAAACUUUUUUUCAAUCGUGUAAAUUAUUUUAAAUACAGUCUAAAUUUAAAACAAAAUUUAUUGGACUCCAUGCAUAAUAUUAAAAUCUAUAUACACGAUGUAAUCUGAAUAUUUUUCUAGUGAAUCCUCACUAUAAAAAAAAAAAAAAACCUUCAGAAACUCUCGCUGUUUUCAUUCCAUUAUGCCCCUAUAUUUGCCCACAAUCUCUUUUAGAGACUAGCCUAGCUUAGUUAGUCUAGCGUUGAUUAACCAUAUGUGAACUUUGAGAACUCGAACCUCUAACUUCUUGCUUAAAAAUGACAGUUGACUGCCUAAACAUAGAAUUGCUUUGCUUGGUGAUUAUAAACUUGACUUAAAUUAAUGAACUGCUAUUUUCUACUAAAAAAUUAUUGGGCCAUUUUACUUUUAAGUAUAAAUGGGAGGAUUCGAUUCCGAAACCUCUCAUUUAUACACGCUCCUCCUAUACCACUCAAUCCAUUUCUCCCCUCUUAAAAGUUAUUGGGCUUGUUUCCACUAUGUUCAACAUGUAUUUGCAUAUAAAUAAUAAAACUGUCAUUCACAACUCCAAAUUGCAAACGUGCUAUUGUGUUUUACAUGGUUUUUGUCCAUGAGAUAAAUAGUAGAAUUCAAAGAUCAAGCUAUACUACUAGGUAGCUGCAAUAUAUAUACAUAUAUUUUUUUUUCCCCAAAAUUCUACUCUACUGAUUGCAUAUAAAAUUGCAAUUAAUAACUCCAAAUUGCAAAAUGAGCCAUUGUAUUCCGAAUGGUUUUGUCUACGAGAUUAGCUAGUACAAUUCAAAUUAAGAAGAGCAAUACAACCAGCUAUCUGAGCAACAAUUUUCUUUUGGCAAAAAUUCUACAUCCAAGUGGCAUUAAGGUUAGGUUGAUGGUGGUUCAGUCUCCAUCAGCCUUUCGUCAGCCCAAUUGGAUCUCCUCCUUCAAUUAGAUUAGAGUAGGGUAGUAUAGACAAAAUAACGAUGACAAAAAAAAAGUGGCAUUAGGGUUAGGUUGCUAGCUUUUAUAGCAUUCAAAAUCACUUGUCUCAAUCUCUGAAUUGAUAAGGAUAUGCAAGAAAAAGACUUCACAACAUAAAUAUAAGAUGCAUUACCAUAUAGUAAUUAAAUUUCUGAUAAGUAUGGGACUGUAACAGUUGACCAGAAAACUGAAUGGAAAAUCUAGAAUUGGUCAGUUGCCAAGUGUUGGGACCUUAAACAUUUGAUAGUGCCAAGACUUCCAAGCCCUUUGCACAUCUCCUCCACUUGUUCAUGAUUUUGAGUGAAGGGAUUCAUGGUUCCCCUUUUGGGAGACUUAUCAGAUGGUAAAUGGUCUAACUCUUUCCCUAAAAUAGAGGCUUUUUAUUUUGAAAAAAAAAAGAGACUAAUUGUUCUCUUCUCUUCAGUCCCUUUCGGGAUAGUAGAGAGAGGAAAUUCUAGCAACCACCUUUAAAAAAACUUCAAAGAUGGAUCAAUGGAAGCAGCUGAUAUCAUUAGUCGCUAUCCAGAAUCACCAAGCUAGUGGUGCACCAGUUGGACAUGAUAAUAAACUUUUUGCAGAGAUAAUAUUCUCCUCUCAUCUUCCUCUAGUGGCUAGAGGAUUUUUAUCAAAAUAGUUUGAGAUAACUAAAAAUACACCACAAUUGAAGAGCAAAGCAGGGUAAAGAUUAGUUGAUUAAAAAGUGAGAAUUUGUGUUGUCCAAUCUUCAAAGCAACUUUUGCUUGCCAGCCUCAUCAAUCAGAUUCAAUCGUGGAAAGGUUUUCAGCUAAAUUAUACUUCCCUCUUUUAUGUAUCUUGCUUCGGUUGAUCGUCAUGUACCCAACAAAAUUUAAUUGGCUCAAACAAAUUUUACACUUACAAAAAACAUUAACUUUUUUAUCCACCUUCUUCUGUUUGUAUUCUAUAAAAUGAUAUUGUAAUUUUUCAAAUAGUUUAAUAUUUUCUACAAUAUUAGUGUAAAGAUUCCUUUACAUUAGCGGUUUUUUUAUUAUAAAAUACAAGAAAAUUUUCAGUCCCCAACCCCUUAAAUACGCCACAGUGCCCGAGAGAGAGAGAGAGAGAGAGAGAUAGUUGAAACUCUUAACAGGGAAAGAUGACUAGUUGAGGAUAGAAAAUUUGACUUAUAAAUUGUUAUAGGCAUAUGAAUUUGAAAUAUGUUGCAUGAUCAUGCAGCAAAAAAUUUUGGAGGCAGCCUUUCUAUAUGAAAUCAUGUUAAGUCAGCCCAAAAUUCUUACUUCUUACAUAUUAUUAUACAUAUUAGGGUUAAUCACAUUUUAUCCCCUUAAAGAAUACCCCAUUUCUCAGUUUACCCCAUAACCUUUAAUUUUGCUCACUUAACCCCCUUUAGGACAAAAUUGCCCUUGCAUUAUUUUGACUUUUCAUUUGCCUUGUUUUCCUUUCAUUUGCCUUGUCCUAAAGGGGGUUAAGUAAGCAAAAUUAAAGGUUAGGGGGUAAACUGAGAAAUGGAAUAUUCUUUAAGGGGAUAAAAUGUGAUUAACCCUACAUAUUAUAACACAUUUCCUUACUAAUUUUUGAAAUUUGAAAUUGUUGACCUUUCUUAAAAUUUCAACAGGCAAAAGUUAGUUAGGUCAUUCACUACUGUAACUAUAUAUAUAUAUAUAUAAUGCAAAUAGAUAAAAAGGUAAGUAGAGGGUGUGCUGAGAAAAUUAAAAAAAAAAAAAAUUCCAAACAGUGAAAGCCAUGUGUGCCCUAAAGUAUGGAACUAAAUGAAAAGAGCGAAGUGAAUUUUUAAUAUCAAACUAAUUCCUACUUCUUUUUUUAAAAAAGUUGGAACAACAUAUUUCAGAAAUUGGUCUAACAGUUAAUAGUUUUCCAACACGAAAUUAACAUAACAAAGCAGCAAGCCAACUAUCAUUGCCAGUCAAAAUUGUCCACCAUCUGCUAGUCUAGUAUUGUAACAAAAUGACAGAAAACAAAUGAAAAAACAGUUGAGAAACUAAGCUUGUUCCACCCCAAGGGACAACAAACAAGAUGUACUUGAAUAUAUGUUAGCUUGAAUGUCUACCACAAACAAAAAGAAUGGAUUAGUUCACCCAAAAAGGAGUAACAUGCGAUUUAAAUUUCAAUGACUAACUCAGAAGUUACUGUUUGAUUCAUAAGACGUAAUUGAGGAACUAUGGUUGAUCUUUAAUGAAGUUCUUUUUUCACUUUUUCUUUUUUUUUUUGGAGGGAUAGGGGAGGAAAACAAACUUUCAAUGCACUGAAACCAGGCAAUAGAACGUGUAUUUAUUGCUCGAUUGAUUAGGACUUUCAAAUAAGGAAUAAUGCAUCACCACAUUUCAACUAAGCUCCACUUAAUCAAUGAGAGUUAUUUAAUAAUCUUUAGGGCAAAUUCCACUUUACCCCCCUGUGGUUUAGCGUUUUUUCACAUAACCCCCCUAUGGUUUCAAAAGCUAUACAUAACCCCCUUAUGGUUUGGAUUAAAGUGUCAAAGUAACGGAAAUAGUCACUCGUAACGGUGUCACCUAAAAUGUCAAAAAUACCCUUAUGUAAGGUUGAAAUUUAUGUAUUAACCAAGGGGGGUUAUGUGUAUGUUUUGAAAAUCAUAAGGGGGUUAUAUGGUAAAAUAUUAAACCAUAGGGGGGUUAUAUGGUAAAAUAUAAAAAUCAUAGGGGGUUAAUGUGUCAUGUAUUUAUAAGGGUAAUUUCGACAUUUUUAGAAGUUCCGUUACGAGUGACUAUUUCCGUUACUUUGACACUUUAAUCCAAACCAUGAGGGGGUUAUGUAUAGCUUUUGAAACCAUAGGGGGGUUAUGUAAAAAAAGGGUAAACCACAGGGGGGUAAAAUGUAAUUUACCCUAAUCUUUAAUAUUAACGAGGUGUACCAAUAUGAACAAAGUUAAAGAGAAAAAAAAUAAUUAGAACAAACUAAUAAACUAAACUGUGCUUGUCAUUUCAUGAUCUACAGCCCACUAACUAGUGAUAAGGGCUCUAAUACCUCAUCAAGUGUCACUUUUAACAUUUGCCCAUAACCACAAUUAGUAAAAGCUCUUGACAGAUGUAGAGAAGUCAUUUUCUGAGUUCAAUCCCUACCAUCACUCUUUUCCAAAAAAAAAAGAAAAAGAAAAAACCCUACCAUCACUAUCUACGAAAUUCUAUACCAAUUGAUUCCCACACGAACACAAAUUUCUUAUUCAUAACUCUUCUAACAGCUUAUGAAAAUCCAAAAUUGCCAUGCACUUGUCCCCCUUUAUUCGUGAGUUUCUGUCAACCCUUAAAAAUUUUACAUUUGGAACAAAUGCUUUUUUUGGUCUCCACCUAUUAAACUAGGCUAUUGCUGUGAAGAUAAUCAAAUGUAGAAGUGACGCACAUAUGAGAAGAAAUCAAGAAAGAGAAUAAAGGGAAUUGGAGUUUGGAAAGAGAGGUAGUCGACAACUAAUUAAGGUUGUUAAAGUGACAAUUAUUAAACAAAUGAGAGAUAUUAAGCUCAAAGGCAUAAAAGAAAAAAGAUGAAGAAAGAGGUAAAACUAAAAAGGAAGAACAAAGGAGGGUGGGAAAUCUAACUGCAUAGAAUAAUGGAGCAGAUAAUGAAGUGAGUGUAGGGACAGCCAACAAACACAAACUCCACCAAACCAUGAUUUUCUGCAUAAAAAUUGCAUGUGUUAACAUCAUAUGUGAAAGCAUCCAAAAAUGCACCAUUUCUCUUUAGUGUUUAUGGGGAGUGGAUGCCACGCGUCCCCUUCCCAACUCCAUGUCACAAACUCAAAAACGACAAACUAAUUUUUAUUUCUUUUGAUCAUAAUAAAUAGGGGAUUAAGGAGAAAAUUGAGAAAAAGAAAGAACCUGUACAUGGUACACUGAAGAAUUAUGUUCAAUUGACAUUAUCUAGAUGAAUCCACAGUAAAUUUACCAAAACAGGAAUUAAAUAACGUUUCAUAUGGUAAAUUGCUUCUAACAUGACAAUUAUGAACGACACGUGGCCAAAAUAAGGUAGGUAUCAGUUGUUUUCUUCUAGAACUAAAUACACUAACGAUUUCUUUCUAGUUUUUAAGCAAAUGCAUGCAGAACCGAAAAAGAGAUAACUCUUGUUUAAAAUUUAGGCCAAUAACUCAUUAUGAUUCCAAAUAAAAAUUCGAUUUUUCUUAGGAGAUACAAAGCAAUCAAGAAAUAGUACUACCCCAUGAUUGUGGCACGUGAGGAAAGCUAGUGUUAAAUUUCAUUAACCUACUAGUUGAUGGAUCACUUAAAAAAGCUUCAAUGCUUUUAGCUAUUGGAUUUUAAGACCAUAAUCCAUUCAUAAUAUUUUAGUGGUAACUAUACCGUCAUACAGGUUUCGAAGUAGGACAUGAGUAAUCCACUCGAAUUGAAGUGUAAAUUGGCCUCUCUGAGAUGGUAUUCAAGAUUAUUAUAAUCAAAAGGGUGCAAAUUGGUCCGCUCCCCGCCCACCCCCAUACCCAAAAGGAAAAAGGAAAAGGGAAAAGACUACCAUUUAUGAAGGUAACUUGUACUAUGUUUUCCUAUCUAUUUGUGAAAUUUGAAGUCAUGCAUGUAUAGCUUUACUUCUGACCAAAACCCUAUGUAAUGAUCUAAUGCCCUUCGUUGAGAAAUUAGUGUAAAUGUAUUACACACAUUAUACAUAUUGAAAUGUUCACGUUGGGACGGAGACGGAAAAGAGAUUGAAGUAUAACGUCCGGCUCAACGGAUUACUAAUAAUUUUGGGUUAAUUAUUUUGAACUUGUGGUUUCAAGUCAAAAGGUGCUAGGCUGGUCUAGCAAGCGUGGGCAUUACAAAUAGUAUCAAAGUGAUUCUAACGUGGUCUCUGCGUGAAGUGAGAUUGGCCAGUGAAUUAUAAUUCUAACUAUGUAAGGAAGUGCAAGGAAUUAAAUGCUAUACGGGGUUGGAUGGCACAUCAGACAUAGGUCAUCUCUAGAACCCGUAUGAGCCAUCUCUAGAAUUCGUGUACGACUAAGUGAACAAUUUGAACUGUAACGAAUUUUGCGAGAACGCAAAGUUCUAAAGGUAGGGAGAGUGAAAUGUCUCGUAUCCCAUAUUGGCUCGGAGAAGGGAAAGGGAAUGAAAUAUAAUGUCCGACCCAUUGGAUUACUGAUAAUUUUGGAUUAACUAUUUUUUAUUUGUAAUUUUAACUCAAAAAGGUAUUGGCCAAUCGGGUGGACGCAUGACGUUACACAUUUAAAUAAUAUUUACUGUAACACAGCGGGACUUUCAUCAUCUUUGAUGUAAGCUUCGUUGCAAAUCUAGUUAGUCGAGUCGAACUAAAGAUCUUCUAUCCUUGGAAGCAGAAAUCAGCUUGAAGGUUACGCGUUUAAAAAUGAUAUAUUAUUGACAUUUGAAAAUUAUCAAUCCUUAAAAGUUUUACAUUUCUUCUAAACAAUUUGAGAGACAUUUGUAGUUUAAUUCAUCAAAUCAACUUACAAUCUUACUAAUAACUUAUAUCUAAAUUCAUACAAUUUCAUUAGAAUGCUUUUUAUCCAGGGGAAUCUAAUGGCAGUUAUUGCUUGUGUGUGUGUGUGUUUUUUUUUUUUUUUUUUGGGUCAAUCUGUAAGUUCAUUCAUUUUGAUUUUUUUCCAUGUACUGACCGUAAACUUUGUUCACGUGUGGGAAUAUGCUUUGGUAAGGAUAAAACCAUAAAAAGUAUUGACAGCCAAUGGGAAAAGAAUUCUUCCAUUGUUUUUCUGGUUCAAGAACUUGGCAUGGUACCCUGAAUGAGAUACAUCAAGUCCAAACCCACGAAAUUCGAGAAUCAGAGCCCGGAUAAAGAUGGUAUUAGGAUCCUUCGUAUAUAGCACAUGAGGAGAACUCUAUUCACUUGGCAAUUUGCAAAAACGAUUUAUAUGUGGGGAUAAAUUGUUAUUUAAAAGGGAAGUAUUAUUUGCACUCCUAUUUUUAUUAAUCACAUUCCUAUUAUCAUUUUAAUUAUAUAAUUUUAAUUUAUUAUACUAUAUGAUAAAACAAAUGAUGUAAGUGCAAAUAACAAAAAAUGGAGUGCAAAUAACUUUUGUCUUUUACAAAUUACCUUUUCUUUUUUGGGCAAUUUUGGCAAAAGUCAUACCUCUAGAAACUUUUCAUGUCAAAGGGCCGAUAGGAAUUUUCUUCGUUAAAUAUACAUAAAGAAUGAUACUUAAAGAAGAAAAGAGAAACCGAAAUGUGCAGAAUGAUACUCAGAGAAGAAAAGAGAAAGAUGCAGUUAAUAUAAAUCCUAAGCUACAUUGGAAUCCAAUAUGAGAAUUUAUUCUUUUACUUUAGUUAUCUACUUAUCUUGACUUAAUAGCCUCCCAAUACUUUUGCACGUGGGUUUGGAAAUUUAUAGUAAUUAUUUUCCUCCUUUUUCAUUAAUAUCCUUGUUUCAAAUGGGAGGUAGGGUAGGAUUGAGAAGGAAAAUUCGCAAAGUGAAAAUCCUUCUAAUUAAAAGUUGAUCAAUGAAAAUUCUUCUGAUUAUCCUUUUCUACACUGUCGAUUAAAAUCCCUUUUACAUGAGCAUGCAUGAAUGAAUACCCCAUGUGAAAAAAGAGAAAUUCAAAUUUCAAUGGAAGUUAUGUGUCAUAUGGACCUAUUCUCAACUGAUUUUGAUUUUAAAAAAAUGGCCCAAAAUUAGAAUUGAAAAAGCAGGAAUAUUGUAACUUUUAAUUUAGAAAUUUUUGUAGAGUUAAAAAAUAAAGAUGGAAAAAGAAAUAGUUGAAAACAUCAUAUAACUAAAUUUCUACAAUUAGAAGUUAAAAAAUCAAUUGACAAUAUACUAGAUCCGAUAAUGAAAAAAAUUAUUCCAAAACCUUACGCAUAACACUAUGUUCAUUCUUCAAAAAAUAGAUGCCGAUGAUAAAGCAUAAGUCAUGCUAACAUUGGGCUGUGGAUGAGUAAUCAAAACUACGUACAAAUGGCAUAAAUUUCAAAAUAUUGGAAAAAAGAUGUUUUCAACAAAGAUCAACUUAACUAUUUAACUAUCUUGACUUCCACAUCCAUUAGUCAAGGCCAACUAAAUCCUCAAUUGAUUUUGAGAUGAAGGACUAGAUUCUUCAACAUGGCAUCAAAGCUAACUUUGGACUCUUCUGUGCAUUGAACUUGGUUUCAUGGAUCUCUUUCAUGAUAAUGCUCAUUCUUGUUUGUUCAGACCGAGGCACGUGUAAAAUAGGUGUUAAACAGAGAUCAGCUAAACUAAUUAAUAAGAUCCUAGGCUACUUUUAUUUAUAGUGGUUAGCCAGAACCAAUUAAAGUGCUAAUUUCUUUAAACUGCUAAUUUCGACUAGGAUCUUAUUAAUUACAGUGAAAAAAAUUCAACAGAGAUAUUAGAGAACCUCUUUGAUUUAAUCGAAUCUAUAUAUCUGCUAAUUUCUUAUAUAGCUUAUUUAAACUUUCAGUCUCUGUAAAAUAAAUUAGAUUAGAUUAUAAGAAUAUUAUGGUAAUUAGAAAAAAAAAAAAGACAAGGUUUGGUUCAUCUUGGAACAUAAAUGCCAAAGGACUGGCAGAAGUACAUGCAAACUCGAAUCCUUUGUCCAUUAGAGAAAGGGAGAAAAAAUACAUAGAAAUAUGUCAUACGAUGUGACUUUAAAGCUUUGCAAAUAAAAUUGAUGGGACUCAUGGGAGUCGAAUCCUAACAAAAAUUUUUUUUUUUUUAAAAAAAGCAGGUGACUUUACCACUCCAACAAACACAUGGCCCCUUCCGAGAAAAAAUAAAUAAAGCUCUGGUUAUUACUUUUUCUUUACUUCACCUGUUAGGUGGAUAGCAAAACCUUAUGAAUAACUAUUAAAUAUCAAAUAGCAAAAUAGUACCUCUUGUAACUAACAUAAUUGCCAUAUGUACAUAAAAAAGUAUAUUUGCAACCUCAACGAUAACUUCCUUUUUCCCCCCCAAUUUAUCAAAGGUUUAAUUUUUGAUUAACUAAAGUGGCAGCUAAAUGGACAAUUAAAAAAAAUAAAAGUUGAAUGGGCCAAGAUUUUUAGGUGGAAACGUAAAUGGCCAAGUUAAAAUGUAUACAUAAAAAAUCAAUGUAUUAACUGAAAUGCUGCCGCGCGGCGCGCAGGCCUCAUGUGCACCAAUGCCAGAUAGCCAACACUUGAAUGCAGAAUAAAACUUCCUCUACAUUGAUACAAAGUAUGCAUGCCUUCUUAGUGCUCAUUAAUAAAACAUAUAUUUAUAAGGAUGGCAAUUGGAGUUUGAUUGGUGGGUUCUUCCUUUAAUCAUUUCUCUCUUUAUAAGAAGACCAAAAUGUACAUAAAAUAAAUUAAAAAAAUUAACAAGAAGGAUGUGGAGGGGAAAUGGAUCAUAGAACAUUGAGAGGUGAGACUUUGGCUAGCAUCUAACUUCAUAUCCCCACCUUUUCGAUGAAUAUUAUUAGUGAAAUCAUUGAUGAAGCAUGCAAUGAUAAAAUUAUUGGUCAUAUCGGAUUUCGGCGAUACGAAUGUUGAAAACUACAGUAUUUUUAAAGAUCAAAUGAACAUGGAAUAUAGGAAUCAGAUAGCUUUACUAGGAAAGGAACCAUUGCAGCUUUCACUUUUCGUUGCUGAAACUUUUUUAAACUAUUGAUUUCAUUUCAUCUCUUUGAACCCUUUUUCUUUCUUUUUCUGUGAUCAGAAAUGUGUGGUCCAGAAUUAAAUAUGGCCAUCUAAUUUUUCUUUCUUCAAACCUUUUUCUUCCACAUUAUUGGUCUCUCGUUUUUUCAAAGAAAGAUUUAAAGAAUAAAUUGUUCUAUAGAGAUAGUUAGUGAAUGUGGGGAAACUGCAGAGCGGCAUCAAUGAUUUGGGAAUCGGGUGGCGAUAGUUCAGUUUAAUUUGGAUCGUUCAUUUUAAAAUUUUUAUUUAAAAAUAAACGACACAAAUCAGACCUGACUGAUAUGAUUCAAUUUAUUCUGAUAAUUGCAUUGUACAAUUCUAAUUGCAACCAUGCAAUCGCACAUGCCCCUCACCCCGUAGCUAGCAGAAAGAACCAAUACUCCUAUAGGAGGCACGAAUAUUCUCUGCUCUUUACUUUGGAAAGUGACAAGCAGACCAAGAAGUUUGGAUGGAAUUUAUUUUGAGUCAAAUGUCACUUUGAUAAUCUCUAAUUAGAUGCUAUAAGUUGCAUCAAUGAAUCCCCGUCCAAUAAUUUCCCCUGCACAUUUUGACAUAAACUAUCGAGAUAAUGUUUUACACCACCGAUUUUUAUCGAGAAUAAAGUUAUUUAUGCCUCAUCACAUCUGAUCUCAUUACGAAAUAUUCAAUCUAUCAAGCUUUAUGCAUCCAAAAUUGUAAUUAGAGUAAUGAAUCUUGGCCGACUGCGAUUUAAGAGUCACAGAGACACGUAGAUUAAUCUAAGUUGAGUAUUAUAGGCACGCACGUACAACUAUAUGAAUUAGUACUCUUUAUCGUUUUGAGACUUUAGAAAAUUGCACGAGUGUCUAAAGAUUAAGAUGUGGAUAUAACUAAGUUAGGUAUAAAGGAAAUAGAAUAAGAUUAGAUUUCAGAAAAUUGAUGGUUGAUGAUUUUCUAUAAUUUUCAAAAUCACAGCGAGUAAUCUGUAUAAUUAGAGUGCAUGUAUGAUCGGAAAAUUUGUUAAUAGUUGUGCUCUAAUAUUCUUAUUGACCUUGCAAUUUACCAAUGCAAUGGAGGCAUGUGAGGUCUUAGUUUCUGCAAAUUGAAAGAUGAUUGACAACAAGAAAGAAAUGGACAACAGCAUUUGAGAGAAAUGGACAACAGCAUUUGAGAGGCCCCAAUACAGCUAAUGUCUUAAUUGUGUGGUUAAAAAGAUGACCAAGAAUAUGUUGAACAAAGUUCAUAUAAAAUAAAAGACUAAAAGAAACAGCAAAACUUAAUCCAUGCAUCCGCCCCCACGACUAGUCCGAGUGGUUUUUUAGUCUAUUAGGUAUCAGUAGGUCCUGUGAUCGACUCCUGUGUGUAAUCUCGUUAUGUAUUUUUGGGACAAAAUUUUACACAAUUUUAGAAAUUAGUUGAUCAAAGGGUUGGGAUACCCCUAAGUGGAAAAUAUAUAUAUAUAUAUAUAUGCAUCCCCAUUCAUCAUUACUUUCUAAAGUGAUUAUAGAGCAAAUAAAAUUCAUGUUUAAAAUAUUUCUCAUGUUUCAGCACAUAUCACUAUUAAAGUGUACGGUCGUGUACAAAACCACUUGCUGUCAUCUUCAAAAUGAUGCCACCAUAUUUGCAACUUAUUUGCUGUGUCAUCUUAAAGUGUAUUUCUUUUGUUCAAUAUUUGCAAGUUUGCAUUUAAUCUUACUUAAAUCAAAAAAAUUAAAGUCCAUCAGAAGACAUAAUCAGAGGUACAAACAAUCAUAUCUAGCUCAAACAUUAGUCAAUGCUGAAAGUAAGAUACCAAAAAUACUAGCUGUUUAUUGCCAUCCAAAAUGGAGAAUACAAGGGGGACAAAAGAAAGAAAAAAAACGUACUUAAAAUUAAGCAUCAGAAAAAAAAAAAAAUUGGAGAAGGGUGAACAAGAAGAAGAAAUGCAAUCUAAGUGGGAACAAGAAUCCAUUUGCACAUUAUGUAAGAAUCCAUUUGCAAAAUAAAUAUAAAGAUUAAAGCCUUAAAGUUUAUCAAAAUGAUUGAAGUGAAAGGUGGGAAGCACUAUCAUUGUCUAUUACUAAGCACACGCACAAGAUUUCAAGUCCUUCCGUUUUCAAAUGUACACAAAAGCAGAACUAUAAAAUACAUAAAAGAAAAUACUAAUUCAAAAAUAAAAAGUUAUAUACAAGAACAAUGUCUAGAUAUCAUUGCUAAAUCCUAGGAUAUUGCCAUAUGUGGUUUUUUUUUCUUUAGCUGCAAAUUGGUUUCAUAGAUCACUAUGUGAAUAAUUAUUGUCAUCAAGUUGUUCUUCAUGCAUAGUAGCAAAGCAAGUCUUGAUAAAUGAUUGCUCAGUGGCAUGUUUCUCAUUUCCCACCUUUUGAUGUUGGAUGUUAACUUCAUCAUCAAUCAGCAAUUCCUGCACUCUUGUUCACCAUGGGGAUAUACAGAUCUACUGACAUAUAUCACCUGAGAUAAAUCUAUCAAGGCUGGUUGUCUAGAUUGUUAAAAAAAAAAUUUUUGCAUUAUGCCAACAACUUGUGGUAAAAACCAUCAUCACCAAUAAUAGCACACCUGAGAACUAUGAACUUUUCACCUUGAAAAGACUUAACAUCAUUGAAGUGAUACUCAUAAUAAUAAAAAAAAAGUAAUAUUUAUAAUAAGCAUACAUAAAAGAUAUCCAUGGUUAAUGAAUUAAAUAAAAUAAGGAUAUAAAAAAAUAGCGAAAUCAAAUUCACACCCCUACAGUCUAAUACCACACAUUGCAUAAGUCUACAUUACAUGGCACACAUCAAUAAUAUAAGUUAACGGGUGCUAAUUUAGAAUAUAGGCGAGUACACGUGUGAUCUAGCUCGAAUUGUUCCCAAAAAAAAAAAACAGAGAGAGACCAAAAUAGAGGAAAAAAGAGAGAGAGAGAGAGAGAGAAAGGUUAACCUAGUAGAAUGUAGGUGAGUACGGGUGUAAAUUAGCCUGAGUCAUACCCAACCCAAAAAAUGAAAAGAUGACCAAAGAGAGGAAAAAGAAGAAAAAAAAAUUGAGAGAGAGAGAGAGAGAGAGAGAGGAGGGGGGUUAGCCUAGUAGCAAGUCAUCAACUAAACCAUACUGAGUACCAAGAGGUGUUGGAAUACUUCAUCAAAAGAAAAAGGUGGGGAACCCACCAUGAAGGCUAAGGCCAACAUCUCAGAGCCUUUAAGACUCAAAGAAGAUCCUCGUUUCUGGCCCUCUUCUGUUUAUAAAUGUGUUGUCCAGUUUCAAUUCGGAAGCCAAAGUUAAGAGCAACUUCUUAACUUCUUCCUUCUUCACCAGUCACCACCACCACCAUACUAUAACAAAAAAACAGUACUUCAACUCGGCCAUGCCACUUAAUUCUGUAGCACCAAAACCAGAAAAUCCCAGCAUUCAACUGAUGGGAGGCCUGCCAAUAUCAUCAGAGUCCUGUGACAAUCCUUAUCUGGCUUACCCUAUACAGGCCAGAACACAGUCCUUUCUGCAAAUGACCUUAAACCCCAUAACUCUAAAGGUCUUAUUUUCACACCUUUUUCUUUUGGACAUUUCAUACAUGCAAGCACAUGCAUUUCCCCAGUCGGAAAAUAGUUCAAGGCAUAUAGUUUUAUUUGUGACAUAGCCCUCAAGGCAUGAAGCUCGUUCACAGAGGAUUACUCAUAAAUAAGAAUUUGAAAUUACUUCUUUUUUUUUCCAUUAAGCAGUAAUUUGAAUGUUCUGCUUAUUUGUCUUACUUAUUAUGCAGUUUGAAGAGAUUGUCUACAAGAUCAGAAUUGAAACGAAAGGAAUGUGUUGUGGCCAAACAUUGAGCAGCAAAGAGAAGAUAAUACUGAACGGGCUAACAGGUAUGGUUUGUCCAGGGGAGAUACUGGCCAUGUUAGGUCCAUCAGGCAGUGGAAAAACAACCCUCCUAACAGCCCUUGGGGGCCGCCUCACCAGCAAGUUAUCAGGAAAGAUCACAUACAACACCCAGCCUAUAUCAGGUCAUAUCAGACGUCAAACCGGGUUCGUUGCCCAGGAUGAUGUCCUGUAUCCCCAUCUAACUGUGUUUGAAACUCUCCUGUUCACUGCACUACUGAGGCUGCCAAAAACCCUUACCAAGGAAGAGAAAGUCCAGCAUGUGGAGCAAGUUAUUGCAGAAUUGGGAUUGAGCAGGUGCCGCAACAGCAUGAUAGGAGGACCUCUAUUUCGAGGAAUAUCAGGUGGAGAGAAAAAGAGGGUCAGCAUUGGCCAAGAAAUGCUAAUCAAUCCAAGCCUACUGCUGCUAGAUGAGCCCACCUCGGGGUUGGACUCGACCACAGCCAUGCGCAUUUUGACCACGAUCAAGCGUCUUGCUAGUGCUGGUCGGACGGUGGUAACCACAAUCCAUCAGCCUUCCAGCCGGCUCUAUCAUAUGUUUGAUAAGCUGGUCUUGUUGUCGGAGGGCAGCCCAAUCUACUAUGGUCCUGCAUCAACUGCCCUGGAAUACUUCUCUUCAAUUGGCUUUUCCACAACACUCACCGUCAAUCCUGCAGAUUUCUUGCUUGACCUUGCGAAUGGUAAUCAGAUAAUCAAUAAGACCAACUCUUUUUCUGUCCUUUAUCAGUCAAAGAACUUCGGACAGCUUGAGUUUUCAAAAAACCUGCUAUCCAAAUGAAAUUCAAGAAUCAACUCUAAGAAUAGGCUCUAGAUAUUUGCAUGUAACAUAUACUUUUUAUGCUGCGAAGUUUAAAGCUGAAUCAAGUUUCGAUAGACCGAGCAACAAAAGUGAAAAAAAAAUCUAUAUAUUCAUCAGAAUCCUGACCAGUUACCAUUAAAACUUUUCAGGAAUUGGGCCUGACGCCAAGCAUGCAAUUGAGCUAGGUGAAAGUGCUGAGAAGGAACAAAAAUUAGUGAGAGAAGCUCUGAUAUCCGCUUAUGACAAAAACAUUGCUACAAGGUUGAAAGCUGAGCUAUGCAGUUUAGACAUCAAUAAUUAUGCUUACGCAAAGGAUUCUUCCACUAGUGAGUUCAAUAGCCUUCCUCUCAAAUAAGUUAUCUUUCUCAAUCACAUAGAAUUAUUAGACUUCAGAUAGUUCUCACUUCUCUCAUUUCAAAUUCUGUCUAAUUUACAGUUGUUUUCUGGUGUUCAAUCAAAUGCAGAACGUGAUGCAAAGUCAGAGCAAUGGUGCACGAGCUGGUUUUAUCAGUUCAACGUGCUGCUACUGCGGGGGCUUAGGGAGCGGAGGUAUGAAACCUUCAACAGACUAAGAAUUUUCCAAGUCAUCAGUGUUGCAAUACUUGGCGGACUUCUCUGGUGGCAUACCCCAAUGUCCCACAUUGAAGAUCAAGUAAGAAUGGAUCCACUUACUCACAUUAUUUGCAUAAACAAUCAUAGUGGCAGCUGUCACUUUCUUUUGAAGGCCAUGAUAAUUAUGAGGCUGUUCUGGUUGCUUUAGAUUUUACUAAAAGUUGUUUAAUCAGAAUCACCAAAGCCUACUCUUGCAUAGGUUCUAGAUAAAUCUAAAAAUUUAGGUUGUUUUCUUGUUAGAAACUCUAAAAUUUUAGUUUUUUAGCUUGUUAGAAAAUCUAAAAUCUAGACAUAAAAGCAAAUGAGAACAGCUAAAAAAAACUAAUUUUUCAGAUCAGAAUCUAAAAUCAGGUGAAAGAAUCAAACGAGAACGUCCGCUAUAUCAAGAAUGCAUCUUGAUGUUGAAUAGACCAAGUCAUUGGAAGACCAUUAGAGGGCGCCCACAUCUGAUAAUGCGCAUGAUCUACAGAAAAUCGCCGAGAGUACAGUUAUUAUCAUUUUACCUUGAGAGUUCUUUGGAAGCCUCUAUAUUCAAUGAAGACAUAAGAUAUGCUUCUUCAAAUAAAACAGCUACUUCUAAGAGAUACUAACCUAAGUUCAUUUCCUAUAUGCAGAUUGCUAUGUUAUUCUUCUUCUCUGUUUUCUGGGGCUUUUACCCAAUCUACAAUGCUGUUUUCACUUUUCCCCAAGAAAGAAGGAUGCUUAUCAAGGAAAGAUCAUCUGGAAUGUACCAUCUGUCCUCCUACUUUCUAGCUAAAACAGUGGGCGAUCUUCCACUAGAGCUUGCUCUGCCAACUGCCUUUACCUUCAUAAUUUAUUGGAUGGGUGGGCUCAAACCAGAACCAGCCACCUUCAUCCUUUCCCUUCUCAUUGUUCUGUACAGUGUCCUUGUUUCGCAAAGUCUAGGAUUGGCCUUUGGUGCAAUACUUAUGGACGUAAAGCAAGCUACUACCUUAGCAUCAGUAACAACGCUAGUUUUCCUCAUUGCUGGUGGUUACUAUAUUCAACAAAUCCCUGCUUUCAUAGUCUGGUUAAAGUACUUGAGUUACAGCUACUACUGUUUCAAGCUGCUUCUUGGAGUGCAAUACAAUGGGAAUGAUUAUUAUGAGUGCUCCAAGGGAGUAUAUUGCCGGGUUGCAGAUUUCCCUUAUGUCAAAUCAGUAGGUCUAAACCAUUUGUGGAUUGACGUGUCCAUCAUGGCACUCAUGAUGGUGGGCUAUCGGUUCAUUGCUUAUCUAGCAUUGCGCAGGGUCAGAUGAAGAAGGUUCAAUUCAGGAGCAUGAUCACCAAGGCCUGUUGAAGAGUUUUCCAUUUCUUCAACUGAGCAAUAAUCUUAGGUUUAGAUGAGAAUGCCACUGUCAGAUUAUGAUCACAAGUACCUGGAUAGUUGGAUGUAUCACAUUCUGGCAAUGGUUUGCAAAAAACUGACUUACAAAAGUGAUCAAGAUUUGCACAAUAAAUGUGUAACACUCUUAAUAGUAAGACCCAGUCUUAUAGAAGGAGAAUGAUUUUCCCAGUGUCAAAAAAGAGGGCAUGUUAAGGCAACUCAAAGUCCACUGUAUUCCAGAUCCAUGUGGGGGCAUUACAAUCGCCACUUUAUGGUAGUAACUCCUACAGAUGCAUUGACCACAAAAAGAAGGCACUCUUUUAAAGAAUAAGCAAAUUUAAGUACAUAGAGUAAUUAUAUUGGACAAACGUUUUAUGUCUGGAAGUGCACCAUAACAUUGCUUUUAUCUAUCUUCUUUGUUCAGUCUCUCUGUUGUCUAAUCCUAAGUUUAUAGUAGGGACAGAAAGUGGGACUAAGAACACUUUUGGCUUCUAAUCAAGGUCAUGGUCUGAAGGGCCACGAAGACCUCUUUAUCUUUAAGGAGACGUUUGAACAUAUUUUGUUGCUACAUCUUUAAAUCUUUAUACAGUUCCAGGACAUGUCAUACAUGUUUACUGUAUGGACAGGAGGAGGGAUUCAACAUAAGCUUUUUUCAAUGGCAUGGAGAUUUUGACGGAAACCAGAAAUUCUGUGAAUAUUUUUGCAAAAAGAAGUCAAACCCUUGAAUCUUGAUGUAAAACAGAAGUCAAAAAAAUGGAGAGAUAACUACAGAAUUGAAAAUAUAAUUUUCCGAAAAAAUUCUCAAUCAACAAUCAGCUGAUUAUGCAGGACAAAAGGUGGUCAAAAACGAUUUGAUGUGGUUGACAAACUUCAAUCUCAAGAAUAAUAGAUCUCAAUUUUCCUGUUUAUCACAUGGACUGGACAAUAAAAACAAACAAGAAAGGAGGAGCACAGAGAAUCAAGCAACAGAACACUAUACCGGAGAAGGCUAGCAAUUCUAACCUCAAUUCCAGAAGCCAUAUUUCUUCGUGGUGAUGAGAGAAAUUCUUGAACUGCAUGAUAUCGAAAGGAGGUCAAGUUCCACAUGAUGCUGAUACAGUAGCGGCUGCAACAUUAUGCAAACAAGAAGUGACCCCCAAAAUCCUUGUCAUUUUUACGUCAACGUAGUACCCCAUGCACCGCUCCCUAUAAGGUUCUAGAUUAACAAUAAAGGCCUGAAAUCCAUAGAAUCCUGCUCAUCUCUCGGAUAGAUUAAUGGUUGCAGAUAUCCAUUGAUGGCUAAUGAAGCAGAUCUUGCGUUAGCUGUUAAUUAGAAGGUUGGUAGAAAGGAGAAAUGGAAGAAAUAAACACAGAUACAAGCUGAAGUGGAUUCAAUUCUUCGAGACGGGCCACGAAAGGCCAAGUUGAGAGGGAAUUGUGAUCAGUACAUGAUGAACACCCGGCGACACCUAUGCUGAAUGAGUACAUGACUCCAAUACAGGUCAACAAAAUUGCAAUGAAUCUGCUGAUUUCAUGAUGAUUCUAAGGCAACUGGAGAUCACUGCUGACAGAAGUCAAGACAACUGGCUACCGAAAAUUUGAUAUUUCUUUAAUAUGCAAUGUCUCGUGAAUCUACCUCUCCCAGUCAGGCUUGAAGCCGCAGAACAAUCCAGAAUUUUUAGCGAAAUAACCAUUCCAUUUCAAAUUUUUCAUACUGAGCAAAGCUUGAGACUUAAAUUAACUAAUGCAAGAAGCUAACCUCAUGUAGAUCAAAGUACAAUUGACAAGAAGCAAAUAAGCAAACCCAUAGAGCAUGGUUCACUGUUGCGGAUCACGGUCGUGGAUGUUCCACAUCCGUCGCAGCAUAUUGAUUGAACAUCGGGUGAUACAUACAUUAUAAUAAAUAAAAUUUUCCAAAAAAUCUGAAAAAAUUACUAAAAAUAGAGAAUACCAUAAAAGGCACAAUUACCAAAUUAAAUUUACUAAAUACCUACAUGAUCAUAAAUAGUUACUAAUUAUUUAAAUAAAAUAAUGCUGCCAUUACCAUAAACCUAUAGCAUUAGCAAUAAAUGAUUUUAGCAUCAAGUGUGCUUUCUAAUCCUAUUUUAUAUGAGAUCAAAAAUUAUAUAUAAAAAUAAAAUCAUCAUAUCUUACAUAAUACAAUACGAAUCCCAGUACACAAAGGAAGUAGUGGUGUUUAGUUCAAUACAAUAAAAGAAACAAAUACCUAUUAAAUAAUAUUAUGAAAUAUAAAGACAUAAAGAAGCAAGUGUUUUCACCAUAUUCUCAAUACACAUUUUCAUCCUAUAUUGAUCCCAAUUUCCUAAAAUAAAAAAUAAUAAAUAUCACUGAAAUAUUAAAAUUAAUGAAUUAUGUACAACUAUUGAAUUCUAUCAAAUAUAGUAAAAUUAUAUUUUUACUUUGUUUACAUACCUAUUAAUACCAUGUGGAAUGACGAGGAGGUUCAAAAUCAUGCUCAUCUCCCAACCGAUUAUAGUAAGAAUAUAACAUUUGUAGUUAGUUUCCUUCAUGUGAAUAAGGAGAAAUGUAUGAACCAUAUUGUUCGUCUCUUAAAUUUGAUGACGUACUAGAUAAACCAUGAUUAAAAUGUGACAAAGGUGGUAGAUUUGAUCUUAAUGAACCCUCGAUAGUGUAAACUAUCAGUGGUGCUAUUAGAUGAACCAUAAUUGUGUUCAUAAUAGCCAAUGCUACUUGAUUCAGAUGUAGAUCCCUCAUGAUAUAUUCUAGUUGGCUGAUGAUAAUAUUCAUUAGUAGAAACACUAGUGGACCUCUGAAGAUGGCUAGCUCCACUAUAUGAUCCGUAUUCAGAGUAAUAACAAGUAGAACCUGCAUGUAAUCGCUCAAACUCAUGUCCUAGCCACCUAGUACCCAAACUAUUACCAGAAUUAUAGACUCCAUAUGAAUGACCUAUAUUUAAAUCUUGCAUGAGCUUAUGAAAUUCAGAAUAUCUCCUAGAAUUUGAGUAGUAAAAAGAGUCACCUUCACUCAAAAAUUCAAUUAUUCUGCUCAAAUGCUGCUACUGUGCUUUUAUGCCACGAUGAUAUCCAUGAUCAGUGUCUUGAGUAGCAUACUAGUUAUUAUCUGUUUGAACCCAUGACAUGCCACCAGUACAUUAGCUAUUAUGAUAGUUACCACCACUACCACUAAAAUUUUUUGUUAAGAAUGUCUCGUGUUUGCCCCUCCAUUAUCAUCAUCAUCUUUUCCACCGCUAGAGGUGUUGGUAGAGAAAGAUGAAAUGGGUUUUGAUAUAAUUUUUUUCUAUCUAGUACUCUUGUCUUUGCUCAUAAAUACUUGCUCUUUAUGUUUCUUUUUCAUACCAAUUAUGAAUUGAGACAAAAGCAUAUCAUUAUCAUCAUCAUUAUGAUGACUUUGUUCUCUCCCUCCCUUCACUUUCAUUGAUGUAUUUAUUCAACCAACUUAAAUCAUCUUCACAAAUCAAUCGCGGCUCAUUUUCUCAAAUCCACUCAUCUAAUAUAUCAUUUUCAUCAAAAAUGUGAUUUAAAUAAAUUGGGUUAUAAAAAUCAUCGGUGUCAUUUUUAUACAUCAAAUUCUUCAUUCUGAGCCACAUGUUGUAGCGCACAAAUACCAACUUGUUCAACAUUUCAAUUGGCAAUUGAUUUCAAAGUUUUGUAUGUAUCAAAGACCACGUACUCCAAAUUCUUUCAUAACCAGAUGAUGUACAAGUUUGACUCAGAACUUUAAUUACAAUUUUUCUUAAAUUAGGAACUUCUUCACCAUAUAUGUUCCACCAUAUAGCUAUUAAAAACAUAGAAUGCAAAAAAAUAGUAAAUAUGAUGCAUAUAUAACAAGUAUCCUUAAACUGAUAUAAUAAUGCAUAAUAUAAUUUAAAGGACAAAAUCAUAUUUAUUAACCUGAUAAAGAUGUAGCUACUGCUUUAAUUGCAAGUGCACUUCCAAACUCUCCAAUGUUGUUCACAAAUGUGUUUGUCUAAGGAUACCACAAAGUUAGAAUAUUAGAAAUUUAAAAAAACACAUAAAGUAAUGCAGAUUAAUAAAUAAUGGCUAUUAUUUUACCUUAUUCAUUGCUUUUGCUUGCAUUUCUAAAUUUAGUUCAAACCUUUUAAUUACUUCUUUCAAUCCUUUUCUAAUUUCAGAUGUAUUAAAUUCACAAGUGCCAGAAUAUUGAAGAACGAGAUUUAAGAAAUAGGCUGGACCAAUGACAUAAAAAAUAAUCAAGUGGGAAAAUCUUUAGCACAAAAUAAUUUGUUUAAAAAAAUAUUUAUUUAUAAGUGUCAAACAUAAUGACCUGUUGCAUGCAAGUCUUGUGUAAAUGCUUAUACCAUCUGUCAUCAAUAAUAUCACAGUAUUUUUGAAAGUCUUUCACUGCAAUUUAUAUUGUCAUUUUAGCCUUAUCCAUUUUCUCAUAUAUAAUGGGUAGUGUGGGUUUUUUAUCCUAAUCGAUCACUUUUAAAACUUUCACUAGCGGCUCCAUGAUUGCACAUACCCACCAUACCUUUUUCCAAAAUCUUUCUAACAAAAUCAAGUCAAACACUUCAGCAUCUUCUUCCCUUCUUUUAGAACUGCUAUUAUACUCUUACCACUCAUUUGAAGUACACAUUCGUUUCAACUCGGUAGCAUGAUGAAGAAGACUUUCUAUUGCAAUGAUCUCGGUAGCAAAUCUUGUUAUGUCAGGUUACAAUAACUCUCUAUUAUUUGUAUAUGUCUUCAUUAGAUUUACCAUUUUGUCACUAUUGUAUAUAAAACUGGUAAUUCUCCUACCUUGUUUGAUGGCAUCUUUUAUUGACUUCAUCUGAUCAAUGUCUUCCAAAAUCAAAUCAAUGCAAUGCGUAGCACAUGGUGACCAGAACAAAUGCUUCCUUUUCUUCAUCAAUUGCUCCCCAGUUGCUUUCAUACUAGAUUCGCUAUCAGUGACAAGUUGUACAAUAUUUUCUUCUUCAAUGGAAUCCACAACCUUAUCCACUAAGGAUAAAACUGGUAAUUCUUCUACCUUGUUUGAUGGCAUCUUUUAUUGACUUCAUCUGACCAAUGUCUUCCAAAAUCAAAUCAAUGCAAUGCGCAGCACAUGGUGAUCAGAACAAAUGCUUCCUUUUUUAUUAGUUGCUCCCCAACUGCUUUCAUACUAGAUUCGCGAUCAGUGACAAGUUGUACAAUAUUUUCUUCUUCAAUGGAAUCCACAACCUUAUCCAUUAAGGAUAAGACAAAAUUUGCAGCCUCUACCUUGUUUGUACUGUCGACAAAGUUGUGGUAUAUUAUGUCUCUAUCAUAGUACACCAUGAAAUUAAUGAUUGGAUGCUUUGUCCGAGUACUCUAGCCAUCACACAUGAUUGUGCACCCAUAUGUUUUCCAUUUGUGUUUAAUGGAACUAAUUGUCGGUCAACGUCUGCCAUCUCCUUAUUUAGAUAUUCACCUCCAAUUUGUCUACCUGUUGGCCCUUUAAAUCCAAGUCCAGCACUAUCAAUUGUGUCAAUCAUCGAUUGAUAAUAAGUUCCACAAUCAGCCACAUGAAAUGGUAUGGCAUUAAAAUGAAAAAAUUUUGCAAUUGCCUUACCAACUUUUUUGUCAUUUUCUUUGGAAAAUUAAUCUUUUAUUGACUUAUUUUUUAAGGGAAACAUGUAUGGAUCAAUUCCUUUGACCCCAAACCUCCUGCCUUAAACUUAAAACUCUGUGAGAAAGCUCUUUUACUUCUAGAGAACAAUAGAUUAGGUAUAUUCGAACUACUACUCCCUACAAUAUAGUACAUAAAAGAUUGUAAUAUUUUUUUAUUAAAUAAGUCUUGUACUCUAAAAAUGAUAUAUUAAUUUUUAGAUAUUUCUACAUACAUACCAGACGUAAAAUUCAUAGUUGGCUAACUUCCAGAUACAUAAUGCCUAGGUUGCUCUUCCAUAAAUCUCAUGUAUCUACUUUCAUCCAUAGCUCACUUGUAUUGCUUUCUUUCUAAAGCUUCCAUUUCAUCUUCCUUAAGUUUGAAGAUAUCAUCCUCGUUUUCACCUAGCAGAUUGAUGGAAUGGAGUAAUGAUUGUUUUUUCUUUUGUAUUUCAACUAUUGCACUCUUACCUUAAAUCAAGUGUUUCUUUAAAAGCUCUCUUAUUUCUUUUGGAGCUACAGGACAUGUUUUUACUUGUCGUGCUACAUGGCUAAUAUGUUGUUUCAUCCUUAUAAUUCCUCAGUGUACAAUUUUACCACAAUAAUUGCACUUUGUAACCUUUCUGGUAAUGACCAGUUGGAGUAACAUGAUCCCCACCAAUGCCUUGAUUUGAACCCAUUUUACAAUGUCCUUAAAUUAGUUAAAUAAUUGUAGGUGUGAUGUUAAACAUGCAAAUAUGUGUUAUUCAGAUAAGAAUAAAAUUAUUAAAUUUUAUUAUCUAAAUAUAUUAAAAAUUUUCCGAUCAAGUUUAAUUAUACAAGAUAAUCUAUACUUUCACAAUUUGCCCACUUCAAUUUUUUUGUUUAACUAAGUGGAACUUGUAAGUAAACUUUUUUUUUCCUUUUUCUAAUUAAUUUACCUAAAAUCAUUUUAACCAAUAUAAUUGAGAUAUAUGAAAUAAAUAAAUUACAUUAUUGAUCAUUAAAAUGUAUCCAAACAAUAACUAUAUAUUUUCUAACUAAAACUUAGAUAAGAAACUACUGAUAUUAUAUAAUAUAUUAAAUAUAAAAUUAGCAAUGUAAUAAAAAACAUCAUAUACUUAAUAAUGUAUAAAAAUGCCAAAAUGCAUUGCAUAAAUUUACAAAUAUUGAAAUAUCACAUCUGAAUACUAAAUCCAGAAAAAUUAAAAUUGAGAAACUACUUUGAAAGAAGAUGUGGACCUUUUGGCCUGAUGUUUGAGUUUAAGAUUAGGAGUCCAAUCUCCUAAUUACUUAGGCCAAAUUUGGACUUUAAGAGUUUUUAAUUUUUGCUUCUUUUUUUUCCUGUCUUUGGCUCCACUAGAAAAGCCCAACUACUCCAAUUUUAGCUGAGUUCCACGUACUCCAAAUUUAGUCGUUGCUUUGGUUCUUUCUUCUCCCUUUUGCUCUUUCUUCUCUUCUCUGUAGACCAAUUGUCGAGCCCUAUUUCUAAAAAAAAUGAAUUAAUGAUUAAAAAAUGAAUUUUUAUUUUAAAGAACAUUGGCGUAUAAAAAUGUAAUUUUUAUUAAAAGAUGAGUAAAAAAUGAGUUUUAGUUCUUGAUUAGUUUUUAUUUUAGUUUUAAAUUUUGUAAAAAUAAAAAGAAAGAAAAAGAGCCUAAAAUGGGACUUAAAAAGUGCGACAGUUUUGGCUCAAAAUAAUAGUCUAAAAAGGGUUUCUAAGAAAAAUAGGAGUGGUCACUUGGUAUUGAGUUAAGGUGUACCAAAUCACCCAAAAUAUGUUUUUAAGAUAAAAGAUAAAAAAAAAUAAACCCUUUUUAAAUGACUCCAGAUUUUUGAAAAGAAGAGAAAAGAGUUCGGGAGUCACAGUUGAAAAAAUGGAAGGCAAAGAUUUGAUAGAAUCAAACCUAAGGCACCCUGUCAACCUAGCCAAAGUUAGUUGCGAGAUUUAGUCGAAAAUUUUUCGAGCCUUACCUAUGAAAACUUAUCACAUUAGAAUGUUUCUAUAUGGAUGCAAACCUAGACCUAGGGGGGUAUCGAGAGGGUCGAGCUGUCUCUUCAAAAUUUAAAUGGUGCAAUCACAUUAAUUGUGAUGCCCAAAAUGAUUUUUAGAAAAGGUUACGAAUAUGCAAAAGAUAAGAAUAGAAGAAAAGAAGAAUUAUAAUAUAUAAAUAUACAUGACCUAAAAGAGAGGAAUGCAACAUAACGGGUAUGAGGGAUCUAAAUUCGUGACUCAAUUUUCCUUUCUCUAGAGGAGAUACAAACGUGUUAAGCCUUAGAAACUAUACUCGUCCAUUUCCCAUAUUUGAAGAGUGACUCUCCUAACUAGUCAAGCAAAUGAACUAACCUAUUUCUCAUUUCCUAUUGGAAUGCAAGUCUAAAUGUCAUGUUUCACACACAUAGGGGUAAGUGAGAUAAGGAAAUUUCAUGCCAAUGAAGAAAAGGAUCCUAAAGGUGAAAAGUAUGCAUGAAAUGCAAUAAAUGUCAAACAAAGUAUGAAUUCUAACGCGAAAACGGCCUAAAAGGUCUAGCAUUGUACUAACUCAUUUCUAUAAGUCCUCACUAGCGUUGAACUAGUGAGAAAUCGGGGAGCAAACCACAACUAACAUUGGACUAGUGUGAUGACGUCAUGCAUUUAUUAUAACUAAAUAAAUCAUAUAAAACAUAAUUAAAACAAGUAAACACAUAAUGCACAUAGAAUGCAUAACAAAUAGGCAUAAUUUCUAGAUGCAAAACCCUAGUGAAAGCGAAUAAACAUGUAAACACACAAGCAUGCAAGCACACAAGCAAAUAAAUGCAAAUAAAAGCUUAACUAUAACAUUCGAGACCCUAACUACAAUCUAAGAGGAAAUUUUUUUUUAAAAAAAAAAUAACCUAACUAUUACAUUUAUCUAACUAAAUACAUUUUUGACAAAAAUUAAAACCUAUCUAUUACAUAUGCUAACUAAAUACAUGUCUUGAGUAUCUAUCUAUUACAAAUUGACAUUUAAAUGCCCUCAAAUAAUCAUCAAAAAUUAAAUAUAAUAAAUAAAAAUUUAAGAUGAAUAAAAUUCAUAAAUAAAAGAAAAAGCACUCAAAACAUGCAAUCACAUAUAAAAAGCACAUAAGAGCACAUAAAGGAAUUUAAAAUAAUACUAGAAGGUAUCUCCCUUUGAAGUAUUGGUUAAAUGAAGUUGGAUUUGCCCUAUUAUACUCCAAGAUCAACAAAAUGGUCAAAACAUCAAUUUAAUUAACAAAUAAAUUAUAAAGCAACGGAAAUAACCAUGAAAUCUAGCAAUUAAAACAUUUAAAUAAAGUAUAAUUAACAAUUAAAGAAGAUAAACAACUUACAUUUAAGAAAUCAAAACUGUCAGAGACCUAAUUGCAAAAUUGAGAACGUUUUUGGGAUCAAAUAAUAAUUAUUACAAAAAAGGGGUCAAAUCAAAGAAAAAUAAAGUUUAGGAACCAAAUUACAAUUAAAUUAGGGACCUAAUUGAAAGAAAUAAAAAAAAUUUAGGGCCAUAAUAUAAUUACUUAGAAGUAUAGGGACCAAGUUGCAAUUUUCAUUUUCUGGUUUGGCCAGAAAGGGCCUUGGGCAUCCUUCAAAUUUUUCUUUGGGCCAAAGUUACCUAGGCUUAAUGAAAAGUCCAGAAAAAUGGGUGGACUAGCCUGUCAUUUUUACUAAACUAAGUCUGGUGAAAAAAGGUUGGGCUUAAACCCCAAGUUCGGUCAUAAACCCAAGCAAAAAGGAAAAUCUUGGCCCAAAUUUUUUUAACCCAAAACAUGUUUUAUCAACCCAUCAUGGCCCAUAUCAGAUCAAAUGAAGUAAAACAAACAAGAUAAAAUUGGAGGAAAAUAGAAAGAAAAUAAGUGAAAAGCAUUCUGGCGGGUCUGAAAACAUUCGCCGGAAUCCAUUUUUACCGGCUUUUAAAGCCGAAUAUUGAUAUAAACAUACUCCCCAUGAUCUCUUGAGUUAGUUAAAACAUCAAACAUCACCAUUUAAACAACAAAAUUGUGAGAAAAAAGAGAUCUAAGAUGCAAAACCCGUAAAACUCAUGUAAUAGCUUAAAAAACACAUGAAAAACGUUAGAACAACCAAGAAAAAGGGUUAUAAUUACCUGAGGAAGUUAGGGAACUUGAAUAGAUGCGAGAAAUCACAGUGAAGCGUGCCCUGAUUCCGAAAGUGAAGCAAAACACUUCUUGUCGUAGAAGUUUAAGAGUUGAGAAACUGGCAACUUCAGGCUCGAAUUCGAAGGUUCUGGAAGUGUUUUUUCAGGAAACUUUCAACAUGAAAACUCCCCUACUACGUCCAUGAAGUAUCCAGAAAUCAAGAAUCGAUCUCAAAGAAGUCAAGACGAAGAAGAAAAUGGCGUCUGAACAGGGCUGCCCGUUCAUUCCUAACUCAAUUUUUUCUGAAAAUUCCCUGCUACUUUUUCUUCUUUUUCCUUCUCUGUUUUCCUUCCUUUUCUAUUUUUCGGCCGCCUCCAACUCUUUUUUCUACCCUAAUGGCCGCAUUUCUAUGCAUUUAUAUGGAACAAAAACCCUCCCCCCAAACCCUAUGAGCAAUGGUGGAGAUUGGUUGGCUUUUUGGGGAUGAUUUGGAGCAAUUAGAUGGCUGAUUUUGGAUAAGAAUUGGAAGAUGAUUUGACCCUUGUACUGGGGGGCUCAAAAGGAAAGAAAAAAUGAGUGGAAUUAGGAUCAAAUGGCCGCUGCAAUUCUCUGGUACUAUGGCCUCGUUGCUAGUUUUGUACCAGUUUUCAUGAAGGAAAAUUUUUUUUUUUAUAAAAACUGAUUUUAAUUUUUGUUUUCUGCUUUUUUGUUUUCUUUUAUUUCUAAUUUUCUAAAAAUAAAUUGAAAUUAUUUUCUUCAGAAAUAGAAAUGAAACAAAAUAAACUAAAAUAAAUAAAAUUUAAACAAAAUGAACUAAAAAUGAACAAAAAAUAGGAAUAAAAUGAAGAAAAAUAAAAUGGUAACAUUUUGGCGUUUACAACUUGCCUCUCUUUAUCUGAGUUUCGCAAAAAAUCGAGAUAAAGACGUAGACACUGUGACGACCCCACUUCUCCUUAGGGUGUGAGCCGCCUACCUAGCUUUCGUCAGGGCUCAAUACGAGUCAAAUUUAAAGUUAAAGGUAAUCAACCACUAAUAAAAGUUAAUAUAAAGAAAAGUCGCUUCCUUAUAUAAUCAUUUGAGUCUUAUAUCACAAAGUUUCCAAAAGGUACAUCAAAUUUCCCCAAAAAUACAACCACCAUAAGUCGACUAAUCAAUUACAUUCAUAAUUGUACCAAAAUAAAGUCAAGACAGCUUCUCCAAAAAUCUUUCCAUUCCGAGCCCCUGUUAAGGAAAACAAACUACGGGGGUGAGUUAACAUUUAGUGAGGCCAAGAAAAGCAUGCAAACACAUAAGUUCAAGUAACAAUAACACUGGUACAAGAAAUAUAGUUAGAAAGUUCAUGUAAUUCACAAAUAACAGUAAAACACAAUCAAUAAGGAUACGGGAGCUCUCAGGAGCUAAAUUCCCCUUUGCUUUGCCAAGGCUUGAUCCAAUACCUCCACGUGAUGACACUCCGUCAACCGAGUAGGUAGCAAGUCCGUAGAAACCCCGCUUACUUCCUCCAUCCCUCAUUUCACCCCCUUGGAUCCGUAACCAAACACUCACUGGAAGGGCGAUACUACUCGAGUAUGGCAAGCAAGAUCUCAAAAGAUCAAACUUAUAAUUUUCUCAUGGUUCACCGGGCUUCUCGACCAAGCCCAUACUGGCUCAAGUCGCAAGGUUAGCCAAUGAGUUUUGGGCGUCCCCAAAUGUACAAAUACAAUUUGCCAAGUUCACGUAAUUCAAUUAUCAAGUCACAUUCACACAAGUCAAUUAUCUAGUCAAGUAAAAGAGAACGAGUGCGAUAAAGUACACACUCGUCUUGACAAGUCCAAAUCACUUAAUUAACAAGAAACAAUUCAAGUAUUUAGCAACAAUUCAUGCACUUGACACUCACCAAAUCAAAAGUAAGUGAGCCAAUAAGGCCUUUAGUUGUCUGCACUGAGAUUCCCUUCGAAACUCUCUUGAGCACCUGAAGAAAAAGUGACCAACCAUCACUCACGUAUACUUUAGACCUCUUAACAUUCAAGAAAGAAAAUGCACUUGCUUAAAAUUAAGACAACGCCUUAAAAGAGCUUUUCUCAUCGAACAUCGAGAUUCAAAAAUGAGAAUUUAAAAUCUCAAGUGAACUCAUAUCAUUCAUGAAAUCGAGUUUAAAAUGAACCAUCAAUCUCAAAAGGAAGUUGGAAGUUCAUAAAAGUUCAUUUCUUAAGAAAUCAGAAAUUUCCAGUUUUACGAGACAAUACUUGGAAAAUCAGAUCUUGAGUUUGGUAAGUCCAAAAAUGGGAAACUUUACACCGUUGGAAACUAGAUUCAUAGUACUAAAACUAAAAAUCAUUCAAAUCUCAGCUCAAAGCUACUAUUUCAUGAAGACACUUUUCCCAGAUUCCAACUAAAAAUCAUUCAAAUCUCAGCUCAAAGUUACUAUUUCAUGAAAUCAGGGCCGAACCAGUCUUGAUUUUUCAGUAAUGUUUGGAAAUUCAAAAAAAAUUCACAGAAAUUGAAUUAGCCUCUAAAAUUUAUAACACAGCAAGAGUUUCAAGUAAAGUUUCAAACACAACCAGAGGAACUAAAUUUGGAUUUUUGAACAGCAAGAUACAACAGUUUGAAGAUGGCUGGAUUUCACAACCUGUCCAACAAUUUUCCAGUUACCAGCUUUGACACCGUUUUGAAAUCAAACCAUAUCUAACUCUACACAAGUCCAAAUUGAGGAUGAUUUAUGGCGUUAGAAACUAGAUUCAAAAUGUUUCAAAUCAUCAGAAGACAUCAUUUUCAAACUCUUUUUACAAGUGAGACAAAAUUAAGCCACAAGAUACAAUUUCACAGUUUCUCGAGGAUAAACAGGUAAAACAGGUCAGUCCACUUUACUGAUUCGUUACGGGUCACUCAAAACGAAUUAGCAAGGAAAUUUUAUAUCGUUUGAAAGCUCUUGGUAUCUAGUUUUAAAUGCCAAAAACGGCACUUAACUUCGACUUUUGUACAAAGAUUUAUGCUCAGACAAAGUACCCCUAGUCGGCUGCCCUGGCAGCUAUUUUCCAGAUUUCUACCUUUCCACAAAACCCAAGUUUAAUGUAACCAAUUGAAAUGAUUUUUGAAAGACAAUUUCUACACACAUAAUACAACAUAUAACAAGCAUUUUAGCAGCCAUAUAACCAACAAAAAUUCAAAAUCCAAGCAAGACAACAGGGCAGCAAAUUCGGCCAGCCCCUCUCAAGAGUUUCUUUUAACUUUCUUUCCUCUUACCAAGCCAAUGUCAAGUCACUCAUCACACAAACAACAACAAUCAAGUAAAAAGCCUCAAGUCCACUACCUAAAGGCCACCUCAAGACCACUAGCCUAGGAUAUAAAGCAAGAAAUAAAAGUUCCUCAAGUCCUCUAGCCUAACUUCUUGAUUAAGGUUUCAAACCCAUGAAAUACAACCUUUACUUUUGGUAAAAUUUGAAACAUUAAAGAAGGAUGAGCUUGUUACCUCUUCAAGUUCUUGAACCCUAGGAAGAGCCAAGUUAUGCACCACUAACCACCAAGAAUUCACCACAAGAUGGAAGCUUCCUUCAAGUUGGAUCAACUACUAAAGGUUUGGAGGAUUUUGUAUGGAUCUUGGAGCAAGAUUGGUGAAGAAAAAUUGGAGCUUUUCUCCCUUCUUCUUGAGCUAGAGAGGGUCGGCCAUGGAGAGGAGAAAAAGGGGAGAAAGUGAGCUUUGAAAUGUGAUGGAAAAGUGAGGUGAAAGGUAGCUUUUGGAGGGUAAAAGUCAACUUUGAAUAGUAGCUCUAAUAGUGUCAUGCACUACCAAUUCGUUCUUGUUUGCUACACUUAAAUACUAAUCCUCUAAGGUGGUUCCUCUAACACUACAAAUACUCAUACUUACUAGUCUAAAAUUAAUUCUCCAAAAUUAUUGCACUUUCGGAUCGAAUAUCGCCUCGAAAAAUGUGUAUUCGCUAUUCCUUACUAGACGAGCCGCAGAAAAAUUAAAUUUGCUAACGGAACGUUUUAAAAAAAUAUAAAUGAGACAUUGCUCCAUGCAAAUAAAAUUAAAGUGGUUAAAAUAAAUUAUUCGGAGAAAACGGGUAAAUAAAUAAUUAAAUAAGCCAGUAAAAUAAAAUAAAAGUAAGAAAAAUUUGGGUCCUCACAAACACCAACUUAUUUACCUUUCUGGUUCAGCUGCAAUUGAAACAACUAGUAAAGCCUAAUUAAUCAGAAAACCCAAGCUUAGAAAACAAAAGAUUGGUGAGAUAAAAUCCAAACCUAACAAAAUAAAGGUUGGUGGGAUAAAACCCAAAUCCAACAUGGUUGAUGGAAUAAAACCCAAAUUUAACGAAAUAACAGUUGGUGGGAUAAAACCUCAACCCAACAAAAAAAACGGUUGGUGGGAUAAAAUCCAAACCAAUGAAAUGGCAGUUGGCAGGAUAAAAUUCAUUUCCAACAAAAUAGCGGUUUGUGGGAUAAAAUCCAAACCCAACAAAAUAGACAAAAUAACAGUUGGUGGAAUAAAAUUCAAACCCAAAAAAAUAACGGUUGGUAGGAUAAAAUCUAAACCUAACGAAAUAUCAGUUGGUGGAUAAAAUCCAAAUCUAACGAAAUAGUGGUUGGUGGGAUAAAAUCCAAACCCAAUAAAAUAACGGUCGAUGAGAUAAAAUUCAAAUCCAAUGAAAUAAUAAUUGGUGGGAUAAAACCCAAAUCCAACGAAAUAACGGUUGGUGGGAUAAAAUUCAAAUCCAACGGAAUAACGGUUGGUGGGAUAAAACUCAAUUCCAACAAAAUAACGGUUGAUGGGAUAAAAUCCAAAUCCAACAAAAUAAAACCCGACGAAAUAACAAUUAAUAGGAUAAAAUUCAAACCCAACAAAAAAAAGGUUUACAUGAAAAUGUGUUUGAAUCAAAAGCUGUGAAGUGAUUUUUGCUAUUUUACUAAACAAAUGUUAAACUUACUUGUAGAAUCAGAUAUCACUUUCGUGACAAAAUUUGUCCCAGUGUAAAUCAGACUUAGCUAAAUAAUUGUUGUUUUCUGUUCCUUCAAAAAGACAUGUCUAGUCCAAUCCUGCAAAAGGAAAUAAAAACAACUGUGAUAAAAUAUAAUGCCAUUACCGUGCGAUCCCUCAAACCUUGAGAAACAUGAGUCUUUUGAUAUCGGGCGACUGUUCGAUUUAAACAUCUUGUUUAACCUUCCUUUUGAUCUGCUAGUAUCUGUACUCAAUCAACCAUACUUAUACCAUAGAUAUACACUCAUUACGGUAAAUUACGGGGAUCGUCUCUUGGUUAAAUUCAAUGAAAAACACGUAAAAGUUUUAAACAAGAUAAUUUCAUGCAAUAGUGUAAAAAUAAUUUUAGUAAAAAAUGACUCUUAUUAAAUUUACGAAAAUAAUUUGGAGACUCAGAUACAAAUUUGAAUGGCCCUUUUAUGAUAAAAGGAACGUCACAUUUGACCCCUUCGAAUAUCACGUUCCUGAAAUUCGGUGUUGCCAACAGACCUUAACAUGAGGAAAAAUUCAAACGAACAUAGUUACCAGCUUCUGAACAGUCGACCCUCUGCUUUCCAUUCACAGCUCAGUCAAUGAUUCAAAACCCUACCUUAGCACUCUUUUGGAUUUUCACUAAGGUUGCCCCCGUCCAUUUAUUUUCUUUCUUUUACUUUUGCUUUUUGUUUUUUUUCUCUUUUCUUCUCUUUUUUUUUUCUUCUUUCUACUUUUUUUCUCUUUUUUUUAUUAACUUAAUUUUUUUUGUUUUUUGUUUAUUUUUUUUUUUGAAAAGGCUCUAUUUCGAAUUUUCACCUAAUGAACAAAUUUAGCGACGGCCUCUAUCAAUUCAAAAAUGUGUUUCAACAUUAAUGACAUCAAUGUAACAAUCCUUCCCUUAUAAAAUUGAUGAAUGUGGGUUGACAUCAUUUGCCAUUUGAUUAAACAAUUCUCAUUACAAAUACUGUUAAAGCGGAGGUUGGGACUUUAUGAUUUUUGUAACGAGAUCAGGUGUGGUGUUAAGAAAUGUUAAGACUCUAAAGCAAUUUUUUAAAGGGGUUUCAAAAGUUUUAAGAUCACAUCCUAUAAAAUCUUACUCCAAUAUAAGGCUAUUGAAAUCAUAAAAUUGCCCCAGUUUGGCUUUUAACUUUUCUUUUUAAUUAUAUAUAUUUUUUUUAAUUUUUUUAUAACAAACGAAAGAUAAGUUUUGCCCCAAUGUGGGGUUUGUGAUCCUUAGGAGGCUAUCAAACGAAGGAAUAGAUUAUUCUGGAGGCUCAAAGGGGAGAACAAGGGAUUAAAUAUUCAAAGGAAAAAGAAAUAAGCCCACCUUUUAGUUCACCCUAGACCGUAUUUCAAAAAGAAAACUCACAUAAUCAGAUAAAAAAACUUCUUGCACAUAAUUGAAUUGAUUGGUUGAAGAAAAAUCUGUCCGCCCAUCUCUGUGAGAAUGAGUGUUCCUCCGGGCAAUACCUUCUUAACAAUGAAAGGUCUUUGCCAAUUUGGGAUAAAUUUUCCUUUAGUUUCGUCUUGGAUGGGAAGAAUUCGUUUCAAAAUUUUGUCUCCUUCUUAAAAUAUGCGAGGUUUGACCCUUUUAUUAUAAGUACGGGCCAUUCGCCUUUGAUAAUACUGCCCAUGGAAAAUAGCAUUUAACCGCCUUUCAUCAAUCAAGGAUAGUUGCUCGUGCCACUGUUUAAUCCAUUCAGUUUCCUCCAACUGAGUUUCCAUUAAAAUGCGCAAAAAGGGAUCUCAACCUGCCGCGGGUAAUUCUGCUUCCAUACCGUACAUGAGAGAAUAAGGCGUUGCCCCAAUAGAAGUUCUAAUUACAGUUCGAUAAGCCAUUAAUGCAUAUGGCAGUUUCUCAUGUCAAUCUCGGUGUCUUUCCUUCAUUUUGUGAAUGAUUUUCUUCAGAUUUUUGUUUGCAACUACUACCGCUCCAUUCAUCUGAGGCAUGUAGAUAGUCGAAUUCCGGUGCUUGAUCUUGAAUUGUUCGCAUAAUUCAUCUAUCAUGUCAUUAUUGAUAUUUUUGUCGGUGAUCAGCAUCUCUAGCACCCAAAAACUACAGAUAAUGUGGUCUUUCAAAAAAUCAGAUACUACUUUCUUGAUCACGUUCUUGUAAGACGCUGUUUCAACUCAUUUCGUAAAAUACUCGAUCAUCACAGGAAAAAUCGAUGCCCAUUCGAAGCUGGGGGAUCAAUAGCUCCAAUCACGUCCAUUCCCCAUAUUGAACAGGGUCAAGGAGCAGUCAUACUAUGUAGUUUUGUAGAAAAAGAAUGUAUAAUAUCGGCAUGCAUUUGAUACUUUAUGCAUUUUCUAACAAAAUCUACACAUCAUGCUCCAUGAUAAGUAAAAAAUACCCCGUUCUCAUGAUCUUCUUAACAGUAAGUGCCCAUUCAUAUGGAGUCCGCAUACACCGCUGUGCACUUCUUUCAUCAUAUAAUCAGGUUUCUCUCUAUCGAUGCACCUUAGAAGGCCCAAAGCUGAUGUCUUCUCAUAUAACACCUCUUCGUUCAGGAAGAAUUUUGACGACAUUCUGCGCAAGAAACUCUUGGCAGCUGCAGCAGCACUCGGAGGGUAAGACCCUAUUUUUAUGAAUUCCUUAAUAUCGUUAUACCAUGGACGAUCGUCAGAUGUCUCUCUCACAACUAGACAAUGUGCCGAUUUAUCUUGAAAUUGAAUCUAAAUAGGUUUGAUUACUAACGCGUUCGGGUGUCAAAUCAUAGAAGACAAUGUGGCCAGAGUAUCAGCAAAAACAUUGCAAGUGCGACAGAUAUGUCUGAACUUUAAACUUCUGAAUUGAUUGGUCAAACUGAGCAGACUACAAUGACACAGCAUGAUUUUCGAGUCUCGCGUCAUCCACUAAUUAAGCGUUUAAUGUACCAAUAAAUCUGAAUCGCUGAACAUGAUUAAAUCCUUUAUCUCCAUUUCUAAUGCCAUUUUUAGUCCAAAAAUACAAGUUUCGUACUCAGCCAUGUUGUUAGUACAAGAAAAUUGUAAUUUAGUAGCGGCGGGGUAAUGGUUUCCCUCAGGUGACACUAGAACAGCUCUGAUUCUGACCCUAAAAGAAUUUGAAGCGCCAUCAAAGAAUAGCCUUCACCUAGAAUAUGGUUCGUUUAUAUCUUCCAACGUGCCAAUGAAUAAAAUUUCCUUAUCAAAAAAAUAGGUAUGCAAUGACUGGUAAUCAUCUUCUCUCGGAUUCUCGGCCAAAUGAUCUGCUAUGACUUGACUCUUGAUUGCCUUUUGCGUAGUGAAAAUGAUAUCGAAUUCUGAGAGAAUCAUCUGUCAUUUCGCCAUACGGCCUGUCAGCAUCGGAUUUUCCAACAAAUAUUUCAGAGGAUCGGAGCGACAAAUGAGACAGGUUGUGUGACUGAGUAAGUAAUGCCUCAACUUUUGAGCGGGCCAAGCUAAAGCGCAGCAACUCCUCUCAAGAAAGGAAUAGUUGACCUCGUACGCGGUGAACUUCUUAUUGAGAUAAUAAAUAACUUGCUCCUUCUUUUUUGAGUCAUCAUGUUGUCCCCUUACAUAUCUCAUAAUCUCAUCCAACACGGACAGAUACAUGAUCAAAGGUGGACUUGGGUUGGGUGGCACUAAGACCGUAGGGUUCAACAGAUAAUCCUUGAUCUUGUCGAAAGCUUGUUGACAUUUUUCGUUCCAGCGCAUCGGCGUAUUCUUCUUCAAUAAUUUGAACAAAACUCACAUGUAAAUAUUAAUUGUGCAAUAAAUCUGUCGAUAAAAUUAAUCUUUCCCAAGAAACACUUUACGUCCUUAUGAAUUUUUGGUAUAGGCAUCCCUCGAAUUGCUUUAAUUUUCGUCGAAUCAAUUUCAAUUCCCUUUUUACUGAUAAUAAACCCCAAUAAUUUUACCGACGGGAGCCCCAAAAGUACACUUGGCAGGGUUCAGCUUUAAAUUGUAUCUUCUCAACCUUUCGAACAAUUUCUUCAAAGCAACCAAAUGAUCUUCAAAUUUCUUGAAUUUAAUGAUAAUGUCCUGCACAUAGAAUUCCAUCUCUUUAUGAAUUAUAUCGUUGAACAAAGUGGUCAUUGUCCGUUGAUAAGUGGUUCCUACAUUUUUCAAUCUGAAAGGCAUUACCCGAUAGCAGAAGGUUUCCCACGGAGUGAUGAAAGCAAUGUUCUCUCUAUCUUUUUUCACCAUCAGGAUCUGGUGAUACCCGACAAAACAGUCACCAAAAGAUUCAAUUUCAUGUCCAGCAGUGUUGUCCAGAAGAAUAUGAAUGUUCAGCAGCAAAAAAUUAUCCUUCCGACUACCUUUGUUGAGAUCCCUAUAAUUGACACACACCCGCACUUCUCCACUUUUCUUCAAAAUCAAUAUAGGAUUUGAAAGUCAAAUGGGGUAAUGAGAUACCAUAAUAAUCCUGACGUUGAGCUGCUUCUCGAUCUGUUUCUUGAUUAUGAAACUUAUAUUUGACCAAAAUUUGCUUGAUUUUUACUUUACUGGCGAAAAUUUUGGAUCGAUCGGCAAUCUGUGAACCACUAUAUCUGUUGAAAUCCCGGACAUAUUAUCAUACGACCAAGCAAAUACAUUUUAGAAGAUGGUUAAAAAUUCAAUCAUCUUUUUUUUCUACUCCUUAUUCAAGUGCACACUGAUUUUGAUUUUUUUAACCUCCAUUUUAGUGCCAAUGUUAAUGUUUUCUGUCUCUUCUAAGUUCGAUUUGGGUUUUUUAAUCCAUAUUGUUCAAGAAUUUUUGAAAUAGACUCAAAUUCUUCCUCGCUAUCACUCUUUUUUUGAAUUUUGAAUUUCAUAAUUUCAAAUUCGUGAGAGAUAUCGAGUUUGCAAUAAUUGAAUUUUAGAAUGGUAAUAUCCAAAAGGACAAACGAUUUUAUUUUUGGCUAUCUGAAAAUAGAGUAAACAUCACAAUAAACAAGUAGAAAAUAAUAAAGAUGAACAAAAAUUUUUUAUUUCAUUAAAUUUAAAAAACAAACAGAGAUUGAAAUAAAGAUGAGUACUUUGCAAACUAAAACAAACACAUUCCCAACAGAACUGCGCAGUGGGAACGGUCUUUCAUGACACUAAAAGGAAACAAGUAACUAAAAAUAAAGUAACUUUUUGUCAUGGAUUUCGGCCAGGGACAAUCCCCUAAAUUUAUCAAAAUUUUCUUGGAGAGAGAAGGUAAUCUGCAGUUCAAUUUUACACAGCUCCUUCAGGAAUGGUUGGGAAUUCCAUUUCUUUCAAUGGCUUGUCCUCGCAGGUGACUCUGAAGAACAGUUGAGAUAGGCUCAUUUCAAUCUCUUCAAUCGGAUCCUCUUUAUCCAAUUCUGAUAGGAUCAUCCUAGAUGGUCGAGAAAAGGUGUAGCGCAACGGCGGGAUACUAAUAGCAAUCUGCUUUCUUUCUUUUUUCACCUUCUUACGAGCUUGCAUCUUCUUCUUGUCCUUAACGGUCGGUUACAAUCCCAAUCCAAAUGUAUCUUUCUUCCCCAAAAGCUCUAUAGGCUUCAAAAUGCCUUAUAAAUUUUGCUCCAAACCUUUGCCUAUUUCAUACCCCCUCGAAUAAUUUCCUUAGCCAUCAUGAUACUAGCUUCAGAUACAUCUAUUCAUUCUUUAAAAAUCUAUCCAACUAACACGAUAUCGACCACACGAUGAGAUGAAUUGAGAAUUUUUCUACUAUUUUCUCAACUCGAACCAGAAUUGACGAUCAUGGUGCAGUCAUCCUUAGUGAACACGGUGAUAAGUUGAUCAUUGACAAUGAAUUUCACCUUUUGAUAGAGAGAAGAUGGAAUGGCGCUAGAAGUGUGGAUCCAAGAUCGUCCAAGUAAGACGUUGUACACACUUGAAAAGUUCAUGAUUUGCCAAACUAGUUGAAAUUGGGUGGGCCCUAUCUCCUGUACUAAAUCAAAUUCGCCCAUUGAUUCCCUUCUAACUCCGUCAAAUCCUCUUAUUAUCGUGGCAGAUGGUCACAACCUAGCAUCCAAACGUCCAAGUUUCAUAAGAGUAUUUCCUUGGUAGAUGUUUAGAGCGGACCCAUUGUCUAUCAAAACUCUCGGCAACAACUUUCCAUUACAUCUCACUGAGAUAUAUAAUACCUUAUUAUGUCUGAUCCCUUCAGGAGUCAAAUCCUCUUCAGAAAAGGUUAUGUGAUUAGCAGCCAAAACAUUUUCCACAACAUGAGUAAACUUGUCAAUUGAAAUAUUCUUCGGUAUUCGAUCCUCACUCAAAACCUUGAGUAGCGCCUCUCUACGCAACUCGGAGGUUAAAAGUAAGUCUAGAAUAGAAAUUUGGGCGGACAUCUUGUCCAACUGCUCCAUAACCUUGACUCGCUCCUUUUCAGCAAUUUAAGAAAAUCCAAAGUUUUCUUUUCAGUCACAGACGGCUUUGAUGGCAUAAGAUUUUCCUCCACAAUCUUCCCAAGUUUAGUGACACUAACCCCCUCCUCUGCCGACAUGCUCAAUCAAUAAAGUAGAUUCACUAUAAUCUCAUGGUACUUCUUUUAAAUUAUGCACAGGUGAUUGCUCAGGAAAUUCAAACAUCACAGGUUCUGACAAAUCUAAGAUGAAGUGAUCGGUUUCCAAAAGCUUUCCUUCUAGUAUGAAAGGUUUCUCGACUAUUCCAAUCACUUUAUUUUCAUCCACAAUAUACCGACUAGGUUCCUUAAACUUCUCAUCGGAGGUAAUAACCCCUACAGUUCCUUUAUAUUCAGGAAGAGGGUUCUUGCCGACGUUUGGCCCUGAUUCACCCCUUCUCCUCAAGACUAUGUCUCCGGUUUCGAUCAUGUUUUGAAUCUUAUGCUCUAAUGCCCAACAAUUGGUGGUGGAGUGACCAGAACGUUCAGAGUGAUACGAACAAAUGACUUGAGGAUCAUAAUUAGCAGGAACACUACUAGGGUAGGUUUUAGGGGACGCCACGUUAAUCUUGCCAGUGGUUUUAAGUUACUCAUACAAUUGAUCGAGUGGACGGUCCAAGAUGGUGAAGGUGUGAGAUUGAUUUUGAUUUUGGAUUUCAUUGGUUUGAGAAUAGUUAUAUGUUUGAUUGUUUGACGGAACAAGUCUUGAAUUAAAAGGGGGUCGAGGUCGAAUUUGCAAAUUUGGUUAAGAAAUCUGAAAAAGUGGUGAAGGUUUAUUUGUAUAGUUUGGUCAAGGUCGAGGAUGGUUAAUGGUAGUGUGGUAAACAGGUCGAGGGUUUAAGUAGUAUGGAUAGAGUAAUGAGUAAGUGGGGCGAUUUUGAAAUCUGGAUCUAGUCGAAGGGCCUUAAUCCCAAACGAAGGCAGUCUCUCCUUCCUUCUUCUUAAAUUGGGGUUUCUUACCACUAUUAUUCUGACCUUGCAGGGCUCCCAGUUGCAUUUUCAAUGUCGACACGUUAACUAUUUUUUCUGCUUUGAUGAACUCAUCAAAUUCUUUCAACUUGUUAACAAUAUCCGCAAAUGAGCAUCCAGUUAUAUGAAAAAUCUCCUCAAAGUACAGUAGAUCAUGAGUUUUAAUAAAUAUGCGGAUAAUUUCCUCCUCGGUCAUGGGGGGUUCCACCUUAGAGACAAGUUUUCUCCAACGUUUAGCAUAUGUUUUAUGGUCUUCCAAUGGCUUUCUCUUGGUUCCCUCAAGUGUGGUUCUUGUUGGCACAAACUCACAAUUGUAUUCAUAUUAUCUCACGAAAGCUGUAGACAGGUCCAACCAAGUUCUCAUCUCUUCUAACUUCAAAUUAAAAUAUCAAUCCAGAGGAGCAUCACCCUCCAAGCUUUUAAGGAACAGACGCAUCGGUAGGUUCUCAUCAUCUACUGGCUUUUCUAACUUGUUUGGGAACAUUCGGAGAUGCGUUUUUGGAUUUUCGAUGUCAUCAUACUUGCUAAAUUUAGGAGUUUUGAAACCCAUAGGCAACUACAUAUCCGAAAAAAGAUAGAGUUCAUCGUAGUCUAAGUCUCUAUGCUUGUUCAAUCCUUGGCUCUUUUUCAUGAAUUCAUCAAAGCGGUCCUACCUCUUCAGUAGAUUCUUAUCAAUUGAAGCAGAGGGCUCGUCUAUUUCUACUUUCACUUGAAAGGCGGUGUCCAACAUCAAUGGCUUUGUGGUAGGGUGAUGGGAUUCUUGAGGGUUAGAGGGGAUAUUCAGGUUGAUUUGUGGAUAAUUUUGGAGAAUUUGGUGGCUAAUCGGGUUGACGAAAAUAUUAUUUGCGUAUAUAUGUGGUAAAUUGGGGAUGGGAUAAGUAAAAGCAUUUUCAGAUAGACUUGUAAAAGGCAAAACAAAAGUGGUUUGAUUAUGUGACAUGUGAGGUGGUGGAUUUUCUAACUUAUAUUGGUUAUCGUCAACAGGUACAUUAUUGUUUUGGACACCGCUAGUGUUGUUCGAGAUCAGUUGGUCAAUCAUGUCCUUUUAUAAUGUCAUUUUUGCACUUAACUCGUUGAAUUUGUUUAGCAUCUCACUUAAUUGGGUCCCCAGAUUUGCAGCGUCUGACGAUGGAAUCAUUACAGAUAUCUUCGAUGGUUCAGGAUGGGAACUCAUGUUUUCACGAUUUCUCAAGAUUCGGCUGCGGGAUCGCGUAAUGAUGGAACUUCUACGGGUAGCUAUUUUUAAAAGUAUCUGAUGAUAAAAAAAGAAAUUGGCUCAGUUGUGCGCUUUCUAUCAAAUUUCUGUAAUUUAUUCAAAAGAUAAAAGAAAAAGAAAUGAGUUAGUAGAUAUUUGAAUAAUUUCGAUGCAUGACCUAUGAGGGAACUCUUUUUACGCCAAGAGUCGGUCUAACCUGAUGCAAUUCUUUCGGGAUAAAAUCUCAAUUUCAAACUUGUAAGUGAAUGUAGAAAUCAAAGUAGAAAUUCUCAUUAAACACUGAUAAGUUCAAUCAUUUUUUACAAUUUCAUUAAUAGUUUGGCUAAUCAUUUUUACAAAAUUCUCAUACCUCGCUAAAGUACUACGUUGAGACUCUCUAGAACUUACUAUACUAAACUUCCGAAUUCCUUCUUGAAUUUUAUCAAAUGCAUCCAAUGCUCUCUCCAACUUUUUAAUUUUUCUUGUCUCUCUCUUUAAUUGUGAUUGGGCGUCUUCCAAGGCAUGGCCAGCCACUAAAAGCUGUAAUUGGUAAUUCUUGACCUCUUUUUUUAACUUCUCUAUAUGCUCUUCAAGACGGGCAAGAGUAGACUAUGAUCUCUCUCUUCCUUGUUCUACUAUAAGUUUGAUCCAUUCAUCAUAUUUCGAAAUGACUUUAGGUUCCAAUUUGUUCACUUAAUCCAAGUGCAGGUUCUCUAAACUAUGAAGAUUCCCCCAAGCUUCUAGUACCAUGUUUCGACUCUCAACAACUGUGUUGAAUCUGAUAUUUCCAAUUCCUUGUAUCAUUAAAACUAUUUGUGGAUACCCAAAUUGCCUCAUGACUCAUUGCGGAACAUAUGCGACCAAUCCGUUGGUGCUUGCUAGAGGAAUAAAAUUGUGUUGGGUAGUUUUGAAAGUCGGAUUCCUAACUUUCGUCCAAUCUAGAACCCGUUAUAUUUUGUUCAGUGUCAAGCUGUCAAACUCUUAAACGAACUGACUUGGAGAUGCUAUUUGGUAAUAUCUUUUGACCCCUUUUCGAUGUGAUUCGAUCCAAUUCUCUGUUGGGAGACAAGAUCCCAGGGGAUUGAGCAUCCUCUUCACUAGAUGUUCCAUUGCCCAUAUUUCAAGUAUCAAAUUUAAUGCACAGAAAAACCAAAAGAAAUUUGGUGUCAAAAGAUGUCGGCAAUGAUGGUACCAAAGAGAAUCUGAAUGGGAGUCAAAAAGAAAAACAUUUGGUGUCACGUUCAGAAGACUAGGUAAAUGCCCCACAUACUUAAAUAAUUUUUUCGCCUCGUGCGACAUAUUAUUUUUUCAAUCAGUUAGUUCUCGAGGUAUCUGAUUCAGCACUCUACAAGGAGCCAUCUAAGCAGAAAUUCACUUUUAAUACCUUAUCUCAAGAUUUUACCCCUUAGAAAAUAUAAAAUUAUAAACAUGCAAAUUUCAUUGGAUUAAAUAUUCGAGACACAAGGUGGCUUAUUCCUAACAUGGGAUCCCGGCAUUCUCUCUAUGGUUGAUGCAUGAUGACAGUUUAUUAAAACGUGUAAAUAUAUACAAUACGAUAAUUGGAAAACGACCUCAAAGUGCCCCAUUUAAAUGUCGGGAUAAGUCUAAAAUGAUGUACAAUAUAUAUACGUAUUAUUAAUGUAAUAACUAAAAUUUAAACGUGUUUUUUAUAAAAGGUGAUUUUUCCUAAACGAGUACCAUGCCAGAAUUCUUACUUUCUAAGAUUUGUGAAUGCAAGAAAAGAGAAAACAAAGAGAUAUUAGUUCAAUUAAUAAAUAACACAUAGCACAUUGGAGUACUAAAAUGAUACAAAAAUAUAAAAGAAGAGAACAUGGGUAGAAUCCCUCCCCUCGUGUCUAGUAUGCCUAAUAGAGUAAAGUUGACUCUAUCCUAGGCGAUUUCUAAUAUGGAUAGAUGAAGUUGGGCUCACUAAUGCAUCUAAACUCGAUAAGAUUUCAAGUUCCCAAAUCUUCAGACCAAGAGGCGAAAGGUCAGCAAUCCCAAAAUCUUCAGUCGGUGGAUUGAGUGAUCCCUUAGGCAUCGCUAUAGGCGCAGAGCACACCAUCCGCCUACCUAAGUAAUCGAUUCUAAUCAUACAAGAAAAUGUGGGAUGGUGCCCACGAGAAAAAUAAAAAUAGGACAAAAGUAAUGCAUGCACGUAUGAAAUGCUUCCUUCGAGGGAAUGGAUUAAAUACCAUUAAAUAUGGGUAAAAGCUCUAGGGUAGCUAUACCCCCCCCCCCAAGAUAUAAAGUGCGAUACAAAUAUAUAAACAUAAAUAAAUGAAAGUAAAUAAAUAAAUUAUUCAUCAUAUACACGGAUAUCGAGAGACGAUUACGUGUGCGAAAUGAAAAAAAUCCUAAAAAGAAGGAAAAAAUAAAAGGAAAAGAAAAAUGCAACCUAAACAUCCCACUAUGAUAUGUAAAAAUGUUAGAAAAAGAAAAGACUAGACUAAAUCAAGUGUUUGGACUCUCUAAAAAUUUCCAGUGGUGUCACCAGCUGUCGCGUCCUAUUUUUAAAAAAAUAAAUUAAUGAUUAAAAAAAUAAACUUUUUAUUUUAAAGAAUAUUGGCGCAUAAAAAUGUAAUUUUUAUUAAAAGAUGAGUAAAAAAAUGAGUUUUAGUUCUUGAUUAGUUUUUAUUUUAGUUUUUAAUUUAGCAAAAAUAAAAAGAAAGAAAAAGGGCCUAAAAUGGGAUUUAAAAAAAUGCGACAGUUUUGGCCCAAAAUAAUAGUCUAAAAAGGAUUUUUAAGAAAAAUAGGAGUCGCCACUUGAUAUUGAGUUAAGGUGUACCAAAUCACCUAAAAUAUGUUUUUAAGAUAAAAGAUAAAAAUAAAAACCCUUUUUAGACUACUCCAAGUUUUUGAAAACAAGAGAAAAGAGUUCGAGAGUCACGCUUGAAGAAAAGGAAUGCAAAGAUUUGAUAGAAUCAAAUCUAAGAAACCCUGUCAAUCUAACCAAUGUUAGUUGCGAGAUUUAGUCAAAAAUUUUCGUAAUCUUACCUAUGAAAACUUUUCUAUAUAAAUGCAAACCUAGACCUGGGGGCUAUCGAGAGGGUCGAGAUGUUUCUUCAAAAUUUAAAUGGUGCAAUCACAUUAAUUGUGAUGUCCAAAAUGAUUUUUAGAAGAAGUUACAAAUAUACAAAAGAUGAGACUCGAAGAAAAGGAAAAUUAUAAUAUAUAAAUAUACAUGACCUAAAAUAGAGGAAUGCAACAUAACAUGUACGAGAGAUCUGAAUUCGUGACUCAAUUUUCAUUUCUAUAAAGGAGAUAUGAAUGUGCUAAGACUGAGAAACUAUGUUCGUCCAUUUUCUAUAUUUGAAGAGUGCCUCUCCUAACCUAGUCAAGCAAAUGAACUAACAUAUUUCUAGUUUUCUAAAUGGAAUGCAAGUCUAAAUGUCACGUUUAGCGCACAUAGGGGUAAGGAAGUUAAGGAAAUAUCAUGUCAAACGAAGAAAAGGAUUCUAAAGGUGAAAAGUAUGCAUGAAAUACAAUAAAUGUCAAACAAAUUAUGAAUUCUAACGUGAAACCGGCCUAAAGGGUCUAUCAUUGAACUAUCCUAUUUCUGUAAGUUCUCAUUAGCGUUGGACUAGUGAGAAAUCGGGGAAAAAAAUUCACAACUAACAUUGGAUCAGUGUGGUGACGUCAUGUAUUUAUUAUAACUAAAUAAAUCAUAUAAAACAUAAUUAAAACAAGUAAAUACAUAAUGCACAUAGAACACAUAACACAUAGGUAUAAUUUCUAGAUGCAAAAGUCUAGUGAAAGCGAAUAAACACUCAAACACACAAGCAUGUAAGCACACAAGCAAAUAAACACAAAUAAAAGCCUAACUAUUUGGGGUCCUAACUACAAUCUAAGGGGGAAAUUUUUUUAAAAAAAUAACAUAACUAUUACAUUUAUCUAACUAAAUACAUUUUUGGCAAAAAUUAAAAUCUAUCUAUUACAUAUCCUAACUAAAUACAUGUCUUGAGUAUCUAUUUAUUACAAAUUGGCAUUUAAAUGCCCUCAAAUAAUCACCAAAAAUUAAAUAUAAUAAAUGAAAAUUUAAGAUGAAUAAAAUAAAUAAAAGAAAAGAAAAGAAAAGGCACUCAAAACAUGCAAUCACAUAUAAAAAGCACAUACGAGCACAUAAAGGGAUUUAAAAUAAUACUAGAAGGUACUUCCCUUUGAAAUAGUGGUUAAAUGAGGUUGGAUUUGCCCUAUUUAUACUCCAAGAUCAACAAAAUGGUCAAGCCACCAAUUUAAUUAACAAAUAAAUUAUAAAGCAAUGGAAAUAACCAUGAAAUCUUCCAAUUAAAGCAUUUAAAUGAACUAUAAUUAACAAUUAAAGAAGAUAAACAACUUAUAUUUAAGAAAUUAAAACUGUCAGGGAUCUAAUUGUAAAAAUGAGAAAGUUUUUGGGAUCAAAUUAUAAUUAUUACAAAAUUAGGGUCAAAUAAAAAAAAUAAAGUUCAUGGACCAAAUUGCAAUUAAAUUAGGGACCUAAUUGAAAGAAAUCAAAAGUUUUUAGAGCCACAGUACAAUUACUUUGAAGUAAAGGGACCAAGUUGCAAUUUUCAUUUUCUAGUUUGGCCAGAAAAAGGCCUUGGGCUAUCCUUCAAAUUUUUCGUUAGGCCAAAGUUACCUAGACCCAGCAAAAAGUCCAGAAAAAUGGGUGGACUAGCCUGUCAUUUUUACUAAACUAAGCUUGGUGAAAAAAGGUUGGACUUGAACCCCAAGCCCGGUCACAAACCCAAGCAUAAAAGAAAAUCUUCCCCCAUAUUUUUAACCAAGAACAUGUUUUAUCAACCCAUCAUGGCCCAGAUCGGAUCAAAUCAAAUAAAAGAUCAAAUUGGGGGAAAAUAAAAAGAAAAUAAGUGAAGAACAUUCUGGCGGGUUGACCCGCUUGGAUGACCAGUCGGAAUCUGGAAAAAUUCCGGCCAUCUUGGCCGGAAAUUCGCCGGAAUCCAUUUUCACCGGCUUUUAAUACCGGAUCUUGACAUAAACAUACUUCCCAUGAUCUCUUGAGUUAGUUAAAAUAUCAUACAUCACCAUUUAAACAACAAAAUCUUAAGAAAAAAGAGAUCUAAGAUGCAAAACCCAUAAACUCAUGUAAUAACUUAAAAACACAUGGAAAAUGUUAGAACAACCAAGAAAAAGGGUUAUAAUUACCUGAGGAAGUUAGGGAACUUGAAUAGACGUGAGAAAUCACAGUGAAACGUGCCCAGAUUCCGAAAGUGAAGCAAAACACUUCUUGUCGCAGAAGUUUAAGAGCUGAGAAAUUGGCAACUUCAGGUUCGAAUAUGAAGGUUCUGGAAGUGUUUUUUCAAGAAACUUUCAACAUGAAAACUCCUCUACUACAUCCAUAGAGUAUCUAGAAAUCAAGAAUCGAUCUAAAAGAAGUCAAGAUGAAGAAGAAAAUGGCGUCUGAACAGGGCUGCCUGUUCAGCCCUAGCUCAAUUUUUUCUGAAAAUUUCCUGCUACUUUUUCUUCUUUUUCCUUCUCUGUUUUCUCUCUUUUCCUUCCUUUUCUGUUUUUCUGCCGCCUCCCACUCUUUUUUCUACCCUAAUGGCCGUAUUUCUAUGCAUUUAUAUGGAACAAAACCCCCCCCCAAAACCCUAUGAGCAUUGGUGGAGAUUGGUUGGCUUUUUGGGGAUGAUUUGGAGCCAUUAGAUGGCUGAUUUUGAAUAAGAAUUGGAAGAUGAUCUGGCCCUUGUACUGGGGGGCUUAGAAGGAAAGAAAACAAUGCAAAAAAAAAAAGAGUGGAAUAGGGAUCAAAUGGCCACUGCAAUUCUCUGGUACUAUGGCCUCGUUGCUGGUUUUGUACUAGUUUUCAUGAAGAAGGCACGUGCGUGAAGGAAUUUUAUUUUUUUUUACAAAAACUGAUUUUGAUUUUUGUUUUCUUUUCUUUUCUGCUUUUUCUUUCCAUCUUUUCUUUUCUUUUCUUUUCUUUCUAAUUUUCUAAAAAUAAAUUGAAAUGAUUUUCUUAAGAAAUAGAAAUGAAACAAAAUAAAUAAAAUAAAUAAAAUUUAAACAAAAUAAACUAAAAAUGAACAAAAAAUGAACAAAAAAAUAGGAAUAAAAUGAAGAAAAAUAAAAUGGUAACAUUUUUGUGUCUACACCAAUGAUGUUCUAGAAGUCAAAGACAAUUCUCACUCCAAAUUUGGACCACCUCCCACUCCAUCACUUCCAAUUCUAGCAAUAAUUUCAAUAAUAAUUUCUUUAUUCUUUCCUAUUUUAUAUGUAGCAAACUCACUUGGAGAAUCAUGGGUUUAAUCAAGACAACCCGGUGCGCUGCUUCAUGCUCUAAUUGAAGACAAAUCAGUGAUGAUAUUGCUUGUACAUUUCUCCAUUACUUGAUUAUCUAUUGUUCUCUACUUUCUAUACCUUAUCUUUCCUUUCCCCUUUCCUUGUCUUCGUGGCUGAAAAAGAAAAGAAUAAAGCAUGAGGGGAAGGAUGUCUGAUAACUUUGAGUCCUUUGUUGGUGCUUAUUAUGACGGCUUUGAAUUCAUGUGGCAAUAAUUGAGUUGGAUGCAAUAACUUUUUUGUUGUUUUCAUUCACUUGGAUCACCUUUUCUAAUCUUUCUGUUCAUGUUUUGUUUGGAUCACUUUUUGGAUGUAGUUUUGUUUUGCAGCAACUUUUUGUUGUUUUGUUUAUUUGAUCGAGUCGACUUCGAGUUACCUAGGAGGUUUUGGCUAAUAUAAUGCGUUAUGAAUUCAAAUCGGCCAAUAUCGACUGAAUCAAAGUGAGUCGUCAUGGAUAUAGAAUUAUCUACGAUUCGAGGAUCGAUAUCAUACCGGUCUCCUCUGUUCCGAUUAUGACUUGACCGUGUCAUAUCGGAAUCGACCGAUAUUGCUAACCAUGCCAUAGAGACGAAGUAAGAUUUAACAUCCUGGCACUAUAAACCACUAGUCAUGAAGUAUUAUAUGUAGUUUCAAACUAAAAAACUAUGCUGUCCUUGAUAAUUAGAAAACAAAGCCAUUAGCUUUUAUAAGGACAGGUAACUCGAGCAGAAGCACAUAGCAGAAGUAAGAGCUGAGUAAGUGAGCAAGGUUUACUGCAAUAGGAAGCAGCAAAUCACGUGCAUUGAUUAACUAAUCUAAUAUUACUUUUUUAGGUCUGACCUCAAGAAUUUGACGAAACAAUUCUUAACAAUCCUAAAAAGGCAAUUAACAAAGCAAAAAUAAAAUGAAAUAGGAACACAAAAUUUACGUGGCAAUCCCACAAAAUUGCUUUUGUUAGGUCUAAAGACAAAUAACAAGCAAAAAUAAAUGAAAUAGGAACAUAGAAUUUACGUCCACAAGUGGAGGAGGAGCACAAUUUCACUAUGAAGAAGAGAGUACAAAAACCUUAGGAAAGUGUUUCCGGGGUCAAAAGUAGCUACUAAAACACAAGAGAAUUCAAAAUAUUUUUACUACAAAAAGGUUUAAUAAUCCAAAGAGUCAAAUAGCCUACUAAAACUAUAUUGAUUUGGUGUGCUUAAUCUCAUCACAGGUCCACCCUAUUUAUAACCAACUAAGAGAAAGACUCUUUUGUACAAAAUCAAUGUGGAACAAAGCCAUUUAUAACAAAUUUUUACUUUGACGUGUCCCUAACAUCGAUAAAUAGUCUUCUUCAUAUAAGCUCUAAUGGAUCUAAAUCACGAACAACGAAUACUAACCAAAUCCAAGCAUCGAUUGAACUUAUAAACUAGAAGAAGUUCCGUGAAUUGUUAGUAGGAUUCUCCUCGAUAUUGAUUUUUUGAACAAGAACUUUUCCCUCAGCAACAGUAUCUCGAAUGAAGUGAAACUUUACAUCAAUGUGUUUCAUCCUCUCAUGAUAUAUCUAGUUUUUAGUCAAGUGAAUAGUACUUUAAUUAUCACAGUAAAUAGUAGUAACACCUCGAUAUAGACUAAACUUCCCAAAUAAACCCUUUAACCAUAAGGUUUCUUUGAUUAUUUUGGUCACAGUCAUAUAUUCUACCUCUAUAUUAGAUAAAGUUACAACAGGUUAUAAAGUAACUUUUCAACUAACUACAGAACUGCCAAUGCAAAAUAUAUAAUUUGAAAGUGAUCUUCUUCUGUCAAGAUUCUUGACAUAGUCAGAGUCCAUAAAAUCAACCAAAUUGUCACUAUUUCUCCCAAGUUUUAAACAAUUAUUUGAAAUCCUUCACAAAUAUCUGAAAAUCCACUUCACAGCCUGUCAAUGUACUUUUUCAAAAUAAGACAUAUAUCUGAUAAUAAUAUUGACUGCUUGUGCGAUAUUUGGACGAAUACAAACCAUUGCAUAUAUUAUAUUGUCAAUUACUCUAGAAUAAGGAACUCCUACCAUAUAAUCUUCUUCUUAGCUAACUGUGGUGACUGAACAGCUAAUAGUCGAAAAUGACAAACAAGAGGAGUAGUCACAGGUUUAGCAUUUUUCAUGCCAAAUUUCUCCAAGAUUUUCUCAAGGUAAUUUUUCUUGGUAAAGAAUAAUUUUCCAACUUCUUAAUCUCGCUUGAUCUACAUAUCAAGAAUUUUCUUAGUUACUCCCAAAUAUUUCAUCUCAAAUCCACUAAUUAACUACAAUUUCAAAUUGUGAAUUUCUGAUAAAUUCUUGGCAGCAAUGAACAUUUCAUCAACAUAAAGUAACAAAUAAAUGAAAGAAUUAUUAUCUAACUUCCGAAAAUAAACACAACUAUCAUACAUGCUCCUCAAAUAAGCAUGACCCAACAUAAAAAAUCAAACCUCUUAUACUACUGUCAUUGAGGUUGUUUCUAUCCAAAUAAGAAUUUUUUUAACGAAAAACAUGAUCUUCCUUUCCUUCAAUUUCAAAUCUCUGAAAUUGCUUCAUAUAAAUUUGUUUUUCAAGUUCAUCAUGCAGGAAAUUUGUCUUAACAUCAAGCUGCUCUAACUCCAAAUCAUAAUGGCAAUUAAAGCAAGCAAAACACGAAUAGAGCUACGUUUAACAAUAAGUAGAAAUACAUCAUUAAAAUCAACACCUUGUACCUGACUAUACCCUUUGCAACCAACCAUGUUUUAUACCUUGUAUUUUCAACCCCCAGAAUAACCUUUUUUCUCCUUAAACACCUAUUUGUAUCCAACAAUUUUUUUUUAUCUAAAGGCAACUUCACAAGAACUUAAGUUCUAUUUUGGUAAAAAGAUUCAAUUUUUUCAUUCAUCGCAAUCAAUCACUUAGCAAAAUCAUCACAAGAAACUACUGUUGAAUAGGUUGUAGGUUCACUAACUCCAUCAAUUUCUUCUGCAAUAGACAAAGCGCAUGCAACCAAAUCUACAUAUUUUUGUGGUGGUCGAAUAUCCCUCCUUAGUCUAUGUUUGACAAUAUAAUAUUGCUUCUCUUUUGGAUUAUUUUCAUCAGUAGAUUCAAGUACAUUUACUGGCAUUUGCUGAAUAGAAGAGGUGGACUAAGAAAGACCAAAACUACCAAUUUCAAACUUCUCCCACUUCUACAUACUGUCAUCUGUAUGACAAGAACUAAAAGACUCCUUAGAAGAUAGCAUAAAGAAUUCAUCAAAAGUAACAUCUCUAUUGAUCAAAAUUUUUGAAAAUUUGGCAUCAAAACACCACAAUCUAUAACCUUUCACUUUAGAAGCAUACCCAUAGAAAAUACACUUUUUAACUCGAGACUCCAAUUUUUCAUCAUUUAUAUGCAUGUAUGCUAGAUACCCAAAAACUUUUAAAUUAGAGUAAUCAAUAGCAAUACCUGACCAAACUUUCUUAACAGUUUUAAAAUCAAGAGUUGCAGAAAGAGUACGGUUGAUAAUGUAACAAGCUAUAGAGAUUACCUCUGCCAAAAGUCCUUUUGUCAACCCAGUAUAGAGAUCAGACACCUCGCUCUCUUUAAAAGUAUUUUGUUCAUACGUUCAGCCACAUCAUUUUGUUGAGACGUCAUUUUGACAAUGUAGUGCCGAAUAAUUCCUUUAUUCUUGUAAAAUUCAUCAAAUUCACCUUCACAAAAUUUCAUGCCAUUAUUUGUUCUACACCGCUUGAUCUGUCUACCUGUCGAUUUUCAAUCAAAACUUUUGAUUGGUUAAAAGUUAGGCAUAUAUCAUUAUUAUGUUUAAGAAAAUAAACUAAAACUUUUCUUGAAUAAUUAUCAAUGAAAGUUAAUAUAUACGUGACAUCACCUUUAGACGAAACACGAGUUGGACCUCAUAGAUCUGAAUGAAUGUAAUCAACAGUACCUUUCGUCUUAUGAAUUAUUGGUGAACUAAAAUGGACUCUUUUCUGUUUCCCAAAAACAUAGUGCUCACAGAAUUUCAAUGGUCCAAUAUUCUCCCUGCAAAGAAGUUCCCUUUUACUUAGUAUACCUAAUCCUUCAUUGUUCAUAUGCCUCAAACACAUAUGUCAUAAUUUAGUGAUGUCAAAAUCAAAUUAAGAUGAUGACGAGACCGUAACCAAACUUGUAACAAUAGAUUCCUGCAAAACAUACAAACUACCAGGCCUACAAGUUUUUAUAACAACAAAAGCCCUUUAGAGACCUUCAUAGUGUCAUUUCAGCCGUGUAUUUGCACUCAAGAGCCUCCAAAGUGCCCAAAGAGAUGAGAUUCUUUUUCAAAUAAAAAAUAUGUCUAACAUUAGUGAGCAUCCUCACAAUAUAAUUAUGCAUUUUAAUUCAAAAUGUACCGUUAUCAAUAAUAUCAUAAAUGGAUUAUUGUCGAUCAAAACAAUUCCAUCAUUACAAGGUUCAUAAGUGAAAAAAAAUUCCCUAUUAGAACACAUGUAACAAGAAUAUCCCAAAAUCUAAAAUUGAUUCAUUUUUAGAUCUUGUCCUAUCAUUUGUCAUAAAAAAAUAUUUUUAUUACUCUCAUCAGUUGCAACACGAUUUUCAGCAGUUUCAAUAUUUUUGUCACCAUAUUUUUCCUUUUGCUUUAGUUUAAUUUUCAAUUUAAAGCAAUCAGCCUUAAUGUGCUGCAUUUUGUGAUAAUAAUUGCACUCCAAAUUUUUAUAUCUAAAUUUAGAUCUACGAUUGUCAAAUUUUCUUUUAUUAAUUGUGCCUCAAGUAACCAGUUCUUCCACCUAACCUCCAUUACUUUCUUCGAUGAUAUUAUUGUUUAUCUGCUAUUUAGAUCUUAUUGCAGAUUUAAUUUCCUGAUACACAAUUGUUUCUUUUUCAUAAAUCAUAGUAUCACGAAAAUAUUUAAAGGACUAGGGAAGGGGACACUAAAGUAACAUGACCUGAUCCUCAUUAUGCAUUUUCGAAUCUAUAUUCUUCAAAUCCAUAAUAAUGGUAUCAAAUUUAUUAAGAUGUGAGAGUAUAAAUGUGCCUUCAGUCAUCUGAAACAUAUACAGACUUUGUUUUAAACAAAGUCGAUUCUCAACUGUCUUUUUCAUAUACAAUACUUUAAACUUAUCCGAUAUAGCCUUAGCCGGAGUUUCAAUGGCUACCUCCCAUAAAAUCUUAUCAGAGAGAUUUAAAAUAAUACUGGAUCUAAUCUUAUUAUCCAUUUCAGAAAAUUUUGCAUCUAUCACAUUCUCUAGCUUUUUCUAAACCCUGUAUGUCACUAAAUCAACUUCUUCUUGAACCAAAAUUGACUCCAUCUUGAGCUGCUACAUCCUGAAGUUAACAUUUCUAUCGAAUUUAUUGAUAAUAGUUUUUGUUAUUGUCAUCGUUGCCAUAGAACCCAAAGUUUUUGAAGAAAUUCUGAUACCAAAUUAUUAGGUCUGAUUUCAUAAAAUUGAUGAAAGGAUUCUUGGCAAUCCCAAAAAGAUAAAUAAAAAAGUAAAAAUAAAUGAAAUAGGAACACAGAAUUUAAAUUAUUCAAUCAAAUUAACCUAUGUCCAUGGGCAAAGGAAGAGCAAAAUUUCACUAUGAAAAAUAGAGUACAAAAGUUUUAGGAAAGUGUUUUUAGACCCAAAAGCAUCUAAUCCUAAAACACAAAAGAAACCAAAAUAUUUUUACUACAAAAAGACUUAAUGACUCAAAGACCCAAAUAGGCUACUAAAACUCUCUUGAUUUGGUGCAUUUAAUCUCAUUACAGGCUGACUCUAUUAAUAGCCAACUAAGAGAAAAAUUCCUUUAUACAAAAAUCGAUGUUGAUCGAAGUCACAUAUAACAGCUUUUAACAUAGAAUAACGAAACCAGGUACAUAGAAAACAAGGAAAGGAAGAACUCUUAAUGCCCUUGACAAGAAUUUAAAUAUAAAAGAAUAAAAGUUUAAACAUAUAUGGUUCUUGCUCUGUACAUCCUCGAGUACACCUAGGAACUUACCUUCCAUACUUAAAAUCAAGCCUAAAUAAUGACCUCUCUAUUACACAUCAUCAUUAUUUGAAAAGAUAAAUCCAUAGCUUAAAACUACAACUGUCAACACAGAGGACUAUAACAUCUUACACCAACAAAUAAUGUCAGCACAAUUGACAUCAUAUUGACUAAAAUAAUAUAUAUUCAAUCUUCACAUGACAUAUAAACCAAAAUUUUGGAAGUUUCCAGUUGCAUAGUCUAAAUGACACUAGUGACCUAUAGUUUACUUGACAUAAGAAAUUUAUGGUCAUUGUAAGUAACAUUAAUCAUGGUCUUUCAAUUUGGGAUCCUUCCUAUGCUUAUUAGUAAGCACUUAAAAUCUUAGCAUGAAACUACUCAACUAUAGAAGCUAUUACAUCUCAAGAUGUCUCUUUCCAUCUUCUUGCAACAUUUGUACAUAUGCUGACAACCAAUAUUAAAUUCAUCCGGUUAAAAUCAUCUUAGCUGAACUCUACUUCAACAUAACUAAUUUUAACUUCGUCCUCUUAAGGGCUUCUAUGAACAUACAUUGACAUCAACAAAUCAGGAUUUCUAGUCUUCAUUUGUUUAAUCAAUGAACAUGCUGGGUUUCAUAACUUUGGUUGAAACGAGUAGCUAGAACUCAAGUUCGAACUCAGUCAAUGUUAAGUCGAGCUAAGCAUUUGACCCUCGGUUUGAUAGGACCGCUAUGUGCGAGUGUUUGAACCAACCCAACUGGGCUAAAUGAGGAGAAAUUCAUUUCUAGACCAAAUGUAUACACUGUUACAAUUCCUCUAGAUUUUAAAUUACUUGUGUUAAGGGUUUGAACCCCUAAUUGGUGACGAAUUUCUAAGAAUAUUACUAAAAUAAAAAACUAUCAUAAAAUUGGGGGUAUUCGGGAGGGGGUUCUUAUUUUAGGGUCGCCGCAAUUUAGGUACGCGGCUACCAAUAAAAUUAGAAUUAAUUUGCAUUUAUUUUUGGUUGCUGUAGUUUUGUAUAAUUUCUCCGGGUUUUUUUUUCCCAAACUUGAGCGGCGAAAGACUUGCCAACACCGACAAGGCUGACAACGACUUGACAGUACGGCAAGACUACAGCUAAUACGGACAAAUUAGGAGGCAUUCAGUUUUUUUUUAAUAGUUUAAAAAGCUGACGUCAUUUGCGUUAGCUUUUUGACUUUUCCUCAACGCCGCAAACGUCAAAAUUUUUUUAAAUUGACGCUGCAAAUUUGAUCAAAAUUUUUUAAAGUGAAAAGGCAAUUAUUGAUUGCCGCCAAAAUUAAUUUUUUUAACUGAAAAAAGAAUUUUUUUUAAAGUAAAACCGCAAAUCCUGAUUGCGGCGAUAGUUUUGACACCGUCAAUCCCACCUACCCAACGUAACCAACAGUUGUCAUUGACUCUCUUAUUAUUUCUUUAUAAAAAAAGGCAACGGCCAUGCACUAUUUUUUUAAAAAAAAACUAAUACAGCAAUUUGAAUUUUCGGCGUUAGUUUUUCCAUCAUCCAUCCCUCUAGAUUUACAAAUCAAAGUUCAGGAUUUAGUCAAAAAAAAUUUGUAGUUAAAGUAGCAGUACUACAAUUAUUUGUUAUAUUGCCAACAAUAACUAUUCGUGCCUCAUCUUCACGGACAAUCCCAACUAUUUUCUCUUCUCUAUAUAUUCACUUGAGAAAACCCACUUCCUUUACGACCUUUCUCUUUCUAGUGUGGUUCUCAUCUUCUUCUUCAUCUUCUCUACAUAUUUCUCCUAAAUUUUCGAGGGUAGCUGAUCGAUUAAGACGACUUGAAUCGAGGAAAGCAAUAUUACAAUUUGAGCGGUGGAUCGAAAAGAAAUUUUGUAAAGAAACGAUAUUAUCCUUGACAAGGUUAGUUUAUUUAAUAAUUUUGUUAAUAAUAAUUUUAUAAUAUUUGCAGUUAUGUUAAGUUCUAGAUAUUAUGCUGCUUUACAUUUAUUUAAUUUUUGAAUGAGUUGUUUAUUUAUGGUUUGCAGUAGUCUUUUAUUUAUGAUUUAUUUAUGGUUAGCAGUAGUCUUUUAGGCGAAUUAAUAAUGAAUACUAAUAGUAAGAUAUACUAUUAAAUGAUUAUUUGUUGACAUUAAUGGUUAGAUGAAUAAAAGGUGAUAGUUUUUAAGAUUUAAUAGUCACUGAUAGGCGAAUUAAUAUUUACAUUUAUUAAGAUUAUUUAAUAGUCAGAUGAUAAGGUUAGUCUUUUAUAGUUAUUGAAGAAGUUUUUUAAAAAUUAUUUGUUGAUGGAUUUUAGAAUUAAUUUUAUAGAGGCAGUAGUCUUUUAGGCGAAUGAUGAAUAAAAGAUAAAUAAUGGUACAUGGUAAAUAGUAAAUAGUAAAUAAUAAAUAGUAAAUAGUAAAUAGUGAGUGGUUAAAAUUAUAUAGUAAAAAUAACAAUAAUACAAUAUGAGAUAGUGAGAUAGUAACUAAUACAUUAAUAAUACCAGUACUAUUAAUCUAUAGUUUAGUAAUAUUAAUAUGAAUAAUAAAUAGUAAGUAAUACUAAUAGUUCUAAAAAUAUAAGUUACAAUAAUACAAUCAUAGUUUAAUAGUAAUUAUGAUUAAUUAAAGAAGAACCAUUACUCUAAUAGUUUGAAUAAUACUAUUUGUUUGAUAAAUCUAUUUUUAUUUAUUCAUUUGAUAUUGAUAAUUAUUUUAUUAGUGGUGCUACUACCAAUGAAAACGUUUAUUGCGUUAAUAUUAGUAAUUAUGAUAAGUUGUUAAAAGAAAUAAGUUGACAUAAAAAUAUUUGUAAGAUUAGGAAAAAAUAUCGAUGGACCUUGCAUUGGUGUUUCAAUUUUAUUGGGGAGGCAGAAUAAACGAGACCGGAGAAUCAUUCGCAUAUGAACCUCCACGGUGUAAAAAAGCCGUUUUAGUGAAACAUCGAAUAAGUUAUGAUGAAUUGGUGGAAAAAGUGUACACCUACAUGCAAUUAGAUCGGAAUGUUUGCAAGUUGAAUCUAUAGUUUAGAAAUGCUGUUGGCCAAGACAUAUUUGCUGGAGUGCAAUUGAAAUUUGAAGAUGAUAUUGACACGUUAUAUCAUAUGAAGUCAAUGUCACCACACACGACAUGUGAGAUAUAUGUAGAAUUAGAACUACGAACCCGUCAUAUUCACAGUGACCAUGAUGGCGGACAAACAUCAUUAGUCGAGAAUGAUUUUGAAAAGGAGUCAAACAGUAUGUUUCAUACUGAGGUAACUGAAAGUACAAGGAUGGUAAAUCGUUCUUUUGAUGAAUUGCCUCAAAUGGAAAUUUUCAAUCCGACAAUCCUAUCAAGCAUACCUGAGAGAGAAGGUGUUAAUGUUGAUCAAGACACGGAACCAGAACCCGAUGGUGAUGAUUCAGACAAUGAUGAGCAGGAUCAAAUCGAUGAAGAAUCUGGCAAUCUGCCGGUUCAAUUGGCUGCCGGUCCAUCGAUCUCAUAUCAUAUACCAGUCCAUCUAAAUGACCUUGAAGGUGUGGAAGCCUCACUGAAUUUUGAUACUUUUAAGAAGAUAGUUUCAGAGGAGUACAAUGUGUGGGAUGAGUGGACAAAGGAGCUUAGAUUGGGAAUGAUUUUUGAAACAAAGAACGACGUACAGCGAGCUGUCAAACUCUGGUCGAUCAAGCACAACAGGGAGUACAAAGUGUGAGAAAGUAAACCGACCACUUGGUAUGUCCGCUGCAAGUCCUAUAGUGUUUCGCUUCCAUGUAAUUGGUAGCUAAGAGCCACUCUAAGAUGCACACAUAACAUGUGAAAAAUUGUAACAUUUGUGAAAGAAUACAUGUGUAUGCGAGUUUCGAAUUCCAAUGACCACCGACAGUUAAGUUUGGAACUCAUAGCCGAGUACGUAAUACACCACGUCCAGAAUGGUCCACUGUAUGCCAUCAAAGAAAUACAAAUGAGCAUUAAACGUGCUUUUGAUAUGGAUGUUUCAUACAAAAAAGCAUGGUAUGCUAAGCAACGUGCGAUUGAUAUUGUGUAUGAUGAUUGGCCAACUUCUAUAGCUGCGCUCCUUAUGUACAUGCAGGAAUUGGUGAAAGCCAAUUUCGGAACAGUUGUCGAGUGGGAGCACCAUCCGCAAAGCAGUGCUAGAUGCAGAAUCUUUCAUUAUGUGUUUUGGACAUUUGGGCCGGUGAUCGACUCAUUUCGACACCUUAAACCAGUUAUUUGUAUUGACGGCAUAUUUAUGAAGGGCACAUACAAAGCAAAAUUAUUAGUUGUUGUUGGUUUUGAUGCUUCCAAUCAGCGGUGGCCGAUUGCAAUCGCACUUGUAGACGAGGAGAUAAAUCGGAGUUGGACAUGGUUCAUGUCACAUUUGCGACGUCAUGUGUGCCGUGAGGUGAAAAAUAUAUGCGUUAUUUCGAAUAGGUACAAGAGCAUAACACACGCUAUGAAUACUUUGCUGGAGUGGAAAGAAUCGAUGGCUGUGCACCGAUACUGUUUAGUACACGUGCAGAGCAACUUUGCCCAAAAAUUUUGAAAUCAAAGGUAUAUAUUUUUUAAUAUUAGAUUAGGAAUACAUAGUAUGAAUACCCACUAAAUAUAAGUUUAAUCGUUGGUCAAUUAUCAUUGUCCAAAUUGAAUGAUCUUAUGUGGGCUGCCGGAGCAGCAAAUCAAGCCAAAAAAUACGAAACAUUUAUGGAACAAAUAUAGGUGUUAAACGAAGAGGUGUAUAAAUGGUUGAAUGGCAGUUCGGUCAAACCGGAACAAUGGACAUUAUGCAAGGAUAGGGAAUAUCGGUGGGGCUACAUAUCGAAGAACAUAGCUGAGUGCUUCAACAAUGUAUUGCACAAUGCUCGAUUAUUACUAAUAACAGCAUGCGUACAGUUCACUUUUAAUCAAGCCGUUGAGCUCUUUACGUCGAAGCGAAAAUUGGCUUUCAACACGACGUAUGUUUUUUCUAAAGAAAUAUGGAAGCCAUUCUUAAAAAAUGAAUUAAAGGCAAGGACACACUCAAUCCAAGUAUAUGACCAUAGAGGCGGAAUAUAUUGCGUUACUACUGGUUGACGCGAUAAUGGAAAGGGUGGCAAUGUGCAAAUUGUCAAGUUCGGGAAUAACACAUGUACGUGUGGCAAGUGGGCUGAACUUAGAUUCCCAUGGUCACACGUAUUUGCAGCUUGUUAUAGGUCGGGUACAAAUCUGUACCAUCUGGUAGGUCACGUGCACACAUUUUCAUCCUGGCAAUCUUCACUUCAAGGACAGUUUCAAUUUUUGUCGGAUUCGGCUUAUUGGAUCCCUUCGGAGUUGUGACUUAACUGUGAUGUAGGAAGAAUUAAACAAAAGAGACCCGACCCUAAAGCCAUUGCUAGAAUACAUAACCAAAUAGAUCGUCGAUGUUCCGAUGCGUCUCAUCAUUAUAGUCACUGUUCACAGACAAGCCACAAAGCCUCCAAUUGCCCUUAUUCUAGUCAUUUUCAUGUGUAAAAGCAUGAACGGGAUGAAAAAUUAGCUAAAGGUUGUGUAGUCAUUGAUUGUGUGUUAUGUUAGUUAUUUGGUCGAUUUUUUGACUGUAUGUCUAUUGCUGACGUACAAUUUAAUAAAAUUGGGACUGUAUGUAUGCUAUUAAUAAAUAUUUGAUUGUGGAGAUUAUCCUAAACAUGUCACAUUGGCCUAGACAGACUCCAAAUCCUAUACAGGGUUCACACGAAGAUGGCGUAUUAUAUUUGCAGGAUACACAUCGAUCGAAAAUCGUGUUUUUAGGGCAAGAGAGUCAGCUCGAUAUAAAAUGAGCCGACAAUUUUUUUUAGGAUCUGAUACGAAAUCAGCUGAAUUCUAGGAUAGCAAACUACCUUCGUGUAAUAGGUUUUUGGGGGAUCGUACAGGUAGGUUAUUUUGAAAUUGAUCAUGGAUUGAUUACAUCGCUUAUUGAGCGAUGAAGGCAGGAGACCCACACAUUUCAUCUUCCCGUGGGUGAGGCCACAGUCACUUUACAGGACGUGGAGGUAUUAUGGGGUCUACGUGUUGACGGAUUAUCAGUGACACUUGUUGAUCGAAAUAGUAAUAUUGCACGCAAGAAACAAUUAAUCAAGGAGCUUCUAGGUUUUAGACCUGAGACGCGACACUUAAGGAUGAGAGGUUGAAACUUGUUCCAAUAUUUGACUUUUUGUACGAGCCUCCUCCAGAUGAUGCACCGGAGGAAUUAGUUCGACAACAUGUUUGAUGCUACAUUUUGAUCUUAUUUGUUGGACAAUUAUAUGCCUACACGUGUGGAAAUGUUGUAAGUUGCCACUGGUUGGAUUACUUACGAGACCUAGAGGCUUUGAGUAAUUUCAGUUGGGGCAAUGCUACACUUGCAUGUUUAUAUUCCCGUCUGUGUAAAGCGUCUUACGCAACGACAAGCUGCACAGCUGGCCCGAACAUGCUUUUGCAGGUAUUGGAUGCAUAAUUUUGGAAUCAUUGCACGUCCAUAUUUCAUUUAAAUGCAAUAGUGAUUUAACGUAAACAAUUCGUAUUUUUUACAGUUAUGGACUUGGGAGAGAAUGCCCAGGAUUCGUCCGACCGUAUUGUUUCCUGCUGUACAGGGCGAUAAUUUUUCCAGAGGUGGUCGCUGGGCAGGAGAACGUACGACUAGAUACGUGCCAUCGCAUGUCGUCUCAUUAUUUCGUGAUGCACUCACCAAGAUGGGAGCCGACGAGGUACUCAAACUAAUAUACAAUUUUGAUAAAAAAAACUCUCAAUAUGUAUUUAUAAUCGCACUUAGUUGAACAAAUUUAUUGUCAUAGUUUAUCUGGGAGCUGUAUUCUACCAACCUUAUUGCACAGCUCCUCGCUUAUUAUUUAGCCGAACAACACAUAUGGCGGUCAGUAGUUCCGUUGAUAUAUUGGGAGGUUGUGGAAUUUCACCUCCCGCAACGGGUACUAAGACAAUUUGGGUUAUUUCAACUGAUACCUGCCUCCGUUGACACAGACACAGAUAAGAAAUUACAUUCUUUAAGUCGCUCAGGGCGUUCCGGAAAGGAUUGGAUCCUGUACCAUAGUCAUUGGGUGCAAUACUGGGAACAUCGUGCUCAAUUGAUUGUUGGUGGAUAUCGCAGCGAUCCAUUAAUGACUUUAUAUGAGUAUAUUGUAUGGUACCAGAAUAUUACUGCUCGCUAUAUAGCACCUCCUGUUUCAUGGCAAGCAGUAGAUGAUGCUCAUCGGCCAGAAAGGGGACAGUUCGACUACUUGGUAAAUUAUUAAACACUUUCCCUUUUUAUGUAAUCAAAUCCCAUUACAUGUUUAUUUAUUAACAUAUAAUAUGAUUACAAUAUACAAAUUUCUCUUUUUUUAGGUUGAUUCGAUGUCUCGGAUCGGUUCGAUCUAUGGGAUGUAUCUCGAUCCCGCAAAUCCAACGCAGAGUGCUCAUCCGGGACUAACAACUAUUCGUGAGGAGGCAUUUGGGGCAUUACAAUACCUGAAUCUAGGACAUAAAACGGUAGCUAGCCCAUUUGACCGUCAAGAUAUUGGUCAAUCUGCCUCUUCUGCUGCCCCUUUUCAGAUGCCUGUCGAGCAUCUACCUAGGGAAGUCCGUGGUAGGAAACAAGCAGUUAGACGUCGCAGAGGGAGCACCUCCACGCAUGCUGUUGAUGUGCCGGACGAAGAUAUAAUGCAAAUUUCAUCACUAUUCGGUUACGAUCCACCUAUUGGCAUACACUUUUCUCAUAAUGAAACUUUCUUCACACCUCCUACUAUGCCAGCUUUCGGAGGUCAUUUCAGUGAUACACCUACUCCCAUACCCGUAUUUGACUAUACGUCUGCUGCUGCACCAGCGUCUACAAUGCUUGCUACAACGAUGUGUCCAGAAAUUAAGUUUCAAGAUAAUCUUGACCAAAUGUACCGCUUCCUAGAGACCUCGGUUGGUUUCUCACCUGCUUUGCAUAUGGACGACGACAGUGUUCCCAUUAGUGCUUCUUUUCAAGCACCUAUACAUGGCUCUUGUCCUAGAUGCGGUCAAACUCCGGUAUUCAAUCCCUCCGUUGAUGAUGACGAUGAUCAAAUAUCUGAACAAAUUCAUGCAAUUUCUCAGAGGUUUGAACGAUUACAAUUGGGACGAGAUCUACCACAUGAGAGAAUUCAUUGGAAAUGUGGCUGUUCUACCACUCCGCGAGAUAAGGGCAAGAGGCGCGUUGAUGGGUGAUUUAAAAAAUAUUAUUUUUCAAAUUUUUCUUAUCGAAACUCUCAUUUUAUUAUCAAUUAAGUUUAUAUGCUAAUUAUUACAUUCUAUAAAUAUUGUUUAAUGUUGCAUUAUUUAUCAUUAUUCAAAUUAGCAUUAACAUUAAAAAUUUUAAAAAUAUGACUUAGGUAAAUUUUAGAGUGUUUUUAAUAGCAUACUAAUUAUUUAAACCCUAAACUCUAAUUAAGCCUAAUUUAUUAUUAUUUAAGUUUAUAUACUAAUUAUUACAUUCUAUAAAUAUUAUAUUAUUUAUCAUUAUUGCGAUAAUAAUAUUAUAAAAUUUAAAAAAUAUGACUUAGGCAAAUUUUAUUAGUAAUUUAAUAGCAUACUUGAUUAUCAUCUUAAUUUAUAAAUUUAACAUUAUUCUAAUAUGAUAUUUUAAAUUUUUGAUAAUUUUGGUUUACAAUAGAAUUUUAGUAAUACGAUUUAAGAAUUUUAAUUUUAAAAUUAGGGUUAAAGGGUUACACUGUAAUUUGAAAAUUAGUAUUUCAUGUAAAACAUAAAACCCUAAUUACGCCUAAUUAAGGUUACUUUUUACAGGAGAAAAAAACUUGGUCACGCUGCCUUUUAUUAAAUAUUAAAUAACUUAUUAAAAAUUAAAUAUUAAAUAAUAAAAGGUAGGAAGAAUGCUUCAAUAAAAAAAAAAGCAAGAAUGCAUCGCCGCUCAUGAGCGGAAACACAUAAAAACAAAAACCUUCGCCGCUCAUGAGUUGAGCGGUGAUCAAAAUUCCUUCACAGCUUAUUUCAUGAGCGGCAAAGCGUUUUUAAAAAAAAAAAUUAAACCAAGCAAAAAUAAAUGAAAACUAAAAGUCUUUUUAUUAGUAGCCUCACGUCUCAAUUGCGACGACCCCUUAUUCCGAAACACUCCCGACAUAACACCAAUUUUCUGAACAUUUUCAAUUUUGACAAUAUUCCUAGAAAUUCAACCUAGUUGGUUCAUUUUAAUAUGUAAAUAUUUGAUAGUACAAAAGUAAACACAAACACUUUUCGAGCUUUUCCCACUGUCAGCACUUGAAUCUUGAAUCUGACAACAGGGGAUGGGGAGGGAUGAAAGGUUUAAAAAAAAAGGGUUAAUUCCACUUUGUCCCCCCAAACUUUGGAUGAUUAUCCACUUAAAUCCCUAAACUUUAAAAUGGGACACUUAAGUCCCUAAACUUAUAAAUACCUCCCACUUAAGUCCCUGAACUUAUAAAAUGAGACACUUUAAUCCCUAAACCCUCAUAAAAUGGGACACUUCGACCACCAACGGCAUUCAGGAUUUGUUAACAAUUUUCCUUAAGUGGGAGGUAUUUAUAAGUUUAGGGACUUAAGUGUCCCAUUUUGAAGUUUAGGGACUUAAGUGGAUAAUCGUCCAAAGUUUGGGGGGACAAAGUGGAAUUAACCCAAAAAAAAAUUCAAAUAGCAACCUAAUGGCAAUUUGGGAAAAAAAACUUUACCGACCAUUAGACCAAUUUUCUCAAAAUGAGGGUUUAAAGUGCUAUAUUGGAAGACCUUCAGCCCUCCCAGGACAAAUGAAUAUGCCCAGGGUCAUGGAGCCUGGAUUCUGAGUUUCUGAACAAGGAGAAAAAUAGAUUUCAAUUCUCUGAGGAAAAACCAGAAAAGGUAAAGAAUCAAGGAAGAAGGAAUGGAUGAAGAAGAAGGAGGAGGAAUAAGGUUAAGCAAGAGAUUUUCAGACAAAGGAGGAGAGGUUGAUUACAAAACCAAAGCAGGCACCGCUUGGUCUCAUUCUUACCUCAAUCAGAAGCCAUGGCACCCUCUUUCUUACCCUAAUCAACGCCGCAAGUGGAUCGCCGAGCAGACUCACGCCCAGCGAGAACGCCGCGCCGAAGAAGUUGCCCGCGAGGUACUUUUUUUUCCUUAAUUUUGUUUCAAUUGAUUUCUGAGGAACCAUUUUUGCUCCAUUUUUUUUGUUUAAUGAACGGAAAAGCCCAGUUAAGAUACAGAAAUCUUUGGUUUCUGUUUUUCUUUUUGGUUGGUUAUUAUUAUUGUUUCUUGUAUUCAGUAGAGGACAAAAGCCUAGUUGCAGUUAGAUAAGUUCAAUAGUUUCUUUGGUUGUGGAUUAUCUUGUGGAAUUUUCAGAUUAUGAACUACUAGUAGAAAGGGAAGAGCCCCAGUUACAUGGUGUAUUGAAUUUCGAGGAUUUUUUUGGUUGCAGAUUUUAUAUGCAGAAGCAGAAUAUGUAAGAAAAUAGUGCAUUUUUGGAAUCUAAACAGUUUUGCAAAUGUUGCAAAGGUUUUAUAUUGUGGAAAACCCUGAUUAUCAUGUGUUUCAGGAGUUUUGUAUUGCAUAUUUUAUAGGCAGGAGCAGAAUAUAAAGAAACUAUUAUAGUAUUGGAGUCUAUAAAUAGUUAUACAAAUUUUGGAAAGGUUGUACAUUCAGCAUAUUUCUCAUUUUAUACUUAAAUUGUAUCAUGGGCAUUGGCUCAUCCGUGAGGUACAUUUUGAGGUACUUAGGUGCUCGUACUAUGUUGCCUAUUUUUUAAGGAUAAAAGUAGAAUUUGAAACUAGACGAGACUGAACUAUGAUAAAGAUUCUAUGUAUAACAUAUACAGACAGUUAAAUAGAAAAAAAAAAUUUGAAUUGGUUGAAUUAUUGGCUAUGUCUUCCUAUCUUUUUGAAUUUUAGUUGGGUACCUGCGAAUUGCUCUAGACACUAAUUCCUAUAGUUAUUUUUAACUGUUUGAUUGUUGCUUCAUUUUAGCUAUGUGAUUCUGUUUAUUUUUUUCUGAUGUAAUAUAAUACCCUGUCUUAUUUUGAUUCAAUGUUUGUGCUUAUUGGUACUUUUGGUCAUGUGUUUUUUCAGUAUGCUCAGGAGCACGAAUUUUUCCGCCAGACAGCUCUCGUCUCCAAGAAGGAGAAAGAAAAGGUACUUUGCGUGCACUGUAUAACUCUGUAUUUUGUACACUUCAAUACAGUUAUAUUAUGUCUAUGGGCGUUCCCCAUUAGUGGAGAUACCAGGUCUAAUCAUGUGCUUAUAGAGCAUGCAAGGAAAGUGUUGAUUGUCUGACUGAAUGUGCAUAAACUAAGUAAGGUAAUUGAUGCAUGACUUGUGUUCUUGUAGAUGGAGACGAUGAAAGCUGUUAGCUUUAUGUAUGUCAGACCACCUGGUUACAAUGCAGAGAGUGCUAAAGCUGCAGACAUGGCUGAUGAGAGGAAGAAGCAAGAGCAGGAGCAAAAUAACACUUCCCAAGGACCAUUUGAACACGGUGCUUCCACGUCGAUGUAAAUGCUUAGUUUUUAAAUUCUGGUUUCUCUAUUUCUAAGUGUGUAUGGCUGCUUAAUUAUGAUGUCUGUGUGUGCAUGGAUUAUGAAAGCUAAAAUACACUGGGCUUUGAUGUAGGAAGCACGAAUCUUUGCCUUCUAGUGAGGAGAAAAAGAAGCCCAGGCCAAAGGAUGUCUUUGGUCGUGCCUUGCCAACAGAAGAACAAUUUGAAGUCCUUAAGCAUGCUCCAAGGUCCGCAUGUUCUGCUCUUAUUUUGUUCUUGGUGUACAAUAGUUUUUCAAAGCAGUAUUCUAUCUGAAUGACGUAUUUUUCUUUACAUUCUCAACAAGUAACUGUCUUCCUGAGUUGGAAAUUAUUGGUCCUGUCCAUAUAACCUGUUAAUAUCAAUAAAUUGCAUUUCAGAUAUUCUUGAACAUAUUAAUUCAUACAUACCAAGAAUUCUCCAUAGAGCAGUUUUGUGUGUUAGGUUUUAAGAAUAUUAGAAGGUACCCUGUGGCUUUUGUCUCCGUUGAUAAUACAUAACAAAAUUUGCAUAAAUGUGUUUUGGCAAUACUUUAUUGUAUAUCCUUCAUCAGUAAUGUGCACGAUUGUAUGUAUUCACUAUUCACAUUAUAAAUGCUAAUUUUGAUGAUCUUCUCCAGGCUAGAGACAGGUGUUGCUGGCAGGUCCAAACCAUUUGGAGUGGAGAUACGCAAUGUAAAAUGCUUAAGAUGUGGAAACUUUGGCCAUCAAAGUGGUGAUCGUGAAUGCCCAUUGAAAGAUGCUAUAAUGCCUAGUGAAGAGAAUAGAUUGAAAAGAGAUGAUCCUUUAACAGCUAUCCAGGCUCUGACAGAUGUGAAUGAGGUACAUAUUGAUUCUUCUUACACAUCUAGCUAGUUAUAUUCAUCUAUAGACUUCUUUAACUCAAAGUAAUUAAUUUUUCCUUGAUAAAUAUGUUGGCUUUUAAUUUAUAAUACUUUACUCAAUCUGUUAGUCUUUUUUCUCCCAAAUUUUAUAAUAGUGAAUGAUGGAAUUAUUUCCCAUUUACCUCUCUGUAGCUUCCUCAGAACUGCAAGAGAGAGAGGGGGGGGAGAGAGAGAGAGAGUUACUAGAUGUUCAAGUAUAUUUAAAACUUCAAUCUGUGUUUUGUCCUUUUGUCUCCUUUGGGAAAUCGAAAGGAAAGCCAAGCUCUGAUGGAAUUUAGAAGUCCAUGCAGUUGCUCAUGCUUUUCUUCCAAAUAUUUUUCAUUGGUACAUAUAAAGACUACAUAUAAAGAAGGUUAUUUUUGGUUGGUCUUUUGGCAAAGUUCUAUUAGAUGUGUAGAUACUCAUUUUUACUGGAUCUCGCUAUAGCAAUGCAGAGAGUAAAAUGAUUGUUGCCCUUUCAAAGAUAUGAAGGAAGGUCUCUGAAGUUAUCUUGUGAGCGUGAGGACUACGUAAUCAAUCAAACAUCACUUGAAAAUGGCUCUUCUGCUCAGAAACGAAAUGUUCCAACUUGUAGGCAAACUAUUAUAAUUAUUUUAUAGAUUUUUUAUUUUUAUUUUUUUAUGAAUUUAAGCUGAUUUACAUCUCCGUGUAAAAGCUGGGAUAUGUGGUAUGAUAAUUGUUAUUCCUGACAGUCUCAUAGUGAAAAUUGUAGUAAUUCUUUUAGGUAAUUUAUAAUUGAGAAUAGCCCCUGGUUUUGGCAAAUCGGACGUGCAUAUACUGUCUUCUUCUGUUCAACGCAUCAUGUCUGUGCAAAUGGCUAGUACUUUAUAUUUUUAAUAAAUGUUUUCCAAGUAUUAUUUACAUUCAGAUGGACUACUGGUCUAUAGUUGAGACAAUAGGGGUAAACAAGGAAAAGACAAUCUGGUUUCCCAAUGGGGAACUCGAACUCUUUGUUCUUUUAAGAUUUUUAAGAUUAAAGUGCAGAGCUCAGUGGAAUGACUUCCAAAAUUUUCUAAGAGGAGAUGGAUUGUGUGCCAAAGUGCACUGCAAAUUUACCCUUGAAACAAUAAAUUCAUUUUCUUUUCCUUGUUUAGAUUUUCUUUUCCCUCCACUGGGUUAGGGAGAAGGUGGUGGGGUCGCUAAAAGAGAGAAUAACUUUUGUGUGAUCCCAAGUUUUGGCCAUCUGGAUACUUUUAUCACAUAUUAAUUGCAAUCAGAUUAAAUAAUUACAGGUCCUUUGGCGUUGGAAGGGCAAAUAUUACUCUACUAUGUAGUAUAUAGGAAAGUUUCUUGGUAUAAAGUUGCAAUGUCUUCCCCAUUCCACCAUGUUCUUCUGCUGUUUCCAUUUGACAGUGUCUUCCUACAUCUGAAGCAAGUGAUCUGAUUUUUCGUAUAUUCUUUCUCCUGUCAUCUUUGCUCUUACCAGACUAUCAUUUAUCCACUGGUCGUGUCUGGAAAUUGCACAUCAAAACUACUUGGCAGUUAUACAAGUUAUUAUUUAUCUAUAAUUUUUUAUACUUGUUUGUUGUACUUCGAGAUGCACACUAUACAGUUUGCUUCUUUCAUUAGUUGCCUCAUUCUGCUGUAAAUUUGACUUUCAAGUUCAGUUGAUUCAGCAGCUAUAAGUAUUUGCUGGACAAGUAUUAAUCACUGAUUAUCACAAUCUCAAGGAAAGACAUGCAGUUUGGAUAUUGUAGAUUUAAGCCUUUAAACAAUUUUCUUCACUUGAUAUGCAGCCAUUUAAGUGGGAGCUGAAACAAAAGCCAGGAUUGAGUCCCGUUCGAGGUGGGUUUAGGGCUGAUGAUCCAAACCAACAAAUCGUUGCUGAGGACAUAUUUGAUGAGUACGGAGGUGAUAUUUUUGUUGCUUCUAUAAAGUUUUAAUUGAAUGAUUUAUUAGUUCUACUCAAGAGAUGUAAAUGUAGUCCGUCUUGAAUCAAAUCAUGCCAGGGUUUCUAAGUGGAGAUAACAUCCCUGACUUGCUGGCCAAUUUUUCAUCAAGCGAGCCAAAGAAAAAGUCAUCUAGUAAGAGGAAACAUAAAAGGCAGUUAUCACCUACUGAAGUAAGUGGUAGAGAAAAGUGGUCAUCUUCCAGUGAUGAUGGUGGCAGAAGAUUGGAGAAGAAGAGACACAAGAAGUCAUCAAGAAAGCAUUCUCACUCAAGUUUGGCAGUUAACUUAGAUUCCAACAUGCUUCAAAAGGGUAACAGAUCAUUGGCUGGUGGUGAUAGGGAUAGACAUUUGAAGAAGAAAAGAAGUGAUAGGAAAUCACAGAAGCAUUCAGUGUCAAGUUUGCAAGAAAACUCUGAUUCUGAUGUGCCAUAUGAUCAUCGAGAUAAUGGGUCAUCAUCUGGUGAUGAUAGGAAAAGGAGAUCAAAGCUGUCAUCAUCUUCUGGUGAUGAUCAUGGGAGGAGAUUGGAGAAGAAGAGACAUCAUAAGUCGCCAAGAAAGCAUUCUCGCUCAAGUUUGCCAGAUAAGUCAGACUUUGACAUGCCAUACAAUAACCGAAAUGACCAUAGGUCAUCAGCUGGUGGUGAUAGGAUUAGUAAAUUGAAGGACAGAAGACAUGAGAAGAAGUCAAGGGUGCACUCAGAGUCAAGUUUGCGAGAAAACUCAGAUUCUGGUGUGCCGUAUAAUCACCAAGACGAUGGGUCAUCAUCUGGUUAUGAUCGAAAAAGGAGAUCAAAAAAGAUACAUAAGAGGAAGUCACCAAAGCAUUCUUACUCAAGUCAAUCUGAGAUCUCUGACUAUGAUAGGCAUUGCAGGAGCAGUAGGCACAAGCAUUCUCAUCCAACCUCAUCUGAGAAUUUGGACUUUGAUGGGCAUUACAGAAAUCGUCGUCAUCGUCAUGGUUAUCGCCAUUAGAAUUGUGUCUUUUUUCUGGUUUGAUCUUUUGAAACCACCAACGAUCCUUCCAUGAAGCUGCACCAAACUAAUACAGUUAGACACACCCGAGAGGUAAUGAGCGUUCACUGCGUCAGACACUCUACACAGCAGCUUUUUGCAUUUAGAUCUAAAUUUGCCUCCUUUCUCUCAAUACAAAGCUGAAGAACAAAAAUGAUGGUGAAGCUGCAGCUAUAGGUGUUCAAGAUUUAUGGGGACCUGUUUUUGCUUAAAGCUGAUGUAAGAUGGAGUCAAAUGACCUUCGUGGUGAAAGGAGAAAUUCACUUCCCUGUUCAACACUCUUGUUCUUGGGGUUACUGAUACAAAAACAUCACUGCAAUUAUUCUUUGGUUUAAAGUUUAAAUGCAUAAUCUUGACUUCAGGCUCUCAUGUCGUUGCAGGGGGUUGAAAUAUUUGUAAAAUUUCCCUCCCUCAACCCAAGAGCUUUGGUGUAAAAAGACUGUCUAUUAGUCAGUUGAAUAUUCUAAACAGGCAAGUUUAAAAGCUUGGAAUCUUUCAGCACAAUUGGUUUGUUUCAAUACACUGGUAGAUCUAUGGCAUUAGAUGUUUUUUAAGUUACUCCAGACACUCCUGCUAUGUUGCAGCAAGGUGCCCAGUUAAGAGCUAGUCGAAAAGUCCACCUUGUGGACAAGACUUCCACGUCUAGGUUGCAAAAUUUGCAAUGAAUUAUCCUUUCUCUUAGCCUCAAUCAAUUUUCUGUCUCACGUAUUAGGUCCUCUAUGAAGACCGAGCCAAAAAUUUAGCAACAAAAGUGAGUAUAACUGGGAUGGUGAGCCAAAAAAAAAAAAGGAUAAAAUAGAAAAUUGAUUGAAGUAACGAAUAAGCUCACUUGGUUUUUAGUAGGGUUAAAUGCAAAAAACCCCACAAACUAUAUAACCAGUUGCAGUUUACCCCCUAAAUUAUAAUAAUAGGCAUUUUGUCCCCUUGAAUGAUAUGUUUGGACAACAUUACCCCUACUAUCUUAAAUCCUUUCUCUUUUUUUUCUCUAUUAGCUUUUUUCAUUUUUUUCCUUUUAUUUUCUUUUUGUUCUCCUUCUCUCAUGGAACUAGCCAACGUCUUUCUCUGAUGUGAAAAGACUUACAUCAAAAAUUUUAAUAUUUUUAAACUGCUUUUUUAAUUUGUUUAUUUGUUAAAUUCAUUCUUAAUAAUUUGUCAUAAACUCUUUGUUAUUACAAAAUAUAUGUAACUUAUAUUAUAAAGUGUAUUAAUCUAGUAAUUCAACAAUUUAAGUACCUAUAAACUAAUUAAGAGUUCACAGUUACUCAACUACUUAUAAUAAAAGUAACAUAUUAUAUAUCACAUAAAAAAGAAAAGUUAGCAAUUGUUAUUUGUAGUGAAAUAAAAAAUAAGAAUAAAAAACAAUAGUAGUUCAUUUUUUUUGUUAUUGAUACUACUAAUAAUUGAUUAAUCAAUUUCUCUAUUUUGUUAUUAUAUAUUUGAAAAGUUCAAUUUCUUAAAUGACAUUGAUUUCAACAUUUGGAAAAAAAAUUUUGUAUUCCAUAGAUUUUUUUUUUAAAAAUAUUGACAUACGAAAUUAAGAAAUAAACAAAUUUUGACUAAUCUAGUCUACUUAUUUAAACAAUGUUUAAAGGAAAAAAAGGGAAGAAUUUAAAAAGAAAAUGAUAGGGAAAAAGAAAAAUAACAAUGCUUAAAAUAAAAGGGGUAGAUUUGUCCAAACAUAUCAUUCAAAGGGGCAAAAUACCUAUUAUUAUAGUUUAGGGGGUAAACUGCAACUGGGUAUAUAGUUUGUGGGGGUUUUUUGCAUUUAACCCUUUUUAGUAUGCAGCGAUAAAUUCUUCCACUAAUUUAAGUAAAGGCUGAAGAGGUCCAAAUUGCCUACAUCAAAUUUCACUCACUCAAGCAAAUUUCACUCACUCACCAAACAUAUCUGGCAGAUUGCCCCAAUCCAGUGGGACGGUAUGCAAGAGCAUCAUGGCUGUUUCAAAAGAUGGUGGAUCUCCGUCAUCGAGGCAAGGCAUAGGACAGCAGGAUCGCAACAUUUGGCCUUAACUGUCAACAUUCUUUGGCAGAUUUGGAAGGCUAGAAAUGACAUGGAAUUUAAGGGGAAAGCUCAUCAGCCCUGGAAGAUUAUAAAGAAAGCACAGGAGGAAUGGAUAGAAUUCGAUGAAGUAGCAAAGAAGGAAGCUAGGAUGAGCACAGGAGAAACAUCAACUCACAACAAUGAAGACCAGCAAUUAGAGCCGGAAGAGGGAACUGUGGAAAUGAGAGUUGCCGCAACAAGACAGACAGACAAACCUAUCUUAGGCAUUGGAAUCACUUCAGCUGAAAGGAACCAAGAACCAAUGAUAGGAUGGGCGCUAAGGGAAAGAAGCUCAGGGGUACAGCUUCUGGACGAUGCAGUAGCAUUAAAGCUGGCUAUGUGCAAAGCAAUUACAUUGCACCAAAGGAAAGUACAAUUCCAAGUGAAGAAUAUGCAACUCCUCAAUCAUAUUCGAACUCAGAAGGCAAGUGACAGCAGAAUAGCUACGCUGGUGGAAGACAUUGUACUUUUGAAAGGGUUGUUUCAUAUGUGCUCCUUUUGUCUAGCUAAUAGUGAUAAAAAUUAUCUAAGCUCUAGUAUCAGCAUAUAUGCCUUAGGCAUCACAAUUGAUGAGGAAUUGGUGUUUCCUCAGUGUUAAGCACACUGGUUGUAAAGUCAAUUCGAGCCUUUGCUCGCUCUUGUAUAUCUUUUGAAAGUAAUAUAAUCAAAUAUCGUUUUGGAAAAAAAAGCAAGAAGCCGUUUAGAAAUUAUCGUUUCGAAAAAAAAAAAAAAAAGCAAGAAGCCGUUUAGGGAAGCAAAACUUCCACCCCACAUGGUAAUAAUUUUUCAAGCGGUGGUUUUUACAUUUUGAAUUGGAUAUGAUGCUAUCUGGACCAAAAUUUAAGGGUAUCUAUAAUUGUCAAUGAGAAUUACACCGUGUAAUAUAGUCCAAUAAAUGUAAGCAUUAAGACAAUAACAUGAGAAAAUACAAAAUUAAAAAAAAAAAACUUUUUCACUUCAUGAAAUUUGUGCCCAAAACUCAAUCUCAAAUGUCUAAAUUUAGAUUUGUCUAUUUCUCACCAUGAGUUGUUCUCUGCAAAGAACCUGGAUCCGAUGCUAGCUAUGGUGCUGGAGGUCUUCUUCAUUUUCAUAUUAUUAAACUUUCUAACGUUUAUAAGCAAGAUAAUAUACUUAGUCGGAGGAUUAUGUGGUCUAACUAGAUUAAGGGAUUUUGCUAUUACCAAUUUCUUACGUUUAUAAGUAAGAUAAUAUACUUAAUCUUAGGAUUAUGUGAUCUAAUUAGAUUAAGGGAUUCUACUGUCACCAAUUUAAACUAUACGGUACAAUGUAAAUACUAACACAAUAAAUAUAGACACCAUUACAAGAUGUAAAAAACAUAACAAAUUUUUGACACAUUGAAAUAUGUGUCCUGCGUUUUUUUUUCUCUUCCAUCCAAUUUCACAACGCUCCAUCUACCACUCUCAUCUCAUUUGCAGAGGAUCUGAAUCCAAUCCGAACUCUAAAGGUCUGAGCGUAGCAUGAUGAAAAUGGGACUGGAAAUUAUUGAAUUCCAAUAUUUGCACAUAGUUGCAUCUAAUGAGGGGCAUUAUUUGCACACAAAUAAGGAUUUAAGUGCUUCUUCCAGGAAAAAACUAUUUAUAUAGGAAACGAGGUGAGGAAAACUAGGAAGUUCUUACACCAAAACCGAAUUCGAUUUGAAGUUUUUGGAUUCAACCCAUUACAAUCAGGAAAAGAAACUAAUGAAUUUGUGACACGUGGGGGCCGGUCCUAUUUGUUAAUAAGACUUUGUAAUUUUGUCAACAAAUCUAACAUUACCACCUGGCAUGCUUAAACAAAAAUAGCUAGUAUUUUUGCCCGAAUCCACUUACAAAGAACGACUAAUAUAUUUUUAAAUGAUAAAUACAAAUCUUAAAAUCUUAAAAUUAGGAAAAUGGACCAUUUUUAGUAUACGAUUUUCCUUCUCACACCCUAAAGUAAUUUGCCUUUGAUGGGACAUAACCAAACCAAAAUCCUAAAGCCACAAAAUUAUGAAAGAUUGGGCUCUUGAUUUUGAAAAAGGGUAAAUUUCGAUGACUUCUUUUUUUGCAAAAGAUCUUCUAUCCCAUUUUCUAUACAAUGUUCUAUCCCAACAUCUAUUAAAUCAUCAUAUAUCCUUCAUGAACAUCCCAUUUUAAUUCUUUUUUUCCCUUGGAGUUCCAGCAAAUUACUUAUAGGGUAGAAUACAAAAUAGAAGAUAUAAAAGACAAAAUUGAAUAACAUUCUAAAUUGACACAAAUGGUUUGACUUUUUUCAUAAAGAAAGUUUUAUUUUAUAAUUUUGUUUCGCAUUUAAUAGUUGAUAUGUAAUAAAGAAGAGUCGACAAUGAUCAAUUGCUGUAAAAGAUAAAGCAUAACUAUUUAUGUAGAACCCAUAUCAACCUUAAAUAUUCCUAAACUCAUCUACAAUCUCAUAUCAACCUUAAAUAUUUCUAAACUCAUAUCAACCUUAGAUAUUCCUAAACUCCAAUUUCAUGAUUGCCACCUUUCUAAUACAAAAUAGCCUAAGUCAUCACCACUAAUACUAACACCCAAUACACUCCAUUAGUACAAAGUUCAAAAUCAGUCAAAUUUUCUCUCUGUAUAGGACCAUCACCAAUAACUGCAAAUAAAAAAUAGAAACACAAUGUAAUUAUGAUAUACUAGGAACAUAUUUUUUCCAUAACAACCAUAAUAGUAUAAGUUUUAUUUAGUCUCUCAUCCAUUUUUCACCCUUAAUUUUUUUUAAUCACUACCAGUAUCUUCAUUUCUUCUUCUCCUUCUAGUUUGACAACUAAAUCGUCACUUAACUUCUUGUUUGACAAUUUCAAUUUGCUAAUACCUGCAAAAAAUUGAAACCAAAAAUGACCACAAAAAAGCUCUUUAUUAGUAUUGAAAGAGAGUGAAUUGGAAUUAGACACCAUAAUGGGUAAGUAUUGGUGGUUGGUACGCAUGGUGGUUUUGUUAGUAGUGGCAAUAUACAUUUGAUCAAUGGGAAUAAAUAAAUAAGUUUGAAAGAAAAGAAGAUGUAGGAGGGAGAAGAUAGAGAGUUAAAUAUGAAAAACUCUAGUUUGAGUCAUUGGUUGAUAAUAGAUGAGAGAAAACUAAUUUUUGGUAGAGUUAUUUGAUGAGUUGACAAUUAAAUGAAGGGCAUUUGUUGUCUUUUUAUUACACCUAGGGAAGUCCUCAUAAUUAUGUAAACUUCAGGGAAGCCGAGUGAAAUUGCUAGGAACUUCAAGGGAGGUUUUUGAAAUUAUCUCAUUGUAAAAAAGGAACAAAAUCAAGUUUAUAAAGUUGAUCUUUAGGGGAACUAAAUCAUCAUAUUAUUGCUUCCGGUUACGUUUGGAUUGAAAACCAAUGGUAGGAAAAGAAAUACAACUCCACGUUACAAAGAAAACACUAUUAAUCUGAUUUAGAGUAUAGGCCAGAUCAACUAUAUCGAUUAUUCAUUAGAUUGACUGGUGAUUAGUGAAUGUGCAUUAAAAAAAAAAUAGUAUACAUUUCUUUACAUGCAAUCAUGUAGAUUUCUUCAUAUGUGUCCAUAACAAUAUCAUUAGUGGUACUUACCUAAUAAAAAAAAUUAUGAGUGAUAUUUCCAAUUGCCGAUUACUGAAAAAUUUAAAAAAAAAAAAUCCAAUUGCUGGUUUCUGUCCUAGACUCCGAGGUUUAUUAUUCUUUCGCGCUGCGCGUGGAUGUAUAUAACUCAAUAUCUUGUAGUUGGAAAAAGAUUGAGUACAAGGAAGUCUUUUACAUCUAUUUUUCCUAGAUUUUAUUCCUCAUCGUUGCCUUGUAUUCUACUCCAGCUCAUUUUCGGUAACCACAAAGUUAAAGCAAUUAGUUAUAUCUCCCGUGGCAGAAUCUUUAAUUAAUUCAUGAUUCGAGAAAUAUUAAAGAAGUGAUUUAAUGUGAUUAUUUACCGAUUGCAGUGGCUAUUCUGUGUACUUUGGUUAGAAAAUGACUUAACAACGUGAAAUUGCUUAUGAACUCCAAACCCCUUAAUUCCCUUCAUUUGUUAUUAAUUAGAUGCACUCAACAAGGAGGGAAAAAAAAAGGAUGCUUCACCUAUCAUCUAUAGGUCCCGGAUGCAAGUCAUCAAUGUGGUGGUGGAGUCCCACUUUUGAUACUCUUUUUGAAUGAGAAAAAAAAAAGAAGAAAAAAAUGCACUCAAUACAAUUAAUAAUGGCUAAAGAGUAAAUUAUUGAGUUUUACAUUAAAAAAAAUGCUGACAUUUACCAUUUAAUUUCCUUGUUAACGUUAGAUAUUAUAAGUAAAUUAAUUGUUAGACAAAAGUUAAACUUAUUAGUUUGAUUCCAUACCCAAAAAAAAAAAAAAUGAAAAGAAGUUCUCAGAGCUUAUAUAUCUAGUUUUGCAAAGGUUACACAACCAUAUUGCUCCAAUUAUUGGCAGAUGAAGCUAAAAGGAAUCUUCAUUUUCUUGAUAACAACCUAAAGAUAUGGACACUCUCACUCAGUAGUGGAGUGAGGUCCCUAAGGUUCCUAUCACCACAUAAUAUGUAGUAAUAGUAGAUUUACAAUUAAAGGACUUCUAUGUUGAACAUUCCUUUUCCUAUGUUGUUUAAUACUUGCAAGUCAGAGUUGUGCUAUAAUGUGCCAUUAAUGAGUUUAAGAAUCUUGUGAAGCAUAAGAAUUACAAAUUUUUUUAAUUAUUUAGUGGGGCAACAUAGAUAAAAAGAGCAGAGAAAAUACAAUUUCAAAAAUUUUAGGGGACAAAGUAUAUAAGAAAGACAAUUUUGUGGAAUUGAGGGGGGCACAAAUAGGAAGCAAUUUUAAAAAAUUUUAAAACUUUCCAAGCCUGAAAAAUGUUGAACUAGCAAAUGCCGAGAGAGAGAGAGAGAGAGAGAGAGAGAGAGAGAGAGAGAGAGAGAGAGAAUGUCCGAUUAUUUAUCGCAUUUCACAAAAAUGGAGAAUAAGUUACUCUUACCAACUAUGAAUUUUUUCAGAUCAGAUAUCCAAACAUCAUUCUUCUAUAAGUAGUAAUGUCGAAUAUCAUAAUUCAGAGGUAUUGUUUUCUAUCAAUGAGAAAAAUAGAAAAGAAAUCAUUUUGUGGAUUCGAAAUUCAUAAUAACAAUUGGUAUUUGUUCCAAAAAAGUGAGUAACAACCUAGCAACAAAGACACCUACAGCCUAUUUCAAAUAGAAUCAUAAAAUGCCAACUUUUAUCCAGAAAUCGGAUUUAAAUAGACUUUCAAGAAUUUGUGAAGAAUUUUAGCACAAGAUUAAAUUAAAUUCCUCCUGUGAACAAAUUUAUUUUCCCUCCAAGGUUGUUCUUUUCUGAGCCUCAAUAUCUUCAUUAUCCAGCACUGGUUCCUGUUCUUGAUCCUCAAAUUUCGUUAAAGAUUGCUGCUUAUCAUUUUCAGGGAACACUUUGUACAGUCCCAAGUAAAGACACAUACCAAAAACUGUAACUCCAACUAAGUACCAGCUGAAAAAAAGGUUCACUAAUGAUUUGGCUUUUUCAAGGGCUUCAUGAUCAUGGCAUCUGACAACUUCAUGACCAUCUUCCCACUUCAGAAAACAGCCUUUGGGAAUAUAUUCUGGUGUCCACAGCAUGAUUCCCAUGACCAUAAACCAAGCUCCUUGGAAAAAGAUGAUAAGAGACCUUAUGAAACUAUUCAAGAAACUCUUGGGGUAAACUAUGCAUAAGAGGGUAGUGAGAAAUGAGACAAGUAUGACAAUUUGAAGAAGCCAGUGAUAUUGGCCUUCCAGACCAAUGUGAUCAGCAGGGUGGAGAUUAAAUAGGAGAAACUGCUGGCCAAAGGAAACGGCUCCAAGCAUUUGCGAAAGGCCAUAUUGAGCUGGGGGCUGAAUUUUGUCUAGGAUAAUGCAGAGAAGUGCAUAGAUAAAGAAAGUCAAGGAUAUAUUUGAGUGCUCAAAGCUAUGUUUUCAGAACCGGACCGGAUAGCGACUCGGCCGAGGUCAGGGGUCAGGGGUCAAUGGGUUCGACCGGGGGUCGAUAGGGGUCGAACCGGAUGACGUCAUAAAUUAAAAUUAUUUAAAAAUUAAAAUAUUAUAUAUAUAAUAUCUAAUAAUAUAUUGAUAUUAAUAAAGGUAUAUCCAUAUAUAUUUGAUGUUUCAAAUAUAUUUAACAAGAAAAUACAAAGAAAUUAGAACAAUCAAGUAGCAAUUUAUAUUAUUUAAUAAAUAUUAACAAGUUUAGAAUUAAAAUUAUGAAUUUAAUUGAAAAAUAACAUCAAAUUUUAGGACAAUAUUUAUAAAGUAUCAAAUAUUUGAGGUAUAUCAAUAAGUUUUAACAAUUUAGGGGGUCAAAACAUAAUAUUAAAAAGUUUGAAUUUUUUUAAAAAAAUUACUGUUGAACCGGAAAAACCGAUUUUUUCCUGAUCAAACCUGAUUUUUGACCGGAUUUUAAAUUUUCGGUUUUUUAAUGUGACUCGGACCGGCUACCUGACCGGUUCCCGGUUCGACCGGCCGGUCCGGUCCGAGUUUGAAAACAGAGGCUCAAAGCUGUGAAGAUGGUUUGAUGGAAUAGUGCCAUCCGGGGUCCAACGGUUGGUGCCUUUUUGGACCAAUGAAGAGAUCCAUGGAUAUUGAGGCAAUGCAGCCUCCCAUGAUGAAGAAAAGUUCCAAGUACCUGAUUUUUGAAGUUGGAAACCAUGGCAAAGAUGUGUAGGAUUUUGGAUGGAGACAGUGAAGUCUGACAUGGUUAAGUAAAUGCCAGAGCCCAACUAGAAAGAAGCCGAAUCCAUGUCCCACCAAUUUGCCAUCUUGUUAUCCUGCUUUGGUUUGCCUUGCAAUUUUUGCUGCUUGGUUGAUAGUUUGCUUGGUUUGUGUGUUUUGUCCUACCAGAAAAGGAAAUAUGGAGGGUAUAGGAGGGGAAGAAAAGAAUGGAUCUCUACAAGUUAGAGAGGAAAAAGUAACGUGAAGGCAAGGAUAGGUUGGUUGGGAUGGUUUAUAAAGAAGGGAAUGGAGUAGGUGAACAGGUAAUCUGUACGAUUGUAUGGAAUUAUUAUAUUUUUUAUAAGAUUUGAUGUAUACUUAUAUUACCUUUUUUACACACAAAUUUUGUUUAUGUACAUCAAAAAUAUUGUAAGAGAUGUAUUUAUGCUAUCCAUUUAAUCUUGUAAGAAAUACGAUAAAUAGACAUAAUCGUAACGAAUCAUAAACGCUCCUAUUCGUGCGCCGGUGGGGUGGGGGUGGGCGGGAGAUUUGAAAUAUAUGUCAUUUUUCAAGGUCUUCAUGCUACUAUUUCUUCUUUGGGUGGAAAGCUUUUGAACAUUUUGAGGUACUCGUGACUGCAGCUUGCGUGAUUAGGAAAUGAGAUUGAGCAAAGAAGAGUUGACCGGGAACCGUUUGGCUGUUAUUUUCAAGUCAGUUGGCAAUUUUUAUUCUCUAGGGUUGAGCCAAUUUGCUGCCUGGAGAACAAAAUUGACAACUAAAAGUCAUAAUUGUCCUUCUUUUUUGCAUUAUCUUAUCACAAGGCAUGUUGAAAUAAUGAAACAAAAUCAAAACAUAGCCAAAACAAAAAAAAGUUGACAAGAAAGAAGAACAAAUAAUUCAAUUAUCAUACCGGCUAACUAAUCAUGCUAGGAAACGUGACAAAAUUUGUUAAGGAUAAAUUAACUAAAUUCUGGUUUACAUUUUUUAAAAUUUAACACUGAAAUUUGUAACAGUUUAAUUGCAUGCCAAGUUCUUUCGCCAGUCCAACUUUCUAGAUUUCACAAACUAAAGUGUCAUUGCACUAGUCUUUUGCAAUCUGUCAAUCAAUGGACCAAAGCAGAAUGAAUUGAAGAGUUUAGGUUAUAAAAUAUCCUAAAUAGAGAUUCAAGUCACAAAGUGAAAAUUGGUGUAAAAUUUAAACUGCGGUAUGAAAUUCUAACCCUUAAAUACUGUCAAGAACUACGCAGGGUUUUUUUUUUUUUUUUUUUUUCUAGAUUUUGAGGAAGUGAUUUUACAUUCGCAUAAAGUAUGAUUGGUUUCUUCACCAUAGAAUCAUCAGCUUGUGAUUAAGCAUCAAACUUAAAACACACAGGCAGCCAAGGCCCAACCAAAAAUAAAGACCAUUUUUUUUGGUUCAGAUGGAAUCAUAGAAGGCAAAGAUAUUGCAAUUAAAUCACCAGAAAACUUUUUUUUUGGGUCCCAUAACAAAAGUAAACUCAUGAUGGUAAUGCUGAAGAAGUAUAAUCUUAUCAAAGUUAAAGGAUGAUGCUAAACCAAAUAACUCGACUCGAGCUCGAAAACUACUCGAUCAACAGCUCAUAUUCAGCUCGUUUUGACCGAGUUCGAGUUCGAGCUACUCAUUUGAUCUCACAAGCCGAGCUUGAGCUCUAGUAUUUUGUACUAGAAGGCUCGACGAGUCUAAUCGAGUUUUUUACAAUAUAUAUUUUUAAAUUUUUUAAAUUUAUUAUUGUAAAAUGUCAAUAACAUCAUUUAUUUAAAAUUAUAUGUAAAAUAUUAAUUUUUAUUAUAUGAUAUUGAUUAGACUCGAAUAGGCUCGUCUAAACUCGAUUACACUCAAAUAGAUUGAUUGAACUUGAUUUGCCUUGAUUAGAUUUAAUUUAACUCGAACUCGAGUAAGGAAAACUAAAGUCGAAUUUGAGCUCGAACUCGACUUCUACAAGUUCGACGAGCUCGAACUCAGUUAUUUUACCUCAUUGAGGAAGAGUAACAAAUGACCCCGUCGCUAGCCCCUUCAACACAGCAAAAGACAACAAUUACAAUGCAAGGAUAAGUUUCCAAUUCAUCUGUAAAUGAAAAUCUAUCUCCAUAGACAAGACUCGGUUUCCAAAUCAAGUCUCGUUAGUUACUCCCACGUUGAACCACCUUUGUCACUUCUAUUCAAUGUGAGUUCAUGUGUUAGGACACAUCUUUCAAUCUGCUACACCCAUACUUGCAUACAGUUAGCGCGGUUAAAUAGAAAGCAAUGUACAUAAUAAUGGCAAAAGCAGCAGGAAAACAAAGGUUAAAACUGUUAUAUACUGCACAUAGCAGGCAUCAGAUAUAUCAGAGUUCCUUUCUGAUGGCUGUCAUUCUUUGCUCUUUUUUCCCCUUUUGAGCAAAAUAAGUAAUAAAUUCAGGUUGCAUAACAGUAUUACACAUUUGAGACAAUACCAUAUACAUCCCAAAAAAUCCGCACCAUGCCAAGAUAUUUCAGUAAGUAGGAAAUUUUGGAUCCACAUCAUGGGCCCAUGAUUGAAUGCCACCUAUUAUGUCCUUGGCAGAUGAAAAUCCCAUUUUGUGGAGAUAUUGAACAGCUCUUUGCGACUCAUUACCUCUUCUACAAACAACAUACAGGGAUGCAUUCGAAUCAGCGCUAUUCUUGCUCUCAUCCUUUUUUAUCAACGCUGAAGAUAUUUCAUGCAAUCUUGCUUCCAGACUCGGGAAGGGUAUGUUGAUGCAGUUGGGAAGUGAAACAAUCUUAUAGUGAUGAGCAGGUCUUACAUCUACCAGCACAUGUGGUUCUCCUUUAACAAUUCUCUCAUGGUACUCCUUGCUGCUAAUUCUGGCAUCCACUGGAAGCAGGCUCAACUUCAGAGGAGCCUGAAAUCAAUUGAAUAUUGCCAUUAGGAGCUUAGAUUCAGACUACUUCACUGGCAAAUCUCUUCAUAGUGUAAGAUCUGAAAAUUGAAGCUAACAAUUAGAAAUUAAACUUUUCAAAAAGAUUUUACCAAAUGAACACCAAUAUUCAUCUUAAGUGCUCCAUAAUGAUGUAGAGUGCAAUUUUCCAAAAUAAGGAAGACAUGAUUUCAUGGCAGAUUAUCAGGCUGGAACUAAAGUUUUAACUUAGCAGCUCCAGUUCUCUAUUUAUACAUGCCAUACUUCAAGUUUAUCCUAUUCAUCACGGAAUAAAGUCAUGAUAUAAGAGAGACACACCGUUGAGAAGGGAGUCUGAGUAAAGCAUUCAUAGUCAAACUCUUGAAACUGCUUUUCAGUCAGAGGUGCAUUUUCACCACAAGCUUCACAUUGUAAUGACCUUCCUCUAAUCUUCACCUGGUAAACAAAUAUGACAUCAUACGAAUAUUGGUUGGAAUCCCAAAAAAUUGAAUAAUGGCCACAAUACGGAAAUGCUGGAGCUACUACCAAUUUCCAUUUUUUGUCUAUUUAUUAGCCUCUGAAGAUGCACAAAUUUUGUGAUAAUGUAAUAUUAAUAGACACUGCAAUCUAGAGAUUAGCUUCCCCAUCAAUCUCAAUGCUUAAGACUGCAGCAUUAGGAAAACAGUUCCUAUAACAUCUAUCCAGACCAAGAAUUGUCUUCAUUCUAUUAUUAUCUUAUAGGAGCUACAAUUAUAUAGUCCUCCAAACUCAUAAAACUCAAUUUAUCCAGUCCUAACAAGAAACUUCAGAUACAAGGUGAUAGCACCACUAAUAGGUCCAGAUAGGUAAUAAUUGUACAUAUUACCGGCAAAAAAGUUUGUCACAAUAUGUAACUGAUACUAAAAACAAAAAAAACCAUGCACAUCAGAGGCUGAAUAGACAUCAAAGACCAAAAACAUACUAUACGAAUCCGGCCUGAAAUUGCAUCAAACAGAAGCAUCCGACCCGAGAAUGGAUCACCAACAGCACUUCCAAUCUUUAUGGCCUCCAAGGCUUGGAGACACCCAAUAAUACCAGGCACUGUGAAUAAUGGCACAAACAAAUGAAGAAAACUGAUGGUCUAUUGACAACUGGACUGAAUGUCCACUUAGGGAAGCACGAGUGUAAUAUGUUCUAGACUAACUUACCUACACCUAGAACUCCACUAUCAGCACAUCUUUGACAUGCUGUUGUAGGUGGUGGAGUUGGAAAUAAGCAUCUGUAACAUGGCCCACCAUUAUAGUUGUAUACCGUUAGCUACAUAAACAAUUGAAGAGUGUUAGUGUGAUAUGCCCAAGGAAUAAGUUGACAUCAACAUGAAUUAGCAUGUGACUUGUACCUGCCCUUCAAGUCCAAGUGCAGCUCCAGAUACAAGAGGCUAUCACAAAUAAGAAGUCCGUGGUAAAUAUACUUGCAUAUAAUCACAUUACGCUGUGAUCUCAGAUUUGUAAAUAAAAUCCUUGUGAGGUUGUCAUAAAAUCCAGCAAAGACACCAAUGCAAUUGAAACCACACAUUUAAUUAGCAUAUGAGAUCUAAAUACCAAAAGGUGGUAGAAUUUGCUUGAAGAAAUGCAUAAGAAAAAUAUGAUUUCUUUGAGUAAUCCCUAAAUGUAGUGUAAGAUAUUUUUGAACGCUUAUAAUAUUUACUUGCAUAAAACAUCAAACAUAAAGGAAAUGUUCAAAGAAAAAUUACCAUAAGAUAUUAACCUUUGCAGGAUAUCAGUGGCAAAGAUAAACAAGCAUUUGUACCUUUCCCAAAACAACACAGCAAUCAUUGAUCAGGUAACGGCUUGGAACAUUAUCUGUUGCAUCUACAACUAUGUCAUAUCUAUUGUUCAGUAAAAGUCAAGAAAAUCAUGAUUUUCGCCAGAAUGGAUUACACAAAUCAACAGAAAAAAUGGAUAACAUGUAUGAUGUGUGAAAAGUGUUUAUAAGUCAACUUUAUAUAUGUCCCCUUUGUGUGUGUGUGUGUGUGUAUCAACCAAGCACUAAACAAGGAUACUUUCUCACAAUCCCUAAUGCAUUUGUCGCACGAAAUGCUUCUGUGUGCUCCACAAUUUCAACAGUUGAAUUAAUCCUGAGAUUAAGAUAGUUAAGAACAGCUAUAUAACACAAACUCCUCCAAGGUCCAAAUACACAAUAGACGUUAACAGGACAAUGCAGUUUAACAUCAGAGGAAAAAAUUCAAUGAAAAGCAACAUACGCACGACAAGCAGCAGCAGCAGACUCCACCUUCGGCCUUCCAAUAUAAGCUUCAGUAUGAAUAAUCUGAACCACAUAAAAAUGAAAUCAGCAUCAUUAUCAGAUCUGGUUGCAAUAGAAAUAAACAACUAGCUUAAAAUUUUGUAGGCCAACAAACAAAGUCAUUCAAAUUUACCUGCCUAUGGAGAUUGUUAAGUUCAACCAUAUCAUGGUCAACAAUACCUAUUCGACCUGCAAAGUUUGGUCAUGAUCAAAUCAACUGCAACUCUAACUGAAAAAAUUAAUCUUUAUUCAAUUUCAGGCACGAACAUUUCUUUCCAGAGAAAAUUAGUAAAAGGAGACGCAGUUUUGGACUAUUUGUCAUAAAGGGCAUAUGAACAAACUUCUGUAUACAUGUACAACAAAGUGUAUUACGAGUGUGCACAAAUGGCCCUCAUGAGAAAGUAGCUUUAAAGCUCCAAGGGCCCCCCUUUUCAACUGCUCCCCGUUUUUCUUGAAAGAAAUUUAGAAGUGGGUGCCGGGCGACCAUCAAUGAAGCCCCUUAACUAUUUGCCAAAAUUCAGUCCUGAUACAGACAUAAACAUCUUACCAAAACCACAAGCCGCAAGAUAUAACAGCGCAGGUGAACCAAGUCCUCCAGCUCCAAUAACUAACACUGAUGAUUUCAAGAGAUUUGCCUGCCCUGCAACCAAUCAAACAACCAAGCAAAACUAUCAAAGAAAUCCCAGCAAAGAUAUGACUACACUACCGUCGUUUCUCUCCUCCUUCCCAAAGCUUACCUUGGACUCCAAAUGCAGGGAGCAAGAGUUGUCGGCUGUAUCUGUAAAUCAUAUCCGAAGCCAAUCCAUGUCCAGAGUCAAAACUACCGUUCUCCGACGGCAAAAUUAAACACGAACUCGAACCAUUUGAAUUCACCUCAUCCUCUUCUGCUUUUCUGCAAUUAUUCUCGUCACAAUUAAGUUGUUGGAGCUGAGCUUCCAGAUCUGAUAUCUGCCGCUCUAUUUCGUCCUUUGAGGAUCGCAGAGACUCGAUUUGACGUAGAAUUUCAGAAGCUUGUGGUCUUCCAUUAGACUCCAUACCCGCCUGCAGAGUUCGGAAAUUUUUUGAAGAUGAUCAAAUUUUAUGUAUGAAUUCUUGAAGUCUUCUGAGCAUUAUAUCAAACAAGUGGAAGGCAAUUCCGAAAAACUCCUAUUUUGGACAUUGAUUGGAGAGUGGGGAAUCCCGGACGUAUGUUUUGACAGAUAGCGAAGUGUGUAUAGAUAAGAUAGCGAUAAGAUAGCAAAAUAUGGAAGCUGGGUCCUGUCACUGUCUAAGCACUGAUUUUGUCCAUCAACAGAAAUAGUAGUGCUGUUCAUUCCAAGGGUUUUGGGGUUAAGAGUGACUGGAGGGGAGGUCCUCUACUAUUUUGCUUUCUCUAAAAAACCCUUCCUUUUAUUUAUUUGGGUUAAUUACACUAAGACCUCUUAUAAAUUUGGAUGAUUUAUAUUUUGCUACCCACAAGUUUUUAAAUAUGCCCAUCUUUGAUGUUUCUUGACUGGAAUAGAAUCAGCUUAGGUUCCAUUUGUUUGUAUUGUUUCUCAAAAGCACUGUUCCUACAAAAUGUUUAGAAUUUUAGUUGGUAAAAUGCCCCAUAAGUCAUCAAAAUUUUUUAAAGUCUCGUAUAGCUCACUAUGUUAUUUUUUCCCAUCAAUUGAUGAAACUCACAACAUGUGAGCGUCGCGUGGCAUAAUUGAAGUUGGCAGCAAAAAUUGACCAAAUUCAGCAUAUUUUCGUCACUCCGUGGAUGAAAGACAACAUAAUGUGUUAAAUGAAAUUUUAGAAAAGUUUAAUGACCAUAGCUACAAUCAGUUGUGAAGACAGGAUUUUUAGGUUGGGAAAAAAAUUUGUAAGUAAUAAACUUGCUAUUCGAUGAGUGUCAUUUAUAGAAUUAUAUAGAUUGUAGCAUAUUUUUUUUUGUUUCUGCUCUUUGCUUGAUUAUCUAGUCUUAAAUUAAGUUUCUCUUUAAACAAGGUCAUCCUUAAUGAAAGAUGAUUUUGUGGUAACAAUGAUAGCAAUAAAUUAUAUUAAAUAGAACGAGGAAGUUUUGUAUUAAAUAAGAAUUAAUCUUUGCACUUUAACCUUGUAUACAUGCUACUUAAUUUUAGUUGGAACUUGAAUUUCUCAUUUUGCACAAGUGAUAUGCAUUACAGGUUGAUAAUGAAUGUACUCUCAAUGUAUAUAAAAUUAAUCCAUUAAAUAAAGGGUUAUUAUCACUUUACCCCCUUAAACUAUAUCACUACUAUCAGUUUACCCCUUAACGUGAUCUUUUAGUCACUUUAUCCCCAUAAGUAAUUCAACUCAACAUGUUAAGAAAUUUUGAACAAAAUACCCUUUAAUUUUAUAGCAUUACUAUAUUGUUAUUAUCACUUUAUUCGUUUGGAUUAUAGUGAUACAAUCACUUUAGUUCCUAACAUUAUUUUCUAGGCAUUUUACCUCAUCAUUAAUCUAAUUAGUAUGGUCAAAAAAUUUUAAAUAUAUUUACCCUUUUUAUAUAUAAUUAAAAAUAAAAAAAUUGGAAUGGUUAUUCUUCCUUUUUUUUCACUUUAAGAGAUCGAAAAACAUAAAAAUAAAAGAAUAUUCUCAAAUUUCUUUUUUUUACACUUACUAAUACUAGGAAAAGAAAAAGGGAUAGGAAAGAAGGAGACAAAAAAUUAGAUUUUGCAAAACAAGAAAAUAAAAAAAGUCUAACAUUAUCGUAUUACUUUAAAGUUGUCGAGAUUAAAAUUGGAAUUUGAUGGUAAACAAAAAAGGUGAAAUAAUUUUAAAAUAAUAAAAGUAUUUAAUUCUUUAUUAUUUGUAAAUUUAAAAAAAAAAAAAAGAAUUGAGCUCUCUCUGUCCCCCUCUCCCUCUCCAUCUUUCUAUUUUUUUCAAUAUUAAUAAGAUUACCAAGAAGAAAGAAAUUAAUGCUUUGAAUUUUUUCUUAAUACUAAAAAGGAGAAGAAUCAUUCUAAAUUUAUUAUUAUUUUUAUUAUGCAAAGAGAAGGGUAUUUUCUUCUAAAGUUUUUUAACUUGGUAAAUUGGUUUAAUGGUCGGAUAAAUUGUCUAAAAAAUAACUCUAGAGGGGUAAAUUGAUAAUGAGACUAUAUUUUAUGGGGGUAAAGUGAUAAUAAUUUUAAGGGUUAAACAUAUCUUUUUACUUUAAUUAAGGGUUAAACACAUUUUAUCCCCUUAAAGAAUACCCCAUUUCUCAGUUUACCCCCUAACCUUUAAUUUAACUCACUUAACCCCCUUUAGAACAAAAAUGCCCUUGCAUUAUUUUGACUUUUCAUUUACCUUGUUUUCCUUUCUUUUAUUUCUUUUUCUCUUUUUUCUUUAUUUAAUUCUUCCUCUUUCCCACAAAAAUCUUCACCUUAAUGAUUGAAAUUAAAAAAGAGGAAUUGCAGAGAUCUAUCUUCUCCUUAAAUGAUUAAAAAAUAUUCAAAUCACUUUCCUAAAAUACAAUUUUUUUUAGCCUUUCAAUUCUUUUAAUUUUGGGUUUUCCUCUUUCCUUUCUAGUUUCUCAUUUUAUUCCCAAGAAAAUAUCUUAAGAUGCAAUUGUGACCUGAUUAAUAAUCAUCAAUUGAAAUUUGUGACACGUGGCAUCAUACAAAAAAUCAAAAUUAGUUUUUGAUACCUUUUAAAUCUUCACCCAGAAAUAUGCAAUUACAAACUCAAAACAAAAAUUUUCGUUGAAAUUGAAUUUCUAUUGGGAAGGAUGAAAGAGAGAAGAAAGAGAAAAAGAAAUAAAAGAAAGAAAAACAAUUUCAUCUUUUGAUAUUUUCUUGAGAAUAAAAUGAGAAACUAGAAAGAAAAGAGGAAAACCCAAAAUUAAAAGAAUUGAAAGGCUAAAAAAAUUGUAUUUUAGGAAAGUGAUUUGAAUAUAUUUUUAAUCAUUUAAGGAGAAGAUAAAUCUCUGCAAUUCCUCUUUUUUAAUUUCAAUCAUUAAGGUGAAGAUUUUUGUGGGAAAGAGGAAGAAUUAAAUAAAGAAGAAAGAGAAAAAGAAAGAAAAACAAGGUAAAUGAAAAGUCAAAAUAAUGCAAGGGCAAUUUUGUCCUAAAGGGGGUUAAGUGAGCAAAAUUAAAGGUUAGGGGGUAAACUGAGAAAUGGGAUAUUUUUUAAGGAGAUAAAAUGUGAUUAACCCUUUAAUUAACAAAUUCCGUUAAGUUUGACCGUUAGUUUUAGGGGUAAAGUGACUAAAAGAUAACGUUAAGGGGAAAAUUGAUAGUAGCACCAAACGUUAAGGGGAUAAAGUGAUAAUCACCCUUAAAUAAAAGGAUAAAAAGAUGCAUUGACAUUAGAGCUGUUAAACGAACCAAGCUGUUCGGUAGCUCGGUUCGUUUCGGCUCGUUCGUGUUCGUGAAAGGCUCGUUCGAAAUUUUAAACGAACUGAGUUCGAACGAAUUUUUUUGUUCGAUUAAUAAUCGAGCGAACACGAGCAUGUUCGCGAGUUUUAACGAACGUUCGUGAACAUGCUAAACAAACGUUCGCGAACACGAACAUGUUCGCGAGUUUUAACGAAUGUUCGCGAACAUAGACAUAAUUAUCAUUUGACAAAUUUUAGGAUUAAUUUUAUGGCUGGACUUUUAUAUUUGGAGGGCAAAUUUCUUUGUUUUAUUUGUUGUUUUUAUGUUAAUGUUAGUUAUAUAGUUAAUGAAUAAUAUAAUUUAGUCACUUAGUGCUUUAAUUAUUUUUGAGAAUGAUUAAUAAUUUGCAUGGCAUAUUUAAGGCAUAAAAUAAAUUGGAUUCGAACAUUUCGAACAUGUUCGCGAACGGCUCGUUUAUGUUAAACGAGCCGAACUCGAAUUCGAAUUCGAACACGAAUUUUACUUAACGAACCGAACACGAACACGGGUUUGGAGUUCAAAAAUUAACGAACGAACACGAAUGUUGUUCAAACUGCUUAACGAACAGAGCUCAAACAUGAGAUACUAGGUUCGAUUCGGUUCGUUUACAGCUCUAAUUGACAUAACUACUCAUUUUUCUAUCUUCUCUUUCUUACCAUUCUAAGGGAAAAAAUGUUAAAAAUAUAUCUUGACUGCCUCUAAUUUCAAAUUCUUAAGAAUAUUUAUAUCUAAAAGUCUUGAGCCAAAAGUACACAAACAUCAUAAGUAAUUAGCUAUAAAUGUUCAUUCUACACGUUUAUGAGUAGAUAUUUUAGAGUAUAUACAAUUUUUAUCAUUAUCGAUUUCAAAUAAGAGAGAGUGCAUAAGUACAUUUGAUAGAUCAACAUAAAAAAUAUAAGACGAAAUAAGAUGUGCACAACUAUUAAGAGAUUUUGCUUGUGUCAAUUGAUGAUAGUCUAAGAGAGGGCAAGGUGUAAGGCUAAAACAUGUAUAAGAAGUUAAAUGCUAUAGAUUUGCUAACUAAACAGCAAUAGAAAAAUAAAAAUAAAGAGCUCGACUCUAUUUGGAUUGCUUGUUUUUCAAAUAAAAUAUUAAUGACACUUUAAAAAUACCAUAAACAACACUCUAGAUGCAGUAUCAAAUUACAUAAAUAAAAAUAACAAUCUUACCACCUCUUUCUUCUUCUAUCACUACCUACCACUGCCGCCACCCCUCCCCUCCUCUCUUCUCUACCGCCACCACUGCCCCUUUCCCCUCCAUCUGCCUCCCCCUUCUUCCUCCUUUCUUCUCUUCCCUCUUCCUCUUUCUUCCUUCCACUGCUUCCUCCUCCUUUUCCCUCCCUUCCCUCCCCUCCCUCCCUUUCCUUGCAAUCUCCCUCCCCCUCUAGUGGCAAUAGUGACUAGAUCUGGUCAUAGCCACCACUAAAUUGUGAUGUGAGGUUUUUGAGAAAUAAAUAGUGAGAUUUUGUUGCCUCGACUAAAAAAAGGCUAUUGGCCAUUAUUUCUAGUUCAUUAUCCUAUUCAUUAUUCUUGUGCCUUAAAUUAAUUUGUUUGUUUCCAUUGAGCUAGCAAGUUAGUGUAAAACUCAAGUCCCUUCUCAAUUUAUACUUUACUCAAUUAAUUAAAUGGUAAAUUGCCAUGGGUAAAGGUAAAAAUAAUUGUAGGAUAGGUUAAAGGGUUAAGUGGGAGAUAGGAAGGAGAUAAGAUAGGAUGAGAGUCACAACAAAUUAAAAUUCUUAUCUAAACCACCAAGUAGUGAGUGGUUACUAGGGUUUAGAACAUUUAUCAAAAUAACACAGGAAAAAAAUAACACUGUUCCUACUUUUCAUUUGUCUGCCUCCCUUUAGAGCAAGAAUCAACUAAGAAUAGAGGAGAAGAAGAAAACGUUGCCGUCCAACUAGCAGGCAAUUAAACGUCUAAACUUGUAAGUCCCAAAAGCGCGUGAAAGUUUUUCUCUUAAAUCUUAUUAAUUCCAUGAAUUAUUUUAAAUAUUUUAUGUAUAUUCAUAUCGUAAUAUAUUUAUGCCUGCCUGAAAAAUUUAGGAAGAUUCAUGCUCGGAUUUGUGAGAAUAGUGUAUUAAAUUAUAAUUAUGGGAUGAUUAGAGUUUACCCAAAUUUGUUGGAAAGAAAAAAAAAAAAGAAGAGAGGGAGUAGCAGCAUUGUAGACCGUUGCUGCUAUUGUGCGUCGUUGCUGAAGCUUUGACUUCAGCAACACAAAAAAAAAAAGAGGCAAAGGUUGCCAGUUAGCAACCCCGAAGAAAACAAGGGGUCGCCAGCAACUUGCUGGCGACAUGGCCGAAAGAAAAAAAAAGGAGCAAAGGAGGGUCUGAUGACCCUCCUCUUUUCAUUAGCCAAAAAGGUCGGCCCUUUGAAGGAAAAAAAAAAAGAUUAUGAACUAUGAAUAAAAAAAUAAUAAUAAAAAUAAUAAAUAUAUAUAUAUAUGGCAAGUAUACUUGGGCCAAAAUAUAGUAUAGGUUUAGUGAAUGUUCAGAAGAUAAAUUUUAAAUAUAACUAACUCACCUUUAUAACUUAUCAUGGGUAUUAAAUUUCAAAACCCAAGCUAAAAAUAAUUUUUAGAGUUUCAAGAUUGAGUCAUCUAAGCUUAUACUUAAUUCAUUAAGUCUAAAAUAAUUAAAUAGAAAUCUAAAACAUCUUAAUCUCGCAUUACUAGAUCAAUUUAUACAAUGUAGAAUAAGUCCUAGAUUGUUAAACGAAACACGUAAAAUCAUAAUAAUGAUAAUAAUAAUAAUAAUAAUAAUAAUAAUAAUGAUAACACUAAUAGUAAUAAUAAUAAUAAUAACAACAAUAUAGAUAUAGAUGAAGUAAAUUAAAGAUAUAAACAAAAAUUAAAUGAAAAGAUAAAUAUAAGUGGAAUAAACUAAGACAAUAAUUAUAAUAAUAAAUCAAUAUGUACAUAUAUAUACAUAUAGAUAUAAAUAAUAAUAACACAUGCACAUGCACAAAAAUGGAAGUAAAACAAAAGAUAAUAGUAACUAAUUAACAAAUACAUAUAUAAAAUGAUAAUAAAAUAAAAUAGUGAUGACAAGGAUAAAAACAAUAACAAUGAAUAAUAAUAUAUAUAUAUAUAUGUAUAGAUAAAUACGUAUAAUGGUCAAGAUAAUAAAUUUGAUUAUGAAUAAUUAUUUCUAAAUUAGGAAACUUUACGAAAAAGAGAACUUUCCAAAAAUGCAAACUUUCCAAAAAUAAAAACUUCUUAAUUUAGGAAACCUCUGCUAAAGUUCAAAUAAUGGUCUAGACAUUAAUCUUAAAUUUACUCAGAGUAUGUAUAUUUAUGCAUCUAUAGGAAAUAUCAACUAAUUAGAAAAUCUAUGCAUUUGAUAAGUACGACACAAGUUUAAAAGAUCUAAAAUAGUUCCAUUCGAACAGCCAGACAAAGGUAGGUGGUAUUUACUCUUUUGAGAUUUCAAAAGUGCAAAAUGACAUUCUUGUUGUCAAUCAUAUUUUGUUGUGUUGACUCGAAAUGUAUUUGAUUAAAUGUUUUACUAGGAUAUUUAUGCAAGUUCUACUUUUAGUAUACGAAAAUAGACCAUGUGACUUAUUUGAAACAUUUUGAUAUGUUAUUAUAUACCAAAUGAGUUGUAUCUUUUAUGCAAUCAAAGAACUAUGUAUAUGAUGUGUGAAAUGAAUUUAUGUUAAGUAAAACUCAAAACAGUCAUGCAAUAGACGGUAGAAGCUAUUGUGAGGACUCGAAAAUUCUAUUAUUCUUAAAAUCCCUAAUUUUGGCUAAAUUAAUUAUUUAUUUGGAUUUUUGCCACGAAUAAUAUUUUCUAGCCUUAUUAGACCUAAGUACAUGGUUUUAUAGUUUCGUUAUAUUUUUAAAGUGUCUCAUUUCAAAAAAAUUAUUUUCUUAAAAGCUUGAUUAGAAAAAAAAAAGAAAAAAAGUGAGAACGUGUCUAAACACUUUAGCCAAUUGGGAGUGCAAUAAGCUCAAAAAUUUGAGAUAUAUACAAUGGUCCUAAAAUAGGCAAUUUUAGGUUUAAAAACUCAAGUGAUAGUUGGUAGUACGAUUGUUCUAAGAAUUUCUCGAAGGUUUCAUUUUAUUGCGCCUAAAUUGGAAAUACGUGUUUUCACGUGCGCGCUUAAUUGAGGGACUUUGGACAAUUAUUUUGGAACAAUUAAGAAUGAAUAAUAUUUAUAUGAAUGUAAGUGCCCUAGAGGUUUAGUGCACUAGUGCAACAAACUUAAGAGAAAUCGAACACAAAACGCGCGCGUAGGCGCACUAGUUGCAAUUGAUUUUUACGUACUUAAAAUAUUACACGAGUAGCGUUCCUUAUACGCCAAAGGAUCAGCAAACUAUUUCCUUUCUUCAAGCUCCUUGGACGGCUAGCAGCUGCAAAGAAACAACCAAAAACUUUCAACAUUCCCUCUACAAAUCUUACUCAAUCUACCAAACUCUCAAAAAAAUUCAACUACAUCUACCUCAACACUUGGGAAGUCCAUUUAGCUGCAAAAGGAAGGAACUAUCCACGGUUUUCUUCAAGCUUCAAAAGGGCCGAAACUUCUGUCUUGACCAACCAUCAAAGUAGGUAAUGAUCUAAUACCUUAAACUUGUCCUAUGGAAGUUAAAUUACACUUAUAAGCUUGAAUUUGCAUAUGGGUUGUGGUUGAUGUUGGAGAAAUUGGAAAAGUGGGCUCUAUGAAUUUCUACUCUUGGGUUGUUGCUGAUUUUGUGCUUGAUGAUGUUUAUAAUGUUGGAUUAGUGUUUAAGUUAGUGGUUUGUUGAAGGAAAAUUUGCUGGAAACUCACGUUGGGUGCAAAGGCCAAAUCUGACCAUUUUGCCCCUGCUUUGUUCGGCCACUUUAAUGCAGAAAUUUGAGGAUUUAAUGGCUUGAUUGUGUUGUUUACAUGUUAUAGAAGUUGUGUACAAAUUUUCAGUGAAAAAUGUGAGUUUUGGUUGAUCAAAAGAAUUUAUUUCCCAAAGCUGGUAAUCUGGAAACGGUUGCCGUCGUAACCAAACCAGUGUUCGUAUUUCGUCCAUAACUCCGUACUCCGACGUCGAAAUCAAGUGCCGUUAGCGGCAUUUGAAAUUAGACGUUCCCAUAUUUCCAACGGUAUAUAAUGCACAUUCUGGUUCCAUGUGUGUGAACCGCACCACUCUUCUGAAUUCAGCUGCCCUGUUUCUCCGUUCUGCCGAAAUGAUUUGAUGAUGCUGUAACUUUAGGCUUAAUUUCGAGCCAGUUGCAUGCUGAAACUUAAAACGAUUUCUUCUGUGAAAUUUUAUCCCUAUGAAUGCAUUUUCCAACACUAUCAACCAUUCCCAAUUCCGAGCUAAAUUGAGUGAUUUAUGAUCAAAAUACGACGACUGCCUCGUCUUUGAAAACUCUUCGAUUUGGACAGAUUAGAUGUGAGACUUGUUGUGGUCUUACUAAAUGAAUUUCUUGGUGCUAAACACCUACUAAAAGUACCAUGUAUGUUCCUUAGACCUUUCUUGCACAAAUGAACCAUGUUUGGAGGUUUUUCCUUAGCCGAAUGUUUGGAAACGGAGAGAAAGAGAGCUAAAGGCAGUUUGGCCUUAGUAAUUUCAAACUUUGGUUGAUUGGUUAACCACCUUCCCGAAGGUAAUUUUCCACGAAAUUUGAUAGAGAGAUACCCUUCAUAUAGGAGUAUUAUACUACAAAAUUUGGUAUCAAUCCAAGUCCGUUUCGACACUUAACUAAAGGUCCAAAGUCGGAACCAAAUCUGGAAAUUUGUUAACAGUCUUGAAAUUUACCCAACUUUGAGCUACCAUAUCUUGGUGCUCGAAACUCCGAUUCUCGAUCCGCUUGUUCUGACCUAAACCUUACUUGCACCUCUAAUUGAGAUAUAAAUUUCAAGGGCUGGUUUGCAACGAGUGAAUUCUACCGAAUUUUCAAAGUUAGCGAAAAACCAACUCCGGCUCAAUCCUGGGUGAUUUGGAAUAGCAACUUUAAGCUCAUUUUUGGAGCACUUUCCACUUCGAUUCAUGGAAAAGUGUCUUCUAGGAACUUGUAGUACUUUCUAAGAGGUUUCCAACGAUAUAAAGUUUUCCAAUUCUUGACUUAUACCGAGUGAGUUACGAUUUUUCAAAAAUUCAUAACAAAAUUGAAAUUUUCCAACUUUCAAAGAAAUAGAGUUUUUCAAGAACCCUUUAUUCUUUUGAUAUUGUGACAGCCCCACCUCACCCUAAGGCGAACCAAAGGGUUCAGCGGACCGCCUGCCCAACUCUCGCCAGGACUACGGAGUCGAAUCACACAAAUCCGAUAUUACGCGAGAGGACCCAAAAGAAAUGAGCGAUUGAAGACCGCCAAGCUUAAACAUGGGGAAAACGCUUUCAUAUAUACAUGUCACUAGGUUUACAAUUCAAAUGGAACCAGUGAAACGGAAUACAUUUAGGGUUUGCUCAUUCUCGAGGAGCUAUACAAAAGAACAAAAGAUUUUCUAACUAGCUCAACUCGCUUCUCAAAAUCAUGAUUUCCAAAAGAGGUUCCUGUAAGGAAAACAAAGAUAACGAGGAGGGGGUGAGCUUACGCCCAAUGAGGUACCAAACAUGUAGCAGAAAAAUCAGGUAUUUCACGUUAUACAAAACCAGAUACACAUGCUCGCUAUAAAGUAAGACAGGUAAACACAAGAACUCAAAUAGGAAGGAUACAGGUGGCUCUCAGGAGCCAGCUUUCCAGCGCAGUACUUGAUCCAAGCCGGUUGACUCUCCGUCAACGUAUAUAGAACCAACACGUCCGUAGACCCCACUUUACACCAAAUUCCGUCCACCAAACACCCCUUUACCGGGCCCGCUCACCUCAACAGAAACAGAAAUGGUAAUACUCGAGUAUACCGGAAUCAAGGGUCUCAAUACCCAAAGAUCCCAAAACAGACUACCGUGGUUCGUUAUCUAAUCGUCCAGGCCCUUGCCGGCCCGACUCGAAUAACUUAGCCACAGGAUUUGAGUUCAUAGGUCACAGAUACAGAUACAGAUACAGAUUCAGAUUGACACCAAAAUUGGCAUAUGAACAGACAAGAGAACGAGUGCGAUAAAGUACACCCUCGUCUCAAACAAAUUAAACAGAUUGCAGAGCAGAAAUCAAGUUAAACAGCAAUGGAGGGGAGUGGUACACCCACCGGUUCAAGUACAGAUACCUCAAAAGUUUUCACUUCGGAUUGGCUUUAAUCGCCAAGAAAUCCUAAAAUAAUCAAAGUAAACCAAUUGAAGGUUUCACAUCCAGAAUCGAGUAAACAAAAUACACAUGUGAGGCUCGACUACUAGUCGUAUGCCUCGCCAAAUAAUUACUAAUGCAAGGGUACAAAACAUGAUUUUUGGGAAUAAAAAGGUAACAUGAAGACCUAGGUUCAACAACCCAAAAGCCCUUCAUUUCUAUCACAAGCCAAUUCAAACUUAAAGGAACCAAUUGGCCUAGAAAAAAUUGGACAGCACUUCCCUUAAAUUUCUUACUUUUUCAGCCAUCACGGCUUCAUUAUUUUCCUCAAUCAACUCCCAAAGUCAUACUCAAUAUACAUUCAUCACCACAGCCGUUCAAUAGGCUCAAGGUUAUCCAAGUACAAAAGUUAGCUAGGAAAAUGACCGAAAAUAAAAGUCAAGCCCUAGAAUAUUCCACUAAGCACAAGAAGACUCGAUUACAAGUCACAAACCGAUGCCAACACAAUCACAAUAGGGUUCCAUAAGCAUAUAUAAGCAUUAGAGGAAACCAGAAAUUUCGGAAAUGUAACUAGCUUUGGCCCUGAAAAAAAUAGUUUUUGUCCUCAUUUUACGGUAAUGGCAAAAAUUUCACUACGCUUAUCGGAUGAGGGUGAAAGACCCACCAUCUCGAAGCUAAAAGACAGGGUUACAAUAUCACAGAAGGUCACUAAACCCAGUUUUGAGUGCAAAUAGGUCAAAAAUGCAGGAUACUACAUCAACAACGUAAAACAGAUUCACCAAAACGCAUUCUAGCGGAAACAUCAUAACUCAGGCUCUACAAGUCCAAAUCCAGAAAUUCAAAAACCAUCUGAAAGAUAAGAAACAGGGAUAAAUUUAAUCAGAAGGUCUCAACAACCAAUUCGGAAGCAAUUCCAGCCAAAACAACCCAUUACAGGCGCAAUUCUUACAUUCGGGUAAAACCAGAACAGCAAUAGUAAUUUUGACUUUUCUCAUUCUACACUACUUCGAUUGACCUGAAAUUUUGUAGACACCUCUAAAAUGUUAUUCCCUACAACUUUCAUGUUUUGAGCUAAGGCCAAUUCGGCCUCUAUCUAGGACCUAAAAAUUCGGACAGAAUGCUCCCUUAAGAACCCUAGUUUUCUGAAAUUUCUUCCAAACCAGAAAUUGGCUGCAAUUAAUCACUUUUUCCACCUCCUAGAGUCAUUAUAUACCAUUUCCAAUCAUCAUAUAUAGCCACACAAUCAUGCUUAUAUUAAUGCAGAAAAAUCCCCAAAAAUAAUAAAACUUCAUCAUUUCAACCACAAAUCAAAAAUUAAUCCAUAAACUUGCAUCUUAUACUACCACUAAGCAUGAUUUAAGCAUCAAUUAAAGGAGGAGGGUGGUUCUUCACAACUUACCUUAGAAACAAGAGAGAGAGAGAGUUAUUGGUCACCUUAACUUUCCAAAAAACUUCACACAACAACUCACCAACACUUCCUUAAGUGGUUUUAUGGAGCAAAAUCAAGGUUGGAUGGUUGGUUUUGGUGAUUUGGAACAAGAUUGAAGUGUUUUCUUCCUUGUGCUUGGAGUAAGAGAGAGAGAAAGAGAGCAAGAGAGGGCCGGCUUCAAGGAGGAUUUUUUUGAGGAUUUUUGGGUCAAUUUUGGUUAUUUAAGUCAAUGGUAAGAAAGGUCUUAAGGCAAGCCCAAUCAAAUGGUGACACUUGUCACCUUUUAUUAACUCUCUACCUAACUUGUCUCUCUCAUAUCAAUCCAAAUUGCACCCUCCACUUAUCUCUUAACACCCGGUAAAUUCAUUCCAGUAUUCAAAACUUAAUCUAGUUGGCCGAAUUUUUUCGAACUUUUCGCACUAGUGGAUCCCACGUCCGGUAUACGCUCUUAAUUCCUCAAAAACUAACCGAUACUAGAAAAAUCAUUUAAAAGCUAUAUUUACUCAUAAAAUUUAUUUGCACAAUGUUUCGAAUAAAGAAAAGGUGGAAAAACGUAUAAUUAAAAGAAAUUAAAACCUAGAAAUUAAGAAAAUUACGGGUCCUCACACUUUCUCCCCCUUAAAGAAAUUUCGUCCUCGAAAUUUUCUUAUCAGCGGAAUCCAUCAAAUCUAAGGUACCCAAUAGAUCGUACCUUCUACGUCCUCAGACGAGUCAGGGACCAGAUGAUGCUCCAGGGAAUAUAUUCGAGCCGGUACUUUCGCUCCAGUCCCUUCUCCUUUCGACUGUACAGGGUUGGUCUUGGCUGGUUGCUGAGAGUUAGUCUUGGUUGGUGGCGGAGUCCCUCUCCGCUCGCGCAGGCGAGCUGGACAGUUAGCAAUUCGAUGUUCAGCGCUUCCACAGCGCAAGCAUUUUCCUUCUUUCUUUCAGCAAUUGGUUUCAAUAUGAUUUGGCCCUCCACAAUAUCCACAAGAACCACGAGUAGCAGAGACUGAUCCCCCAUGUGGAACACCACCUGUCACCCCCGGUAGCCGUACUUCCCCGUUUCCCUUUCGAACUUUAGGGAUUGUACUAUUAUCCGCUUGUUCUGAGCUGCUCCCCGGAAAGCCCCUUUUUCUUGUUUGGAAGUUUCUAACUUGUAACCUUGCAGUUUCAACGCGCUGGGCCUUCUCCACCGCAUCACUAAAGGCAUUAAGUUGGGCUACCGCCAGAUCUUUUUGAAUUUCAACAUUUAAUCCCUGGAUGAAUCGCCUUAUCCGUCUUUGUUCAGUUACAAUCAGUUCGGGCGCAAACUUAGACAACCGAGUGAAUUGACUCUCAUACUCGACUACGGUCUGAGUUCCUUGGCGAAGCCGAAUAAAUUCAUCUUCCUUCUUUUCUUGGAUUAGAGGAGGGAAAAACUUGGCAUUAAAUUCCCUCAUAAAGUUCGCCCACGUCCUCGGGGUUUGUUCUCUUUCCCAUUUCAUUCGAAUGACAUUCCACCAGGAACGGGCGGCUCCCUCUAGUUGAAAGACAGCAAAUGUUACCUGUCUCUACUCAGUAUAGUGUAAGGCAGCGAAAAUAUCGAUCAUCUUCUCUAGCCACUUCUCAGCUACGUCAGGAUCAGGGCCUCCAAGAAAUUUGGGUGGGGAGAACUUCUGAAAUCUCUCAAGGGCUCUAUCCUCGCCCUCUAUGUGAUUACCAGGAUUCCCAGGGUUGGGGUUAGGGUUUUGACCUUGUUGGUGCACCACUUGGGCUAGCAAAUCAGUCAUUUGCUGCAUGGCAGCAGCUAUUUGGACAUUGGGGUCAACCCUAGGUUCAGGGUUUGGUUUAUAUGAGGUUUCUCCAGUGCGCCUCUCAGAUAUAGGUUGCCUAAUUCCACGCCCGCGGCCCCGUCCACUACGAGUGCCUUCCAUUGGUCUAAUAAAUCUAGGGUCGAAGCGGGAAUAUAAUAUUAAACAUAGGUAGGCAAAAGCAAGUAGCAAAAGGUACGCACAGAUCAAAAGUAUACAUAUAUAACAUAACUGUAUCAAAUAAGCCACACAAUAGCAAUCAAUUAGAUACAAAUCCAUGAAAAUAGCAGGGUUAUCCAAAAGUACUAUAGACACACUAGGUCACAAGUACAAGAAUAACUAACGAAAAUCUUUUCCCCUCUAAGGCUCCGUCCUUAAUCGACGAGAACAACACCAUUGAUAUCCUAAUCAAGGUUGAUCAUGCUUAACAACACCCGAACAGACUGCACGAAGUUCCAUCGAAUCACAUUGCUAGUUCGCCCAAGUCCUUUCUAACCUAGGCCCUCAUCUCUUUCGUAUCCGGGCGCAAGAAUCCCAUCUAAGAUAAUUCACAACUCGAGCCGGCCGGUCCCAAGCGUAAAUCAUCCAUACUAAAGAUUCCUACCCGACAUACUUAUCUGUCGUCCUCAAGUUCCACAAUAAAGACUUUUACACUUAUAACAUGCCCCAUUCAUAACAUACGCUCAAACGAGCACUUAGACAUAUCCAUGAAAUCAGGACAUAACACCACUUGGCCCUAGGCUCACUCCGCGCAGAGACCAUGCGAAGUGGCUCUGAUACCACCUGUGACAGUUCUCAGGGUCACAUCACAAGGUACCUAUCAGCUUGCCACCCGCACGCGGGCAUCCCCUACGGAGAGUUUCGCUUCGUGACUCUUCACGAACGAGAGGCUCGGGGCUUUUCCAGUAAAAGGACGUAGAGUCCCAACCAUUGGCAUAUGGCUCUGAUACCACCUGUGACAGCCCCACCUCACCCUAAGGCGAACCAAAGGAUUCAGCGGACCGCCUGCCCAGCUCUCGCCAGGACUACGGAGUCGAAUCACACAAAUCCGAUAUUACGUGAGAGGACCCAAAAGAAAUGAGCGAUUGAAGACCGCCAAGCUUAAACAUGGGGAAAACGCUUUCAUAUAUACAUGUCACUAGGUUUACAAUUCAAAUGGAACCAGUGAAACGAAAUACAUUUAGGGUUUGCUCAUUCUCGAGGAGCUAUACAAAAGAACAAAAGAUUUUCUAACUAGCUCAACUCGCUUCUCAAAAUCAUGAUUUCCAAAAGAGAUUCCUGUAAGGAAAACAAAGAUAACGAGGAGGGGGUGAGCUUACGCCCAAUGAGGUACCAAACAUGUAGCAGAAAAAUCAGGUAUUUCACGUUAUACAAAACCAGAUACACAUGCUCGCUAUAAAGUAAGACAGGUAAACACAAGAACUCAAAUAGGAAGGAUACAGGUGGCUCUCAGGAGCCAGCUUUCCAGCGCAGUACUUGAUCCAAGCCGGUUGACUCUCCGUCAACGUAUAUAGAACCAACACGUCCGUAGACCCCACUUUACACCAAAUUUCGUCCACCAAACACCCCUUUACCGGGCCCGCUCACCUCAACAGAAACAGAAAUGGUAAUACUCGAGUAUACCGGAAUCAAGAGUCUCAAUACCCAAAGAUCCCAAAACAGACUACCGUGGUUCGUUAUCUAAUCGUCCAGGCCCUUGCCGGCCCGACUCGAAUAACUUAGCCACAGGAUUUGAGCUCAUAAGUCACAGAAAGGUCGUUGGUUACAAGUUUCCAAACGACGUCCGAACAGAUACAGAUACAGAUACAGAUACAGAUAUCAGAUACAUAGAUUCAGAUUGACACCAAAAUUGGCAUAUGAACAGACAAGAGAACGAGUGUGAUAAAGUACACCCUCGUCUCAAACAAAUUAAACAGAUUGCAGAGCAUAAAUCAAGUUAAACAGCAAUGGAGGGGAGUGGUACACUCACCGGUUCAAGUACAGAUACCUCAAAAGUUUUCACUUCGGAUUGGCUUUAAUUGCCAAGAAACCCUAAAAUAAUCAAAGUAAACCAAUUGAAGGUUUCACAUCCAGAAUCGAGUAAACAAAAUACACAUGUGAGGCUCGACUACUAGUCGUAUGCCUCGUCAAAUAAUUACUAAUGCAAGGGUACAAAACAUGAUUUUUUGGAAUAAAAAGGUAACACGAAGACCUAGGUUCAACAACCCAAAAGUCCUUCAUUUCUAUCACAAGCCAAUUCAAACUUAAAGGAACCAAUUGGCCUAGAAAAAAUUGGACAGCACUUCCCCUAAAUUUCUUACUUUUCCAGCCAUCACGGCUUCAUUAUUUUCCUCAAUCAACUCCCAAAGUCAUACUCAAUAUACAUUCAUCACCACAGCCGUUCAAUAGGCUCAAGGUUAUCCAAGUACAAAAGUUAGCUAGGAAAAUGACCGGAAAUAAAAGUCAAGCCCUAGAAUAUUCCACUAAGCACAAGAAGACUCGAUUACAAGUCAUAAACCGAUGCCAACACGAUCACAAUAGGGUUCCAUAAGUAUAUAUAAGCAUUAGAGGAAACCAGAAAUUUCGGAAAUGUAACUAGCUUUGGCCCUGAAAAAAAUAGUUUUUAUCCUCAUUUUGCGGUAAUGACACAAAUUUCACUACGCUUAUCGGAUGAGGGUGCAAGACCCACCAUCUCGAAGCUAAAAGACAGGGCUAAAACAUCACAGAAGGUCACUCAACCCAGUUUUGAGUACAAACAGGUCAAAAAUGCAAGAUACUACAUCAACAACGUAAAACAGAUUCACCAAAACGCAUUCUAGCGGAAACAUCAUAACUCAGGCUCUACAAGUCCAAAUCCAGAAAUUCCAAAACCAGCUGAAAGCUAAGAAACAGGGACAAAUUUCAUCAGAAGGCCUCAACAACCAAUUCGGAAGCAAUUCCAGGCAAAACAACCAAUUACAGGCGCAGUUCUCAAUUUCGGGUAAAACCAGAACAGCAAUAGUAAUUUCGACUUAUCUCAUUCUACACCACUCCGAUUGACCUGAAAUUUUGUAGGAACCUCUAAAAUGUCAUUCCCUACAACUUUCAUGUUUUGAGCUAAGGCCAAUUCGGCCUCUAUCUAGGACCUAAAAAUUCGGACAGAAUGCUCCCACAAGAAUCCUAAUUUUCUGAAAUUUCUUCCGAAACAGAAAUUGAUUGCAAUUGUCCACUUUUUCCACCUUCUAGAAUCAUUACAUACCAUUUCCAAUCAUCAUAGAUAGCCACACAAUCAUGCUUAUAUUAAAACAGAAAAAUCCCCAAAAAUAAUAAAACUUCAUCAUUUCAACCACAAAUCAAAAAUUAAUCCAUAAACUUGCAUCUUAUACUACCACUAAGCAUGAUUUAAGCAUCAAUUAAAGGAGGAGGGUUGUUCUUCACAACUUACCUUAGAAACAAGAGAGAGAGAGCUAUUGGUCACCUUAACUUUCCAACACACAACAACUCACCAACACUUCCUUAAGUGGUUUUAUGGAGCAAAAUCAAGGUUGGAUGGUUGGUUUUGGUGAUUUGGAACAAGAUUGAAGUGUUUUCUUCCUUGUUCUUGGAGUAAGAGAGAGAGAAAGAGAGCAAGAGAGGGCCGGCUUCAAGGAGGAUUUUUUUGAGGAUUUUUGGGUCAAUUUUGGUUAUUUAAGUCAAUGGUAAGAAAGGUCUUAAGGUAAGCCCAAUCAAAUGGUGACACUUGUCACCUUUUAUUAACUCUCUACCUAACUUGUCUCUAUCAUAUCAAUCCAAAUUGCACCCUCCACUUAUCUCUUAACACCCGGUAAAUUCAUUCCAGUAUUCAAAACUUAAUCUAGUUGGCCGAAUUUUUUUGAACUUUUCGCACUAGUGGGUCCCACGUCCGGUAUACGCUAUUAAUUCCUCAAAAACUAACCGAUACUAGAAAAAUCAUUUAAAAGCUAUAUUUACUCAUAAAAUUUAUUUGCACAAUGUUUCGAAUAAAGAAAAGGUGGAAAAACGUAUAAUUAAAAGAAAUUAAAACCUAGAAAUUAAGAAAAUUACGGGUCCUCACAGAUAUUAUCUAAACGUUUUAUCCCCGAUUUCCUAGAUAAAGGCUUAAAUACUUUUGAAUGUUAUCAAACCCCUCUCGAACCUCGAUUUACGAGUAAUUGAGGUUCAUUUUCACGGAAUCCCCUAGAUUAAUACUAGUGAACGAAUUAUUCCUCGAUAUUUGGAAUUUGGCUGAUAAUUCACUAUUAUUUGCUCAGGCGCACACAAGGACCUUCAAGAGAAUCCCACGGUGGACGCUUGAACUUUCCUUGACCUUACUUACACCUAAUACUUGGUGGGUGUCAGGUGUAUGUAAACUUGUUACAUGUUUAAUUGUUAUUAAUGAUUGGAAAUCUUGAAAGUGGAGUCGAGUGUGUACUUUACCACACUCGUUCUCAUUAGAAAUGAAAUAUUAAUGGUUGAAAUGUAUUGAAUGAAUGAUUGAAAUGUAUUGAAUGAAUGAAUGAAAUGUAAUGGUAUGCUAUAGUUGCCUACGUCGUUGGAGUGAAUCUCGUCGACACACAAGUGCACAUGGGGACGCCCAAAUCUCAUUGACCGACCUUGGACUCGAGCCGGCAUGGGUUUGGUCGGGAACCUUGGCGAGCCAUGAGAUAUAUAAGCUUGACCUAGUGAGAGGUCUUGCUUGGCAUACUCGAGUAGUAUCGCCACAAACAAAUGACAGGCGGGCCCGAUACAGGGGUAUGUUAGGUGAAAGGGGACAGGUUAAGUGGAGUUCUACGGACUAAACCUACCCGAUUGACGGAGUGUCAAUUCGUGGAGGUUAUUGAAUGUGCAAGUGGAAUAUAGCUCCUGAGGGCUCCAGUAUCCUUGAAUUGUUUCUGGUUAUAUUUCCAGUAAAUUGUUAAUUACUAAAAUAUGAUUGCUUGACUUAUAAAUUGAGAUUGUUAUUUGAGCAAUGUGCUUGUAUGUGUGUUCUUGGCCUCACGAGCGUUUUGCUCACCCUGUAGAUUUGUUUUCCUUAACAGGAUUGAACUUGGCAAGGUAUCGAAGAAACCUUCCUGAUACGCUUUUGUUUAGGGUUUCUAUUACUUUUGACUUUGUCUUGGCUUUUGGGAUGUAUUUUGGAAUCCGAAUGUAACUUUUGGAGUAUGAUGGUUGUUGAACACCCGAUGUGCGGGUUGGAUAUCAGAUGACUUUUAUUAAACUUGAACGCUUUCGCAUUUAUUGUAUCUAAGUUAUUGACUCGUAUGGUGUGGUCCGGCAAUAAGUUUAAAUGGAAUUGCUUGAGUCCUGGCGAGAGCUAGGCAGGCAUCCCGCGGAUACCCUUUGGUUCGCCUUAGGGAGAAGUGGGGGCGUCACAGCUAUAGUCCUGUCUAAUGGUCAUAAUAGCCUGGUAUAGAGUCCGGCCAAUUAACAAGGUCAUGAUAGUUCGGUAUAGAGUCCGACCGAUUGACCCAUGUAUGUAAUGAGACCAAUUGGUAGUCAUGAAACCUAUUGGUCGCCCACCUAAAAGGGGUUUAAUCUCUAAGUUGAGUACUCAGAUGCCGGUUAUUGCAUGUACUUGUUAUGAACUGAUAUGAAAUGACUUAUGAUUUUAUGACCUUAUGACUUCCAUGUACGGUUAUGAAUAAGAUGUUUAUGAAUUGCUGUGUUACUCUUUAUUACUGGUUGUUUUACAAAUAACAUUACUUUCAACGAUUAUGGAUGUGAAUAAUGUGUAAAUAAAUUGAUUUAUGUAUAUAUGUAUAUGUAAAGUUAUGGUUGCAUCGUCCAACAGAGGGGUAGAUACUACCUACUGAGCGAUUUGUCGCUCAACCCAAUUUUUACCAUUUUUGCAGAUUUUGAAGAGUAUGAGUUGGUUUACAUAGAAGAUCCUGAGAAUGAUUUUUAUUAGUUCUAAGUGACUAGAAAUUAGCAGCCUAGCUGCUUCUAGCUGUUAGUUUAUUUAUAUUUCUUUCCGCUAUUACAACUAGAAAAUAAAUGUACGAACUUAUUGGAUAUUCGUAGACUAUUUUGCAUUUGAGAUUUGUACCGCACUUUCUUUAGUUAUACUAUUUAGUACUUGUUAAAUUUAGUCUAGUUUGAUGUUGCCUUGUAUUUUUUAGUGUGACUUGAGGAUACGGCGGAUGUCACGUGAUUGGCGCGUGCGGACUCGGGGCGUGACAUUUUUAGUCAUGUGACAUCCGCCGUAUCCUCAAAUCCCACUCAAUGAUACAAAGGCAACAUUAAGCUAGACUAAAUUUAGAAAGUACUAAAUAGUAUAACUAAAUAAAGUGCGGUACAAAUCCGAAAUGAAAGGUAGUCUAUGAAUAUCCAAUAAAUUCAUACAUUUAUUCUCUAGUCGUAACAGUGAAAAAGAAAAUAAAUAAAACUAAUAGCUAGAAGCAGCUAGGCUGCUAAUUUCCAUUCACGUAGAACUAAUAAAAAUCAUUCUCAAGGUCUUCUACGUAAAUCAACUCAUACUCCUCAGAAUCUGCAAAAAUGGUAAAAAUUGGGUUGAGCAACAAAUCGCUCAGAAAGUAGUAUCUACCCCUCUGUUGGACCAUGCAACCAUAACUUUACAUAUACAUAUACAUAUAUAUAUACAUAUAAAUUAAUUUAUUUACACAUUAUUCAUAUCCAUAAUCAUUGAAAGUAACGUUAUUUGUAAAACCAUCAGUAAUAAAGAGUAAUAUCGCAAUUGAUAAAUGUCUCAUUCAUAACCGUACAUGGAAGUCAUAAAGUCAUAAGUCAUUUCAUAUAAACUUAUAACAAGUACAUGCAAUGACCGGCUUCUGAGUACUCAAUCUAGAGAUUAAACCCCUUUUAGGUGGGCGACCAAUAUGUUUCAUGACUACCGAUUGGUCUCAUUAUAUUCAUGGGUCAAUCGGAGAGACUCUAUACCAGACUACCAUGACCUUGUCAAUCGGCCGGAUUCUAUACCAGGCUACCAUGACCAUUAGGCAGGACUAUAGCCCCUACCGUCUAGUCCAUGACUAUUUUACUUAACAUAAAUUCGUUUCACAUGUUACAUACAUAAUUCUUUAAUUUCAUAAAAGAUACAACUCAUUUGACAUAUAAUAGCAUAUCAAAAUGUUUCAAAUAAGUCACAUGGUCCAUCUUUGUAUAGUAAAAAUAGAACUUGCAUAAAUAUUCAAGUAGAUCACUUAAUCAAAUGCAUUUCAAACCAACACAUCAAAAUAUGAUUGACAACAAAAAUUUCACUUUGCACUUUUGAAAUCUCAGAAGGGUAAGUACCACCUACCUUUGUCUGGCUACUCGAGUGGAACUAUUUUAUGUCUUCUAAACUUGUGUUGUACCUAUCAAAUGCAUAUGUUUCCUAGUUAGUUAAUAUUUCUUAUAAAUGCAUAGAUAUACACACUCUGAAUAAUUUUUAAGAUUCAUGUCUAGACCAUUAUGUGAACCCUAGCAGAGUUUUCCUAAAUUGAAAAGUUUUUAUUUUUGGAAAGUUUCUAUUUUUAAAAAGUUUCCAUUUUUGCAAAGUUUCUUAAUUUGGAAAGUUUCCCUUUUGGUAACGUUUCUUAAUUUAAAAGAACAUAAUUAUUCAUAAUCAUAUUUAUUAUCUUGACUAUUAUCUUACUAUACAUAUUUAUGAUUUAUUAUUAUCCAUUAUUAUUAUCAGUGUUAUCGUUAGUAUUGAUAUUAUUGCUAUUAUAAUUGUAAGUGCUUCGUUUAACCUUCUAGGACUUAUCUUACACAGUAUAAAUUAAUCUGAUAAGGCUAGAUUAAGAUAUUUUAGAUUCCUAUCUAAGUAUCCUAGACUUAAUUAAUUCAGUAUAAACUUAAAUGACUAAUCUUUAACUUCGAAAAUUAUCUUUAGGUUGGGUUUUGAAAUUUAGUUCCUAUGUUAGUUCAUAAAAGAUGGCCUAGUUAUUUCUAAAUUUAUUUACUGUAUAUUCACUAAGCCCAUGCUAUCUUUCUAAUCCAAUAUACUUGCCAUUAUAUAUAAAUGUGUGUAUAUAUAUAUAUUUUAUUAUUACUAUUAUAUUUUUUUUUCUUUGGCCAUCCUUGCCUGGCCCUUUUUGUUUCUUACUUCACCUGGCGCUGCCAAAGCUUUUCUCAAGCUUUGGCAGCGCCACAAUUCUUGACUAGCCGAAAGGGCAACCUUUGGAAUGGUUCCAGGCUUUCUCUCCUGCCUCUUUUUCUUUCUUUUGUCCUAUUCGGUUGGCCUUUCAUGUCGCCGGCAAGUUUUGUGUUGCGCUUCAGGAACGGCGCACAAUAGCAGCGGCGGGGCCGCUGCUCCAACCCCCUCUUCUCCUUCUUUUUUUUAAAAGAAUGAAGAUUUCAAUUCCAUCCUACCCCAUAGCUAACAUUUAGUACCCUAUUUCUAUCGAUCCAAAUAUAAAUCUUCAUAAAUUUCUCCUACAGGCUUAAAUAUAUCAUAAUGCAUAUAUGCACGAAAUUUUCAAAAUAACUCAUGGAAUUAAAUAGACUUAAGAGAAAAAGAAUUUUAGCAUGCGUUCAGAAUUUACAGAUCUAGGCGUUUAAUUGUCUGCUUGUUCGACGGCGAUGUUCUCUUCUUCUCCUCUACUCUUAGUUGAUUCUUUCUCUAGGGGAGGUAGACAAGGAAAAAAUAGGAAUGGUGUUAUUUUUUUUCUCUCUAUUGUUUUGAUAAAAUCCUAAACUCUAGCACUAGUAGAGCUGUAAACGAACCGAAUCGAACCGAGUAUCUCAUGUUUGAGUUCUGUUCGUUAAGCAGUUCGAACAACGUUCGUGUUCGUUCGUUAAUUUUCGAACUCCAAACCUGUGUUCGUGUUCGGUUCGUUAAGUAAAAUUCGUGUUCGAGUUCGAGUUCGAGUUCGGCUCGUUUAACAUAAACGAGCCAUUCGCGAACAUGUUCGAAAUGCUCGAAUCCAAAUUAUUUUAUGCCUUAAAUAUGCCAUGCAAAUUAUUAAUCAUUCUAAAAAAUAAUUAAAGCACUAAGUGACUAAAUUCUAUUAUUCAUUAACUAUAUAACUAACAUUAACAUAAAAACAACAAAUAAAACAAAGAAAUUUGCCCUCCAAAUAUAAAAGUCCAGCCAUAAAAUUAACCCUAAAAUUUGUUAAAUGAUAAUUAUGUCUAUGUUCGCGAACGUUCGUUAAAACUCGCGAACAUAUUCGUGUUCGCGAACGUUCGUUUAGCAUGUUCGCGAACGUUCGUUAAAACUCGCGAACAUGCUCGUGUUCGCUCGAUUAUUAAUCGAACAAAAAAAUUCGUUCGAACUCGGUUCGUUUAAAAUUUCGAACGAGCCUUUCACGAACACGAACGAGCCGAAACGAACCGAGCUACCGAACAGCUCGGUUCGUUUAACAGCUCUAAGCACUACCCACUAGUAGGUGGUUUAGAUAAGAGUCUUAGUUUAUUAUGAACUCUUAUCCCACCUCAUCUCCUUACUAACCCUAAUUACUCAUCUACCCUAUCCUACUAAUAAAUUUUUAUAUUAUUAUUAAUUUUUUUUCUUUACCCAUAGUAAUUUUGCCUUUUUAAUCAAUUAAGCAAAAGAAACUAAUAAAUAAUUUUAAAAAAUGAGCAAGGAUGUGGGUUUUACAUUCUACCCCCUUUACAAAAAAUUUCAUUUUCGAAACUUACAUACCUUGAUAAAAAAGAUAGGGGUAUUUAUUCCGCAUGUCUUCCUCUAACUCCCACGUUGCCUCUCACAGUGUAUGGUUCAUCCAUUGCACCUUCACGUAGGGUAUGGUCCUUCUCCUUAGAACUUGGUCCUUCCGGUCCACGAUUCUUAAAGGAACUUCCUCCACUGAUAAGUUCUCCCUUACCUCGAUGGGUUGAUCCUCCAAAAUGUGGCUCGAGUCCGAUACAUACUUUCUCAGUUGGGAGACAUAAAAAACAUUAUGUAUCCUUGACAAAGCAAGCGGGAGAACCAAUCGAUGUGUUAGAGGUCUAACUCUAUCCAGUAUUUCGUAAGGCCCUACAUAUCUCGGACUUAACUUGCCACUUCUUCCAAAUCUCAUCACUCCCUUGGUAGGGGAUACUUUCAAAUAUACAUUUUCUUCCGGUUGAAACUCCAAAGGUCUCCUCUUUGAAUCCACCCAACUCUUGUUUCGGUCCUGAGUUACUUUUAAUCUUUCUUGAAUAAUCUUAAUUUUCUCCAAAGUUCUUUAUACCAAAUCAGGGCCAGUGAUCAGUUUCUCACCUACUUCAUCAUAAUAUAAGGGGGAUCUAAACUUUGGUCCAUAUAAUGCUUCAAACGGUGUCAUACCUAUACCGCUAUGACAGCUAUUAUUGUACGAGAACUCGAUUAGUUUUACCAACCUAUCCCAACUAUCCGAGAAGUCUAGAGCACAAGCUCUGAGCAUGUCUUCCAGUGUCUGUAUAGUCCUUUCCGAUUGUCCAUCCAUUUAAGGGUGGAAGACGGUACUUAAUCUCAAGUUAGUCCCCAUAACUUCUUGAUAGGUCGACCAAAAUUUAGACGUGAAUCUAAGGUCUCGGUCAGACACUAUACUUACUGAAACACUGUGAAGACAUACGAUUUCCUCCAUAUACAUCUCUACCAACCUCUCCAUUGUUACCUCAUUCGACAUUAGUAGAAAGUGGGCAGAUUUGGUUAGCCGAUCGACUAUAACCCAAAUGGCAUCGUUAUUCCUAAUUGUUCGAGGCAAUCCUACCACAAAAUCCAUUGUCACAUGUUCCACUUCCAUUGGAGAAUUUCUAGGGGUUGCAAUAAGCCGGCAGGUCUUUGAUACUCGGCCUUUACUUGUUGGCAUACCAGACACUUCGCCACAUAUUCCGCUAUUUCUCGUUUCAUCCCAUUCCACCAAUAAUUCCUCUUCAAGUCUUGGUAUAUUUUAGUCCCACCAGGGUGAAUUGAGAAUCUUGAAUUGUGUGUCUCUUUUAGCAAUUUCUGUUUCAAUCCUUCAUCCCUUGGCACACAUAAUCUACUCUCUUUCCACAAACUCCCAUCGUCUUUCAAUUCAAUCCUAUCGAAGGGUUCCACUCUAAGUUUUUCCUUAAUCUUUGCACACCCGUCAUCACAAUGUUGUGCUUCUUUAAUCCUAUCUAUUAAGGUAGGUGCGACCACUAAGGCAGCUAGCAUGUGAGCCGUGGAGUCCACCAUUUUCACUUCAAAAUUCUCCAUCUGAUCCUUUGUUGUGGGUUCUCUUAAUACCCUUGACUUCCUACUGAGAGCGUCUGCUACCUUAUUUGCCUUGCCUAGAUGGUAACUAAUCGUCAAAUCAUAAUCCUUAAUUAAUUCUAACUACCUUCUCUACCUCAUGUUCAAUUCCCUUUGAGUAAAUAGAUACUUGAGACUCUUUUGAUCAGUGAAAAUCUCACAUUGCAUACCAUAUAAGUAAUGCCUUCAUAUUUUCAACGCAAACACUACUGCCGUCAAUUCCAAAUCAUGCGUUAGAUAAUUCUGCUCGUAAGGUUUUAGUUGGCGCGAAGCAUAAGCAAUUACUCUCCCAUUUUGUAUCAAAAUGUAUCCUAAAUCAUUUUUAGAGGCAUCACUAUAAAUCACAAAUCCUUCCGUUCCAGAGGGUAGGGUAAGUACUGGGGCUAACAUUUAUCCGUCCAUUCAAAUUUUGCUCUCUUUUGAGUCAACCUAGUAAGAGGCAUAACAAUGGUGGAGAAUCCUUCCACAAAUUUUUGAUAAUAGUUGGCCAACCCUAAGAAACUCCUCACUUCGGAUACAUUACUGGACCGUGGCCGGUCUACAAACUCCUCACUUCGGAUACAUUACUGGACCGUGGCCAGUCUACAAUUGCCUCGGCUUUCUUUGGAUCAACUGACACUCCUUGGGCCGAUAUAACGUGUCCUAAGAAGGCCACACUCUUCAACCAAAAUUCACAUUUACUAAAUUUAGAGUACAAUUUCUCCCUUCUUAAUAUCUCUAGAACCUCCCUAAGGUGGGCGGCAUGAGCUUCCUCAUUUAGGGAGUAUAUUAGAAUGUCAUCGAUAAAUAUCACAACAAAACGGUCUAGUUGUGGUUUGAACACCCUAUUCAUCAAAUCCAUAAAGCUGUCUGUACGUUGGUUAAUCCAAAUGGCAUUACUAAAAACUUAUAGUGCCCAUAUCUUGUACGAAAUGCACUUUUCUGAAUAUCAUCAGCUUUAAUCUUCAAUUGAUGGUAUCCAGAUUUUAAAUCUAUCUUGGAGAAUACUUUAACUCCCUUCAUUUGGUCAAAAAGAUCAUCUAUCCUAGGAAGGGGAUAUUUAUUCUUUAUCGUGAUUCUAGUCUAAAAAUGAAUUGCGAAAGUGGUGUCAGAUUGGGACCUAGAUUCACGUCUAGAUUUGUGUCGACCUACCAAGAGGUUAUGAGGACUGAUCUGAGACUAAGUAACGCCUUCCAUCCCCAAACAGAUGAACAGUCAGAAAGAACCAUACAGACACUCGAAGACAUAUUGAGAGUUUAUGCUCUAGACUUCUCGAAUAGUUGGGAUAGGUUAAUAAAACUAAAGAAAUUCUCGUACAAUAAUAGCUACCAUAGUGGGAUCGGUAUGACACAGUUUGAAACAUUGUACGGGCGAAAAUGUAGAUCUCCCUUAUAUUUGGAUGAAAUAGGUGAGAAACUGAUCACCGGCCCCGAUUUAGUGGAACGAACUGUGAGAACCCAGAAGAAAAGAAAAAAAUUUAAAAAAAUAUUAUUUUAUUCCUGUGCACCCGAUUUCUUUUAUUUUCUUUAUUAUAUUACUUUUAUCAACAUUUUAUCAGUAAAUAUAGUUUUUAAAUCAUUUUUCUAGUAUAAGGUAGUUCGUGAGAAAUUAGGAAUGUAUUUUGGCUGUGGGACCCGCUAGUGCAUUAAGUGAGAGAAAUUCGGCCAAUUAGGUUAAAUUUUGCGUAAAGGGAUUUUAUUACUAGGGAUUAGGAGAUAGGUGGAGGUUACCUAGAUGGAUUAAUCAUGGAGGGACAAGAGGAUAACUCUAGCAAAAACAAAGUGCCAAGUGUCCAAUUGUUGUUGGACUAAGCUUACCUAACUUUUGACUUAACUUUCUUUACUUUCCUUAAAGUCUAAUUUUGACCAAGUUGUCUUCAUUCUUCAUCUCCUCAUGGCCGAACCUCUCUAGCCAACAAAGGAAAGAAAUCUUCAAAUCCUUGCUCAAUCUUGAAAACUAGCCGAUUAUUUCUUGAAUUAGUCCAUAAAAUCAUCUUGCUAAGGGUCUUUGACGAACUUGGUGGUGUUGUUUUGGAAGGAAAUCUCCUAAGCUACAACCUUUCUUGAAGAACUAAGGUAUCUUGCUUGGAACUCAUCUUUUGGUUUUAAUUUUGGCCAAUUGGUGCCUUAUAGUAGAUAUAUACGUGAUUUUUCGGAAGAUUUGGUGGAUUGGAGUGAAGCUAGCUAAUUUUCUGAUUUUUGUGGGACUUUUCUGUUUUCCUAUGAUUGAGAUGAUUGAGCUGGAAUUGAUGGUUCUAAAUGGCAUUAUAUAGCUCUCUUGUGCGUUAAUUGUGGUUAAUUGCGGAAAAUUUCCGCUUGUGCGGAAAAUUUCAGAUUUAGGGUUACUAAAUGGGGGUUUUCUAUGGUUGAUAGUUGAGCUUCUAAUUGGCUAUAAUUGAGGGGUAUUAUGACCCCAAUGAAGUAUAUUGAAUGGCUUAUGAAUUGUUUGGGUGCUUGUGGUUGUGUUGGAUGGCUUUUAAUGGUUGUCUUGUAGGUUGGAAAAGCUGAAAUUUUAGGGGAAAUGCUGUCCAAGUGUCUAGGGUAUCGGAUUCUUAUGAGUUGGGUUGAGAUUUGAUAGAAAUGAAUAAUCUUAGGGUUUAUUUCUACUUUUAACCCUAAAUGUUAUGUAUUUUUCAUUUCCAAGCUAUAUUUGGGUCUUACCUUAAUAGUUCCUAGAAAAAGGUAUUCGACUUGUGUUUGCGUUUUCAUUGUACUUUCUUGAUUGUUAUAGGGCGUGCCGGUGAUCCGAGACUCACGUCGGGCGAAAACUUGUGAAAUUUCUUUGUUGAACUUGGUGAGUGUACUACUCACAUGUUUGUUAUUCCGUGGCUUUCUUGUACUUGAAUUCUGUGAUUUGGACUAGUUGAGAUGAUUGUUUGAGCUAGGUGAGGCGAGGGUGUACUUUACCACUCUCGUACUCUCUGGCCUUCUUGACUGGUUAUUAUAUUAGGCUUACUUGACUGUACUUGUAUCACUUGAAUACUCUUGACUGUACUUGAUUUGGUGUCGAUUGAAUACCAAUCUUUACUGUUCACUCUGGGCUCUACCUCAUUGGAAGUCAAUGGACUCGAGCCAGUAAGGACUUGGUCGGGGACAUUUGACAAGCCAUGGGGACUGUAUUUGGGAAUCUUUGGGUAUGAGACCCUUGAUUCCGGUAUACUCGAGUAAUACCAACUCUGUACUGUUUGGUGUUCGGGCCCGGUAAGGGGAAAGUGAGGUGGACGGAUAAUUGGAGUAAAGAGGAGUCUACGGUCAUGAUUACCUGGUAUACAUUGAAGGAGAGUCAAUGAGAUGAGAUCAAGCAUGGCAAAAGAGGAAAAUGGCUCUUGAGAGCCAUCCGUAUCCUUUUAUUCCCUACACUUGGGGGUUGUUACUUUUACUUCCUUGACGUGCAUAUUUGGACUGAAUAUUCUUGUGUUUAUGUGAUCCUGGUAUAUUUUCGUGAUGGUACUUCAUUGGGCGAAAGCUCACUCCGUGAAUUUUGUUUUCCUUACAGGGAUUUACCUUUUGGACUUUUGAUUUUGAAGAAUGAGUUGAGUAGAGCUAGUUGAGAGAUUUUGUAUAGCUCCUCAAUAGUUGGAAACUUAAUUGUACUGGGAUUUAAAUGCUUCCUUUUGGCUUGUAACCACACGAAUGUGGUUUGUAACAGUGUGUGUGUACUCAUGUUCAAUGUAUUAUAUUUGGCUUGUAUAUAUUCCUUUCAGGGGUUGUAAAAAGUUACUUGUAUUCGAUUGGGUCCUGGCGGAUUGUGACGUGGUAGUCACUAUUCACUUUACGUUUUAACUUUUAUUUUUCCGUUUCUUGAUUGUUGGCUUGGUUGAGCGCGCUAGUAGAUUCCCGAACGACUUGAGUUACUGUUUUACCGUUUUAGUAGUCCUGGCGAGAGUUGGGCAGGCAGUCAGCUAACCCCUUUGGUACGUCUUAGGGGAAGGUGGGGCUGUCACACGAACCUUGGAGAAGAUUAAAGUUAUUCGAAAGAGACUAAAAGUAACUCAGGACUGAAAUAAGAGUUGGGCAGAUUUAAAGAGAAGACCUUUAGAAUUUCAACCGGGAGAAAAGGUAUAUUUGAAAGUAUCCCCUACCAAGGGAGUGAUGAGAUUUGGAAGAAGUGGUAAGUUAAACCCAAGGUAUAUAGGACCUUACGAAAUACUGGAGAGAGUUGGACCUUUAGCGUAUCGACUGGCUUUUUCACCUGCUUUGUCGAGGAUACAUAACGUUUUUCAUGUCUCCCAACUGAGAAAGUAUGUAUCUGACUCGAGCCAUAUUUUGGAGGAUCAACCCAUCAAGGUGAGGGAGAACUUGUCAGUAGAGGAAUUUUCUUUGAGAAUCGUGGAUUGGAAGGAUCAAGUUCUAAGGAGAAGGACCAUACCCUACGUUAAGAUGCAAUGGAUGAACCAUACACCGCGAGAGGCAACAUGGGAGUUAGAGGAAGACAUGCGGAAUAUAUAUCCCUAUCCUUUUUGUCAAGGUAAAUAAGUUUCGAUGACGAAACUUUUUGUAAGGGGGGUAGAAUGUAAAACUCAGGUCCCUUCUCAAUUUAUACUUUACUCAGUUAAUUAAAUGGUAAAUUGUCAUGGGUAAAGGUAAAAAUAAUUGUAGGAUAGAUUAAAGGGUUAAGUGGGAGAUAGGAAGGAGAUAAGAUAGGAUGAGAGUCACAACAAAUUAAAAUUCUUAUCUAAACCACCAAGUAGUGGGUGGUUACUAGAGUUUAGAACAUUUAUCAAAAUAACACAGGAAAAUAACACCGUUCCCACUUUUCAUUUGUCUACCUUCCCUUAGAGCAAGAAUCAACUAAGAAUAGAGGAGAAGAAGAAGACGUUGCCAUCAAACUAGCAGGCAAUUAAUCGUCUAGACCUGUAAGUCCCAAACGCGCAUGAAAGUUUUUCUCUUAAGUCUUAUUAAUUUCAUGAAUUAUUUUAAAUAUUUUAUAUAUAUUCAUAUCGCAAUAUAUUUAUGCCUGCCUGAAAAAUUUAGGAAGAUUCAUGAUCGAAUUUGUGAGAAUAUUGUAUUAACUUUUAAUUAUGGGAUGAAUAGGGUUUACCCAAAUCUGUUGAAAAAAAAAAUUCGAGUGAGAGGAACAGCGGUAGUCGCCGCUGCUGUGGUGCCCGUGGUUGAAGCCAAAGCUUCAGCAAUGCAAAAAUUAAGAUGUUUAUCAAUUGUUGUGUUACUCUUUGUUACUAGUUGUUUUACAAAUAACGUUACUUUCAACGAUUAUGGAUGUGAAUAAUGUGUAAAUAAAUUGAUUUACGUAUAUAUGUAUUUGUAAAGUUAUGGUUGCAUGGUACAACAGAGGGGUAGAUACUACCUACUGAGCGAUUUGUUGUUCAACCCAAUUUUUAUCAUUUUUGCAGAUUCUGAGAAGUAUGAAUUGAUUUACGUAGAAGACCCUGAGAAUGAUUUUUAUUAGUUCUACGUGAAUGGAAAUUAGCAGCCUAGCUGCCUCUAGCUGUUAGUUUUAUUUUUUUUCUUUUCCGCGGUUAUGACUAGAGAAUAAAUGUACGAAUUUAUUGGAUAUUCGUAAACUACCUUUCAUUUGAGAUUUGUACUGCACUUUAUUUAGUUAUACUAUUUAGUACUUUCUAAGUUUAGUCUAGUUUAAUGUUACCUUGUAUCAUUGAGUGGGACUUGAGGAUACGGCGGAUGUCACGUGACUGGCGCGUGCGAGCUCAAGACGUGACAUUUUUAGUGGUAUCAGAGCUUAGGUUAUAUGAUCUGUGUAGACACCAAAUUUUUGGUUUCGAAUUUUAUUUUUUAAUUAGUUUAAUUUUAGAUUUAUUUGUUUCAAUUUCAGGUUUAUUUUGGUUGUUUCCUGUUUCGUGCCUCUUAUUGUAUUUUAAUUAGUUUACGAGCAUUUAUUUUAUUUACUAAUUUGAUUAAAAAAAAGAGGAAAAAGAAAAGAAAAAUGAUGAAAGUGAAAAAUGAAGGAAAAAAGAUUGAAAAAUGGCAACUUUGUUGUUUUUAGUUUGUAUAUUUUGAUGUGAUAUUACUUAAAUUGUUGAUUUUUAUUACUUAGCUUUAUUAUUAAUUUUGUUAAAUUAUUAUUCCAAAAAAAAAAAAAAAAAGCCACGCGCUCAUAACUUUCUUCACAGAAACAUAGCUUCAGUACGCAAACCUCGUCCCUGGAAAUAAGACAGAACAAAAAUGGGAUUUUUCUCCAUUUUCCUUUUCUCUAAAAUCACCAAUACACAAUGCCACCUCACUCAUUAGAAGAUAUCAAGAAGCUUCUGGCACGAGACCAUCAAAUUGCUGAGAAAACUUGCCAGCAAUAUAGGGGUUUGAUCCGCACCCUUGAAGUUAGGUUUUAGGGAGAUUGGUUCCAUAUAAAAGGGGAAGAACAAACACAGCCGAAGGAGAGGAGAAGAAAAGAGUGACGGCGGAGGACCAAAAAGAAAGAAAAACAAGAGAGGACAGAGGUAGAGAGAAUAGGGGUUGGCGGCUGCGGUUACAAGGAACCGAGAGCUAGCAAGGAAGGAAGGUUGGCGGCGGAAACCAUAACCAGGAGAGCGAGGGUUUCGUGAGGUUGAGCAAAAAGAAACCAGAAAAGAGUGAAGGGGAAAGUUGGAGAGCGAGAGAGAGGCUAGUGACGGCGGAACAGAAACCAGAAAGGAGAGUUUUGAAAAAAAAAAAAAAGAAAAACAACCGAGAGCUUUGGAAGGAAGAAAAGGGCGACUCAACAGGAGAACCAAGAAGGAGUCACGGCUGGGGCGAGAGCCUGGAGAUUUCUGGUCAAAACCAAAAAAGAAGGAAGGGGACUGUCACUCAAGUUUCCUUAUCGUUGCUAAAAGUCCAUCGGAAAACGGCACAGUAAGGUUCCUUUCCCUGUUAUAUAGAUAAUUUUUAUCAAAUAAAUCAUGGAAACUAUGCUGGAUCUCGAGUCAAGUGAAUGUGGUCAAGAGUUGCGAUGUAGGUUCAUGGUUAUAGCUCAAAAGUGCGACCUUCUUACUGUUGUUGUGUAUGAUAGGUAUGUUAGGAUCUAAAAAUUUUUUGGUGUUGAUUAUAUUUCGUUCCUGGACUGUAGUUUAGUAGCAAGAUCCUAGCUUUGAAAAGAAAGGGCAUUUACAUGCCUGUUCCGUUUCCAUUUUGAAUCUGUUGUGGCUUGUUCGGAUGUCGGAAUUUUGUUCUGGUUUUGUUGCUGAAGUUCUCGAUUGUUUGAAGUGUUUGAUUCGUUUGUUGAGAGGUUUUGAGCCAUGGUUGGUUCGAAGUUUUGAAUGAAUUCUUGUUAAAAAUUUAUAGACAACUGCAUCGGAAAACCAUGAAAGCUAUGCCGCAAGCUCUUGCAAAGUUGCAGAUGGUUGAAUAAUAGGUUGACGGACCGUUUUUGCAUGAAAGUUUCCAAGAAUCUGCAUCAUUUCCUCCUAUGUUUUUUGCCCGUUUGGACGUUGAAGUUAUGUGUCUUGUUACUUAGUUUCAAAUUAUGAUUUUUGGUGAAAAUUUUUGAGCAAAGCUGUAUGCUUGGGUUCGAAAUCUGAGUUUGGAAAUGAAAAUGCAGCAGGCUUGCGCUUUCGAUUGCUGAAGUUUUUGCAUUGUUGAAGUAUUUGAUUUGUUUGCCAUUUGAUUGGAAUACCGUGUGCAUGUACGCCAUGAGGUAGAGUCGUGUUUUGAAGUAGAGUUCAGUUGCAAUAAAAAAUGCAGCGUAGCUUGGGCCGAAUUGCAUGAACUUUUGGGGGUGUUUUCUGCUCCCUUUGUUGCAUGUUCAGCUGUAUUAUGUUAAUCAAAGUGUCUGGUUGUCAAAUGGUGAUCGAGUGAUGGUCUUUGCUGGCUUUUGUUUGAAGUCUCCUAUGAACCCUGUAUUUGAGAGCUUAAAGUUGCAAAAAUAACUCUGGAUGAAUGUUGCAGCAGAAAAUUUGCUUCGUUACUUCGCAGGCUCCUUUUGCUUGAUUGAUUCUUUUGUUGCAUUAUAAAUCAAGUAGAUCAGGUGGUGGCUUGUUGUUUUGUGCGAAUUACAUUCGGUUUGGGCUGUCAAAUGCGUAGAGUUUGUUUGAGUUCUCACACACAAACAUAUCUAAGCUGAAGUAGAAAAAGCUGCUGCAUUCGUUCCUAUACCUCUGCUAUUUUCUUCUCCGCAAACAGCUCGUCAAGGGAGCUUUGUCAUCUAAUGUGCUAGUUAAUCUUGUUCUGAAAAGGAAGAAAUUGGAUAAGUAGUGUUUGAGUUUGCAUGCUUAGGGUCUAAAACACCUGAAUCAUGAUCGAACACCUUGCUGAAAAGCAAACAAGCAGGCUGCCGAAACCAUUUCUGCAUGUAUUUUUCAGAAUUUUGGUAUGAUAUGUUUCCAUGUUUUCUGGUCAUUUGGAUUGUGAUCAUUAUGUAGUCUGUUACUUGGCUUAAGGUAGUGGUGUUGGGUUGAAAAAUAUCUGAUCAAAGCCGUGUAUUUGAAUCAAAAUCUGGUCUGCAUGAUGAAAUGGAAAGGAAAAGCCGUGGCUGGAAAAGAAAAAACUGCAGAAAGCUUCAUACGUGAAUUGCAGAAGUAAUGAAGGCUUUAGUUCUCGUUGCAUACAUGAAAAAUGUUUCCAAAAAUUGCCUUUUAACCCCCCAAGCUUCCCUUUGUUUUACUAUGACCCAACCAAUUGAAUAAUGUCAUCAAUUUGGUCCUUGGUAGUUUUAAUUUUACAACUUCAUUGCUUGUUUGCUUCAAUCAAUUACUAUUCUUUGUUUCAAUUACACUUAAGUCAUGACUUUAGGUGCUUUAUGACCAAGUGAGCUCGGGUUUGCCUAUUUUCUUUAAUUUUCUCCAAUAAAUUGGUACCUUGACCAUUUCUUUUAUUUUGGAGGAUAAAUAAGUGAUUUCACUCCAUUUAAGGCGUCAACUCAAGAGAGGUAUAACUUCUUUUAUCUUUUUUGACUCUCUCCUAUGUGAUCCAACGUGCUAAGUGAGAAUUGCAUGUCUACUUUACUUUCCUUGUUUUUUCCUUAAUUCAUUUCAUUUAUUUCAUUUACUUUUGCUUUUGUUAAGUCAUUCUUUUAUUUAUGGGGUAUGUGUACACCUCUUGGCUUGUAAUAGAUAGGGCUUGGAGAGCAAUUUUGUCCAUUUUUCCCCGUCCCCUUUUGUUUUAGUUAGCAAAUGUAAUAGGUUCAUUAGCUUGAUUGCUUGCUUUUGUUGCUACGUGUUAAUUUGCUUUAUUAGGCUCUUGCAUCUAGUCGAGCAUGCUAAGCGUUAUGUGCUAUGUGUUUAUAGGUGAUUGGCAUGUCUACUUGCUCUCUGUAGUCAUAGAUGAAUGUGAAGGAUGAAUGCACGUCACCACACUAGUCCAACGCUAGUUGUGGCUCAUUGUCCCGUUUUCCACUAGUCCAACGCUAGUAGGAAUUCAUAGAUAUGGGCUAGUCCAACGCUAGACCCUUAGGGAUUUCCCUCGUUAGUUCAUACUUGCAUGUUUCACUACAUUUCAUGCAUUUUUCUUAGUUUUCUAGCAUUUGGCAUGCUCCCCCAAUCCUUUCCCCUUCAUUUUAGGCUUUUGCAUCUUCAUGCUAGUUAUAUGGUACAUUUGCUUGAGGGUCCCCUUUAGAUAAGGGAAACGAGCGAGUGUGGUUACAAAAUAGCCUUAGCACGCUAGUUCUUCCUUCUAAUCAAAGGGAAAAUUAAAGUCAUGAAGUUAGGAGUCAUUCCCGUACCCGACUUGAUGCAUUCCUAUAGGUUCAUACACUUUCAUUCUCAUCAUGUCACUCCCUCACCCUCUUAUCCACAUUUUCUCACUACUUAUAUCCUUCUCAAUACAAAUGCCAUGUUCACACAUUUUUCUUCUUGUCACUUGUUUUUCUACCUCACAAAUUGCACCCAAUUGCACUUAUAUGUAUCUACUAUCAUAUUUUCAUUCAUUUGCACACAAACACCUUUAUUUUCCCAAUUUGCACACAUGCACUUGUCUUACAUUCGCACACAUGCACGUUUUCUUACAUUUUCACACUUGCACUCAUAUUUGAGUCUUCAUUUACAUCAUUCGCGACCUCUAUGAGGACUUUCCUUAUUGGCCACCACAACUCAUAUGGUUGGGACCAAAAAGCCUCGUAAGAGACAUUUUAGAUUUAGGAUUGCAUUUCUUUUUCAUAUCCAUUAGUCAUAUCCAACAUGCAACGCAUAUUUUGGGUAGAAGAAUUAGGAAACAUGGGGCUAAAUCACGCAACUAGCUUUGGUUAGGGUAAGGGAGUGCCUUAGGCUUUGCCUUUGCCUUCUCCCUUAUCAAAUGUGACCCCCGAUCCCUUUCUUUGGUUACGUAGACCUAAAAGUUCUUAAAAAGGGGUUUGUUUACUUUGCUUUUCAAAAAAUUCAUUUUUGGGUGACUUGGUACACCCUAACUCUAUACCAAGUGGCGACUCCAUUUUCCAUGCAAAAAACCCUUUUUGAACUUUGUUUGGCCAAAUCGUCGCAUUUUCAAGUCCCACGGCCUUUUAUUUUCAUUUUCACACACAUUCACAUACAUAUUCCACACACUACUUUCACUUUCACGCCAUAUCAAAAAGUGGGGCGUGACAAUCUGAAAGUAUGUGAAAUGGUGUUUGAGAUAUUAGAGAUUUUGAGAAUUGAAAUGAGAUGAAAAGAAAAAGAGGAUUAAAGGAAAUAAGAGAUUCUCAUGAUUUUAAUGUUUUCAAAGUUUAGGUUAUGCGAUCUCGAUAUAUGUUGAAUGAUGUUUGUAAUAUUAGUGAUUUUAAGAAUUGGAAUAAAGUUGGAUAGAAGAUUGUGAAAUAAGAAAUUUCCAUAAUAUUUAGUGAUAACAGAGCUUGGGGUACGAUUUACUCUUUAGAGGAAAUACACACUGGGAAAUGAUCAAUUAUGACUGAAUAAAUAAGCUUGAAAAUUUGCAUGUGUGAUUUAAGUUGAAAUGGUACUAUUGGUAUUUAUGAUGUCCUUUUUGUUAGAUAUGAUUUUGGUAGUACAUUCUAAGUUUAAAAUAUCGGGCGUGUAGGAAAUAUUAUAUAUAUUUGAAGUAUUGUCUGUAGGAAAUUGAAAGUAUCAAGGAAUUAAAGUAUGCGACAAGCAUGAUGAAUUAAAUAAAGAGACCCAGUUUAGCUAGUGUAGGAUUAAUUGCACGAUGGGUGACAAUGACAUUGGAGGUUAUAUUGACUUUUCUUGACAUGGGCUAAGGUUUCACGGAUGAAACCACUUCAAAGGAUGAAAAAUGAAAUGUUGCGGAUCUUUUCUAUUUGCAAUAGUGCUCUUACUUAGAUAGAAGUACUAUUGAUGCCUAUUUUACUCUAGUUGAGUAUUACCACUAUUGGUGACAACUAAUAGAUGUAUGGUCUUAUCCCAUACAAAUUGAUAUAGUCUAACUGUAGUAUUCCUUCGGUGGGAGAUGUGGUCAACAGUGAAUAGACUUAUUUUUUUUUUUGAGGUUUACAAUGAUUAGAUCUAAUGCCCCAGACAAUUAUUGAACUAGCUUAUUUGCAUUAUUACAUCGUGCUUAGUCAACAAAUAUAUUAGAAAUUUCUUAGAAUACAUAAUCUUAUAUAGUUCUUGUCUUAAAAAAAAUUUUCUAUUUCACGAACAAAUGUUAAUCAAGAUUUUUGAAUAAGUAUCUUUAUCAAAUAAGUAUAAUUUCUAUAAAUAUGUACACACCAAGAAACAUAAAUUAACAAUAAAAAAUGAAUAAAUACCAUAAAUAAUUAUAUCCUAUAACUCUGUGCAAAAUAUUUUUGUGAUAUUCAUCCAAUCUCAAAAAGAGCUACAAAUAAAUGUGUUCUACACAAAAAAAAAUCAUAUCAUAUAAAAAGAAUCUAACAAUAAUUCUUGAUAAAUUCUCUUUGUACUCUAAACUUAAUAGUGUAAGAAGUACAAUUAACUAACUUAUGUGUUUCUAACACUUCCAGGUUUUUAAACUUGUAUGAGUUCAAAAUUCUACGUAUAAAUACCUUACCAAAUUUAUGAUAAAGUUAUUAUAUUCAAAUAUGAGAAUUUGGCGAUAAUUUUUGUAUAAAAUUUUGUGUGUUUCAGUAUGUUUUACCGUAAUAUAAAUAUGUGUUUUGGAAAUUGAAUUGAGGUAAAAAAAAAUGACCAAAGAAAAUAAGAUUCCCAUGGUAUUUAAUGGUAUAAUAACUCAGGUUAUAGGAUUUGAAAAUAGGUGUGAUGCUAUUUUAGAUAUGAGAUUUGAGGGAAAUAAGGGAUUUUCAUUACCAAAUUACAAACAUAGUGGGCAGGAACCCAUAUAUCGAGAUAAUGAUUACUUUUUGGGAUAGUGGAUAAGUAAGUUGUGAUAGAAUGUGAGACAAAAGAAGAAAUGGUAUUGUUGGUGUCUAUGACAUCCUUUCUAUAGGUUGAUCUCUAUGGAGCAUUAUAAGUCGAUAUUUAGAAAGGACCAUACAAACACUCGAAAACAUGUUGAGAGUUUGUACUCUAGACUUUUCGGAUAGUUGGGAUAGGUUAAUAAAACUAAUGAAAUUCUCGUAUAAUAAAAGCUACCAUAACAGGAUCGGUAUGGCACCGUUUGAACCAUUGUAUGGGCGAAAGUGUAGAUCUCCCUUAUAUUGGGAUGAAAUAGGUGAGAAACUGAUCACUGGCCUCGAUUUGGUGGAACAAACCUUGGAGAAGAUUAAAGUUAUUCGAGAGAGACUAAAAAUUGCCCAUGACCGAAACAAGAGUUGGGCAGAUUUAAAAAGAAGACCUUUAGAAUUUCAACCGGGAGAAAAGGUAUAUUUGAAUGUACCCCCCACCAAGGGAGUGAUGAGAUUUAGAAGAAGUGGUAAGUUAAGCCCGAGGUAUGUAGGACCUUACGAAAAAUUGGAGAGAGUUGGACCUUUAGCGUAUCGACUGGCUUUUCCACCUGCUCUGUCGAGGAUACAUAACGUUUUUCAUGUCUCCCAACUGAGAAAGUAUGUAUUUGACUCGAGCUAUUUUUUGGAGGAUCAACCCAUCAAGGUAAGGGAGAACUUGUCAGUACAAGAAGUUCCUUUGAGAAUCUGGAUUGGAAAGAUCAAGUUGUAAGGAGAAAGACCAUACCCUACGUUAAGGUGCAAUGAAUGAACCAUACACCGCGAGAGGUAACGUGGGAGUUAGAGGAAGACAUGCGGAAUAGAUAUCCCUAUCUUUUUUAUCAAGGUAAAUAAGUUUUGAGGACGAAACUUUUUGUAAGGGGGGUAGAAUGUAAAACCCAGGUCCCUUCUCAAUUUAUACUUUACUCAAUUAAUUAAAUAGUAAAUUGCCAUGGGUAAAGGUAAAAAUAAGUGUAGGAUAGGUUAAAGGGUUAAGCGGGAGAUAGGAAGGAGAGAAGAUAGGAUGAGAGUCACAACAAAUUAAAAUUCUUAUCUAAACCACCAAGUAGUGGGUGGUUACUAGGGUUUAGAACAUUUAUCAAAAUAACACAGGAAAAUAACGCCGUUCCUACUUUUCAUUUGUCUGCUCCUCUCAGAGCAAGAAUCAACUAAGAAUAGAGGAGAAGAAGAAGACGUUGUUGCCGUCAAACUAGCAGGCAAUUAAGCGUCUGGACCUGUAAGUCCCAAACGCGCGUGAAAGUUUUUCUCUUAAGUCUUAUUAAUUUGAUGAAUUAUUUUAAAUAUUUUAUGUAUAUUCAUAUCGCAAUAUAUUUAUGCCUGCCUGAAAAAUUUAGGAAGAUUCAUGCUCGGAUUUGUGAGAAUAGUGUAUUAAAUUUUAAUUAUGAGAUGAAUAGGAUUUACCCAAAUCUUUUGGAAAGAAAAAAAAAAAAAAAGAGAGGGAACAAUAGCGUUGUAGGCCGUUGCUGCUAUUGUGCGUCGUUGCUGAAGCUUUGACUUCAGCAACACAAAAAAAAAAAAAAAGAGGCAAAGGUCACCAAUUGGCGACCUUGACCAAGAAGAAGGCCAACCGAAGAAAACAAGGGGUCGCCAGCAAGCCGAACGAAAAAAAAAGUAGCAAACGAACCCUCCUCUUUUCACUAGCCAAAAAGGUCGGCCCUUUGAAGGAAAAAAAAGAUUAUGACUAAUAAAAAAAUCAUAAUAAAAAUAAUUAAUAUAUAUAUAUAUAUAUAUAUAUGGCAAGUAUACUUGAGCCAAAAUAUAGUAUAGGUUUAGUGAAUGUUCAGAAGAUAAAUUUUAAAUAUAACUAACUCACCUUUAUAACUUAUCAUGGGUUUUAAAUUUCAAAACCCAAGCUAAAAAUAAUUUUUAGAGUUUCAAGAUUUAGUCAUCUAAGCUUAUGCUUAAUUGAUUAAGUCUAAAAUAAUUAAAUAGAAAUCUAAAACAUUUUAAACUAGCCUUACUAGAUCAAUUUAUACAAUGUAGAAUAAGUCCUAGAUUGUUAAACGAAAUGCGUAAAAUCAUAAUAAUGAUAAUAAUAAUAAUAAUACUAAUGAUAACACUAAUAGUAAUAAUAAUAAUAACAAUAAUAGUAAUAAUAAUAACAAUAUAGAUAUAGAUGAAGUAAAUUAAAGAUAUAAAUGAAAAUUAAAUGAAAAGAUAAAUAUAAGUGGAAUAAACCAAGACAAUAAUUAUAAUAAUAAAUCAAUAUGUACAUAUAUAUACAUAUAGAUAUAAAUAAAAAUAACACCUACACAUGCACAAAAAUGGAAGUAAAACAAAGAUAAUAGUGACUAAUUAACAAAUACAUAUACAAAUGAUAAUAAAAUAAAAUAGUGAUGAAAAGGAUAAAAACAAUAACAAUGAAUAAUAAUAAAAUAAUAAUAAAUAUAUAUAUAUAUAUAUAUAUAUAUAUAUAUAUAUAUAUAUAUAUAUAUAUAUAGAUAAAUGCAUACAAUGGUCAAGAUAAUAAAUUUGAUUACGAAUAAUUAUUUCUAAAUUAGGAAACUUUACGAAAAAAUUGAAACUUUCCAAAAAUAAAAACUUCUUAAUUUAGGAAAACUCUGCUAAAGUUCAUAUAAUGGCAUAGACAUGAAUCUUAAAUUUACUCAGAGUAUGUAUAUUUAUGCAUCUAUAGGAGCAGCCAGACAAAGGUAGGUGUUAUUUACCCUUUUGAGAUUUCAAAAGUGCAAAAUGACAUUUUUGUUGUCAAUCAUAUUUUGUUGUGUUGACACAAAAUGUAUUUGAUUAAAUGUUUUACUGGGAUAUUUAUGCAAGUUCUACUUUUACUAUACGAAAAUAGACCAUGUGACUUAUUUGAAACAUUUUGAUAUGUUAUUAUAUACCAAAUGGGCUGUAUCUUUUAUGCAAUCAAAGAACUAUGUAUGUGAUGUGUGAAAUAAAUUUAUAUUAAGUAAAACUCAAAACAGUCAUGGAAUAGACGGUAGGGGUUAUAGUCCUGCCUAAUGGUCAUAGUAGCCUGGUAUAGUGUCCGACCGAUUAACAAGGUCAUAAUAGUUCGGUAUAGAAUCCGACCGAUUGAUCCAUGUAUGUAAUGAGACCAAUCGGUAGUUAUGAAACCUAUUGGUCACCCACCUAAAAGGGGUUUAAUCUCUAAACUGAGUACUCAGAUGCCGGUCAUUGCAUGUACUUGUUAUGAGCUGAUAUGAAAUGAUUUAUGAUUUUAUGACUUUAUGACUUCUAUGUACGGUUAUGAAUAAGAUGUUUAUCAAUUGUUGUAUUACUCUUUAUUAUUGGUUGUUUUACAAAUAACGUUACUUUUAACGAUUAUGGAUGUGAAUAAUGUGCAAAUAAAUUGAUUUACGUAUAUAUUUAUAUGUAAAAUUAUGGUUGCAUGGUCCAACAGAGGGGUAGAUACUACCUACUGAGAGAUUUGUCGCACAACCCAAUGUUUACCAUUUUUGCAGAUUCUGAGGAGUAUGAGUUGAUUUAUGUAGAAGACCUUGAGGAUAAUUUUUAUUAGUUCUACGUGAAUGGAAAUUAGCAGCCUAGCUGCCUCUAGCUGUUAGUUAUAUUUAUUUUCUUUUCCGCUGUUACGACUAGAGAAUAAAUGUACGAACUUAUUGGAUAUACGUAGACUACCUUUCAUUUGAGAUUUGUACCACACUUUAUUUAGUUAUACUAUUUAGUUCUUUCUAAGUUUAGUCUAGUUUAAUGUUGCCUUGUAUCCUUGAGUGGGACUUGAGGAUACGGCGGAUGUCACGUGAUUGGCGCGUGCGGGCUCAGGCCAUAAUUGAUACUAUUUCCCGGAGACAUUGCCUUCCCUUAGUUUAAUUUCCUAUUCUAUUCAACGUCAUCUAGCUCUUUAUGCCAUAUAUUUCAACUAAUUAAUUAAUCUCAUACAAUUGCUUCAUAAUGACCAUAUAUCUCAAAGAUUAAGGGCCUUUCUUUAAUUUCUUCCUUCCCCACCUUUGCCUUCUUAACAAACUAAUAGACAGAGCUAUUCAAACCAAUCAAAAAAAAAAACACCAACUUCUUCCUUCCAAUCUCAUACAACUCCCUUUGUUAUAGUUCUAGUAGUGUGUUCAGAAAAAUUUUUGUGCAAUAACAUAUGGACAUGUUGAAAUCCUUAUUUAACCUAAUGCUUGCUAAUUUAACAAAAUAAUGCUAGAUAAAAGGAUUUGUGUUUGGAUAGUUAUUUAUAAUCCUUCUAUUAUAACAAAAUCAUGCACAAUGAAAACAUAUAGGUCUCUCUUGAACAAGAAAAUUUUUCUUGUGCUCUCAAUAUUUUUCAUCACUGAUCAAAAUAAAUAUCGAAAUGAAGAUUUGUACAUAGUUGUCAUUCUUAUGCUUAUUUUAUUUUUUUAGGAUUAGAACUUUAUUACUUCUUUUUUUUUUGACAAGGGAACCUAUAGUUGCUACUUGAGAGUGCAUACUGAAUAAAUCCUAUCCCGUGCAGUAGCCCAUCAAUCACAUAGAGGGGUAAGACACACUAGACAAUCUCUGUGCGACGAACGGAUAUCCCAGGAGAGGUUCGAAUCUAAGUUGGUAGAAAGACAUGACACCAACUCUACCAUCUUGACUAACUCAAGAGACUUAUUAUUAUUUUUAGUUGCUUCUACCAUUUAUGCAAUUACUUCAAUAGAUAUAAAGCCAUACUGCAUGUUUAAAUAAUUUAUGCCUAGUUGGGCAUGCAUGCACGCGGUUUAUUCCUCCUAGUUCUCUCUCACACGAGCAAAGCCAAUCCCAAAAAACAAGAACUACAGAUAGCCCAAUCAAACAUUCUUAAACAAGACUACUUUAAAUUUGAAAUGGGAGGUUAUUUCAGUUUGUUUGGAUAGGAGGUUAUUUAAAAUAUUUAUUUGAAAUUUGUGAUGUAAGGUAUAUGAGAUAAAAAAGAGCGAAUUUCUCAGACUAAUGCGAAAAAGAGAAAACAUCACAAAAGUGAUGCUGCUGUGGGCUCACUUCUAGAUUAAGGGUCGCCGCAAAUGUCAGGAGAGACUUCGUAGAAAAGUUGAUUUAAAUUUCUUUUUUUUUUAAAGCUGGAACCAAUUUUUUUUCGUUUUCACAAAAGUUUCGCCGCAAAUGGUGAAUGAGGCUGAGAAAAAAAAUAUUUUUUUGAAUUGCUGCAAAUUACACAAUUUGCGGUGAAGCAUGAAAAAAAAUAUUUAAAAUUUUUUUUGAGAAAUCGCAAAUUGCAUUUGCGGCAAAGGAGAAAUCGCCAUUUGUGUCCAUUUGUAUCUUAUCAUCAGUUUUAGUUUUCCCAUGCUCUAGUUGCAUUCAACAUGAAGAUAAUUAUAUAAAUAUUCAUGUGUUACUUCACAUGAUGUUGUUCAUGAUAUGCUAAAUUUAAGUAGAAGCGUCUGAGUCCUCUGCUAGUUGGAAUUAUCACUUUUUGCUAGAGUUAGAUCAUUUUAUACGAGACAAAGUGGUGGCAUCUAGCCUUAUAAUAAAGGAUUUUGCAGCUGAUGGUCUAUCAUAACACCAUAAUUGUUGACCUCAUACAGUUGCAAAACCUCUGUAAUAUGUAUCUUGAUCCCGUUAAUCCCGUUAAUCUUGCACAGUGUGCUCAUCCUGGAUUGACAGUGAUAUGAGAAAAGGCUUUCAGGACAUUAUAAUACUUGAAUCAAGGAAUGCGACUAGCAGCUGGCCCAUUUGACCAUCAAGAUGUUGGCACAUCUACCACUCGUACUGUCUCUUUCGAGAUGCCUGUCGAACAUUUAGCCAAGUAGAUGCAUGAUAAAAAACAAGACGGUAGGCAUUGCAGAGGGCACCUCCACCCAUGUUGUUCAUGUAUUCAACAUAUUUAAUUUUCAAUAUGUCUUGCCCGACAUUAAAACAAAAAAAUUCAAAAAUGGAUGAUUUGGGCAUAUUCUUUUCAAUUCAUUUUAUAUUUUCAACCAAAAGGAAGUUGAAAGAAUUUUUAUAGGAUGAUUAAUCAUCAUUUAUGAAAUUAGCACAAUUUUGUAGUUAAAUUAAAUUUGCAGCUUUCAGGCUUAGGAUUUACGUAUUAGGAUUUUAUUGUGAGGGUUUAGGGAUUAGUGUUUUAGGUUGGGGUUUGCUAGCAAAAUCAUCGUAAUUCCAUUUUAAAAAAAAAAAAAAUUUAAAGUUUGCAGCUCAUUUGAGGUGUAGUGAAUCCUUUAAAAAAACUUUUUUGCUUCGCCUCCCUUUUGAGGUGGAGCAAACCCUUGUAAAAUAUGAAAAAAAAUCCAGUCCUUUUACUUCCUUGGCGGCGAAAAAAAUGAAAUUGAAUUCAAUUUCUUUUAAACCUACUUUUUCAUUCCCGGCGACCCUUGAAAACAACACCAACCCCAAUAGGAGAAAAUUGGAACUAAUGCUAAGCAGUAAGAUGUAGACGCCACGCGAUUAGAUGUGCCAAACAGUAAGAUAUGAAUGGUCACGAUCUUUUGUCCCACAUCGGCUUCUUAAAAAAUUGUGGGAUCAUCAUGCACGUUUCGCCUGCCUCAAAAUUUUUAGAAACAAAAAUUUUUAUCCUCCCCCAAAUUACAUUUGCAGUUUCUGAAAUUUUUUUUUUUAAAAUUUCAUUUACAUUUGCAGCAAUUCAAAAAAAAUAAUUUUUUUUGCAGCCUCAUUCGCCAUUUGCGGCGAAACUUUUGUGAAAACGAAAAAAAAUCGGUUCCGACUUUAGAAAAAAAGAAAUUUAAAUCAAAUUUUUUAUUAAACCUCAUAUGAUAUUUGCGACGACCCUUAAUCUAAAUGCCAACCCCCAACAACAUCACUAUUGUGAUGUUUUCUUGUUUUCGCAUUAUUUUGAGAAAUUACGCAUAAAAAAGUGGUUGAAAAUUGUGUGUAUGAUGUAAACAAAACAAAAUUUGAAAUUUUUUUUUAAAAUUCUUGAUAUCCAAACACACCAAAUUUGUUUUGAAUUAUAUUAUGAUCCAUUAUUCUUUUCACUCAAGAAAUAAUGGAUCCUAAUAUAACUAUUAAGGUGGCGUUUGGUUCGCAUGUUGGAAUCGAAUUCGGAUUCGGAAUCAUUCAUCCUGGAUUUGGAAUGGAAUCAAUCAUUACAAUACAUUUGUUUGGUUCAGUGCCAAGAAUGUAUAUCAUUACUAUAGUUGAUAUUUGGUACGUUGGCUCUUUGUAAAUGGGAUAUAAGAAAUUUUCACUAAUUAAAUAUAUUAGUAUAAAUAUAUUAGUAAAUUUAGUAUAACUAAUUAAUAUUUUCUAUUAGUAAACAUGUAUAAUUAUUAGUAUAAUUGAUAAUAUCAAUUAUAUUACAUAGAUUAAUAUACAUUAUAUAAUACAUAUAACUAAUAAUAUCAUUAUUAUAAGUUUGUAACUAAUUAAAUUAAAUAUUAUAUAUAUAAUUAAAUAUAAUUAUACAAAUGUUAUAAUAUAAAUAUAUAAUUAUAAUUAUAUAAUAUAUAUAAAUAUUAAUUAUACUAAUAUUUUAUAUAAAUAUAAUGUAUAUUACAUAUUAAAUAUAGUUAUUAUUAUAUAUAAAAUAAUAAUUACAAUUAUAAUUAUAUAAUUUAUUAAUAUUAUAUACAUGUUUAUAUUAUAAUUAUAUGCACAUAUAGUAUACAUUUAUAAAUAUACAUAUAUAUUAUAAAUAUAUUAUAAUAUAAUAUUAAUAAAUUUAUAAUAUAUAGUAUAUAAAUAUAAUUAUAUUUAACUAAAUAAUUAUAAUAUAGAUUUAUAUAAUAUAAUAAUAUCAUUAUUAUAAGUUUGUAACUAAUUAAAUUAAAUAUUAUUUAUAAUUAAAUAUAAUUAUACAAAUGUUAUAAUAUAAAUAUAAAUAUAUAAUUAUUUAAUAUAUAAAUAUUAAUUAUACUAAUAUUUUAUAUAAAUAUAAUGUAUAUUACAUAUUAAAUAUAGUUAUUAUUAUAUAUUAUUAUAUUUAAAAUAAUAAAUAUUAAUAUUAAUAUAUAAUUUAAUAAUAUUAUAUACAUGUAUAUAUUAUAAUUAUAUGAACAUUUAAUAUACAUUUAUAAAUAUACAUAUAUAUUAUAAAUAUAUUAUUAUAUAAUAUUAAUAAAUUUAUAAUAUAUGUUAUAUAAAUAUAAUUAUAUUUAACUAAAUAAUUAUAAUAUAUAUUUAUAUAAUAUACUAAUAUUAUAAUUAUAAUAUAUUAUAUAUAUGUAUAUAUUACAAUAUAAAUAUAAAUAUAAUUAUAUAAUUAUACUAAUAUAUAUAUUAAUUAUACUAAUAUUAUAUAAUUAUAAGAUUUGGGAAUCAGACUUGGGUUUUGGACAAAACUUACCAAGUUACUAAGGACUGGAGGAAUGCUAAAUUUUUAGACAUCAUUCCAAAAUUUUAAUUCCGAUAGUAGUGAACUAAACAUGAAUCAUGGGAUUUAUUCCAUAAUUUCAUUCCGAAACCCUUUUACCAAACGCCCCCUAAUAGUUUAGUCAACAAUGCUACUUCCAUAGGCAAUGAAACUUAGAGCUCCUAAUAUGUACUGGCCAGCACUGAGGUACAUGUCCUGCUAAAACAUGAAUGACUUGGAUUAUGUAACUUAUGUUUGAUUUGCAUAUUAUUUACCUCCUGAACCUAUAAUACAUUAUGAACUUUGAGCAAAUUAUCCUCAUUAUUACAGUAGACCCAAAAAACAAAAGAGUUAAAUAGAUAAUAAAAAAUUUUUUGACCCACAAUUUAGUUACUGAUAUUAGUGGACAAGCUGGUGCGUAGCACAGUCAAACCCAAGCAAGUACUGAUAAAAGAAGAAAUGCAUAUAAGAAUGGAAAAGCAAACCCUCACAUAUACUGAUAAGGCAACUGUCUAAUAAUUCAAACAAAGUUACCUAGCUAUUAUACUAAUGCCCUCUGCACUACUGCAGGGGAUUAGUUUGACGUAAGUCAGGAUACUCCUAUAUUAGAAAAAAAAAAAUCAUACUAAUGCCCCUAUUUGACAGAAAAGGUACAAAAAACAGAACCGAUGGGGUAACGGUAACAUAUCACAAGCAAGAUAGUACCACCGUUCUUACCACACAUUUAAAAUUCCUAAGCAAGGAAAAAAAAAACAUAAUAUAAAUAAAACUGCUAUUCAUCAAUGCUACAAACGGCCAAAAAACUUUCAUUCACAACUUUUUCUCACAUAUAGACGCAAACAGCAGUAUUUCCAAUAAAACAAACACUUAUAAUAAAAUAAAAUCUAAAUAAAACAAACCCAGCCAUAAUCUCCUUACAUUAAAAAAAAAAAUCAGAACAUUACAGUCGAAAUAAAAACUCCACUAUUAUCAUAACACUAAAAUCCUCAAACAAAUUACUCUAUCGGCAAAACAAUUACAAGCAUAAAAUCCUCUACUCAAUCCAAAAUCGAGACAGUGUUCAACACGACAAUCAGUGGAAGCCACCACGUGAAUGUUAGCCUCCUAAGCACCACGAGUAGAGAACACCAAGUGAAGAGUAGACUUGUGAGGAAUUUCAUAGUCUUCAAUAGUGCGACCAUCCUCAAGAUGCGUACCAGCAAAAACCAACCUUUGCUCGUUCGGUGGGAUUCCUUCCCUAGACAGAAUUUCUUCCUUCACGUUCUCGAUGGUAGCAGAACCCUCCAACACCAGAGUAAUGGUAUUCCCUCUCAAAGUUUCCACAGAUAUUUCCAUUCUUCCCCUCCACCUCAUCACCAACUGAAGGGUUGACUCCUCCUGGAUGUAAUAAUCUGCAAGAGUCCGACCAUCCUCAAGCUGUUUACCAGCCAAAAUCAACCUCUGGUCAGCCAGUGGGAUCCCUUCCUUAUCUUGAAUUUUCGCCAUGACAUUGUCGAUGGUAUCAGAACUCUCCACCUCCAGAGCUAUGGUCUUUCCAGUAGGAGUUUUCACGAAAAUUUGCAUUCCACCGCCAAGCCUGAGCACCAAAUGAGGGAUAGACUCCUUUUGAAUAUUAUAAUCGGCAAAAACAUUGUCUGGGGGAACACCCUCCUUGUCUUGAAUCUUAGCCUUGACAUUGUCAAUAGUAUCAGAGCUUUCAACCUCAAGACUGAUUGGCUUACUAGUGUCAGUGCUCUCAGCUUUCGCGGAGAUCUUCAUCUGUUAGGGGGAAAAAAUGAAACAAAAAAAAAAAAGCCAAAGCCGAUCAGAUCUAAUCAAAUUCAAAUCUUUAAACCCAAAAUUGCCAGCACAAAUACCAAAAGAUAAAUAAUCGGAAUUGCUAGCCAAACAAAAAACUGUAAUCCCUCAACCUCGAUCAAUGUUAACCAUUAGAUAAUGCUAAGCUGUGACCAUAUACCAGCUAAUUGAAUGUAUAAUAGUCAGUCACAUUUAGCAGCAGCUAAUUGAUUGUAAUAAGUAGAUAGUUAGUUGGUUAUGAUAGUAGUUAAUUACUUAGCAUCGCUGAGGUGGCAAGGUGGUUAAAGGCGGUUACUUCUUAAUUCAUUGAUAAAAUAAGUAACAGCAAGGGAAGGCAAUUAAGAAAGCUAGUGAAAAAGAAACAUCACUUAUCAAUAUAGUACAAUUCCUUUAUUAUUGUAACCUUUCCUAUAACUCUCCUUGAUUAUCAAUAUAGUACAAUUCCUCCUCCCUAUUCCUCGACGGACAUUCUCCGUUAACUGGAAUUGGGAAUUGGGAUCUUCACUACCUUUGCAUCACAAAACAAUUUAGAUUGUCAAAGAAGGAAAGAUUACCUUUUGAUGGCAGAAUUUGAGAGAAGAUUGAUGAAGAAGAAGAUGGGUAGAUUAACGAGUGAGAAGUGAAGCUGAGAGACGCCCCUAUGGAUAUGCUAGUAUAUUAAAAAGAGGCUAAAGAGGUACUGUUGUCAGCACUGUUGAUUGUCAGAGUGUUAAUUUCGUCCCCUUUUCAUUACGCAGAACCAACACGCAACGCGGUGGUAUGUGCAAUGGAAACUACUCCGGCGUUGCUUGUGCGGUGGGUGGAAAGUGGGAUGAACUUCCUACCGAUGAAGAAACACAAAUGAAGCAUUUCCAUUCAUGUACACCUUCAACGAUCACAGCCCUUAAAUCAGUGGUUUUGAACUUUUAGCAAAACAACAAUGGAAACUUCGGUUUGCUUCUAAGGUGGAAAGUGGGAUGAACUUCCCACCGUAGGCAGAAAGCCAAUUAGAAGUACAGUUAACUUCGGUUGCUUCUACGGUGGGGUGGAAAGUGGGAUGAACUUCCCACGAAUGUAGCACACAAAUGAAGCAUAUCCAUUCAUUUACACCUUCAACGAUCACAGCCCUUAAAUCAGUGGUUUUGAACUUUUAGCAAAACAACAAUGGAAACUUCAGGGUUAGUUCUAAGGUGGAAAGUGGGAUGAACUUCCCACAGUCGGCAGAAAGCCUCUUAGAAGUACAGUUGCUUCUUCGAUGGAAAGUGGCAUGAACUUCCACUUUUUUUCCAAAAAAAAGUCCCAGUUGUGUCGAACUUUCUAUUUUUGGAAUGGAAUAUUUACGAAAUCUCCAUGAAUAGGAUCAACCCCUACUCCAUGGGAUUUACAUAAGGUUCCUCUUUAAAUUAAAAAACUCCUGAUAGGGUUUAAUUGAUCCAUGAUUUAUGUUUUAUCUUUCGAUUGGAAACUAGGAAUAGACGGACUUUCUAUAGGACCUAUUUUACUAAUGGGAUUCAUCACCACUUUAACGACUUUAGCAACUUGGCCAUUUACAGGAUUCUCGAUGAUUUAAUUUCCUAAUGUUAGCGAUGUACAGCGCUCAAAUAGGAUUAUUUUCUUCUCGGAACCUUUUACUUUUUUUUCAUCAUGUGGGAGUUAGAAUUAAUUCCUGUUUAUCUACUUCUAUCUAUGUGGGAUGGAAAGUGGGAUGAACUUCCUCUUUUUUUCUAGACAUGAUAGACCUACUCUUACUCUAUAUUAAGGGAAUGGGAAACCUAAAGAGAUCUAAGAAAAAUUCGGAAAGAACUGAAUCACCACUCAUUCAUCUAAAUCUCAAAUAAAAUUUUAAAACUCUUUUAGUAGCUAACUACUCUAGGAGUAGUUGGUUGGGAUAAACUUCCCACUGUAGGCAGAAAGCCUUUUAGAAGUAAAACUCAGCACGAGCAUUUGUGUCCAUAUUUUUGCGGCCCAAUUGAGAGAAGGUAACUGGCAAAGGCUGUUACCAUCUUAAGGAGCUUAGCAAAUACCUAUAUGAAUUGGAUUGGGUCGUUAAAUGAAUAAAGAAUGUCCCAAAUAGGGCAAUGGGUAAAAGUCAUUAUUAAUUUGAAGCCAGAAUUUUUAGGUUGGGAAAAAAACUUGUAAGUAAUAAACUUGUUAUUCGAUGAGUAUCAUUUAUAGAAUUAUAUAGUUGUAGUGUAUUUCCUUUUUGUUUCUACUUUUUUCUUGAUUAUCUAGUCUUAAAUUAAGUUUCUUUAUCAACAAGGUCAUCCUUAAUGAUGAUUUUGUUGAAACAAUGAUAGCAAUAAAUUAUAUUAAACAGAAUGAGGAAGUUUUGUAUUAAAUAAGAAUUAAUCUUUGCACUCUAGUUUCGAGCGCUUUAGACAAGAUGACAAAAGCAAGUUUUUCCAUUAGUCAGCUUGUUUUUUCUUGGAUUUCCAUUGAUGAUGAGCCAUCAUCAUCAUCAUCAUCUUCUCUUUUAAACUUGAUGGUUGUUUUGCAGUUGCACUGAUCUUUGCCAUAGGCAUCAAGGAGAAUGAUGUUAGAGGAGAAUUUGUCACUAUUAUGUGUUUGAAGGAAGAAAACUGGAGGUGGGAUUUUGUGAGAAUUAAGAAAAGUUGGAAUCGGUUGGGAGGAUAGAGUAAGUUUAGUUUGAGCAAGAAAAAGGUUGGGUUUGCUGCUAUUGUUGUGCCACCAUAGGAUGAAAUUAAAGUUAGUUGUUCUUGUAGUUUUGAGGGGUUUUAGGCAAAAAGACAAGGGAAGAGGUUGAUGAACGAAGAGUUUCAACUAUAAAGCUGUACAAUACUUGACCAUAGUGGAAUAGAUGUGCUCUAUUGAACUAUUUGGCUUGGAUUAGAUUGGACCGUACUCUUACUGGAUCUAAUCAAGAUUGAUUCUUUGUUUCAAAAAGAAAAAGAAAUUAAAUCAGUGUGAUGCUUGAUUAGAUAUUCGACUCAAUCAGCAACUUGAUUCAUCAUGUUUCAAAAAGGCAGAGAUAGGCUUACAAGGGUCGUCCGAUUACAUACUGUACAUCAUUGUACUCCCUGGUAAGCUUCUUCUUUUUUUUUCCGGAAAUGAUAGAAGUUUUUAUUUCUACAAAUAGAGAAAUUACACUAUUCGAGCAAAGGCUCAAGUUUUUCUUUACAAAAGUGUACUGAGACACUGAGGAUCGAAGAAUUCCUCAUCAAAAUGUAAAUGCAUUGCCUGCUUACUCAGUUUAUGACUGAGACAAUUAAUGCUAUGAUUAGCGGACUGAAAAUCAAAUGAGCAUAUCGUAAACAUUAAGCUAAGAUCUGUUAUGUAUUGUAUGUGGGCUGCUAGUAGCAUGUUACAAGAAACUUGACCGUUGAGAAGCUUGUAAACCUGAAGGCUUGGUGUCUGAAGUUUGAUACUGAAGCAGCCACGUUCCAUAAGCUUGCACAGUGCUAACCGUAUGGCCACAAGGUUGUCUAGUAUUGGUGAUCCGGUGCUUCUUUCUUUCAUCAGCCACACUGCACUUAGUUGAUGCAAUCUGUUUUCUGCUGUAAUGCCGAUUCCCAUGUUCAAACCCUCGAGAUGCUGUCCCACAUGUACACUAAUGGUCAGUGUGUUUGUAUCUUCGACCACCCUCUGCUCUUGUACAUCCGCUAUAUCUGUUUCUGAGAUGCUCACUUGCUGUUCAGGCUGUUGAGAUUUCAAAUAUUCCUCCCAUUCCAUAACUACCUUUGUAAUCACUUUCAUUGGAUGUCUCUCUUUGUCUUCGAACUCUACUGUAUUCCUGGCUUUCCAAAUUUGCCAAAGAAUGUCCACUGUCAAUGCUAUAUGUUCCCUUCCUUCCUUCCUAUCUGUGACUUCCAUUAGUGUACUCCACCAUUUCCUGAAGUCGCUUGUAAACUACUGCAGACCAUCCCAUUGCAAUGGAGCCAUCUUCCAGAUCAUCCUUGCAGUCCUGCAGUGGAAGAAAAUGUGCUCCACUGUCUCACUGUUCUCACCACAUUGCUUACACAUUAGGUCUCCCUUUCCCGUUCUCCGAAAGAUUGCCUCUCGACCUGGUAGCACUUGAUGCAGGCACUUCCAUAAAAAUACCUUGUGUUUGUGCUUUACUGGAAGACCCCAUAGCUGUUUCCAGAUUUUGCCAUUUCCCCCUGACCAGCUUGUUUCCCCCUUGCCGUUCAAUUGCACUAUAGGCUGCGUGGUAAGACUUGUGAGUGCUGCAUAUGCCGAGCUGACUGUGUAGUUUUCUUUUUUGGUAUGAGACCAAAAGUAGCAAUCUAGUCUCCCUGUCAAGCUUAUAGGUGUUCUGAGUAUAUGAGCAGCUUCGUGUGAACUAAAGAGCCUGAAGAUGAGAGUUGAUUUCCACCUAAAGUUGGCUAUCAAUUCACUAACUGUUGUGAUAUUGCAACCAAGGGGUUUUGAAGAUUCAAUCUUACCGUCCUUUCCUUCCAACAACCAAGCAUCUUCCCAAAUUCUGGUGUUGUUCCCAUUUCCAAUCUGUUUCCUAGCUCCGCAUUGCACCACCUCUCUUGCGGACAUCAAACUUUUCCAUAUCCAUGAUGCAUUACCUUUGAUUUCGUAGUUGAAGAGGGUUGUUUUGGGGUAGUACCUUGCUUUCAAAACUUUGCUAAGCAAAAGGUUGGGGCAUGUGAGGAGCCUCCAAAUCUGUUUGCCUAGCAAAGCUUUAUUAAAGCUUUGAAGAUCUUUGAAGCCAAGACCACCAGCUUGUUUUCCAGUUGACAAUGUCUUCCAUGAAACCCAAUGCACUUUCGUUUGACCGUUCUCCUGCCCCCACCAAAAUCUUGCCAUCAAAGAGUUGAUGUCUUUGCAUAACCUCACGGGCAGCUUAAAACAUGACAUGGCAUAAGUUGGCAUCGCCAUAAUAACAGCCUUCAGCAACACCUCUUUCCCUGCUUGGCUAAGCUGUGUAUUUCUCCAGUUGAGGAUUGAUUUUUGGCAUCUGUCUUUAAUAAAUCCAAAGAUUUGCAUUUUGGUUCUUGUGAUUACCAUUGGCAAACCCAAAUACUUCCCCUGUUUCACCACUUUAACCUGUUGUAGACUGCUGCAAAUUUCUUCUUGUACUUGUUUCGCCACAUUUUUGCUGAAGAAAACUGAAGAUUUUUCCAUGUUGAUCAUCUGUCCGGAUCCUUUUUCAUAUGUUUGCAGAAUUUUCAUCACUUCUUGAGCUUGCUUCUUAUCGGCUUUGCAAAAAACUAACGAGUCAUCGGCAAAGAAGAGGUGAGUUAGUGAAGGUCCGGUUCUACUAAUCUGCAUUCCAGUCAAUUUUUGCUUCUUUGUGCCUAAGCCAGCAAGUUGAAAAAACCUUCGGAUACUAGUAGAAACAAGUAAGGCGACAAUGGGUCUCCUUGUCUAAUCCCUCUUGACGGUAUCAUAUAUCCUUUAAGCUCACCAUUUAUGUUGAAGGAAAAAGAAACUGUUGAGAUGCAUUCCAUUAUCCAGUUUAUCCAGGUAUCACAAAAACCCAUUUUAACCAUGAUUGCCUUCAGAUAUCCCCACUCAACCCUGUCAUAAGCUUUAGACAUGUCUAACUUUAGAGCCAUAAACCCAUUAGAUCCUUCACUUUUGUUUUUUAAGUAGUGCAAGUACUCAUGAGAGAUAAUAACAUUGUCCAAAAUCUGUCUUCCAGGUAUAAAAGCAGCUUGGUUUUUGCUAAUGCAGUUUCCCAAAAGUUUUUUCAAUCUGUUUGCUAGGAUUUUGGAAAUGGUUUUAUAGAGUACAUUACAAAGGCUUAUAGGCCUAAACUGCUUAACCUCAGUGGGAUUAUCGACUUUGGGAAUGAGUGAUGUGGUUGUGUGAUUCAAAGCCUUUAACAUAUAACCCGAAUGAAAGAAACUUUUGAUUGCUGAAAUGAUGUCAUUUUUAAGAAAUUGCCAAUAUUUCUGAAAGAAAAUUGGUGUCAUGCCAUCAGGUCCCGGGGUUUUGGUUGGAUGCAUAGAGAAAAGUGCAUCUUUAAUUUCUUUUUCCAUGAUUGGUUGGGUAAGAACAGUGUUCAUGUGAUCCGAUAUUGACUGUGAUAUUCCCUCCAGAACCAACUCAGUUGGGGUACCUACCUUGCUAGUAAAAAGCUUGUUGUAAUGUUUAACAACUUCUUCUCCUAUUUCCUCCUCAGAUGUGGUCCAAGUUUUGUCCUCCCUUUGUAUUCUUUGCAUUUUAUUUCUCUUCUUCCUACCUUUAACACUAGAGUGGAAAAAAUGAGUGUUUUUAUCCCCUUCCUUCAACCAUUGCACUCUAGAUUUUUGACUCCAAAAGAGUUCCUCUUCAUCAUAUGCCUCCUUUAAUUUCCUCUUGAGCUCCUUAGUAGUAGCCUUUUUGUUUUCGCAAUCCUGUCCUUGAAGGUCUAGCAUUUGUUUUUUCAGGCCAUCAAGCUUGCUUCUAGAGUUGCCUUGGAAGGUAUUUUUCCAUUUCAAAAGAGCCACUCUGCAAUUCGCAAUUUUCCUAUGCACUUUGAACAUAUUCGAACCAGUUUGUGCCUCCUCCCAAGCAUGCUUUAUGACUUGUUCCACCCUCUCUUUUUUCAUCCAUCUCUUAUCAAAAAAGAAUCAUUUUUUUUCUUAACCUGUAUAGGAUUGGAGUCUAUUAACAACAUACUAUGGUCUGAUCCCAGGGUCUCAAUGUGUUUGACUAUGGUUCUGUCGAAAAUCUGGCUCCAAUCAUGACUUACCAAGGCUCUAUCUAAUCUUUGCUUUAUUUCCCCUUCAUGAGACCAAUGGUUACUCCAAGUCCAGGGGUUACCUUCAAAUCCAAUGUCUAUGAGUCCAUUAUGUUCAAUGAAGUUGUUAAAAUCUUGGAAUGACCCCUGCUCUCUUUUCCUACCUCCCCACUUUUCCUCAUUUGAGGUAAUGUCAUUGAAAUCACCUGUGAUGAUCCACUUAUGACCCCAUAAUACCUUUCUUCGUUGCACCACUUCCCAUUGCUUCCUCCUAAUUUGAUCAUCAGUACUAGCAUAAAUGCCAAUGAACCACCAUUCCUCAUUCUUUUCUGUAUCCUUGAUCUGAAAUUCCAUAGUGAAAGCCGUAGUUUUAAUGUCCAUCACUAUCACCUCAUCGUUCCACAAAACCAUCAUGCCACCUGCUUUAUUCAUAGACUCCACCACUUCACAUUGAUCAAAUCUUAAUUGUCUUCUUAUCCUUUCCAUGAACUGUAAUCUGUUUUUGGUCUCACUUAAGAACACCAUAUGUGGGGAGAGGAGGUUGCAAGCCUCCCUCAACUGGGGAAUUAUCAAGGGGCUCCCAGCACCUUGGCAAUUCCACACCAGAGCCUUCAUUUAUCCAUGGGUGACCAGAUUAGGCUGGUCACCACCCCUUCAGCUUUGCUCACAGAGAUCUCUUGAUCAGUCCCCAAUUUUCCUUUUUUUGCCACUAUUUCAGUCACUUCAACAUCGAUCAUAUCCUCAUCCAGCAGCUGCACUUUCCUUUUCCCUGUGGCCUGUUUACUUGGCUUUUGUUUCUGACUCCCUUUGUGUGAUUUCCUGAUUAUUAGUGGAGUAUUCAACUUGCUUCUUGUGCGUGUAGAUCUUUUGUGGUUGCACCUUUCCUCCCCCUCCUCUAGUUGAGCCUCCACUUGCUUGUUCUCCACUUCUACUUCCUUAGAAGAUUGUUCCACCGACUUUUCCAGCACUACAUUGAGCUGGCCUCCACACAAUCUCGUUUCAAACUGUAGUUGCGCCUGCUUUGCUUUGUCAUCUUUGUCAUUUACCUGAUUGACAUCUGCUGUUUGCCCAUGUUCCUCCUCAGCUGCCUGGUUCCUCUCUCUUAACUCCGUCUCACUGAACUUUGGAACCAGCUCACCAUCUUUGAAGCCCCAUCUUUUCUUAUUUGGGGAUAUCUCAUUUGCCUGGACAAUCCCAACUGUUUGACCACAUACCGUACUUGUAUUCCCCUCCUCUGCUGCCUGACCCCUCUCACUCAGCUCCUUAUCACUUGGUUUUGGGACCAAUUCUCCCUCUUUGAAACCCCACCUUUGCUUGUUUGGGGAAAUACUAGCAGCCUGUUUCCCUCUCCUUUCCUUCUGAGGCGACAUAUUCCCAACUCUUGCCCUCAUCCAUGGUCCAAAUUGAUUGUGUUGUUGGCCUUUACCCCCUACUAUACUAGCUGAACAAUUUUUCUCGUUGUGUCCAAUUUUACCACUGGUAUAACAGAAAUCAGGUCCUCUUUCAUAUUUGAAGCUUAACCAUUUCAGUUUUCCUUCCAUUUUCACGGUAGUCCCUCUCAUUAAGGGUUGUGAAAUAUCUGCCAUGACUAACAUUUUUAUGUGCCUCCCUUCCUUCCCUCCACUUUGGGGUAUAAUCACUUCCCUUGUUCCAUGAAAAACUGAUGCUAUCUUCCUCCCCACCUCCUUGGAUAACCAGUGAACAGGAAGAUUCCAAAUUUGAAUCCAUAAUGGUGCCAUGUUAAAAUCCGCUCCCUCCUCUUCAAAACCUUCAAACCAUGGUUUAACCACUAUAAUCUGGUUAUCAACAAUCCAUGGCCCUCCCUUGCAAAUCCUUUCUCUAUCUUUCUCGCUGGGUAUGAAAAAUUGAAAUGUGUUAACACCAACCUCCACCACCCUUAAUCCUUUAGGAUAACCCCAUGCUACUGUCACAAAGUUUCGCACUCCCACAUAAUUGAUGAUUUUCUCACCCAUUAUCUUUCCCACUAGACUUUCUUUACACUCCUUUACACUUGGGCCUACAUCUCCUAAGUCAAUCUCUGUUUCACCCCUCUCUUUGGUGGAAAGAUCAAAUCUUUGCAGAAUUUCAGUUAUUUCCUCAGCCAUAUGUCCUCGACUAUGAUUCAAUAAGGGAAUAUCACAGAAACAAAACCAGUUGAGAGAAUGGGACAGCAACAAAGAUGGACUAACCACAACGUAACACACAAAUAUCAAAGUUUGCCACUGUGAUGUUCCACUGAGGUUAAAGGUUCAGGAUUAUUCUGUCUCAGAAACUAACCCGAAAGACCAAACAUACUGCAUUAGUCUACCAACUAGAAAAACACAACGACCUAUAACCUUGAAACUCCAGAAGAACUGGAAACAGCCCCCACUUUUUUUAAUAAAAAUUUCUUCCUUUUUUUUUAAAGCAUUUUCUAUUUUCAGAAAUUAAAUUUUUUUUUUCCAAAAAACACCAGGAAAAAGAACUCUGAACUUAAAAAGCGAGGAAAGGGCCUAUAACACUAUCCCUCAAGAGUACAUGCAUACCAGAAAGGAUCCUUAAAAAAAGCUUAAAGUUACCUAUCUCAGCUUGGAGAAAAGAAAACCGACAGAGGUAGCAGUGGGGAAUCCGCAAUGUACUACCGCUUUGGCUUCACCAAUCAGAAACUGGGACUAUGAUCUUGUCGGUAUCUCAUUUAUGGUAACCCUCACAAUGUCGGAAGGCUUUUGAACGUUAAAGUGGACGGUCAUUAAUCGGCAAAGGGAUUGUUUCUGGCUUUCAGGUUGUUCCUCUGUUUUAAUACACAAACACCCAAUAAGGGAGAAUGGCACAGUUCCCAAGAGAGAGAAAAAGGGAAAACUCUCAACCGAGAGAAAAUGAGAGAAAAUUUCCCUGGUAAGCAGUGAAAGCGAUCUAAUUAUUUGAUUUUCCUCUUUUUUUAAAAAAACUUUUUUUCCUUUUUGUGUAAAUAAACUAAUUGGUAGUAUAUAUUUUAUCAAAUUUGAAAUUAUAAUUUGUAAAAGAGAAGAACAUGAAAUAGAUGUGUUUGCCGGUUUUGUAUGUCAAGCUUGUUUUGGUGAAGGCAAAAGAAAGUACUACAUAGGGCAAGGGUUAAGAAAAAUGUGAAUAAUAAUAAGAGUAAAUCUUAUAUGCACUGACAAUGUAUACACUAUCACCGUUUGAUUCACGACAUGUGUGCAAAAGUUGAAUUUCAAAAUCAAAUUUUGAAGUGUAUACACUGUCAUUAAUAACAAAAAUGGAGUGUCAUUAAAAUUCUUAAGAAUUUGAAAUUACACUUAAAUUUGGUUAUACAUCCGUUAUAAAUUUAGAAAAGGAACAUUUCCAUGUAUUAAUUUCAAGUAAAAAGUCAGAAUUUUCAUAUAUGAAUAUUAAAAGGGAAAAAGGUCCUAGGGAUUAAGGUUUUGUACGAAUAUUACAAGUUUAGAGGUUAGUCCAGUUGUCUUGUUUGUUAUGGGAUCAAUCAAUGUCGCCUGACCCAUUUCUAAUUUCCAUGUAUAGGUGUCAAGUCCCAUUACUAACUACAAUGGAAUGUAUACUAAGAUUUUAUGGUUAUAAUUUCAAGGUCAAGUUGUCACGGGAGAACUUAGCAAAUUUGGCCAUGGGCAGCAUAAACAAAAUUUGCUUCUGGAUGGGGGAAAGACGUAUUCUACUUUUCAAGCUCCAUGCUGCAUUGCUUUCUUAUUUAUCAGUGUAAUUAGUAUAGGACAAUUCGUUAUUGAAUUUAUUAGACCCUCUUUGUUAUAGUUCUUGUAGUGAGUUCAGAAAAAAAAAUUUAUGUAAUGACAUAUCAACAUGUUGAAAUCCUUAUUUAACCUAAUGCUUGCUAAUUUAACAAAAUAACGCUAGAUAAAAGGAUUUGUGUCUGGAUAGUAAUUUAUGAUCCUUCUAUUAUAACAAAAUCAUGCACAAUGAAAACAUAUAGAUCUCUCUUGAACAAGAAAAUUUUUCUUGUGCUUUCAAUGUUGUUCAUCACUGAUCAAAAUAAAUGUCAAAAUGAAGAUUUGUGCACAGCGGUCAUUCUAAAGCUUAUUUUUAUUUUUUUUAGGGAUAAUUUCAAAAACCUACCCUGAGGUUUUUGGCAAUUUCACUAAGCUCCCCUGAUAUUUGAAAAAUUAAACAUACCUCCCCUAUCAUUUAAAAUGAUAAUUUUACCCUUAAAUGUUUUAAUGAAAUUCUCUUAUUUGGUAUGCUUAUACUUAGAAAUUACCCAAAAGCACUACUAAAAUUAUGAUAAUCCCAUUACACCAAAAAUUUAUAAACUAUAAAUGAAUUAUAUCAACAUUUUCUUUUCUAUCUUAUAAAUUUAAAUCCAUAAUAAAAUAUCAUAAAAAAUAUCGUAUCAUAGUAAUAAAAUUAUUAUUAUUAUAAUUGUUUAUCAAAUAGUAAAUAUGGACAUGAAAAAUUUGGUACAUUUUUCUUAUAAUUAUACUAAAUAAUCUUCUAAUUGUGUAGGGAAAUAAAUUAAAACUCAUUCCAUAAGAGCAUUUUUGGGUAUUCAUUUAAAAAAUUAUCCAAAUCAAUAUUAUUUUAAAAUUUUGUUAUUAAAACUAUCAAAUCAAGGGAUGUAAGUUGUGACAGCCCCACUUUCCCCUAAGGCGAACCAAAGGGGUUAGCGGACUGCCUGCCCAACUCUCGCCAGGACUAACGGUGCAGUUUAGAGCGAUCUAUUGCGUUUCUGAACUUAUAAUGCACGCAAACAAGUCAAACUGGCAAAAUAACCCAAAAUAAAAAAAAAUGAAAUCCGGAGUCGGCCAUGAAUAGUAACCGACCCGUCAGAACCCAACCAAAAAUCAAGCAAACCUUCACAUCUUGAAAUUUAGCAUUUACAAGCCAAAAUGACAUAUGAAAAUUACUCAAAAUUAAUACAUGUACGGUUGCCAAAAUAAAAGUGAAAACGGCCCCAAUGGCACAUUUAGGAUUUCAAUUCAUAAACUAUACAAAAGGGAUAUUCAUCUAGUUCAUUCGGCAACCAAUUAUCAAAAGUCAUUCCAAAAGCAGUCAGAUUCCUGUAAGGAAAACAAAAGGAACGGGGUGAGCUAAUUGCCCAGUGAGAAUACUAUCACUCAAGCCACCAAGUACAUAUAAGCAUCAAGCUUUUCAUUCAAUAUAUUAAAAGUAAACAAAGGCACACAUCACAUGUGGUGAUAAAAGGAUACGAGUGGCUCUCAAGAGCCCUUUUCCCUCGUUUGCAUUUCUUGAUCGAAUUUCAUUGACUCUCCGUCAAUUCAAAAGUAACCAACCGUAGACUCCACUUUACUUCCAUUCCUUCCACCCAACAUACCCCUACCGGGCCCGAACUCCAAACACUUGCACUUUGGUAUUACUCGAGUAAACCGGAAUCGAGAGUCUCUCAUACUACAAGAUUCCAUAUAACAUUUUCCCAAGGCACAUCAAUUGGCACGACCAAGCCCUCGCCGGCUCGAUUCAAUCAACUACCAAUGGGGUUGAGCUCAAAGAUAACAAUUGUAGUCGUUGGAUACUCGUCCAAACGACACCAAACCAUGUACUUUCAUUUCAUGAAACAUGUCGUAUAACAUUCCAAUAACAUGGUAAACAAUAAGUGAGAGUGAUAAAGUACGCUCUCACUUCAAUCAAUUCACAUUCAAUUCACUUCAAGCAAUUCACAUUCAAAGCCAUAUAGUAACACACAAGUGAGUAGUACACUCACCAAGCUUGCAAAUGAGGUUUCAUGCACUUCCGUCAAAAGAACGCCGUGCACCAACGUCACGCCCUAAAACAUGCAAACAAGGACAAUGAGACUCGAUAACGAGUCAUAAACCAAUGUCAAAUACGACCCCAAUAGGGUUCCAUAAGCAUAUACAAACAUUAGAGAAAACCAGAAAAUCCGGAAAUGGAUUUAGCUUUGCCCUGAAAAAAAUAGUUUUUGACCUCUUUUUGCGGUAAUGGCACCCAAGGCACUACGAUUAUCGGAUGAAGGUGUAAGAUACACCGUUUCGAAGCUAAAAGGCAGGGCUACAACAUUGCAGAAGGUCACUCAACCCAGUUUCAAGUGUAACCAGGUCAAAAAUGCAAGAUACUACACCAGAAUCACAAAAACAGAUUCACAGAACGCAUUCUAGCGGAAACAUCAUAAAUCAGGCUAUCCAAGUCCAAAUCCAGAAAUUAUAAAACCAGCUGAAAGCUAAGAAAAAGGGCUACAUUUCAUUAGAAGGCCUCAACAACCAAUUCCGAAGAAAUUCCAACCAAAACAAUCAAUUACAGGCGCAAUUUUUACAUUCGGAUAAAACCAGGACAGCAAGGGUAAUUUCGACGUUUCUCAUCCUACACUACUCCGAUUGACCUAAAAUUUUGUAGGCGCCUCUAAAAUAUCAUUCCCUACAACUUUCAUGUUUUAAGCCAAGGCCAAUUUAGCCUCUAACUAGGAGCUACAAAACCGGGCAGAAUGUUCCCAAGAAAACCCUAACUUUCUACAAUGCCUUCCAAACCAGAAAUUGGUUGCAAUUAUCCACUUUUUCCACCUUCUAGAGUCAUUAUACAUCAUUUCCAAUCAUCAUAGAUAGCCACACAAUCAUGUUCAUAUUAAAACAGAAAAUCACCAAUAAAUAAAAAACUUCCCUAAUUCAACCACAAAUCAAGAUGUAAUCCAUAAAGUUUCAUCACAUACCACCACUAAUCAUAAAUUAGGCAUCAUUAGUGGAAGGAAAGUGGUUCUUCACAACUCACCUUAGAAACAAGCGAGAGAGAGCAAUAGAUCCUCUUAGCUUUCCAAAUAACUCCACAAAUCAACUCACUAACACUUCUUUAAGUGUUUCUAUGGAGCAAAAACAAAAUCUAAUGGUUGAUUUAGAAGAUUGAAGCAACUUGGAGAGUUUUCUUUCUUUCUUUCUUGAGAGUAAGAGCCGGCCACUAGAGAAGAGAAAAUGGUGAAAUUUUGGUUAAUUUUGUGAUUUAUUUGGUCAAAUAGAAAAAGGUGAAUAGUGGUCUUAUGUAAGAACCAAUCCUAUGGUGACACUUGUCACCUCAUUUAAUGCUUGCCUAACUUUUGUCUCCCUCAUACCAAUCCACUUAGCAUCUUCUACUUAUCUCUUAACACCCGAUAAAUUAAUUACAGUAUCCAAAACUUAACGUAGUUGGCCGAAUUUUUUUGAACUUUUCGCACUAGUGGGUCCCACGUCCGGUAUACGCUCUUAAUUUCUCAAAACCUAUUCGAUACUAGAAAAAUCAUCUAAAAACUAUAUCUGCUCCUUAAAAAUAUCUAGAAAUUUUUUCUACUCACGAAAAUGCAGAAAACAAGCCAUGAAAAAUAAUAAAACCUAGAAAAUGGAAAAUUAUGGGUUCUCACACUCUCUCCCCCUUAAAAGAAUUUCGCUCUCGAAAUUUCUCACCUAACUCACGAAAAGUUCAGGGUAUUUCUUUCGCAUCUCCUCUUCCACUUCCCAGGUAGCUUUCUCUACCCCAUGAUUUUUCCACAGUAUCAUUACUAACGAAAUUUGCUUGUUUCUUUAUUCUUUGACUUUUCGGUCAAGCACUUGGACAGGUUUCUCUUCGUAAGCAAGCGAUUCGUCUACGUCAAUCUCUUCUGGUUGUAAGAUAUGGGAGGGGUCGGGAUAGUACAUCUUGAGCAUCGAGACGUGGAAAACGUCGUGAAUUCGAGAGAGACUUGACGGCAGCUCUAGUCUCUAUAUGCUACCGCGCCUAUCCUCUGCAGGAUCUUGUAAGGUCCGACGAACCUCGGUUGCAAUUUCUUUCCUCUACCCGCCGUGACACUCCGUAAUGUUGUAACCUUGAGGAAAACACGGUCUCCAACUUCGAACUCCAAAUCUUUUCUUCGAUUGUCCGCAUAGCUCUUUUGUCGGCUUUGAGCUGUUUGGAGUCGUUGUCGUAUCAAUUUCACCUUUUCUUGAGCUUCCUCCAUCCAAGGAAUAGUGGUUGGAUCCAGUGCCUUCCUUUCGCCAACUUCAUCCCAGUAGAUUGGUGAUCGGCUUUUUCGUCCAUAUAGUGCUUCAUAUGGAGCCAUUUGAAUCGACGAAUGGUAGCUAUUGUUGUAUGCAAACUCUACUAAGGUCAUGUGUUGACCCCAGUUGCCUCCAAAAUUCAGAAUGCAAGUUCGUAGCAUGUCCUCGAGAGUUUGAAUGGUUCGUUCCGAUUGUCCAUCCGUCUGAGGGUGAUAGGUCGUACUCAAGUUGAGUUUCGUCCCCAGGGUUUCUUGGAACUUUUGCCAAAACCGUGAUACGAACGGUGGAUCUCGAUCGGAGACGAUACUGACUGGAACGCCGUGUAGCUUUACAAUCUCGUCCAUGUACAGUUGAGCCAAUUUGUCCAUGGAGUACUUCAUGUUUACUGGCAAGAAAUGGGCUGAUUUGGUUAAUCGAUCGACGAUCACCCAAACGGCAUCGUGCUCUCUUUGCGCUCGCGGCAAACCUGAGACGAAAUCCAUGGUGAUGUUUUCCCACUUCCACUCGGGUAUCUCAAGGGAUUGUAACAAGCCCGAUGGUUUUUUAUGCUCUACUUUAACUUGUUGGCAAACGAGACAUUUUUGCACGUACAGAGCAAUUUCCUUCUUCAUAUUGUCCCACCAAUAGUUUCCUUUCAGGUCUUGAUACAUCUUACUACUACUCGGAUGGAUUGUAUACUUGGAUCGAUGAGCUUUCUCUAGAAUCUCCGUUUUCAACGAUUCAUCCUUCGGCACCACUAUUCGGUUUCGGUAUUUUAAAAUACCCUCAGGACCAAAAUUGAAAUCAGUGGUUUCUCCUUUUCCCACUUUCUCUCCUCAUUUCUGCACCAGUGCAUCUUCCUUUUGAGCUUCUUUAAUCCUUUCCAAGAAGGUGGAAGUCACUUUAAUAUUGCCAAAAAUCACCUUAUGGCUCCCAAGGCAGGGUUUCCACUCGCAAACCGACUAGAGCAAAUUUCACUCUUUAAUCAUUAAUCCUGCUACUUGCGCCUUGCGACUUAAAGCAUCGGCCACUACGUUUGCCUUUCCGGGAUGGUAGUUGAUAGUACAAUCGUAAUUCUCCAGAAAUUUCAUCCAUCGUCGCUGCCUCAUGUUCAAUUCUUUCUGUGAGAAAAGAUACCUCAAACUUUUGUGAUCGGAGUAAACCUCGAAGGUUACCCCAUAUAGGUAGUGUCUCCACUUUUUAAGAGCGAAAACAACGGCAGCUAGCUCCAGAUCAUGCGUCGGGUAAUUUUGCUCGUGAGGUUUCAACUUCCUAGAGUCAAAAGAGAUCACAUUACGGUUCUACAUUGGUACACAACCCAGACCUUCUCGUGACGCAUCGGUAUACACGACAAACCCGUCACCUCCGUUAGGUAAAACUAGAACUGGAGCCAUGGUCAAUCUUUUCUUUAACUCUUGAAAACUUGUCUCACUUCGGGCGUUCCAUAAGAACCGACCAUGUUUCUUCGUCAAAUCGGUUAGAGGACCGGCUAGUUUGAAGAAGUCCUUGAUAAAAUGCCGGUAAUAUCCAACCAGUCCUAGAAAGCUGCGGACCUCUGUGGGGGUUUCUGACCUCUUCCAAUUAGUCACAGCCUCUACUUUCGCCGGGUCAACUGAAAUACCCUCUUGAGAAAUUAUGUGUCCCAAAAAAGCAAUUUUCUCCAGCCAAAAUUCGCACUUGUUGAACUUGACGUACAGUUGAUGGUCUCUUAGGGUUUGUAAAACAACCCUCAAGUGCUGCUCAUGCUCUUCACGCGUCUUGGAAUAGACCAGGAUGUCAUCGAUGAAGACCACUACAAAUCGAUCCAGGUAGGGCUUUAAAACCCUAUGCAUUAGGUCCAUGAAGGCGGCAGGAGCAUUGGUCAGUCCGAAGGGCAUAACUGCGAACUCGUAAUGCCCAUAUCUCGAGUUGAAGGCAGUUUUUGAAAUAUCCUCCCUCCUGAUUAAUAACUGGUAAUACCCUUGUCGGAGGUCCAAUUUUGAAAAGACCACUGCUCCGUGCAGCUGGUCGAACAACUCAUCUAUGUGGGGCAGUGGAUACUUAUUUUUCACUGUAAUAUUAUUCAGGCCCCAAUAAUCGAUACACAUCCUUAACCCACCAUCCUUUUUCUUCACAAAAAGUACAGGAGCUCCCCAAGGAGACCCACUCUCUUGAAUGAAUCCCCGCUCCAGAAGGUCCUGUAAUUGUAACUUUAGCUCCUUGAGCUCAGCAGGAGCCAUUCGGUAUGGUAUUUUUGAGAUAGGUGAGGAUCCUGGUAGCAGGUCUAUUUUGAAUUCAAUUUCUCUUUCCGGAUGUAAGGCUACUAACUCAUCAGGAAACACGUCCGGAAAUUCCUUCACUAUGGCCACAUCCUCUACCUUCACUUUAUCUGCGGGGUUGUUAAUCAAAAAGGCCAAAAAUCCUUGCGCCCCUCUACUUAGAAAUUUCCUAACCCGAAUGCCCGAAAUCAAAGCAGAUGAGGCUAAUCGACCCCUUAUAUCCAACCUUAAGGUCGCCUCACCAGGAAUGCGAAAUUCUACCACUUUUGUUUUACAAUCCAGUUGGGCAUUGUACCUGGCUAGCCAAUCCAUACCCAAUAUUACAUCAUACCCCUUAAUUACCAAGCUUAUCAAGUCCCCUAAUAAUCUCUUCUCUCCUACCCACACUUCACAAUCCCUAUAAAUCAUACUAGUAACCAAACGUUGAUUCCCCGUAGGUGUACUAACUUCUAGGUCGUAUGGUAAACUAGCAGGUUUUAUAUCGAUGUCACACAUGAAAUCAGGGUUAACAAAGGAAUGAGUGGCACCAGGAUCAAUUAAAACUUUGGCAAAACGGUGGAAAAUAGGGAUCGUACCUUCUACGACCUCUGAGGAAUCUGGGACCUGUUGAGGUUCUAAGGAAUAUACUCGAGCUGGCACCUUAGGUUUCGCCUCAUUCCCCUUAUUCGGUCCCGAAUUGGUCUUUGGCGUGGUUUGAGUUCCCCUUCCGUCUUGCUUUAAGAGUGGGCAGGUAGCAAGCUGGUGGUCUGCGCUUCCGCAACGCAGACAUUUGCCUCGUUUCUUCCAGCAAUUUUCUUCGGAGUGAUUCUGCUUUCUGCAGUAACCACAGGGCCCGCGAGACGCCGAACCUGAACCCUUUUGGAAGUUUCCGCCUUGGCCUCUCCCGGCUGGGCCACCCCUAGACUGAGCCCCUCUGCCGGAACCUAACUGUCGUCCACCUCCAGCUCCGCAUCCGAACUUGGAGGGAGUACCUUUAUCCCCUUGUCCAGAGCUGCUUCCAGGAAAGCCCCGCUUCUUCGCCUGGAAGUUCCGGACUUGCAAUCGAGCACUCUCUACCCUUUGAGCCUUUUCUACGACCUCGCUAAAAGCAUUAAUUUGAGCCACUGCGAGGUCCUUCUGGAUUUCGACGUUUAGGCCCUGAAUGAAACGCCUAAUUCGCCGUUGCUCCGUCAUGAUCAGCUCAGGCGCAAAUUUAGACAGGCGGGUGAAUUGACUCUCGUAUUCCGCCACUAAUUGAGCCCCUUGGCGGAGUCGAAUAAAUUCAUCUUCCUUCCUCUCCUGAACUAGAGGAGGGAAGAAUUUCGCGUUGAAUUCCCUAAUAAAAUUCACCCAAGUCCUGGGCGUUUGUUCUCAUUCCCAUUUUUGUCGUAUCACGUUCCACCAGGAACGGGCCGCCCCUUCUAACUGGAAUACGGCAAAAGUCACCUGCCGUUCAUCGGUGUAGUGCAAGGCCGCAAAAAUAUCGACCAUCUUCUCGAGCCACCUCUCGGCAACAUCUGGAUCGGGCCCCCCAAUAAACUUGGGUGGAGCAAACUUUUGAAAACGUUCGAGAGCUCUGUCUUCGCUCUCGACAUGAUUGCCAGGGUUUUCAGGAUUAGGGUUUGGGUUCUGGCCUUGUUGUUGCACCACUUGUGCGAACAGGUUAGUCAUUUGCUGCAUAGCGGCAGCGAUUUGCACAUUGGGGUCAAGGUUAGGUCCAGAAGAGGUUUCCCCAGUACCCCUAUCCGGUGUGGGUUGUCUAUUACCGCGCUCACGCCCCCGUCCACUACGUGUGCCUUCCAUGAACUUUACUUGGUCUAGACAAAGGUACUAAACCAAUAUAAAACAAUGCAUGUAAGUAAAACUCAAAACCUUUCCAAAUAGAUAUAUACAUUCCAAGCAAGGCAAACAGCACACAUAUUAACAAUCAGUCAAGUCAAGUUCAGUCAAGUCGAGUACAAACAUGGACAAUCCCCAAGGGAAUGGCCUCAACAAAAGAAAUAUACACGUAGCUAAUCUAAACGUACAAAACGAUUAGCGAAGGCCCUUCUCCCUAUCCAUCCUAUAUACAAAACCAACUAUCCAAAACAAACCCUAGAAGUCCUGUCUUAGACCGACGACGAGCUAUUAGACCCACCCGACGGAGUGGAUCCAACCCCAGCCUCAGGCCCCGCACAUGAGUCCUCGCCACUCACGCCCUCGACCACAUCCGUGCAAAGAUUCAAGAUCGAUGCAGCUCGAACCUUCACCUUGCGAGCUCGUUUAGUCUCGCGCUCUUGGACUUCCCUAAGCUGAGCGCAGAGGUCAUCAACCCUAUCCUCUGCCUCAAGUACGUCGUCCUUCAAACCCUCAAUGCGCUCGGCCUGUCUCUCAUUGGCCGCCCUAAGUUGGGUCACCUCGGCCUCAAGUCUCGCAUUCUCUCCGGCCAACUCCUUACGCUCCUCGGCCACGGCAAACACUAGAGCGUUAGGGUAAGUAUACUUAUGUCGACACUCACAACGUCGGAGACGGUUAGACGGGUUCCAACGCAUAACGGCCCCUCCUGGCCGUAUCUGGUAUGGUAUCACGAGGAGCGCUCCACGAGGUCUCUCGCCCGGAGGACUAUCAUUAGGUUCACCCUGUCCGGCCAUCCUACACCAAAAGAGCAAUUAACCAUAAAUAAGCUUAAAGGCCAUAAAUAAAGAACCCUCGAAUCAAGCAUUUCUAUUACUCCCAGGCUAAUUCAAACCUAGGCUCUGAUACCACCUGUGACAGCCCCACUUUCCCCUAAGGCGAACCAAAGGGGUUAGCAGACUACCUGCCCAACUCUCGCCAGGACUAACGGUGCAGUUUAGAGCGAUCUAUUGCGUUUCGGAACUUAUAACGCGCGCAAACAAGUCAAACUGGCAAAAUAACCCAAAAUAAAAAAAAAUGAAAUCCGGAGUCGGCCAUGAAUAGUAACCGACCCUUCAGAACCCAACCAAAAAUCAAGCAAACCUUCACAUCUUGAAAUUUAGCAUUUACAAGCCAAAAUGACAUAUGAAAAUUACUCAAAAUUAAUACAUGUACGGUUGCCAAAAUAAAAGUGAAAACGGCCCCAAUGGCACAUUUAGGAUUUCAAUUCAUAAACUAUACAAAAGGGAUAUUCAUCUAGUUCAUUCGGCAACCAAUUAUCAAAAGUCAUUCCAAAAGCAGUCAGAUUCCUGUAAGGAAAACAAAAGGAACGGGGUGAGCUAAUUGCCCAGUAAGAAUACUAUCACUCAAGCCACCAAGUACAUAUAAGCAUCAAGCUUUUCAUUCAAUACAUAAAAAGCAAGCAAAGGCACACAUCACAUGUGGUGAUUAAAGGAUACGGGUGGCUCUCAAGAGCCCUUUUCCCUCGUUUGCAUUUCUUGAUCGAACUUCAUUGACUCUCCGUCAAUUCAAAAGUAACCAACCGUAGACUCCACUUUACUUCCAUUCCUUCCACCCAACAUACCCCUACCGGGCCCGAACUCCAAACACUUGCACUUUGGUAUUACUCGAGUAAACCGGAAUCGAGAGUCUCUCAUACUACAAGAUUCCAUAUAACAUUUCCCCAAGGCACAUCAAUUGGCACGACCAAACCCUCGCCGGCUCGAUUCAAUCAACUACCAAUGGGGUUGAGCUCAAAGAUAACAAUUGUUGUCGUUGGAUACUCGUCCAAACGACAGCAAGCCAUGUACUUUCAUUUCAUGAAACAUGUUGUAUAACAUUCCAAUAACAUGGUAAACAAUAAGUGAGAGUGAUAAAGUACGCUCUCACUUCAAUCAAUUCACAUUCAAUUCACUUCAAGCAAUUCACAUUCAAAGCCAUAUAGUAACACACAAGUGAGUAGUACACUCACCAAGCUUGCAAAUGAGGUUUCAUGCACUUCCGUCAAAAGAACGUCGUGCACCAACGUCACGCCCUAAAACAUGCAAACAAGGACAAUGAGACUCGAUAACGAGUCAUAAAUCAAUGCCAAAUACGACCCCAAUAAGGUUUCAUAAGCAUAUACAAGCAUUAGAGAAAACCAGAAAAUCCGGAAAUGGAUUUAGCUUUGCCCUGAAAAAAAUAGUUUUUGACCUCUUUUUGCGGUAAUGGCACCCAAGGCACUACGAUUACUGGACGAAGGUGUAAGAUACACCGUUUCGAAGCUAAAAGGCAGGGCUACAACAUUGCAGAAGGUCACUCAACCCAGUUUCAAGUGUAACCAGGUCAAAAAUGCAAGAUACUACACCAGAAUCACAAAAACAGAUUCACAGAACGCAUUCUAGCGAAAAUAUCAUAAAUCAGGCUAUCCAAGUCCAAAUCCAGAAAUUCCAAAACCAUCUGAAAGCUAAGAAACAGGGCUACAUUUCAUCAGAAGGUCUCAACAACCAAUUCUGAAGCAAUUCCAACCAAAACAAUCAAUUACAGGCGCAAUUCUUACAUUCGGAUAAAACCAGGACAGCAAGGGUAAUUUCGACUUUUCUCAUCCUACACUACUCCGAUUGACCUGAAAUUUUGCAGGCACCUCUAAAAUAUCAUUCCCUACAACUUUCAUGUUUUAAGCCAAGGCCAAUUUAGCCUCUAACUAGGAGCUACAAAACCGGGCAGAAUGUUCCCAAGAAAACCCUAACUUUCUACAAUUCCUUCCAAACCAAAAAUUGGUUGCAAUUAUCCACUUUUUCCACCUUCUAGAGUCAUUAUACAUCAUUUCCAAUCAUCAUAGAUAGCCACACAAUCAUGUUCAUAUUAAAACAGAAAAUCACCAAUAAAUAAAAAACUUCGCUAAUUCAACCACAAAUCAAGAUGUAAUCCAUAAAAUUUCAUCACAUACCACCACUAAUCAUAAAUUAGGCAUCAUUAGAGGAAGGAAAGUGGUUCUUCACAACUCACCUUAGAAACAAGAGAGAGAGAACAAUAGGUCCUCUUAGCUUUCCAAAUAACUCCACAAAUCAAUUCACUAACACUUCUUUAAGUGUUUCUAUGGAACAAAAACAAAAUCUAAUGGUUGAUUUAGAAGAUUAGAGCAAAGAUUGAAGCAACUUGGAGAGUUUUCUUUCUUUCUUUCUUGAGAGUAAGAGCCGGCCACUAGAGAAGAGAAAAUGGUGAAAUUUUGGUUAAUUUUGUGAUUUAUUUGGUCAAAUAGAAAAAGGUGAAUAGUGGUCUUACGUAAGAACCAAUCCUAUGGUGACACUUGUCACCUCAUUUAAUGCUUGCCUAACUUUUGUCUCCCUCAUACCAAUCCACUUAGCAUCCUCUACUUAUCUCUUAACACCCGGUAAAUUAAUUACAGUAUCCAAAACUUAAUCUAGUUGGCCAAAUUUUUCCGAACUUUUCGCACUAGUGGGUCCCACGUCCGGUAUACGCUCUUAAUUUCUCAAAACCUAUUCGAUACUAGAAAAAUCAUCUAAAAACUAUAUCUGCUCCUUAAAAAUAUCUAGAAAUUUUUCCUACUCACGAAAAUGCAGAAAACAAGCCAUGAAAAAUAAUAAAACCUAGAAAAUGGAAAAUUACGGGUUCUCACAUAAGUAUAAUUUUUCAAAUCUUAUGAGAGCUCAGUAAAAUUACCAAAAACCUCAGGGGAGGUUUCUCAAAUUAUCCCUUUUUUUUAACAUUGGAAACUUUAUUACUUCUAUUUGCUCCUACCAUUUAUGCAAUUACUUCGAUACAUAUAAGGCUAUGCUGCAGGUUUAAAUAAUUUAUGCCUAGUUGGGCAUGCUGCAGUUUAUUCCUCGUAGUUCUCUCUCACACGAGCAAAGCCAAUCCCAAAAAACAAGAACUACAAACAGCCCAAUUCAAGGCUAGGUUUAUUCAUUCUUAAACAAGACUAGUUUAUUCUUAAUCAAAACAGUCUUAAAACAAGACUGGGUUUAUUCCUCCUAAGUUCUCUCUGCACACGAGGAAAGCCAAUCCCAAAAAAACAAGAACUACAAACAGCCCAAUUCAAGAGAGUCUUGAAACCAAGACUGUCUUAAACAUGAUGGCAAAGACACACGAGCAAAGCAAACAGAAUUCCCAAAAUCAAGACAAUCAGCGUAUUGUCGUGUUUAGAAGCCACCACGUGAAUGUUAGCCUCCUAAGCACCGCGAGUAGAGAACACCAAGUGAAGAGUCGACUUGUGAGGAAUUUCAUAGUCUUCAAGAGUGCGACCAUCCUCAAGAUGCGUACCAGCAAAAACCAACCUUUGCUCGUUCGGUGGGAUUCCUUCCCUAGACAGAACUUUUGCCUUCACGUUCUCGAUGGUAUCAGAACUCUCCACCUCCAGAGUUAAGGUGUUCCCUCUCAAAGUUUCCACAGAUAUUUCCAUUCUUCCCCUCCACCUCAUCACCAAGUGAAGGGUUGACUCCUCCUGGAUGUAAUAAUCUGCAAGAGUCCGGCCAUCCUCAAGCUGUUUACCAGCAAAAAUCAGCCUCUGGUCAGCCAGUGGGAUCCCUUUCUUAUCUUGAAUUUUUGCCUUGACAUUGUCGAUGGUAUCAGAACUCUCCACCUCCAGAGCUAUGGGCUUUCCAGUAGGAGUUUUCACGAAAAUUUGCAUUCCAUCACCAAGCCUGAGCACCAGAUGACGGCUGGACUCCUUUUGAACAUCGUAAUCGGCAAUGGUCAGCCCAUCUUCCAGCCGUUUGCCAGCCAAAAACAGCCUCUGCUGGUCUGGGGGAAUACCUUCCUUGUCUUGAAUCUUAGCCUUGACAUUGUCAAUAGUGUCAGAGCUUUCAACCUCAAGGCUGAUUGGCUUACCAGUGUCAAAGCUCUCAACCUCGACUGUCAGACCUUUCACGAAGAUCGGCAUCUGUUAGGGGGAAAAACCAAAACAAAAAAAAAAAAAAACCCAAAUCCGGUCAGAUCUAAUCAAAUUCCAAUCCCUCAACCCAAAAUUGCCAGCACAAAUACCAAAAGAUAAAUAAUCGGAAUUGCUAGCCAAACAAAAAACUGUAAUCCCUCAACCCCAAUCAAUGUUAACCAUUAGAUAAUGCUAAGCUGUGAUCAUAUACCCGCCAAUUGGAUGUAUAAUAGUCAGGCAGUCACAUGUAGCAGCAGCUAAUUGAUUGUAAUAGUUAGUUAGUUAUGAUAGUAGUUAAUUACUAAGCAUCGCUGAGGUGGUCAAAAUUGCGGUUACUUCUUAAUUAAUAAUUGAUAGAAUAAGUAACAGCAAGGGAGGGCAAUUAAGAAAGCUAGUGAACUUAUCUCCCCUUUAUUAUUGUAACCUUUCCUGUAACUCUCCUUGAUUAUCAAUAUAGUACCAUUCCUCCUUCAUAUUCCUCAACGGACAUUCUCCAUUAACUGGAAUCGGGAAUUGGGAUCCUCACUACCUUUGCAUCACAAAAUAAUAUAGAUUGUCAAAGAAGGAAGGAUUACCUUUUGAUGGCAGAAUUUGAGAGAAGAUUGAUGAAGAAGAAGAUGGGUAGAUUAACGAGUGAGAGAUGAAGGUGAGAGACGCCCAUAUAUAGAGAAAAACAGAAGACUUCUACUUCCACAUUAAGCAAGUGGUUGCGUUUGGGGAGGGAGGCUACCGCGAACAAUUUUUCUAGAACGUGGCAGAAUUUUCAGAGAGGAUUGAUGAAGAAGAAGUAUACAAAUCAAAAGCGGCUACAAUAUUUUCUUUCUGACAUUCCGUCGUUGACCUCAUAGUGUAUGUGUUAAAGCUCGGAUACCUUUAUUUAUGGUAGGAACGCAUUGACCGUUCCUACACAUCAUGGUCUAGCCAUGGUUGAAUUGUUUGUGGUCCAAAACCAUUUGGACUAAGAAGCACAGACCACGCGCUUGGCAAGGAGUACUCGCCAGGCCUGAGAAAAAUUCUACACCACAGCAACUGUACGUGCAAUUCUUCAUUUGAAUUUAAUUAACUUUUGUCUUCAUUUCUCCCAUUUUGGUAUUCGACGGAAAAUGUGCGCAUAGAAGGUACCGAAAUUUUAACAAAUAAUAAAUAUAAAUCUCAUACGUGAGGGGAUAAUAAUUUCGAAGAAGGAAAAGUGGAGGCAAACAUAGUAGUUCCGCGGCAAUACGAAACACAAAAGGAUUCAAGCCUUCAUUAUAUUUAUAUACAUAUAUAAAUUUAGUACCCAAGUGUUCAGUUUUAGCAUCCGGGAAAAUGGUAUAGUAACUAUCGUUAUACUAGUAUAUUAAAAAGAGGCUAAAGAGAUACUGUAGUCAGCACUGUUGAUUGUCAGAGUGUUAAUUUCGUCCCCUUUUCAUUACGCAAAACCAACACGCAAUGCAGUGGUAUGCGCAAUGAAGCAAUCCGAUGGUAUGUGCAAUGGAAACUACUCCGGGGUUGCUUGUGCGGUGGGUGGAAAGUGGGAUGAACUUCCUACCGAUGAAGAACACAAAUGAAGCAUUUCCAUUCAUGUACACCUUCAACGAUCACAGCCCUUAAAUCAGUUGUUUUGAACUUUUAGCAAAACAACAAUGGAAGCUUGGGGGUUGCUUCUAAGGUGGAGAGUGAGAUGAACUUCCCACCGCAGCCAGAAAGCCUAUUAGAAGUACGGUUGCUUCUUCGAUGGAAAGUGGCAUGAACUUCCACUUUUUUUUCCAAAAAAAAAAUCACAAUUGUGUCGAACUUUCUAUUUUUGGAAUGAAAUAUUUAGGGAAUCUCCAUGAAUAGGAUCAACCCCUAUUCCAUGGUAUUUUUAUGAGGUUCCUUUUUAAAUUAAGAAAAUCCCUGAUAGGGUUUGUUUGAUCCAUGAUUUAUGUUUCAUCUUUCGAUUGGAGAUUAGGAACAGACGGACUUUCUAUGGGACCUAUUUUACUGACGGGAUUCAUCACCACUUUAAUGACUUUAGCAGCUUGGCCGGUUACAAGAUUCUCAAUGAUUUAAUUUCCUGAUGUUAGCGAUGUACAGUGCUCAAAUAGGAUUAUUUUCCUCUUGGGACCUUUUACUUUUUUUCAUUAUGUGGGAGUUAGAAUUAAUUCCUAUUUAUCUACUUCUAUCGAUGUGGGAUGGAAAGUGGGAUGAACUUCCCUUAUUUUUUUUCGGAUAUGAUAGACCUACUCUUACUCUAUACUAGAGGAAGAAGGGACUGAAGAGACCCAAGAAAAAUUCAGAAGGAAAUGAACCACCACUCCUUGACCUAACUCUCAAGUAGAGUUUUAGAACUCUUUUAAUGGCCAACUAUUCUAGAAGUUCUAUUAGAAGGUAUAUUAGGUAGAAGGUCUAUUAGAAGUACAACUCAGCAUGAGCAUUUUUGUCCAUAUUUUUGCGGCGCAAUUGAGAGAAGGUAACUGGCAAAGGCUGUUAUCAUCUUAAGGAGCUGAUAGCAAAUACCAAUAUAAAUUGGAUUGGGUCGUUAAAUGAAUAAAGAAUGUCCCAAACAGGGCAAUGGGUAAAAGUCAUUACUAAUUUGAAGCCAGAAUUUUUAGGUUGGGAAAAAAACUUGUAAGUAAAAAAUAAACUUGUUAUUCGAUGAGUGUCAUUUAUAGAAUUAUAUAGUUGUAGCGUAUUUCCUUUUUGUUUCUAGUUUUUUCUUGAUUAUCUAGUCUUAAAUUAAGUUUCUUUAUCAACAAGGUCAUCCUUAAUGAUGAUUUUGUUGAAACAAUGAUAGCAAUAAAUUAUAUUAAACAGAAUGAGGAAGUUUUGUAUUAAAUAAGAAUUAAUCUUUGCACUCUAGUUUCGAGGGCAUUAGACAAGAUGACAAAAGCAAGUUUUUCCAUUAGUCGGCUUGUUUUUUCUUGGAUUUCCAUUGAUGAUGAUGAUGGCAUUCCAUCAUCAUCUCUUUUAAGCUAACUUGAUUGUUGUGUUGCACUUGCACUGAUCUUUGCCAUAGGCAUCAAGGAGAAUGAUGUUAGAGGAGAAUUUGUCACUACUAUGUGUUUGAAGGAAGAAAACUGGAGGUGGGAUUUUGUGAGAAUUAAGAAAAGUUGGAACCGGUUAGAGUAAGUUUAGUUUGAGCAAGAAAAAGGUUGGGUUUGCUGCUAUUGUUGUUGCCACCUUAGGAUGAAAUUGAAGUUAGUUGUUCUUAUAGUUUUGAGGGGUUUUAGGCAAAAAAAACAAGGGAAGAGACUGAUGAACGAAGAGUUUCAACUAUGAAGCUGUACAACACUUGACCAUAGUGGAAUAGAUGUGCUCUAUUGAACUGUUUGGCUUGGAUUAGAUUGGACCGUACUCUUACUGGAUCUAAUCGAGAUUGAUCCUUUGUUUCAAAAAGAAAAAGAAACUAAAUCAGUGUGAUGCUUGAUUAGAUAUUCGACUCAAUCAGCAACUUGAUUCUUCAUGUUUCAAAGAAGCAAAGACAGGCUUACAAGAGUCGUCCGAUUACAUACUGUAUGUACAUCAUUGUACUCCCUUGUAAGCAGUGAAAGCGACCUGAUUAUUUGAUUUUCCUCUUUUUUUAAAAUUUUUUUCCCCUUUUUGUGUAAAUAAACUAAUUGGUAGUAUAUAUUUUAUCAAAUUUGAAAUUAUAAUUUGUAAAAGAGAAGAACAUGAAAUAGAUGUGUUUGCCGGUUUUGUAUGUCAAGCUUGUUUUGGUGAAGGCGAAAGAAAGUACUACAUAGGGCAAGGGUUAGGAAAAAUGCGAAUAAUAAUAAUAACAACAAAGGAGUGUCAUUAAAAUUCUUAAGAAUUUGAAAUUACACUUAAAUUUGGCUAUAUAUCCGUUAUAAAUUUAGAAAAGGAACAUUUCCAUGUAUUAAUUUCAAGUAAAAAGUCACAAUUUUCAUGUAUGAAUAUUAUGAGGGAAAAAGGUCCUAGGGAUUAAGGUUUUGUAUGAAUAUUACGAGUUUUGAGGUUAGUCCAGUUUAUCUUGUUUGUUAUGGGAUCAAUCAAUGUCGCCUGACCCAAUUCUAAUUUCCAUGUAUAGGUGUCAAGUCCCAUUACUAACUUCAAUGGAAUGUAUACUAAGAUUUUAUGGUUAUAAUUUCAAGGUCAAGUUGUCACGGGAGAACUUAGCAAAUUUGGCCAUGGGCAGCAUAAACAAAAUUUGCUUCUGGAUGGGGGAAAGAUGUAUUUUACUUUUCAAGCUCCAUGCUGCAAUGCUUUCUUAUUUAUCAGUUCAAUUAGUAUAGGACAAUUCGUUAUUGAAUUUAUUAGAUCCUCUUUGCUAUAGUUCUUGUAGUGAGUUCAGAAAAAAAUUUUAUGUAAUGACAUAUGAACAUGUUGAAAUCCUUAUUUAACCUAAUGCUUGCUAAUUUAACAAAAUAACGCUAGAUAAAAGGAUUUGUGUUUGGAUAGUUAUUUACAAUCCUUCUAUUAUAACAAAAUCAUGCACAAUGAAAACAUAUAUAUCUCUCUUGAACAAGAAAAUUUUUCUUGUGCUCUCAAUAUGGUUCAUCACUGUUCAAAAUAAAUGUCAAAAUGAAGAUUUGUACAUAGCUGUCAUUCUAAAGCUUAUUUUAAUUUUUUUAGGGAUAAUUUCAAAAACCUCCCCUAAGGUUUCUGACAAUUCCAUUGAACUCUCUUGAGAUUUGAAAAAUUAUAUAUACCUCAUCUGUCAUUUAAAAUGAUAAUUUUACCCUUAAAUAUUUUAAUGAAAUUCUCUUAUCCGGUAUGCUUAUACUUAGAAAUGACCCAAAAGCACUACUAAAAUUAUGAUAAUCCCAUUACUCCAAAAAUUUAUAAACUCUAAAUGAAUUAUUUCAACAUUUUCUUUUCUAUCUUAUAAAUUUGAAUCCAUAAUAAAAUACCAUAAAAAAUCUCGUAUCAUAGUAAUAAAAUUAUUAUUAUUAUAGUUGUUUAUCAAAUAGCAGAUAUGGACAUGAAAAUUUUGGUACAUUUUUCUUAUAAUUAUACUAAAUAAUCUUAUAAUUGUAUCGGGAAAUAAAUUAAAACUCAUUCCAAAAGAGCAUUUUUGGGUAUUCAUUUAAAAAAUUAUCGAAAUCAAUAUUAUUUUAAGGUUUUGUUACUAAAACUAUCAAAACAAGGGAGGUAAGUGUAAUUUUUCAAACCUUAGGAAAGCUCAGUGAAAUUAUCAAAAACCUCAGGGGAGGUUUCUCAAAUUAUCCCUUUUUGUUAACAUUACAAACUUUAUUACUUCUAUUUGCUCUCCUACCAUUUAUGCAAUUACUUCGAUACAUAUAAAGCCAUGCUGCAGGUUUGAAUAAUUUAUGCCUAGUUGGGCAUGCUGCAGUUUAUUCCUCGUAGUUCUCUCACACACGAGCAAAGCCAAUCCCAAAAAACAAGAACUACAAACAGCCCAAUCAAGGCUAGGUUUAUUCUUAAACAAGACUAGUUUAUUCUUAAUCAAAACAGUCUUAAAACAAGACUGGGUUUAUUCCUCAUAAGUUCUCUCGGUACACGAGGAAAGCCAAUCCCAAAAAAACAAGAACUACAAACAGCCCAAUUCAAGAGUGUCUUGAAACCAAGAUUGUCUUCAACAUGAUAGCAAAGACACACGAGCAAAGCAAACAGAAUUCCUAAAAUCAAGACAAUCAGCGUAUUGUCGUUUAGAAGCCACCACGUGAAAGUUAGCCUCCUAAGCACCGCGAGUAGAGAACACCCAGUCAAGAGUGGACUCGUGAAGAAUGUUAUAGUAUGCAAGAGUGCGACCAUCCUCAAGCGGCCCACCAGCAAAAACCAAGCUUUGCUCUUCCGGUGUGAUUCCCUCCAUAGACAGAACUUUUGCCUUCACGUUCUGGAUGGUAUCAGAACUCUCCACCUCCAGAGUUAAGGUCUUUCCAGUAGCAGUUUUCACGAAAAUUUUCAUUCCGCCACCAACCUUGAGCACCAAAUCAGGGAUAGACUUCUUUUGAAUAUUGUAAUCGGCAAGGGUCCGCCCAUCUUCAAGCUGUUUGCGAGCUAAAAACGGCCUCUGCUUGUCUGCGGAAAAACCCUGCUUGGCGUGAAUCUUAGCCUUGACAGUGUCAACAGUGUCAAAGCUUUCAACCUCAAGGGUAAUUGGCUUACCAAUGUCAAAGCUCUCAACCUCGACUGUCAGACCUUUCACGAAGAUCGGCAUCUGUUAGGGGGAAAAAAACCAAAAAAAAAAAAGCCAAAUCCGAUCAGAUCUAAUCAAAUUCCAAUCCCUCAACCCAAAAUUGCCAGCACAAACACCAAAAGAUAAAUAAUCGGAAUUGCUAGCCAAACAAAAAACUGUAAUCCCUCAACCCUAAAUUCGGCACCUAAUUCCUUAAUUUAGGGGUGGAAUCCAUAAAUUACAGAGAAAAAAAAACCUAAAUCAAAAUCUAUUCCUUCUUCUUCUUCUUUUUUUUAAAUCAAAGUCCCUUGCAUUCCCUCCAAAAUAAUUGCCAAUAUUCAUUUAUCCAUAACUCUAGAAAAUAGGGCGAGAUGGCAUAUGGCAAAAUAACAUAGCAGAAUAGAAAAGUGGGCAAAGAAGAAAAAUGGUGAAAAUAUGCUGUCACCUUACAGAAAUUAUAAUGAGGAGAAGGAAGAAAUAGUGGUAGUCUUGGAAGUGUGAAAUCUAAAAAAGCUUAGGGAAGAUGAAUCCGAAUUGUAAAGUGGGAGAUAGGGGCAUCCGGGGCAAAGACUGAGCUGAGACAUACCCAAGUAAUAAUAUUGCAAGCUUAUCACAUAAUUUGCAUAUUUUAACAAUGGUGUGGAACAAUUUUACUUGUACUUGUUUUAGGCACACGAUUGAAAUGCUAUAAAAAAAAUAAAAUAGAAAGUUUGUUCUGAAAAUCUGUAUGAAUGGUUUGAGUUAGAUAUGUUGGAGGAAAGUGGAAGAAAAUUUUGCACAACAAGUGUUCAUGAGAAAGUAAAUGAUAGCUGUCCAACCAAUUAUUGGAAGGAAUUGCUGGUAGAAGAUAAUCAGGAGCCAUGAGUUUCCAGAAUAAAAAGAACGGUGUAUUCAUUAUACGAACUAUAUGAGAAACUUUCCACAAUAAGUGAGGAGGUUUAGGCAAGUAAAAGAACAGAAAAUUUUAAAAGGUUCUAUUUUUUUGGGUAAACAAUCAAACCUUAUGGUGUACAUACUAUUACCAGGUAUUUAUGGGUGAUCACUUUCAGAUAAACUGAGACACAUAGCAAGAGAAAAGGUAAGCAAAGUGGCUCAUGAAAAGUAGAUAUAGGUAAAGAUGUUUAGAUAAGUAUGCCCUAGUAUCAUGUUGGAUAGCAAAUAUUUUUUAAAUGAACUAAUGAUGGUGGAGAAACAGUGGGAUGCUAGCAAAUUCGAUCAGAUCUAAUCAAAUUCAAAUCUUUAAACCCAAAAUUGCUAGCAAAAAUACCAAAAAUAAAUAAUGGGAAUUGCUAGCACGAAAAAAAAAACUGUAACCCCCGAACCCUAAAUUCGGCACCUAAUUCCUUAAUUUAGGGGUGGAAUCCAUAAAUUACAGAAACAAAGAAACCUAAAUCAAAAUCUUUUCCUUCUUUCUUCUUUUUUUUUAUUCCAGCCUAAAUUGGAUUAAUUAUAUUAAAAAUAAAAAAAUGGAAAGUCUUCUCGUUCAACCAAAUAAUCCCAAUAGAUCCGUCAACUACCGGAAAAUUUAAAAAAAAUAUACUAAAAUCAAUCAAAGCAUCAAGCAGCAAACAAUCAUAAACAAACUGUGAAAAGAAGCAAACUGAUGCAGUUGCAAGGAAAUGACUGGAUUAACAAACUCAAAAAAUCAAAAUACAUAAAAAAUGAAACUGUUACAUAUUGCUUUUUAUGAAACUGUUACAUAAAGAUUUUUUAUAAAUUUUCUGCUGCAUUUUUUAAUUUUCUAUUAUAUAUUUUUUUUUGAAACUGUUGUAUUUAUUUUUUACUAAAUUAAUAGUUAUUGGAUCUUAAGGAAACAAAAAAGAACUAAAAUAUGAUAUUUAUGAAGGAAAAAUAGCAAUAUAAUAAAAAGUGGGACAGAGAGUGACACAGGAUAUGGGACAGAAGAUCUGUUGCGGAGAUAUUAACCGUUCAAUAAUGCUAAGCUGUGGUCAUUUACCAGCUAAUUGAUUGUAUAAUACUUACUCAGUCACAUUUAGCAGCAGCUAAUUGAUUGUAAUAGUUAGUUAGUUAGUUGGUUAUGAUAGUAAUUAAUUACUAAGCAUCGCUAAGGUGGCAAGGUGGUAAAAAAUGCGGUUACUUCUUAAUUAAUAAUUGAUAGGAUAAAUAACAGCAAGGGAAGGCAAUUAAGAAAGCAAACACACCUUGAGCUCCAAAUGAGGGAUAGACUCCUUUUGAAUAUCGUAAUCGGCAAGGGUCCGCCCAUCUUCAAGCUGUUUGCCAGCAAAAAACAGCAUCUGGUUGUCUGCGGAAAAACCCUGCUUGGCGUGAAUCUUAGCCUUGACAGUGUCAACCAUGUCGAAGCUUUCAACCUCAAGGGUAAUUGGCUCGCCAGUGCCAGGGAUCUCAACCUUGAGUGUCAGAGCUUUCACGGACAUCUGCAUCCGUUGGGGGGGCGGGGCGGGGGAUACCAAAAGAUAAAUAAUCGGAAUUGCUAGCCAAAAAAAAAAAAAAAAAAGCUGUAAUCCUCAACCCUAAAUUCGGCACCUAAUUCCUCAAUUUAGGGGUGGAAUCCAUAAAUUACAGAGAAAAAAAAAUCUAAAUCAAAAUCAUCAAGCAGCAAACAAUCAUAAACAAACUGCGAAAAGAAGCAAACUGAUGCAGUUCCAAGGAAAUGACUAGAUUGAUUGAUGAGAUAUUAACCGUUCAAUAAUGCUAAGCUGUGAUCAUUUACCAGCUAAUUGAUUGUAUAAUAGUCAGUCAGUCACAUCUAGCAGCAGCUAAUUGAUUGUAAUAGUUAAUUAGUUACGAUAGUAAUUAAUUACUAAGCAUCGCCGAGGUGGUCAAAAUUGCGGUUACUUCUUAAUUAAUAAUUGAUAGGAUAAGUAACAGCAAGGGAAGGCAAUUAAGAAAGCAAACAUUUCCUGUAACUCUCCUUGAUUCUCAAUAUAGUACAAUUCCUCCUCCCUAUUCUUCCACGGACAUUCUCCGUUGACUGGAAUCGGGAAUUGGGAUCUUCACCAGCUUCGCAUCACAAAAUAAUAUAGAUUGUCAAAGAAGGAAUGAUUACCUUUUGAUGGCAGAAUUUGAGAGAAGAUUGAUGAAGAAGAAGAUGGGUAGACUAACGAGUGAGAAGUGAAGGCGAGAGACGCCAUUUAUAUACUGUAUGAAAAAGAGGCUAAAGAGGUACUGUAGUCAGUAUGUAGAUUGCCACAGUGUUAACUGUUAAUUUCGUCCCCUUCUGAUUAUGCAAAACGGACCACAUAUUUAACUUUAAAGAGGUUUCUGUGGCUUUGAACUUUAACAAAACGCCAAUAGAUACUUCGUGACCAAAUUUUGUCCUCACGGGAAGGUUUUAUUAUGAUUAUUGAGCAACGUGUCUUUUUUUUUUUUUUGGAUAAUUUAAGAAACCUAAACCUCCCCUAAGGUUUCUAACAGUACCACGGAACUCUCUUAAAGUUUAAAAAACUACAUCCACCUCCUGUGAUUUGAUAGUUUUAGUAAUAAAACUUUAAAAUAAUAAUGACUUAGUCAAAUUUUUAAAUGAAUACCCAAAAAUGCCCUUGUGUAAUGAGUUUUAAUUUACUUUUCUAUACAAUUAUAAAAUUAUCCAGUGUAAAUAUAAGAAAAAAGUGUCGAAUUUUUCAUGUUCAUCCUACUAUUUGAUAAACAAUUAUAAUAAUAAUAAUUUUAUCACUAUGAUAGGAUACUUUUGAAGGUAUUUUAUUAUAGAUCUAGAUUUAUAAGAUAGAAAAGAAAAUUUUGAAAUAAUUGAUUUAGAGUUUAUGAAUUUUUCGAAUAGUAGGAUUAUCAAAAUUUAGUAGUGAUUUUGGGUAGGGGUGGGCGCGGGUCGGGUACCCGCCCCGCAUAUCAGUGGGUACCCUAUAACGGGUACCCGGUGAGAUAGGGUCGGAUCAGCGAGUACCCGCCCCGCCCCAUUUAUCAUUUAAUUUUUUUAAAAAAAAUAAUUUAUACCAAUUUAAUUUUAUAUUUUACACAUUCAUCUAAGAUUUAAUAAUUUUUUUUUUCUAAAAAAAGGUUUCCCACCAAGAAACAAGCAUAUGAAGAGAAUAUAAGAUAAAGGAAAAAAAUUAAAAGAAUUCAAAAUCAAUAAAAGUUUGAAAUAAGUAGCACAAUUUUUAAUAUAUAUGUUCCACAUUAAUUAAACUUUUUUCUAUAAAAUAUAAGAUCAUGGCCUUUACAAAUGAAUCUUGUAAAUAAACUAUAGUAUCUCAUAUUUGUAAUGCAAUUUGUUCAAUAAAAUUACUUAUUUAGUUCUAACUUAUUAUUUUAUAGUGUGUGUAUAAAAAUAAAAAAUAUAUAUAUGCGGGACGGAUCGGGUACCCGCGGAUUUUUAAUUAUGUGACCCUAACCCGCCCCGCAUCUUAGCCGAUACCCGACCCUCUUUUGACCCGAUCAAAUAAUAAAAAUCGGAUAUCCUAAUUUUCGGAUCCGAUCGGAUCGGAUAUGACGGGUUUUCGAGUUAGCGGAUAAUUUUGCCCACCACUAAUUUUGGGUCAUUUCUUUUUGAUUUAUUGUUAAUUUUAAUACCAAAAAAUAGAAAACAAAGAUUAGUAAAAAAAAUAUAUUGGAUUACAUAUAAAGUUAACUCAUAAAAAAAUCACUAGUUCGACAUUUGAUUAUAAUAGAAACUAGAAAUAAUAGUAAAAGUUCUACAGUUUUAUUGGUAAAAAAAUUAAAAUAAAAAGGAAUGAGAAGGAAAAAGAAUGAAAAAAUAAUUUUAAAAGUCAUUCUAAAUAUAAGAAUACCAAACAAGAGAAUUUUAUUAAAAUAUUUAAAGAUAGUAUUAUCAUUUUAAAUAACAAGUAAGAUAUGCGUAAUUUUAAAAAUCUCGAGAGAGUUAAACGAAAUUGUUAAAAUCCUCAAGGGAGGUUCCUGAAGCUAUCCCAAUGGUAACAAUUCAUUAAACAAAAACACAGGAGACUUGUAUAUCCGGAGCAACUCCUUCUACGUCUCUUUUAGCUGUAAUAGCAAGGCAACCGGGAGUAGGGUGUCAUUGAACGUCUCCUGGCUCCUGGGGGGAACAGGCAUACUGCCGCCGGACAAGUGUUCACUGUGAAAUUUACAGCUCACGUGCUUCUUCCAAAACAAGGGGUUGGUACAAACCACUGUACCAUUCUGCAGAAUUGUUAUGCUGUUUUAAAACAAUGAGUUGGUACAAACCAAUAUACCAUUCUACAGAAUUAUUGUUGGUUUAAAACAGGGAUAACCUUUUUAUAUAUCAUGAGGGUAUAAUUAGAUUAACACAUUUAGAUUAUGUCACACAAUAUAAAUUUAAAUUUAAAAUUCAACUCAUGCACAUAUAACAUACGUCUAAAAACAUUCAAAACUUCUAGCGCAAAAAAAUCACUGAUGGUAUAUAAAAAGCUAAUUCUUAAAAUAAUAUUGCAAGAAGAAGCAAUUGCACCACAGCCUUGACGAUGAAAGUGUCAUCAGCCCCUAUCCUGGGAAAAAUUUCAAGCAACAAACCAAUAACAUUGUAGUCUGCAGCAGUUUCUUACUAUAAUUGUGCUUAGCCGGCCAGGUCCUCUGCCCCCUAAUAAUUGGCUUCGAAUCCCUGUCCCCAAAGUAGUCUCUUCCCACUGUCCCUUGUUUGUAUAGCCACCACGUGUGUCUAGCAUUUUAUUAAUCCAAAUUUAAAUAAACCGAUAAUAAUCGAUUUAUAAGUUUAUUCAAAAUCAAUUAAAAUAGAUAACUCAAAAAAAAAAUUUAUUUUCCUUUUAACAAAAAAGAGUCUUGUUGAUCAUACAUGAUCUGGUCAUUUGCAAGAGGAUUCGAAGCCCUAAUAAUUGCUCCUCAUUUGCAAGUGAUAAAAUAUGAUCAAGAACAUAAUGUCAUAUCGUCUUCUUGAAGAGGUUAGCAGCCGAAUCAGAGGGUACGUGCACAUUCUCAAUCCAAAGAGACUUUUUAGGCGCUAUAACAAGCAAAGUGGCCAACUCAAUUGUCUUCCCCUUUCAUUCCUUAACGGCUUAUGAAAUCAGAAAACUCAGCGGCAGAUGAACAGUUUACAAGCCUACGAACAAGCUUUAACACUCCAAGCAUGCAAUCUAAGUCCACAAAUAUCAAACAGCAGAGUAUAAAUUGAUUCUUCAUGAAUAUUCCAAGAAACGCUUCUGCUAAGGACUCAAGAGCCAACUCAAGCGGCAGGAAACCAUCUUUGGUUCUAACAUCUGCCUUUGCUCCAUAUGUAAGGAAUAACUAUGUCAUUGACGAAGAUAAUUCGAUUUCUGCCAAAUGCAACGGAUAGAGGUGACCGUUAUUUAUUUUGUUUUUGGGUUGACAAGGAAAUUCGUAGCCGCUACCCAAGAGUACACGCUGGAUAAAUUCCAUCCAUACAAUAACUUGUUAACCACACAGAGAGGUAUAACGCGCUAGACAAAUCCUGAACGACGAGAGCUGCCCCGGGUUGGCAAGAGGAAGUAGGACUACGGCUGUUAAGUCCACAAAAAUUUCACCCUUGGGAGCUGCUGUUCAGAAAGGCGAUUUUGACGUCCCCAAGAAAUACUCCCAUCGGUUCAAGGAGUUGGAAAUGGAUGGGAUAUAACGAGAGCUAAGAAUAGGGGUUAAAAUUAGGGUAAACUUCGGUACUCAACAAGGAUAGUAUUGAUAUUACAUAAUGAUAAGUGCUUAUAUUAUGAGUGGUGAUUGAUUUUCUGCAUUGCAGAAUUGACAAAUAGUAGGGAAAAAAUUAAUAAUGGGAAAUUCCUAUCAAAACUAAUUGCAGAGCUCUUUCCUAGGUACAUCAUAUUUCUGCACAACAGGCAAAGCUAGAGACGGAAAAUAACUGAAACUUUCACAACUUUCACAAACUUUCAUGAUUAUAUUACAGUAUACAUGAUACAGUACAUGAAUUCAACAAAUCUCUUAUACUAACAAAUAUUACAGGACAAAAAUUAUGCCAAAAGUCUAUAUAAAGAACACAUCAAACAGCUUUUAACAUGCUUUGUUUCCAACUAACUGAUCUUCACACAAUCAAGGCAAAUCAUAAUUGUUCUUUUUAUUAUAUGGUUCUUUGCCAGAGAUAAUUUGGUCCACAAAAUGACACUGGCUGCUAAGAUUCAUUACAUUUCAAGAAGAAGUUGAGGGGGUAUAGGAAGGAUUGAACACUUUCUGUUCAGCACAGCUGAGUACUUCAUUAGGCCCUGCCUCUUCUCGCCCAAUUCCCAAAAGGUCAAGGUAGUUUAGAUAAUGGGAGAUAAUGAUAUUCAUACUGUCAAUAUCACCUUGACCACAAACAGAAUCUCCAUAGAGGAGGUUCAUGGUUGUCCCAAAACCAGGAACUCGUUUUGCUUCAGUAUCAUUUUUGUUGGGCUUCCAGUUGCCAACAAAUGCAUCAUGAGCAGAAGGUAGUCCCUUUUUCUGGGGUUUCAUCCAUUGAUAUAUUGCAGCCUGGAAAGCCAGAGUCGCGUU
RNAcentral lists this long non-coding RNA (202300 nucleotides) under Coffea arabica (coffee). RNAcentral describes it as "long non-coding RNA (CARA_LNC005578)". The record is from RNAcentral. Lineage: Eukaryota; Viridiplantae; Streptophyta; Magnoliopsida; Gentianales; Rubiaceae.